UAUUUUCUGAUUAUUACAUAAGGAGCUUGCCAUAUACAGAGUUUUGAGUUGCUGGCCAACCACUGAAAUCAGGUGCGCAACCAACAUUUACGUUCUACCAUUAACCAAACUCAGAAGUCCAAGACAUAAAGUACCUUAAAAACAACAAAAAGAUACUCAUAAGUUGGAUUCCGCAAAAUCAGACUGCGUCUAUUCCUCAAGUACUUCACUGAUCAUCAGCACUCAAGAGAACAUUCUACCUUCUCACGCUUGAGUGUAUAAAAAGAUUUUAGCUUCUCAAUCCGGUAACUUCUCCAAAGAUUUAAAAGGAACAUCUAAAGUUGCCUCCAACGAUUUUACUCUGCCUUGGAUCUCAACCACUUUAGGACAUCACUGCAGAUAAAAUUUCUGGAGCUUCUUCAGGUUGGUCAGGUCAGGCAACUUGUCCACAGAUGGAACUCCUUCAAGCUUGAAGGCAAUUGGGUUCUCCAAAACUUGGAGGCUUCUGAACUCUCUCACUUUAGGGCGACGACCAACUUCCAAAUCUGACAGCGCCUUCCAAUUUGAAAGCUCUAUUCACGUUUUUAUUUCCUUGCAUGAUUCGGUAUCUAAGUACAACAAAUUUGGGGGAAGGCCAGGUCGGCAGUGCAGCUUCUUGGAGGGGACCAGUUCAGGUUCCUUGAGCUGUGAAAGAAAAAUGAUGUCUGAAGAUGGGGUGAUGAAAUAAUGAGAUUCCAACAGCAAGGAUUCCAGCUUCCCUAACCUUCUGAGCAACGAAGGACUUGGAGCUUCAAUGAAAUUAGAAGCAUCAUCCAAAUUGUCAAAACCUGAAUUUUACAUGCAAUUUGAAUAUUGAAUUAAUAAGUUACUUAUCAUCAAGUGAAUGUACAUAAUUUUUUUUACUACUUUACGUAAUUAAAACCUUGUACAGAAGAUCUGCCUUAAAAAGAUAUGUAGAAGCGCAAAUCUAAACAUCCCUAAACUCCGAACCAACCAAUAUGUAUAAUAUUUUUGAGGGAAUGAGUUGACAUUCAGUAAAUGAUAGCUCUACUUCCAAAAUGGGAGGCCUACCCACUACUCAACCCGAGAACAUAACAAUAGCAAUUUGCAAAUAAGGUCAUAUAUUAUUAUCAAUAGGAAAACCAAUAUUCACCUAAGACAGUGUAAUCCGUGCAUUAUAUAAAAAUGACUAUAAUUAUCUGUGCAAUGAAUAAAAUAGAAGCAAUGUAUGAUAUUCGUUUUAACGCUUAAAUGCACACAAUUGAUCAUACCAAAUCUCAUGAUGUAUAGACAUCAACAGCUCAUCGAUAGACACAAGUAUUUAUCUAUUACCUACUUGCUACUAGCCACGACUCAUCUUGACUACCUCAACUAACAAGACAUUGUGACCACUAAAUAAUGCAAGAAGAAAUCAUAAAUACAUAUUUACCACGCUUCAUCCCAUUCAUCACAGGUAUCCUCCAACGAUGAUAAAUACAGUACAAACGCAUAAUGACAGCUAUCCUAGACUCAAUUCUCAUCAAGAUUCAUACCCAUUCUAUUUUCUUUCUUCUCUCAAUCUUGGACCUCAAGUUCAUAAUAUCAUACAUAGGCUAUUCAAGUCACAUCAGGUUACACAAGUCAUAUAAUUUCAUGUAUAAAUCAUUGUACUUUACAUUUUCUCAAUCUUAUAGAGAACGGUAGAACAUCUGUCUUUUCCCAGAAUCUUAUAUACAUACUCAGAAAAAUUAAUUAUAGUGUUGGUAUAUUGCUAACAACACUCGUAGAAUUUCAAUGGAGUUGGUAAUUUACUUAAUAUGGGGAACAAGCACACUUGGAAGGUGCAGCACAGUGGAAAGUUGUAUGCCAUGUUCAAAAGUAUUGUUAUUAAUUUACUUACGAUACUGGUUAAAUUUCAAAUGAGUUGAUAAUUUACUACUUCAUUGAAAUAUUAGUAAAUUUCUGAUAGUGUUGUUAAUUCACUUACAACACCGGAAAGUUUCCAGAAGACUUGGUAAUUUACCAAUCUAGUGGGAAAUUGCUAAAUUUCCGACAGCUUUGGUAAUUUACUACCUCCUUACCUAACAAGCAAGUAACCAGUCAUUUUCUUUUACCUAACAAUUCCAAAUUUGCUGGUAAUACCACCAAAAAUUUCAAAGGAAGGAACUAGAAAGGCAGUAAUGAAUCCACUGAGAAGCAACUGCAGAAAUCUGUUUUAAGUUAUCAAAACUAAAGAACCUUGGUGACCAUUGCACAUGAUCAUUACCUAGGGAGCGUUUUAUGUUUACGCUGGACACAAUGUUUUGCCCCUGCUUCUUCGUUUCUUCAAUGUGGAAAUUUUGAUGGGAAAUCAGCGACAAUUCUGCGAAUAUGGUUGCUGAUGUCUGAUAGAAUUCGCGACACUGAAUGCAACACAUUCUCAGGGUAAUGCCUCAUGAACAAUAAUCUCUACGAAUGAAAUCUGGAGCAAGUGAUUUAAUCACUAAGUAAAGUAGGACCACAACAGACCAAGAGAAGAAGAAAGAAAUUGCAGAACCAAUCGAUUAUAGUAAGAUUUCAUGCCUUCCAGGACAAUAUUUCGGUUUUAGCUAGACCUUGACAAGCUCAGAAGAACAACUGAUUCGCCAUGUAUGGUUUGAACUAGUUCCUAAGGAGCGAAAAUCAAUCCCCUCACGGGUGCAGAACCGAACUGAGGCACAGGAGUAGCAAUGUGUUUCAAUAGAAUGCGACUUGUGGUUUAGACCAAAGCUAUGCAGAUGGAACAUAAAUUCAAUCCCCUACUUGGAGAAAUCUGAGUUUUAUUGAGAAGCUGGUGGAUAGAUGUGGCAUUGUGUUUCCAGAUCUAAGGCCCAACUGUAGCAUAGAUGGAAGCAGAUGAGCAGGGUUUAGCAUGUGACUAGAACUAGGCAAAAGCUAUUAGUGUUAGAUGCAAAUGACAGGGAUCAAUCAUCGAGUCAACUAUUUAAAGAACUGAUACUGAUUUGAGAAUCGCUCUAUUGUUUCCAUUGCAUUAUAUACCUAGUUGCAUUGCAGAACAGACCCAACUCAUGAAAAUGGCAGUAGAUGAGAGGAAUUACUGGAGGUGGAUGGGGUGAAGGUGAAGUGUCUGAAUCAAAUGCUGAGAAGCCAAUAAAAAUCUUGGCUCUGAGUUCAGCUGAAGAAAGACUCUUUAUUAGAUAGUCCACUCACCCUUGUGUCUUGCUUAUGCAGGAAGGUGAGGACUUAUUAGUUGCAGGUACACUGAAAGCCGAUGACUAUUGAUGACCGAAGGUGCCAAAACAAGGAAGUUGGGAUGUAAAGUAACCCUCCUGCACAGAAUAGUUGCCUGAGUUAUGACCUUGCAAGACAAACAUUUGAAGGUUGAGGGCUCUGGAGUGUGUGAAACUGCUUAAUACAGUUAACCAUGGAUGGUUCGAACAGUACUUCCAAGCCAUACUGGUGUGUUUGAUUAGCACUUAGGAGGUGAGGCGGUCAACCACCCUCUUAUCUAGUUGACUUGGGGUAAAAUGAAUUGUCCAUAUUACCGCUAGAAGGAAUCCUCAAAUAUUUUUCUUUUGAACAAGGAAAAUUUAAUUAUCGUAUUAUUUAGAUUUUAAUGGUCCAACCAUUGGAAAUUACAAUUGGUUAUUAAUAUUAUGCUAUUAUAAGUAAACAAAAUAUAAUCAACUUAUAUUUAUAUAUUAGCUAUGAAUACUGAUAAAUAAAUAAUAGAUUGAUACCAAAAAUAAAAUAAAACAAUAGAUUGAUAUAUUGAUGCACUCCACCAUCUGUACCAAUUCCAUAAGACACCACUUACUGUUGACAUAGCCUUUAGAGAAGAUGGGUAUCAAGAUUUUGGACUGCUCAAUUGCUUGGAGAAGCACUGAACCGAUCUCUUCGCCAGUACGAAGCUCUUCGUUAUCUCUGUAUGCUCAAAUUCCAGCAUCAAUGAGACUGGUAUACAGGAUAUCAGCAAUAUCCAAGUGUGUAUCGGGUCCUCUAAAGCUCAAGAAUACUUUGUAACAUGUUGACAUGGCUUCACAACUUCCAGCGUUUGAGAUGAUUCCUCAGUAGACAAGCAGCAGCAGAAUCGCCAACGGCUUCUGUGAUCCCGUUGUCUGUUUUCACCUCUUCACUGGUUUGUACAGAAAGAUGGAAACAAUGGAAGCGACGAUCAAUGCUGAGUGCGAGGACCGACCUCGGUGCACCCUCUAAACUUAUAAAAACAAUGCUGUGAAGAUGUCUGUCAGGAUGGGAAACAAAUGUAUGUGAGAUCUGCUCAGGUCAAUGAUUGAUGUCAGCCUUUUUCUGGGUAACAUUGUAUCUAAUAUAUAUUCUAUCGUCUUCAAAAACUAAAGAAGGAUGCUUCCUCUUCACUUCAAUCGAGGCAUACACGAUUUAGUUAUUUUUGUUGGCCAUAUACACAUGAUUAAAACGCGGCCUCUCUAUGGCAACCACGAGGGAGGAUAAGAUAACCUCAACGGAGCAUGCCAACAAAAGAGACAGCUUUUACCGUAUUAGUGAUGAUUACCUUGGAUUUUUUACUAUCAUUCUUCGUAUACAAAAGCUACUAGUCCCUGAUAUGUUGAUGAGUCCGUUAAAACUUCAAAAAUUUCUCACCCCUCAGAGGAGGAAUUGCUUAUAGCAAACAUUGGUAUGUCCAUUAAAUAUUUUUAUUAUAAUAGAUAGGGCGUGAAAAGGGGUUUACUUCGACCAAAAUUCAAGCACGACCCAAAGAUUUCAAGCCACAGAUCCUGAAACCUCGAACUUAGGCUUGGCUCAAGACAAUAUGAAAUGGCAUGACUCGUAGUAGUUUGAUGCAACUGGUUUUCACACACCUCAAUAUUAGUCCAUCUCACAGGCAACCGCAAUGGGGCAUUCUCUCAUAUUGGCAAGGUGCUUCCUGAAGUGCUUCUAACAAGGUUUGAACUAACACCACGAGGAAAAAGGCAAACUCCCUUGCUAAUUUCUAAUAGGCUAAGAGUGACUUUUUCAUAUGAAAAUAAAAUUGCUCACGUGAAAAUACUAGUAAGUGAUAGAUAUGCACUUGCUUUUAGGAGCAACUACUAAUCAUGAUGAAAAGAUCCCUUCUUAGAACAAUUGACAUACAGAUGAAAAAACAAAAAAUAUGAAGAGUUAUUGAGGGAAGACUAAUAGACGAAAGACUAUUUAUCCUUACUAAGUACUAAUGAUUACUUAUUUUCUUCUAAUCACGGCAGAAAAUUUACUAAUAAAAGUACCUAGUACAUUGACACUUACUUUUUCAAGUGAUUUGAUAUCAACCGAGUGCAGGUUUUUCUAUCUGAUAAAAACAUAUUAUAUCUUAAAUGAUAACUUCCUAAUCAUGUGAAAAAUAACUUAUCAUAAGUAUCUAUGUAUUCUCUUCUCUAGAGCAAGCAUAUAUAAGUAGUUAUAAGUUUUAGGCCAAUUACCAUACAAAAAAAAAAAAUUCCCAACUUUACACUUGUGCUAAUUUUUUUUGUCAAGUAUAAUGCAUAUGAAAGAGACGUCAGAACUUAUUCUUUUGUGCACAAUCCAUCCUCUGUUAGUCCAUCAGCCAGCAAAGAAAAAAUGGUCGUUGCCUUAUUGAUGUGGCGACUAAGGUGACUAAUUAUCACCAUGAAGCGUCAUUAUAAGUAAUUAAUAUAAAUCGAUAGUUAAAGAAGUUACUUUUGAAGAUUAGAGAAAAAGGCAACAGAGGAAAAAAGCAUCGAUAUGAUUUAGUGGUCUUUUCGAUUCAGGAAUUUCUAUUAGCUCAGUUCAAAGAAGAAUAUGCUAGUAUUUUGCCAGGUAUACUAUUGAGGGCAUGCAGCUGCAACCUCGAAAGGUGGUACACAUUGUAAAGUUCUUAGAUACAAUCGACAUAAACUUAAGGCCGAAAAAGAGAGCUAGUGCAAAGUUCGGUUAUCAAAUUUUCCAUCAAUUUGGUCCUUCAAAAGUUUUGUGUUCUUUGGACUCUAUAGCUUCUUCCUGAAGGUGGGAAAUUCACAAUCAAUCUUUAUACUCUUUCACUGUCUCGACCGCCACAUGAAAGAAUACGAACUGUGGAGAGAGCAGAAGACUUUCAUAUCAUUGACAGUCUGUACAUGAGAAAAUGGUAGGAACAGAAGAUGCACAGCAGAAGCAAUAUGAAAAAUAAUCUUCGAGCCUUAGCUCUUAUUCAACAUUAGAAUAACAGUAGAAGGAGCUUGCAAUACUUAAAGCUUCUGUGAUGCCGCCCAACCCCUGAAAUCAGGCGGAACCAUCGCCUACAUUCUUCCAUCCACCAUACUUAAAAGUCCAGGAGAGAACAAAUAUCCUAAAAAAUUACUCUGACAAGUCGGAUUCCACAAGAUCAGACUGCGUCUCCGCCUUCAAAGUCCUCCACCGAUCAUCAUAACCCAGAGAAUCUUCUACCUUCUCACACUUAUGUAUAAGCAAAGAAUUCAGCUUCUUGUGGCUUGAUGGAUCGGGUAACUUUCCAGAAGAUUUACAGGAACCAAUCCAGACCGUCUCCAACAAUUCUGGUCUGCCUUUGAUCUCGAUCACUUCGGACAGCACUGCAGAUAAAGUUUCUGGAGCUUCUCUAAGUUGGUGAGGUCAGGCAACUUGUUCACACAUGGAACUCCUUCAAGCUUUAAUGCUCUCAGGUUCUCCAAACCUUGGAGGCCUCUGCACUCACUUUAGGGCAAUGAGCAACUUCCAAAUCUGACAGCACUUUCAAAUUUGAAAGGUCUAUUAAUGUUUCCUGCAUGAUUAUAUAUUUAAGUACAACGAAUUUGGGGGAAGGUGAAAUAGGCGUUGCAGCUUCUUGCAGUGGACCAGUUCAAGUUCCUUGAGCUGUGAAAGAAGAAUGAAGAUGGGGAGAUGAAAUAAUGACAUUCCAACCGCCAGGACUCCAGCCUGCCUAACCUUCUGAUCCAUUAAGAACUCGGGAGCUUCAUUGAAUUCAGAAGCAUCCUCAAAAUUGUCAAAACCUGGAUUUUCCAUACAAUUUGAAUGCCAGAUAAGUAAGUAAUUUAACAUCGAAGGACACACAUUAAAGAUCCACCUUUGUAGAAACACUAAUCUAAAUGUCUGUAAACUCCGAACCCAACCAAUAUAAACAAUAUUAUGGACAAUAUUUUGGAGGGAUGAGUCUAAUCUCAGUAAAUGAGAGUUCUAGGUCCAUGUACCCAUCAGUCAAUCCGAGAACACAACAGUAUAGUAACGAUUAUGGUCAAUUGGAAAAACAAUACUCACUUGAGAUAUGUAAUCCAUGCAUUAUAUACAAAUGACUAUAAUUAUCUGUGCAAGGAAUCAAAUAGAUGCACUCCAAUGCAAACAAUUGAACGUACUAAUCUCAUGUGUGCAAUACCUGUUGCUCAUCCAUAUACACAAGUGAGUAUUUAUACCAUACUUGUCACUGGUCAUGACUCAUCUCGACUAACGAGACAUCGUCACCAACUCAUGAGAUGAAAUCAUAAAAACAUUUUUGUCACGCUUUAGUCCAUUCAUCAGGGAUAUCCUCCAGCAAUGACAGAUACAAUACUCUACACCCACAUGAUGAUGGCUAUCCCAGACUCAUUCUCAUCAAGAUUCUUACCCAUUCUAUUUUCUUUCUAGUUCUUGGACCUCAAGUUCAUAAUAUCACAUACGGGCUAUUUAAUUCACAUUUUUUUACACAAAUGUUAUCAUUUCGUGUAUGAAUUAUUGGACUUCAUGUCCUUUCGACCAUAUAGAGACCUUGUUUGAAAGGUAGAAUAUUCGUUUUUUCUAGAGUCUUAUAUAUGUACUUAGGAAAUUCAUUGCAGUGUUGGUAUAUUACUAACAACACUUGCAAAAUUUCCAUGGAGUUGGUAAUUUACUUCAUUAUUAGAAAAUUACUAGCAAGAUUGGAAAAUUACUGAUAAGAUUGGAAUUCUACCAACACAGAAAGUUUUCGAUUUUCCACUGCAUGGGAUCGUAAAAUUUUGCAAAGCUUCGUAAGUCUCUACCUCUGCAACAAGAACUUAAAUCCCAACUGAUAAUUUCAAUUGUUGAAACUAGAAAUGCAGUAAUGAAUCAAUCAGAAGCCCCUUUAGAAAUCAAUUGUAAGUUAUCAAAACUAAAGGACCUUUGUGACCAUUGCACAUGAUCAUUAACUAGGAGGGUUAUGUUUGCACAUGAACAUUACCCAGGGAGGGUAAUGUUCAUGCUAGACAAGAUGUUUUGCCCUACUUCUUCAUUUCUUCAAUGUGGAAAUUUUCAGGGAAAUCAGCAAAAAUUCUGCGAAUACAGUCACUGAUGUCUAAUUGAAUUCACAACACUGAAUGCAACACAUUGCACAUUAAUCUCCGCGAAUGAAUUCUGGAGCAAGUCAUCUUGAAUCCUCGAUGAAUUUCCCCCAUGACGAUAUUAAUUAAUAAUUACACCCACUAAAAAUUUCAGAGGUAAGUAGGACCACGGCAGACCAAGAAAAAGAAGAAAGAAAAUUGCAGAACCAAUCGAUUAUUCUAAGUUUUCAUGCCUUCCAGGACAAUAUUUCGGUUUUAGCCAGACCUCGACAAGCUCAGAAGAACAACUGAUUCCCCAUGUAUGUUUUGAACUAGUUCCUAAGGAGCGAAAAUCAAUCCCCUCGCGGGUGCAGAACCAAACUGACGCACAGGAGUAGCAAUGUGUUUCAAUAGAAUGCGACUUGUGGUUUAGACCAAAGCUAUAUUAAAGAUUAGAUGCAGCUAUGGAAGAAAAUCAAGUGAGUCAGCUCCCGAGCGAGUUCAUCGAAAGGCUGUUUUCAUUUCGUAGGUAUGACAAGUCACGACUGAAAAUAAUAAAAACCAACUCAAUCCGUCCCAAAUCUUUUCCUAAUCUAUCACAGAUUGCAUCCAAGAUUCGCAUGCGGACCCAAUUCAUGAAAAUGCGAAGAGAAAAUUACCAGAAAACCAAAUAAAGAUGCGAAGAAGGAAAAAGCAAGACCUUUUUUUAAGACUCGUGGGAACAGAUGGGCGGGCAGGAAGACGGGGGUGGCAGUCCCCGGAGGGAGAUCUCCGCCUGGUCGAAUCGCGUCUCGUUCUUGCUUGCGCUCGGGGUCGCCGUCGCGUUCCUUCACAAUCGGAGUCCGUCGCUGCUUGUUCUGGGUGAGCUCCUCGCUCGGGUCGUCGCCGAUGACUGAUGAGGGGAGGAAGACGAAGGAAGGAGAACGAAAGAACGUGAGCAGACAGAGGGGGGGCAGCGGGAGAAAAAACGAAACAAAAAAAAAAAAAAGGAGAGAGAAAAAGUUGAUAUUUCUUAAAGAGUGGGUCCCACCUUUACGCGUCAUUUGGAGAUAAUAUUCCUCACUAAUCUGAUACGGAAUCUUCUCUCCGUGAUUUCAGUUCUCUAAACCAAAAUUCUUGAUAGGCUCUCCCCACUUUUUCACUUCGAGAUAAUAUUCCUCACUAAUCUGAUAAGAUUCUAGAGAGGCUCUUCUCACUUUUUUCAAAUGUCCGUACUCAUCGGAUUCCAGAGUCUCCUCCAAUCUCUCACAUUCCUUUAUACGCACGCACUCUAGAUUCUUUAAGCUUAAAGGAUCAGAAAAUUGAUGCAGAGACCCGCAGCCACUUAUAUUAAGGAUUUGCAAUGAUUCUAGCCUACCUGGAAUCUCAACCACACGAGGGCAAUGUUCUAAAGAAAAAGCAUACAAGUUCUUGGUAUUGGUCAGGUCAGGCAACUUCUGUAGCAACAGAAGAUUAUAUAUAAGUAACCACUCCAAGUUCUCCCAAGCUUCCAGGCCUUGAAUCUCUUCUACCUUCCAACAACUAGCUAUACGAUAUAUUUGUAUAUGCUUGAAGCUCAAUGGAUCAGGCAGUUGUUCGAGUGAUUGACAACGCACUAAAUCAAAAUACACCAACGAUUCUAGCUGACCUCGAACCUCAACCAAUUUAGGACAAUCAUUUAUGUAUAAAUCCUGGAGCUUCUUCAAGCCGGUCAGGUUGGGCAACUUCACCAGUGACGGAAGAUACCCAAGACUAAGCAAUCACAGGCUUUUCAAAGGUUCCAGAACUUGAAUCUCUAUUAGUUGUUCACAAUAAGAGACUUCCAAUUCUGAUAACUUCUCCCAAUAUGAAAAAUUUAUUGACUUUUCCAUUAACCCACGCCCAUCCAAAUGGAAGUAUGACAAAUUCUGAGGAAGCUUAGGUAGGCAUUUUAGAUUAUUUGCAAGGAGUUUAAGCUUCCUGAGCUUCGAAAGGAGAUUAAAAUCUAAAGGUAGGGUGACCAAAUAAUCACAAUACAACCCCAAGGACUCUAGCUUUCUUAACCCUCCGAUCCAAUUGAGGCUUGGAGUUGGACGGGAAGGGCUCUGAUACUCUAAUUUCAACAUCAAAACUCUCAAAUUUAUUAGGUUCGAGAGAUCCGGGCGUCUCAUCUGUAGAUUAUUGGUUAGGACUAGUUCGGUCAAACUUUCAGGAAGCUUAGGUAUAUUGGAAAUUCUCGUGCCUGAUAACGUCAAGAUUCUUAGAAAUGAUAGUUUUCCGAUCUCACUUGGAAUUUCCCCACUCAAAUAUCUACAACUGCUGGCAUGGAUCUUUUCAAGCUUCUCCAAUGAUAGUCUUCCAAUCUCACUUGGAUUUUCCCCACUCAAACAUCCAUAACUGCUGGCAUAGAACUCUUCAAGCCUCUCCAACUUCCCAAGGGCGCUAGGUAGCUUUUCUAACAUGGAGUCAAAGAUCCUUAGUAUUCUCAAGUUCUUCAUCGUCUCUAUUGAGUCGGGUAACUCUCGUAUGCUUGAACAAGAAAGAUCUAACUCGACGAGAGAUCCAAAAUUUCCAAGUGGAAGUUCACUCAGUAAGCGACAUGACGCUGCACUGAGAGUUUCCAAUUUCUCCAUUCCGUUCCAUUCAGGAAUUUUGGUAACAGAUGUCCCAUCAAGAAGAAGUUCUCUCAAGUCUUCCAUUUCUUCCAUCUCGUCUGGCAAUGUCUGAAGUUUCCCACAAUAUUUCAAGUUUAAUAACACUAAAUGCUUUAACCUACCGAUAGACCCAUGGACUUCAACCAGUUCCAUGCACCCUUGAAGAAUCAGUUGCUCUAAAUUUUCAUGAGCAGAAAGGUCAGGAGUUCUAUGCAAGUUUCCACAUCCAGUCAAAUUUAGAACCUUCAAAUUCUUUGUCAUCUGUAAUGAAGAGAAGAGGUUGAUUCUGAAUAAAUUUUGAGAUACUGGACAGCAAAGUCAAUAUAGCAAAUUCAUGUCGAAAUAAUACCGUACCUUGAGGUGGUUCCAUCCCUCCCACUCAUCAGUAAUUUCACUCCUUGAUAGAUCAAGAAUCAUUAGCUUCUUAAGACAAAUUGUGAUGAAUUUGAAAUAGACAGGAAAGUUAUGCCAUGAGAGCAUUAACAAAUUAGGAAGCAUGAUCAGAUUCCUCUGGCACAAGUUAGUAGAAGGAAAAUGCUGACCGUUGCUCUCAUCCAAGUCUACACAAUCCACUUGAAGAAAUCUUAAUUUUGAUAGGCUUAUAGAUUCUUCCUUCUCAAUGAAGUCUUGAAAUUGACGAUCAAACCUUAGACAUAUUGCUUCAACGUUUUCUCUUCCCUGCCAAAAAAGAAAAAAAAAAAAAAACAUCAAACAAAAGCUAGUGAUCCCAUAAUUGCCUAUUGAAGGCAUUCGUGUUGAAUAUACUUGAUAAUGUACUUCUUACAUAUAAUUAAAAAUUAAUUUGCAAUAUAAUUUAUAGAUGAGCAUGUGAUCAUACUAAGCACACAAGUAAUGACUCGGUUUAGAUAGAAGCAAAUAAGCAAAUUCAAUGUGUAUAACUCGUCUCUUUGAAUAGGAACAACAUUGAAAAUACUUUACCUCCUUUAUUUCAAGGACAUCUAUCAAUUCCUCAUGAUCCCACACCCGACUUUGCUUCUCUAGCUUAAAAUGAGCUCUUUGACGAACAAUGUCUCGCCCAAGGUCUCUUAGCUGAUCAUGCACCCACAGUCGGUUACCUUGGACAAUCUUCAUUAACGAUUUCCGUUUGAGGACUUCAAGAGAAUAUUUAGGGAAAAGCUUAUGGCUGGCCCACAUGUAAGUCACAAUUCUCACAUCAAACCCAACAUAGAAGCAACAAAUAUCAAGAAAUAUUUCCUUCUCUUAAGGUUCUAAUGCCUCAAAACUGAUGUUUAGCUUCCUUUUAACCUCUGUAGAGGGAAUAGCUUUCAACCUUUCUAAUGUGACCACCCAAAACUCUCUGUCUUUUCCAGCUAAAAAUGAACCUAUUAUCUCUAGAGCCAAAGGAAGAUGACCGCAGAUUUCUAACGCUUUUUUCGAGAGGGAAACGUAUUCUGCUGGGGGACGAUCUCUUCUAAAGGCAUGUUUGCUAAACAGUAGAAGAGAAUGAUUGAAAUCCAUUUCAGUAAGUUCGUACUUAAAAUCAACAUCUUUGAGAACUUCCUUGUUUCUUGUGGUAAUAAUAACCUUACUUCCUCUGCUGUACCAGCAUUCACCUAUCCCUACAAGAGUGUUUAGCUGAGUGUUUUGGUCGACAUCAUCAAGCACAAGUAAAACCUUUUUAGAGGAUAACCUCUCCCUGAUCUCAGUAAUCCCUUCAUUAAUACUAUUGAUGGAUGGCCAUUCCAUUCUUAGGACUUUAGAGAGAAGCUGAUUCUGCAAAAUCACAAUCUUUGUCUCUCGAAUGUUAGACAGGAAGCAACAGUUAUCAAAAUCAGCCGACAGUUUAUUAUAGACGAUAGUGGCAAGAGUUGUCUUUCUGACACCACCCAUACCAUGGAUGCCAACAAUCUUUGUUCCAGUGGCCUGUGUACCCAUCUUUUCCAUGAUUUUGUCCACAUAAUCGAGUUUUGUUCCAGCGGUUUGUGUACCUAUCUUUUCCAUGAUUUUGUCCACAUGAUCGUCCAUUUCAACCAAGUAAUAAGGUUCUGCCAAGUUGUUCUUUUUUAACUUGAUCAACAGCGUCCGAACAACUUCUUCUGUGAACUCCCCUUUGCCUCUAACAAUAGUGAAGGCAAAAGGACCAAACUGUUAAAUUGAGAUGAACAGAAUAAUACCAAGCUACAAACAAUCAUGAACAAUAAUAAAUUCAAAUACCUCUCCUUGAGUUCCCAUCCUCUUAAAUCUCCAACCUUGCUGAGAGCUGUCUUCCACUUCUCAAUAGUCUCAUUAGUGAACCGCUUCUUAUUUUUGUGUGAAGUAAUGGCCUCACCGUAACUUCCAGUUUGGUAACGAACCUCAGCUGGUGUUAUGUCAUAGAAAAUUGGCAUGAUCUUUUGUCCCCACUUUUCCUUGCACUCCACCAUGUGGACCAACUCCAUGAGGCACGAUGGACUGGCAGCAUAUCCUUUAGAUAAGAUAGGAAUCGAGAUUUCCGACUGCUCAAUUGCUCGGCGAAGCUCCGGAUCAAUCUCUUCCCCAAUGGGAAGCUCUUCAUUAUCUCUAUAUGCUCGUAUUCCGGCACGAAUGAGGCUGUUGUAAAGGUAAUCAACGAUGUCACGGCGAGUGUCUGGUCCUCUGAAACUCAAGAAUGCUUCAUAAACAAAUUCCGUUGGCUUCUCCGUUUCCUGAAUUCUCAGAGGACUCGCAAUGACCUGACAAUAUUCCAUGUGAAAAACGUUUACUAUGAAAGCAGGGUGAUAAUUAUCACCAUUUCUCUCAGAAACUCUUCUGUUUUAAGUCUUUCUAGGAAGAAAACCAAGAUGACAAAUGCACGAGCUCCUUCGUGGCCUUGCACUACACACCAAAAUAUGACUGAAUAUUUUAAAAUAAUAUAGUAGAGAAGUGGACCCAUCUCAAUUCUAAAGGAAGAAAUUUUCAAAGUAUUGUGGAAUUAUGGGUUAUAGUUCACACUUGAAAUUGAUUUGAGAGAAUAAUAUUUUUUGAGAAGAUAAAUCACUAUCAACCUAUAUUAGUCCGCACAUCAUGCCUGCUUCCGCUUGUAGAUUGACUAAUUAUUUUAUUGUUUGAUAAGAAAUUAUAAUGAAACAUUCCUCUUUUAUUUUACCAAAAUAGAUUUGACAGACAUACCGCGACCCUCAAUUAGUGCUCCCUUGGCCUUAACGGACGCAAGCGAAGAAUCGCCCCCAAUGAAGAUCUCUAAUUGGAAAAGUGAAAUCAAGACAUUGCACCGGAGCUAAUUCAACCCUCUCCGUUGGACCAGUUUCUAGAAAGCAUUAACCGAUCUCCAAUUGCAGUCAAAUCUUAGUUUAUUAACAUACCGGCACAGGGUCAAAGGCGAGCAUUAGAAGCUAACGUUCGCAUUUGCCAGAAAGUAUCAGCAUAUCAGAAAAAGAGGGGUGAAUUACUAACCAAUAAUGUAGUUGAUGAAAUUUCAGCAGAAAAAAGAAGCAUGAACGCUAUAAUUGUUUUUCCAGAAAAUAAGUUUGAACACACAGGAGCGCAGGAACGAGAACUGUACUUUACAGAAGCGGAGACUUCCAGUGGACCACAGAGUGCUACGUUAUAGUCCUAUUCAUUUCGUCUCUACUGUUGAAUACAGUGUUAAGGGUAUCUAUUUUCUGCGUAGGAGCGUUCUUACUGCUAAUCACUAGACAAUAAUGUACGAAUUUGUCAUAUUGAAGUCUCUUAAAGAUACCACUAUCACCGUUCGCACAAAAUAGCUUUUAGCGCCAGCAAUCCACGCGAAAACUCAGAGAGACAGAGAGAGAGGGAGAGAGUAUACCCGGGUGGCGAGCUCGUAAGACUGAGCGUUGUCGAUGAUGGAACCGGACUUGCCUCCGCCUUCGCCGCCCUCCCUCCUCUUCUUCUUGCCGCUCCUCUUCUUUGGCUCGUCGUCGCGAGGGCCGCCGCCGGCGCCGCCGAGGAGCUCACUCCGAGGCUCGACACCGCUCGUCUCCGCUUCAGCUUCGUGCGGUCUCUUCUUCUUCGCCAUUCCCGCUCUCCGAUAUCAGAAAGUUUUGAUCUUUCGACACGGUAAGAGGUCGACUGGUGAAGGGAUUAGGCGUCGAUGUUGGUGGUGGUGGUGGUAUUGCGUUUCAGGAUCUGAGGCCUGACAGUUGCAUAGAUGGAAGUGGGUGGGCAGGGUUUUAGCAUGUGACUCGUGAGUUAGAGGCUAAAGCUAUUAGUGUUAGACGCAGCUGGCAGUGGUCAAUCAUGGAGUCAACUAUUAGUUGUUAGACGCAGCUGGCAGUGAUCAAUCAUGGAGUCAACUAAGGAAAAAAUUGGAUGCUGAUCUGAGAGUCCCUCUAUUGUUUCCAUCAAAUUCUGCAUCUAGUUGCAUCACAGAACUGACCCAAUUCAUUAAAAAUAAGGCAAUAAGCGAGAGGAAAUUACCGGAGAUGAAGGGGGUGAAGAUGAAUAGUCCGGAUCAAAUGCUGAGAAGCAGAUGAAGAUCCCAGGAAUAAACGUUCUUGGCUUUUGAGUUCAGCUGAAGAAAGACGAGACUUAUAUAAGACGGUGAAUUCACCCUCCUUCGCCGUGCCCUUCCAGGAAAGUGAGGACUUACUAGUUGCAGGGAAACUUCGGCCCGACCGUGAAAAUGUGAAUACGCGUUUUGCUCUUGACUUUCGAGUAAACGAGUUGAGUUACUGGGAAAUUUCUCGAAGUCCGGAAACCUUUUGGUACGAAGGGCGAGAGUACAAGAGGAUUUUCAUUGCAUGUUAUUAGUUUAAAAAUCAUACAAUUUAUAUUAAUUGAUGUUCUUUUAACGACGAUGAAGGUGAAUCCUAGGCCCAUUCAAAUUUUAUAUAUAUUAAACCAAAAAAUGUAGAGUCCAUGUAUUCUACAUAUGUCAGAGUUACACACAAUGGGUUCAAAAAACAAAAAGAAAUUAGAAAAAAUAGCGUCACUAAUGUGAUAACUUCCUCACAAUACUUACUUAAAUUUAUUACUUUUUUGAGAUUGAUUAAGUAAUAUAAUUUUCAUUUGACGUUCAUCUAAAUACCAUAAUUAAUUUUUUAGUCACUUGUGCCAUGACUCGUCAAAUCGUGAGGACCGCUGGUCUACCACUGUCCUUCUAGGUUCUCCACUUUUGACGCUUCCUCUUUUCUCCAAAUUUUUACUUUAUUCUUUUUAAUUUUUUCUUAAAAUCUGCUGACCUAGCAGCUAUAUCAAUGCCUCCAUCUUCAAGGAAAAAUAAUCAUGAUCAUUUUUCCUAUUAACUGAAUCAGAUGGAGUUAAUAGCAGGACUUAACCGCACUAAUUUAAUGAAUUUUAAAAUUUGAUUACACUUUUUAAAAAAUUUAAAAUUUGAAGGCACUUUUGCAACAUAUUUUAAGAUUUAUGGAGCAUUUAUCCCCUCUUAUGAGAUAAUAACACAAAUGAUCUUUAAACUUUGAUUUAAUAUGUAAUGUUAUCCUUAGAAUUUUAAUUUGUUCAAUGGGAUAUUUAAAAUAUUGAUAGGUGUUCAAUUUAGUCUUUAGAUUGAAUGCAUUAUUUCCAUAUAGUUUAGCAACUAUAUUGGAUAUUUGUUAAUAGUUCAUGGAUCACAUUAAAUAAAUUAAAAAAAUUUAAAAUGACAUAACAUAUUUUGCCAAAUUUCAAGGAUCACAUAAAAUAAAUUCCAAAUUCAGAGACAACAUUAGAUAUUGGACAAAAUAUAAGGAUUAUUUAUGUCUUUUUUUUUUCAUUUUUUAAAUCUAAAACUCCAUAAACUUAAGGAUAGACAAAUAAUUUACAUAUAAUUUUUUGAUAAUUUUCCGAGAUUUGAACAAUAAUUUAAAUUUUGACAAAAAAGUAAAAGAACUAUUAUUUAAGUCCAAGCAAAGAGGCAUUAGAUCAAUUAAUUUUCGCCAUUUCUUUACAGUGUCACUUCGCGUGGGCACCAUUUUCAUGGGAGAGACGAUUGCUGCGUUGACGCCCAGGAAAGUGAGGACCCGCUGGUUGCAGGGAAACUUCAAGCCAACCGUGAAAAACGGAAUACGUGUUUUGCUUUCGACUUUUGGGGAAAUGGAGUUGAGUUUCUGGGAAAUUUCUCAAAGUCCAAAGAUUCUUCGGCACGAAAGGCAGGAGUACGAGAGAUUUUCAUGGGUGUUAUUUGAUUAGAAAUCAUUCGAUUUAUGCUAAUUGAUAUUCUUUUAAUGACGAUAAAACCCUAAUUUUGUAGGUGAAACCCAAGCCCAUUCAAAUUUUACAUAUACUAAACCCAAAAAUGUAGAAUUCAUAUAUUUUAGUUAAGGGAAAAUGCCACAAAAAAUCCCAAACUUUAUUAACCGUGACAUAAUUACUCCACCAAGAACAUUUUCGUCUUAUCUUUUCUAUUCUUGCUUUUUCUUUUUCUUUUUUUCCUUUUUCUCUCUCUAUCUUCUCGCCGCCAAGAGAAGAAGAAGAAAAAAAGAAUUUUUUUUUUUAUAAAAAAAAUAACGAAAAUAUUCAAUAAUUUAGAGUAAAUGUGUCACACAAAUACAAGUUCAUGAAUUUUUGUGUCACAAAAAAAUUUGAGGUAAAUAUGUCACGGUUAGCAAAGUUUGGAGUUUUUCAUGUCACAACAAAAAGUUUUUGAUAAAUUUGUCACUUUAGGCAAAAUUUGGGAUUUUUGAUGGUUUUUGAGUUUGUAAGACAAAAAGGUUAGGAAAAAUAACACCAUAAAUGCCAUAACUUUUGUACAACACUCACUUAAGUACUAUAACUUCUUCUUUUUUGGAUUAUUUGAGUGAUAUAACUUUUGUUGGGCACUACUUAAAUGUCAUAACCUUUUUUUUCGAUCACUUGUUCCAUAACUUUUUAAAAUCAUUCACCAAGUGUUGAAAAUUUGACUUGAUAUAAUAUGCUUGAUGAACAUUUUUAAAAGUCAUAGCACUUAAGUAAAGUUAUGACACUCAAGUAGAUUUUCUUUAAAGGUUACAUCACAUAAAUAAUUGGGGAAAAAAAUUAUGGCAGUAAAGUAAAUGUCUUACGAAAAUAAUGACAUAUAGGGUAUUUUAUUUGUCAAAAGUUGCAUUCAGUCAUAUAGGAACAAAGCUCCAAAAAUAUUAUAAUACUAGUGAAAGCUUACCAACUAUAGAUGGUUUGAACAUGACUUUCAAGACCAGGGACAUCAAUAUGUGCAACCAUAGUAGUGUGUUUGGUUAGCAUUUAGCAAGUUGGGUAGCCACCUAACCGUUGUGUACUUGGAAUAUUUGGGGUGAAAUGGUAAUGUCCAUAUCACCACUGGAAGGCAAGGCAUCGAGAAACUUAUUUUUUACCAAGGAAAAUUUUAAGAGAAACUCAAUUAUCUUAUAGUCCAAAAAUUGGAAAUUACGAAAUUAUAAGUAAAUCAUUAACUACAAAAUGCAACUUAACUUAUAUUUAUAAAUUAUUUAUGAUUAAACAUAGAAUUAAUAAUAUGUUGAUAUGCAUCGAUGAUGAUUGAUCAACAAAAGAAUUAUUCCAUUGUUUUUAAACAAUGACUGGUAAAUUAAUUUAAAUUACUAUCAUGAUAAUGUACUAUGGAUAUCUAAAUCUAAAGGAAAUGCAAUCAUACUGUAAAAUCUAUGUUAAAUAUUGUUAUUUUUAUUGCAUUUUAUUCUCAAUUUGGUUUUCAUAAAAGUUGACGUGGCAUUUUUCAUUUGUGUUUAUUUUAAGAGAGGCGCUUAUGAGGAUGCUAAUGCCAAAUGUUCAAUUUUCUAAUCAAGAUAUGAAAAAUUGUUUGAAAAUUUUGGAGAAAUAAAGAUCUUAAAAAAAGGAUAGAAAAAUCAGACAAGAAAUCAUUCUUAAGAGGUGCAAAAGUCUCCAUCAAGUAGCUUGGAACAUCAUUUAUUUAAAAAUUAAAAAAAAAAGCUCCAAACAGUGUUCAUGACGGUGGAGAUUGCAUUUGUUGUUGCAUGAAUUCAUCCUACCAUAAUCAAAUUUAAUUCGUGAAAUUUAAUCUGCUUUUGGUUUCGUGUGAAAUUUAUUUGCCCACGUCAUUGACGAAGCUCUUGAAGAAGCAUGGGAAGGUGGUAGAGAGGGCCAAGUUGGCUUUGCCGAAGUCCGGCGAGGAACGUUGGCCAACCACCGUCCUUCUUGGUUCUCCACUGUUUGACUCUUUCUCUUUCUUCCAAAUAUUUUUUUUUCCAGGAUUUUAUUUCUAGAAAUCCUGGAAUCAAUUUUUUUCCCUUUUUCUUACAUUUUUUCUUAAAUUUUGCUGACAUGGCAGACAUUUCAAUGCCUCUAUCUUCAGAAAAAAAAAAUCAUGUUAUUUUCUCCCAUUAGGUGAAUUGGACAGAGUUAAUAGCAAGAUUUGAUUACGCAAAUUUAAUAAGUUUUAAAAUUUAAUUGCCCUUUUUGAAAAUUAUAGAAUAUGAUUGCACCUUUACAAUGUACUUUAAGACUUAUGUUUAUCUCCCCUUAAGAGAUAAUAACACAAAUGAUCAUUGAACUUGACUCAAUAUGUAAUAUUAUUCCUAAAUUUUUAAUUUGUUUGAUGUGAUCUCAAAAUUAUUUAUAUUUGUUCAAUUUAAUUUUUAGACUAAAUUUGCCAUUUCCAUAUAAUUUAAAAAUUAGAUUGAACCAUAUUAAUAGUUCAUGACUGCAUUAUAUAAAUUAGAGCUUAAAAACAAUAUAACAUAUUUGGACAAAGUUCAUCAAAUUAAACGACUUAAAAAUUUGGGGGUUAUUUAUGUCAUUUUUUCCAUUUUUUUAAAUCAAAAACUCUAGAAACUUAAGCACGACACAUAGAUUCACAUAUAAUCUUUUGAUAAUUUUUUGAAAUUUGAACAAUAAUAUAAAAUAUAACAAAAAAGUAAAAAAAAAAAAAAACUAUUUUUCACUUUUUUUUUAUAACUCCAGACCAGCAUUAAAUCAAUUACUUUUCGCCAUUUCUUUACAAUGUCCCUUCGCGUGCCGGAUGUUAUAAGAGUAAUAAGAUGCAGAGGACACCUUUUUCACGGGAGAGACGACUGAUGCAUUGCCAUGUUCUUCAGCGAUAUCCUCCCAACCAUCCAUCACUAUGUCUCUCUCCUCGCAAGAUGCGUCUCCAAGAAACACCUGAAGCUCGGCAUGACCGUCCACUCCCACCUCAUCAAGACCGCACUCGCCAGCGACUCUUUCCUCGUCAACCAUCUCAUUGGCAUGUACUCCAGAUGCUCUUCCAUCCCAAGCGCCCACAAGGUUUUUGAUGAUCUUGAUAUAAAGAACAGUUACUCUUGGAACACCAUCAUAUCUGCAUAUGCCCGGAUAGGCGAUUUCAAUAAAGCACUCGUCUUGUUCGAUGAAAUGCCGCAGAGGGCUCUUGUCUCUUAUAAUUCCUUGAUUUCUGGGUUGUCCCGUCAUGGGUUUUAUGUGGAGUCUCUGAGCGUCUUCAUGCAUAUGCAACAAGAAUAUGAUUGGCUAUUCAUGGAUGAGUUUACUUUUGUGGGUGUUGUGGGUGCCUGUGCUCACUUGGGUGCAUUUAAGUUCUUGCGCCAAGUUCAUGGAGUGGCCAUCGUAAUGGGCUUGGAAUUUGCUAAGAUAACUUACAAUUCCCUGAUUGAUGCUUAUGGUAAAUGUGGUGGAGUCGAUAUAUGCCGUGUCUUGUUCGACGUUAUGCCUGAAAAGGAUGUCGUGUCGUGGACUUCCAUGGUUGUUGCUUAUACGCGAGCUCAUAACAUAGGUGAUGCUUGUGCAAUAUUCAACAGUAUGCCAGCGAAGAACACAGUCUCUUGGACUGCACUGAUCUCAGGCCUUGUGCAGAAUGGCCGUGGUGAUGAAGCUUUGGACCUUUUUGUUCAAAUGCAUGAGGAAGGAAUACAGCCAAGUCCUCAUACUUUUGUCAGUGUUCUAUGUGCCUGUGCUGAUCGAGCACUUGCUGAAAGAGGCAAACAGAUCCAUGGUUGCAUCGUUAGGACCUGCUUUAAUGGAGAUUUGGAGAACAUAUUCAUAUGGAAUGCUCUAAUUGACAUGUAUUGCAAGUGUGGUGACAUGAGAUCAGCUAAGAUCUUAUUCUUGAGGAUGCCAAAAAGGGAUAUUGUUUCAUGGAAUUCGAUGAUAACUGGGUUCGCACAAAAUGGGCUGGGGCAUGAGUCACUUGUUUUUCUCAGGACCAUGCUAGAGACAAAUGCAAGACCCAACCAUGUCACGUUUCUUGGCGCUCUAUCUGCUUGCAGCCACACAGGUCUAGAUAUUGAAGCGCUUCAGAUUUUCAAUGCAAUGGAAAAGGAUUACAGCCUUCAACCCAGAUUAGAUCACUAUGCUAUUUUGGUCGAUCUGCUCGGGAGGAAAAACAGACUUGAGGAAGCCAUGGAGUUAAUAGAGAUUGUCUCAAACAAAUCAAACCAUGUUGGAAUGUGGGGUGCACUUUUAGGUGCAUGCAAAGUCCAUGGUAAUCUAGUUAUUGCCCGAAAAGCUGUGGAUGCUCUACUGAAUUUGGAACCCCAAAAUGCUGCGAGAUAUGUCAUGAUAUCAAGCAUAUAUGCUGCAACUAACAGAUGGGAUGAUUCCUGCAGAGUAAGGAAGCAGAUGGAGGAGAGAGCUUUAACAAAAGAUGUGGCAAACAGUUGGAUUGAGGUAAAGAAUGAAAUGCACAAAUUUCCAGCAAAGGACCAAUUCCACUAUCAGAUGGGAGACUUAUACGAAGUGCUCGGGAAACUAGCAUAUCAUAUGAAGGAAUCUGGAUAUGUUCCUGAGCCCAACUUAAGACUCAUCUUAGCUAAUUAUGAUGAUGAUGGUGGGUAAUGAAUACAAAAAGGGUUCAGACGGAAGAUGCUGGAGAAAAAAUAGAAGGCUACAACUGCAAGGUGAUAGUUCUCGUACUAAUGAACAAUUCAUACCUUCCUGGAGAACAUCAAGUCAAAGAUACCAUGAAGUUUCAGGAAGGACUUAUGGUCCACAGAAAAUCGGGCAUCAUGAAAGCCUCUCGUUGUACCUGGAGGUUUUGCGUGAGGUAGGUGGAGAUUGCUCAGAUGCUAUCUGGUAAUGGCAUUCUGUGUACAUAUUUUCGGAUUCUGACCUCAUUGUGUCUGGAACAAUGGAAAGCGUCUACCUUGCCAUUAUUGGUUCUUUUGGAUGCUGCCUGACCGGAUCAAAUUUUUCUCUUGGGUUAUGUCCAUAUCCCUUUGAGGGAAUAGAUAGUACUGCAAAAUUUUUCUCUCAGGUUAAACAUGAUGUCCCUGACCAUGGCGUGACCUGGAACAUCUCUCAGAACUAUAUACAGCUUGAAGCUCCAUACUAGUCAUUGUCCCGUGAUUUCUUGUCAGGCUUAUGCUUCCGCAACAACCAGUUUACAGCUGACAAUUUUCCAUGAAGUGUUGAUGAAAGGUCUAACUACUACAAAUCUGGGAUGGAGUUCCAUUCUUUGUUUUCUUCUCAAUGAGUGUUUAUUGUUCUUCAGGAAUUCAGGAAAGUAUGUGCAUGGUCAAAUAGAGGUUAUUGGCUAUGAUUUUUUUAGUUGUGGCUGAUGGUUUCAUUAUUGUCCUAUGGGAUCGCUUAGGAGCGACCUGUAUUUGUUUGUGGUGCUGGUCUGCUCCCAACAGUAGAAAUUACCUCAGGAUUUGACUGUACACGUACAACUCAUGGUAUUUUCUUCUACAUCUUGACAUAACUACAUCAAGAAACCAGAGUGGAUUUUUUAAAUCAUGCUAAGGACAGAUGUAUUUGUUGACAGAAGGUGUAAAAUAUUUUGCAUGCAAGGCACUGUGCGAGCGUCAUUGCAUCAGUUGAUUGAGGCAAUUGGAAUUGCCGUCUGUAAUGCAGUUGUUCCAACAUCCCUGAUUAUUUUUGGCCCCUACUUAUGCCAUGCUUCAGUUUCUUCCUUUGCAUCCGAACUACUUUUUCUGUUUUGACAAUUGAGUACUCUCUUUCCGAUGGAAGAAACAAACAGCUGUAGAGGUGACGAUUCUCUUAGGGUAAUCUCCUAGCAAUGUGAAAUAAUAGAAUUUACUAGCACAUCUGGGAAAUUACCAUCAUCCACUGAAAACUACAAAUGUAAGAUAAAAUAUCAUUGGCUUUAGCUCAUGGAUUUGUGGAAUUUUUCGCUAUAAGAUAUAUACAUGUAUAUAAUAUUUUUUGGUUGGAAGAAUCCCAGGACAACACUUAUUCUCUGCAAGGUCAAUCCUUAAUUUUCUAAGCAAGGGAUGGAUGGAGCACUCGAGUACUGUGAAUUUUGUAUACGAAUCUAAGAAGAUUAUCAAGUUAAAUUAGUCUUCGCAAGAAUGAGCUAGAUUUUUAUAGGUGAUAUGUCUCUUUCAAAUGUUUGUGGUCUAGACAAUUUCCUUAUUAAAAGAUCCUGUGGAUGUCUUAGUAAUCUUGGGUUUCAGUUUCAAAAUUCAAACAACUACAUCUUUCAUGACCGUCCGCAACCACUUGAUCUUGCUAUUUAUAUGUACUUUAUUCUAAUGUGCACAAUAUACAACCAUAAUGGUGCCUCUGGUUAUAGAUUCGAAAUGAGUCUGCAAUACGGUAACUAAUAGUAAUGCUAUAAGUUACUAUUUUACUUGGUUUGUUACUAGAAUAAUAAAGGUAUGAUAACGUCCAAAUUGCUUCAUCAUCGUACCUAACUAUUUUACUUGGUGUGUUACUAGAAUAAUAAAGGAAUGGUAACGUCCAAAUUGCUCCAUCAUCGUACCUAUUCUUUCUCCCUCUGCCAAGACCGCCACCAUGGCUAGUGAUUGCUCCUCAUGAGGGGUUGCCGCCUUGUAGGCAGUGGGUUGCUAGCGGGGUUGGUGGUGGUGGGCCAAUACCGGUAAGCCAGCAUGGGGCGAUGGUGGCCGUUAAUGUUGAGCAGCAAUGGUCUUUAGUCGUGUGCGGGCAAUCCAAAUAUCCCCCGAGAUUAGGAAUAAUAUUUUCGAAGCGCUCUAUUCCAUUUAGCUCCGUAGAUACAAUUACCACUUGUGAGUAGGUAUUACCAUAAGCUGAAUACGUAAUGACAUGUGAUCGAUGUCUUUCUUUAAUCUUUUAAAAAAUCAAAUUCAUAUCGAAUACCGGCGAGAAUAAAGGAAAAAAAAAUCCAAUUGGCAAGGAAGUGCCAAAUUCGAUGUCAUGUGACCUUUUGGACGCGAUAUGAGAGAAAAUAUGGGAUGGGUUCCUGGAAGACGUCCGUCAUGGGGAUCCAUGAAAGUCCAUGAAAAACCGUUCGUCCUGAAGAUGUUUUCUUCAUUUCAACAUAGCAAUCCUCAAAAUUCUUCUGUUACUUCUGAUUUACUACUUGUAGGUCAAUAUUUCUCCUCCAUUGGAUUUGACAGGAAAGAAAAUGGCACUCGGUCAGCCUAGUUAUAGCAUAGAUGAAAGUUCCAGAGAGAGACUAUUUUAGCAUUGUUUCCGCCUCUCCGUGUUUUUAUUUAAUGAUGUUUGGGGGGUAAUUUGAUUUUAAAAAAAAAAUUGAAGCGACAAAGAAAGAGGUUUCUUUUGUCAAGGCCGCGUUCAUGUUAUUGUCCUUUUUCUCUGCAAUGUGAAAUGUACGGGCAGGUAUUAUUAGCCAUACCUAGCAAUUUCACCAGCUUAGUCUAUGUGGGGACACAAUCCCAUGGUUCCAUAACUUUGAAUAAACACACUAAAUUAGCACCAAAUAUUUAUUUAUUUAUUUAUUUUGCAACAUGAAUUGGCCCGCCCACAAGUAAUCCGGUGCGGGCUGGGCUGAUUUUGCACCAGAGUUGCUCUUCAACUUUACCGGUAGCGUUAGUAAUUCACUUAUGACACCGAAAUUUUUUCCAAAAGAGUCGGUAAUUUACCAAUUUUUAUAAUUUACUAUCUGUUUACCUAAUGAGCAAGUAACCACUCAUUUUCUUUUACCUAACAAUUCCAUUUUUGCUGUUAAUCCCAUCCAAAAAUUCAAAUUAUGAAACUAGAAAUGAAGUCAUGAAUCCACUCUGAAGCUGCUGUAGAAAUCUGUAUCAAGUUAUCAAAACUAAAGAACACUUGGUGACCAUUGCACAUGAUCAUUAGCUAGGGAGCGUUUCAAGUUUAUGCUAGACCCAAUGUCUAGCCCCUCCUUCAUUUCUUCAAUGUGAAAAUUCUCAUGGAAAAUCAGCAACAAUUAAGUGAAUAUAGUUGCCAAUGUCUGACUGAAUUCGCAACACUGAAUGCAACACAUUCUCAGGGUAAUGUCUCGAGAACAUUAACAUCUACGAAUCAAUUCAGCAGCAAGUCAUCUUGAAUCCUUGAUGAAUUUCUUCCAUGACGAGAUUAAUCACUAAGCACACCCGCUAAAAUAUUAGGAGUACGUAGGACCAAAACAGACCAAGAGAAGAAGAGAGAAAUUGCAGAACCAAUCGAUUGUAUUAAGGUUCCAUCCCUUCCAGGACAAUAUUUUGGCUUUAGCUAGACCUUGGAAACCUCAGAAGGAUAAACGAUUUCCCCUUCUCAAACUAUUCCACCCGUAAGGUUUGGACUAGUUAGCUCCUGAAGGGAAAAAAUCGAUCCCCUAAUUGGUGCAGAAGUGAACUGAUGCAGAGGAGUUGCAAUGUUUUUCGAGAGCACGCGACUUGGUUUGGCUUAAAGCUAUUACAAUUGGAGGAGUUCAAUUGAGUCACAGCUCACGAAGGAGUUCAAUGGGAGGCUGUUUUCAUUGCAUAGAACUCAAUUCAAUCCCACUCUUUUCUUAAUCUACCACUAGUCGAAUCAAAAUUCACAGACAAAACCCAAUUAAGGCAGAGCAGAAACAAAAUAAGAGAAUCACCAGAAAAGGAGUGGGUGACGAUGAAGAAUCAAAUUAGACAGCUGCCGAGUCUGAAUGAAAAUGCAGGAAACCAAAUAAAGAUGCAGAGAAGGGAGAAACCCUUCUUGGCCUUAGUCAGCUGCAACCAAAAUGACAAAAAAUAAAAUAAAAUGAAGGCUUUCCAGACAAUCUAUUAAACCCUGGGGGAACAGAUCGGUUGGCAGGAAGACGCGGUCGCUUUCCCGGAGGGAAAUCUUCGCCAGGUCGAGUCGCGUCUCGUGCUUCCGCUCAGUGUCGCCGUUGAGGGCCUUGAUGGUUGGGGUCCGUUGCUGCUGCUCCUGGGCGAGCUCCUUACUCGGGUCGUCGCUGAUGAGGGAGGAAGAGAAGGAAGAAGAAGGAAAGAAUGUGAGGAGAGACAGAGAGAGAGCAACGGGAGAAAAAACAAAACAAAAAAAUAAAAAAAGGAGAAAAAAGUCGAAAUUUCUUAAGAGUGGGUCCCACCUAUACACACGUCAUUUGAGAAAAUAUUCCUCACCACCACUCUAGUAUGGAACAUUUUCUCCGUGACUUCCUGCCCACCACCCUCGGCUUAUCCGGCUUUCCGUCAGGAUCCUCGCUUUUUUCAAAUCCCUGUACUCAUCGGAUUCCAGAAUCUCCUCCAAUCUCUCACAUCCUCUUAUUAUUAAAUCCUCUAGCUCCUUGAAGCUUGAAGGAUCAGAAAAUUGUCGCAGAGACUCGCAGCCCCAAAUUUCAAGUCUUUUCAAUGAUUCUAGCCUACCUCGAAUCUCAACCUGACGAGGACAACGCCUUAUCUUGAGACCCUCGAGCUCCUUGGCAUUGGUUAGGUCAGGCAACUUCUCUAGCAACGGAAGAUCCCCCACACAUAACACCCUCAAGUUCUCCGAAACUUCCGGGCCUUGAAUCUCUUCUAGCUUCUGACAUUCAUCUAUAUAUAAUGAUUUUAUAUACUUGAAACUUAAUGGAUUAGGCAUCUUUUCGAGUGAUUUACAGUUAAAUAAAGUGAGGUCCUCCAACGAUUCUAGCUGACCUCUAACCUCAACCAAUUUAGGACAACUUUCUAUAUGAAUUCUUCGGAGCUUCUUCGAGUUGGUCAGGUCAAGCAACUUUGCUUGCGACACAAGACAACUAAGACGAAGCUCUUUUAGGUUCUUCAAAUGUUCGAGACCUUGAACCUGCACACAAUUAUAGACUUCAAAAAAUGAUAACUUCUCCAAAUAUGAAAGAUUUAUCACUGCAUUGUCCAUUAACCUGCCCCCAUAUAUCACAAAGUAUGACAAAUUCUGGGGAAGCCUAGGUGGGCAUUCUAGUUGAUGUACACAGAGUUUAAGCUUCCCGAGCUUUGAAAGGAGAUUAAAAUCUGAAGGUAGGGUGAUCGGAUUAUCGUAACGCAACCACAAGGUUUCUAGCUUUGUUAGCCCUCCGAUCCAAUCGAGACUUGUAGCUAGACAGGAAGGGGUUUGAUACCUUGAUUCCAAUGUCAAAACUCUCAAAUUUAAUAGAUUCGAGAGAUUUGGGCAUCUCAUAUUUACAUUAUAUUCCAGGUAUAAAUCGGUCAUACUUUCAGGAAGCUUAGGUAUAUCGGAAACUCUCGAGCUCGAUAACCUCAAGAUUCUUAGAAAUGAUAGUCUUUCAAUCUCAUUUGGAAUUUCCCCACACAAAUUUCUACAACUGUCAACAUGGAUCUCUUCAAGCUUCUCCAACAACCCAAGGGCACCAGGUAGCUUUUCUAAGGGGGUGUGAGACAUCCUUAGUACUCUCAAAUUCUUCAUCGUCUUUAUUAAAUCAGGUAACUCUCGUAAGCUCGACUGAGAAAGAUUCAACUCAACGAGAGACCCAAAAUUUCCAAAUGGAAGUUCACUAAUACUUGUUUCUGACAAGUCAAGAUACAAUAGUGAUGUUGAGCAACUAGCUAAAUUGCAUUCACUUAGUAAUUUACAGUAAGUUGUACUAAGGGUUUCCAUUUUCUCCAUUCCUUUCCAUUCAGGAAAAUUGGUAAUAGAUGUCCUACCAACACGAAGUUCUGUCAAGGCUUUCAGUUCCUCCAUCUCGUCUGGCAAUGUCUGAAGUUCCCUACAACCUUCCAAGUUUAAUAAUACUAAAUGCUUUAACUUACCAAUAGACUUAUCAACUUGAACCAGUUUGUAGCACCCUUUAAGAAUCAGUUGCUCUAAAUUUUUAUGAUCAGAAAAGUUAGGAGUCCUAUGCAAGUUGUAGCAUCCAGUCAAAUUUAGAACCUUCAACUUUUUUGCCAUCUGUAAUGAAGAGAAGAGGUUAAUUUGGAUCGUUUUGAGAUACGGGACAGCAAAGUCAAUAUAGCAAAUUCAUGUUGAAAUAAUACCGUACCUUGAGGUGGUUCCAUCCCUCCCACUCAUAUGUAAUUUUACUCCUUGAUAGAUCAAGAAUCGCUAGCUUCACGAGGGAAAAUGCGGUGAAUUGGAAAAAGAUGGGAAACUCAUGCCAUGAGAUAUACUUCAAAUUUUGAAGGAUGGGUAGAUUCCUCUGGAACGAGUUGGUUGAAGGAAAAUACUGAAUGAAUUUAGACCAUGAGAGCCAUCUCAAAUUCAGAAGGGUGGGUAGAUUCCUUCUGAACCAGUUGGUAAAAGAAAAAUGCCGAACAUUGUUCAUAUCCAAGUCCCCACACUCCACUUGAAGAAACCUUAAAUUUGGUAGACUUGCAAAUUCUUCUUUCUUAAAAAAGCAUCGAGAUUGAUGAUCAAACGUGAGACAUAUUGCUUCAACGUUUUUUGUUCCCUGCCAAAGCAAAAAAGGGAAACAUAAGCUGGUUAUCAUAUAAUCACCAGUUGAAGGCAUUCAAGUUGAACAUGCUCAAGGACUCAAGGAAUGUACAUCUUAUUCAUAAUUGAAACUAAUUUAAAAUAUAAUUUACAGAUGAGCAUGUGAUCAUAGUAACCACACAAGUAACGACUUGGUUUAGAUAGAAGCAAAUAAGCCAAAUCAACGUGUAUAACUUGUCUCUUUGGAUAGGAAUAACAUUGCAAACACUUUACCUCCUUCAUUUGAAGAACAGCAAUUGCUUCCUCAUGAUUCCACACCCGACUCUGCUUCUCCGGUUUUAAAUUAGCUCUUUCACGAACGAUGUCUCGCCCAAGGUCUCUUAGUUGAUCAUGCACCCAUAGUCGGUUACCUUCUACAAUCUUUAUUAACGACCUCUGUUCAAGGACUUCAAGAGAAUAUUCAGGGGAAAACUUAUAGCUGUCCCAUAUGUGAAUCACAAUUCUCACAUCAUACCCAACAAAGAAGCAACAAAUAUCAAGAAAUAUUUCCUUCUCUUGAGAUUCUAAUGCCUCGAAACUGAUGUUCAACUUACUUUUAACAUUUCCAUUUGGAAUAGUUUCCAGCUUCUUCAAUGUGAUCUCCCAAAUUCUCCUCUCUUUUCCAUUUAAAAGUGAACCUAUAGUUUUAAGAGCCAAAGGAAGACCAUCGCAGAUUUUUAGUGCUUUUUUGGAGAGGGGAACGUAUUCUGCUGGAGGAUUGUCUCUUCUAAAGGCAUGUUUGCUAAACAGUUUAAGAGAAUGUUUAAAAUCCAUUUUGAUAAGUUCAUGCUGAAAAUCAACACCUUUGAGAAGUUCCUUGUCUCUUGUAGUAAUAAUAACCUUACUUCCUCUACCGAACCGGCAUUCAUCCGCCCCCACAAGAGCAUCCAGCUGAGUCUUUUGGUCGACAUCAUCAAGUACAAGUAAGACUGUUUUAGAGAACAACCUCUCCUUGAUCUCAGUAAUUCCUUCAUUACCGUUAGUGAUGGACAUGCAACUUGUUCGUAGGACUUUAGAGAUGAGUUGAUCUUGCAAAGUCUCAAUCUUUGUAUCUCGAACAUUUGACAGGAAGCAACAGUUAUAAAAAUCAGCUGAUAGUUUAUUAUAGAUGAUUGUGGCAAGAGUUGUCUUUCCGACACCACCCAUACCAUGUAUACCAAUAAUCUGUGUUUCAGUGGUCCGUUCACCUAUCACUUCCAUGAACUUGUCCACUUGAUUGUCCAUUUCAACCAAGCAAUUAGACACUGCCAAGGAGUUCUUUUUCAACUUGAUCAAAAGCAUCUGGACAACUUCUUUUGUGAACUCGCCUUUGCCUCUGGCAGUAUUGAAGGCAAUAGAACCAAACUAUUAAAUCAAGAUGAAUAGAAUAAUAUCUAAGGUACAAACAAACCAUGCACAAUAAUAAAUUCAAGUACCUUUGCUUGAGUUUCCAUCCCUUUAAUGAUCCAACCUUGUUGAGAGCUGCCUUCCAGUUUUGAAUAGUCUCAUCAGUAUACAGCUGCUUAGUUAUGUGUGACCGAAUGGCCUUGCCGUAACUUGCAAUCUGGUCACGAACCUCAGAUGGUUUAACGUCAUAGAAAAUCUGCAUGAUCUCUUGUCCCCACUUUUCCUUGCACUCCACCAUCUGGACCAACUCCAUUAGGCACCAUUCACUCUCAGCAUAUCUUUCAGAAAAGAUAGGAAUUGAGAUUUUCGAUUGCUUAAUCGCUUGGAGAAGCUCUGGGCCAAUCUCUUUCCCAACAUGAAGCUGUUCAUCAUCUCUAAAUGCUCGUAUUCCGACAUUUGUGAGGCUGUGGUAAAGGUAAUCAGCGAUGUCGUUGCGAGUAUCAGAUCCUCUAAAACUCAAGAAUACUUCAUAAUAAGGCUCCACUGGCUUCUCCAUUUCUGGAAUUUUCAGAGGACUUGCAACGUCUUGAUAUCCCACCUGAAAUAUUCUGUUUUAAGUCAUUCUAGAAAAGAACCUUGAUGACAAAUGCAUGAGCUCCUUCUAGGGCCUUGCACUAGACACCAAAAUAUGUCCAAAUAUUUUAUUAACAGUACGGUAGAGAAGUGGACCCAUCUCGAUUCUAAAGGAAGAACUUUCCAAAGUAUUGCAGAAAUUAUGAAUUUUAGUCACACUCGAAAUUGAUUUGAAAAAAAAAAGAAUAUUUCACGCAGAGAUAAAUCACUGUUAACCUAUUUUUGUCUUGAACUCUUUCUUUAGGUGAUAAAAUUUCUCUUGAAAGAUGACGUUGAAUGUCCUUUGCACAUAAGCACCUAAAGUUGCUUGUAGCUUGACUAACUUUGUCAUUAUCUAAUAAGAAAUUAUAAUAAAACCUUCCUCUAUUAGUUUAACCAAAUUAGAUUGGACAAAGACAUUCCACAACACUCAAUUACUAGCUCCCUCGACCUUUACAGAUGCGGGCAAAGAGUUCAUUCCCCUACGACAAUCUCAUUAGAAAAAUGAAAUCAAGAAAUUACAAUAAAGCAAAUGCAACUCUCACCACCGGACUAGUUUGUAAAGAGCAUAAACCGAUCCCUAAUUACAGCCAUCUCAUAGGAUAUAAAAAAAGAAGAAAAAGAUACACGGUCAUGGGCGAGCAUCAGUUAGGCUUGAAGCUAUUAUCCACAUUUGCCAGAAAGUACCAGCAUAUCAGAAAAAAAGGAUUUAAUUACUAAUAAAUUAUGGAGCUAAUAAGGGUGUGCAUGCAAACGUUUCUGUUUCUCAUGGUUUCUGUUCUUUUGUUCCCCGGAACAAAAAAAGAACAGAAACCUAUUUGCUAACGCCACAUUGUUUUUUUGUUCCCGGGAAUAAAAACUUAGCCCGGGAAUGCUUUGGGAACAGAAACAAGAAGCAAAAAAAAGUUGCUUCUUGUUCCCGGGAACAAUUGCUAGAAAUAAGCUGAUUUUCUUUUUUAAUUUUCUUUUAUUUCCUUUUCUUGCCGCGACCACCGUCAACCGCCCGGAGCCACCGCCCACCGCCGCUGCCGCCGGUCGCCGCCGCCGGUCGCCUGCCGUCCGGCGGCCGCCGGUAGCCGGACGUCGCCGCCGCCGACCGCCGGACGUCGCCACCAUCCGCCGUUCGCCACAGUCACCGGCCGCCGCCGUCCGCCGCCGUCGCCGGUUGCCGCCGGUCGCCGUUCGCCGCCCGCCGGCAGCCGUCUCCGGCCUCCGGUCGCCGCUGCCGUCCGCCGUCGCCGCCGCCUCCGUCCGCCGGUCGCUGUCCCCGGCCCGCCAGCCGCCGCUGCCGCACGACCACCGGCCGCCGACCGUCACCGUCGGGCGCCGCCGGAAGCCCAUCGGCCGCCGACGACGGCCGGUAGCCGACGGUCCCAUGGAAAUAGAAUCUUGAUCCUUCUAAUUUUUAAAUGACCAUGGUUCAUGUCAUACACCAACAUAAUGCCAAUCAAUGAAAUGAUGCAAAUCAUGUAUACAUGAAGAUCAUCUCAAUGGGAAUAUAAAUUAAUAUCCCAGUUUCAAAAUGCAAUGAAAAGAAUCACUAACUUGAUAUACUCAACUUUAGACAANNNNNNNNNNNNNNNNNNNNNNNNNNNNNNNNNNNNNNNNNNNNNNNNNNNNNNNNNNNNNNNNNNNNNNNNNNNNNNNNNNNNNNNNNNNNNNNNNNNNCGGCAAUCCGUCGGCAAGAUUAACAAAUGAAUAAAUACACAAAGACAUUGUUGCGUUAUCAAACGCACUUCUAUUCUUUUUCUAUUUCCAAGAGUAGAAAUUUUGUGUCGUUAUCAAACGGGGUUCUUUUACUCAGAAAAUUGUUCCCCGGAGCAGAAAUAGAAACGAACCAUUUCUGAAAAAAAACUCCUCCCCGGAACAGAAACGUUUGCAUGCGCUACCUAAGAUUUCAACAGAAAAUAGAAGCAUGAAUGGUAUAUAACCGUUUUUCCAGAAAAUAAGUUGGAACACACAGGAGUGUAGGGAUGAGCUAGGUAGCACAGACACGUUCAAAGGGCCUCCGUGUCAUGUUGAACACCCCGACAUGUGUCCGACACGCUCGGACACGCUCGAACACGUGGUCAACACGUGUCUGAGUUUCCGACACGUGGUCAACUCUUUCCGACACGCGCAUCGGAGCGUGUCCGGAGGUUUGUGGGCGGAUCCGCAGGUGCGAAGGGAAGAAAGUGAUGGAGGGUGAAGGCAAGGGUGAGGGAGCUGAGGCGAUGCCGCGAGCGACGACGAGGGAGGGCUCCGACCGUCGACUGCAAGGGCUUCGACCGCCGACUGCAACACUGAGAAGCUUUCUCGAUCGUCUUGGAUGGUUGUGACUGCCAACUGCAACGUCGAGAUGGAAAACGGAAAGGUUGCGAUGGAGGGCUGGAUGCGAGGCUACGACGGCAAAGGGGGGAACGGAGGCGAGGCAGCGGUGAGAGAGGUGGAGACCGAGCGAGGGAGAGGAGAAAGAAGGCGAUCGCCGAUUGCUAGGGUUUUCAAUUUUUGGAAGAAGAACAAGGAGAGAGAGGAUGUGUCGACGGCUAUGUAGCACCAACAUGGGACACGACACGAGUGUCCGACACGACACGACACGUCGACACGUUAUUUCUAAAAAAUAGAGAAUUCCGACACGUUGCGACACGUUGUAUAUUAAAUGAAUAUUUUUAUUUUUAAUUAAUUUGAUUCAAAUUCAUAAAUAAAUAAUUAAUUAAAAAAAGAGCCUAUAAUAAAUUUAUACUAAUAAUAUUAACAAAUCAAUUCAUUUGAAAUUCAAAAGAUAUAUUCAUAAUUAAUGCAAAAUGUUUUUUUAAUUUUAACAAAAGUUAUAUGAAACUAAAAAUUAAUAAGAAAUUAAAAUCAAUUUAUCUAAAUAAAUCCAUGAUUUUCUACCAUAACCAAAAUUUAUCAUUAUUCAAAAUUUAACAUUUUUAUUUUUCGAAAUCAUUUUUUAAUUUUAUUUAUUUAUUUUUCCGGUUAAAAAAAUAAUCCCCAAAAUCCAACCCUUCUUUCGUUCCUCCUUUUCCCUCCACCCCACGUUUAUUUUAAUUUUUUCCCUCCCCCCACUUGACAGUGACAGGUGAGCUGUCACUCCGUUCGUCGCUUCGUCUCGCCAGCGCUCGCGACCUCUGCUCCCUCGCCCUCCCUCGCCUCCACCCUCCAUCAGUCUUCCGGACAUGCGUCGACACGCGUGUCGAUAAAAGUUGACCGCGUGUCGGAAAAUCCGACACGCGUUGACCGCGUGUCGGAAAAUCCGACACGCGUUGACCGCGUGUCCGACCGUGUCCGAGCGUGUCCGACACGUGUCGGACACGACACGGAAGCAUGGACAACGUGUCCGUGCUUCAUAGGUCGACGGCUUCUUGGGGGAAAAAAAGAAAGCCUCGUGCAGUGCAGCGUGACUUUGGGAAGAGACGUGUGCAGGCGGUGGGUGGGGUGGGGGAAAUAAAUGGAUGGGACCAUUUAACCCUAAAAAGAAAUAUUAAAUAUUAAAUAAUUUUAUUUUUUUUGGCAAAAUCUGUAAAAAUUCUCUCUUUCUUUUCAAGACGAUGAGAGAAAUGGAUCGAGAGCCUUUGCGUACGUUGAAUAACUUUAUUAAUACAUGUCACUAGUAUAGAUUUAUUAUAGGCUUAUUUAUUUAUUUAUUUAUGAAUUUGAAUAAAUUAAUUUAAACAUAAUAAUUAAUCAUGUAUAUAUAAAAAUAUUUAUUUAAUAUUUAACGUGUCAAAAUUUUCUAUUUUUUGAGAAAUGACGUGUUGCGUGUCGUGUCGUGUCGCGUGUCCAUGUCGCCGUGUCUGUGCUACCUAAGGGAUGAGAGCUGCAUUUUACGAAAGCAAGAGAGUACCGGUUCACCACAAAGUGCAACAUUGUAGUGUAUUCAAUUGUCUUUACUGUUAAAUACAGAGUUGAGGGUACCAAUGUUCUGCCUAGGAGCAUUCUUACUGCUAAUCACGUGACAAUAAUGUACGAAUUUGUCAUAUCAAAGUCUCUUAAAGAUACCACUAUUUCUGUUUGAGCAAAAAAAGAAUAAAAUCCAAUUCGUAAUUACCAGAAUUUGUCGUAUCAACAGACCCAAUCAAAUUAAUUUAGCUUUUAGCCCCGGCCCAGUUCCUAAAGAGCGUAAAUCCGAUUCCUAAUUACAGAAAUCUCUGAGAUCUGUCGACAAACUAAUGCAUAGGAGUGGCAUUGCGUUUCAGGAUCUGAGGCCUGACAGUUGCAUAGAUGGAAGUGGAUGAGCACUGAGCAGGGUUUUAGCCUGCGACUCAAGUUAGAGGCUAAAGCUAUUAGUGUCAGACGCAACUGGCAGUGAUCAAUCAUGGAGUCAACUGAGGAAAGAACUGAUGCUGAUCCGAGAGUCCCUCUCUUGUUUCCAUCAAAUUCUGCACCUAGUUGCAUUACAGAACAGACCCGAUUUUAUUUAAAAGAAGGCAAUAAACGAGAGGAAAUUGCCGGAGAUGGAGGAGGUGAAGAUGAACAGGAUCAAAUGCUGAGAAGCAGACAAAGAUCCCAAGAAAAAGCAUUCUUUGACAGACCUCAUUCGAUUCAGCUUUCUCGAGGGCCCAAAACACUUAGGGAAAAUAUUAGGCGUUUGGUAAGUAUUUUUAAAAGUCCCUUAGCUAAACGUCAGCAGAAAUGGGAAUGCUGAAAGUAAUGGGAAUGCUGAAAGCUCAACGCAGGUCGAACCUGCUUUUGAGCUUUUAGCAUUUCAAACCUACUUUAUACUAAUCAUCCGCGUCACUGUUCACUUUCUUCCCGUUCAUCUUAAUCUCCACCGAUUUACCACCUAAGAGUUAGGUCUUCUCCGGCAACCACCGCUUGGGGUCGCGCGAUCCGCGACUCAGGCGACGCCACCUGAGUGCGUGACCUCAGGCCGCCAGAUCUGGCGGUUCGGAGGCUAGAUCAGGCCUCCGCGACCUCAAGCCGCCGAAUCUGGCCGUCCGGAGGCUAGAUCUCGUCAUCCGGUGGCCACAUCUGGCGGUCUGAAGGCCAGAUCUGGCCGUCCGGCGAUUAGUCGGCGGCGGCCAACAGCCAACCUACACCGAAUUAAGUUUUUAGAUUAAAAAAUUAAAAAAUAAUAAAAAACCUUUAUAAAUUGGGUUAAUACCUUGAAAAACCCCAAACUGGUACACCUGUGACAAAUUUACCCAAAACUAUUUUUUUAAUCACCAAAAACCCAAAAUUGGUAUACCAUUGACAAAUUUACCCUAAACUGAUAUACUUGUGAUAAAUUUACCUUAUGUUAGUUUUUGUUAAAUUUUACUAUUAAAUUAUUAAGUUAAAUGACACGUAAUAGUUCAUCGGUACACUGAUUUGGGAUUUUACGCUCCGUUUGUCACAGUUUACAAUAUUUGUGAUUUUUUUUGCGGCAUUAAUCCAAUUUAGGGAAUGGUAUAUUUGUCAUAAAUUUAUCAGUUUGGGGUUUUUUGCAAUCGAAUAAAUUAGUUUGGGAUAAAUUUGUCAUAAAUGUAUAAGUUUAGGAUUUUUUAUGGUUAGUCUGGAUAAAUUUGUCACAUGUGUACCAGUUUAGGAUUUUUUAUGGUAAAAAAAAUAGUUUUGGAUAAAUUUGUCACAUGUGUACCAGUUUGUGGUUUUUCAGGGUAUUAACCCUUAUAAAUAUGGAUUUUACAAAAUGAUAUUUAUGCUAAAACUAUUUUCUAAUAUUUGGCUCGCUGUGCCUCAAAAUGGGAGUCGGCUUUGGGCUUACCGUCCCUCUCGCGGUCUCGGAAGGUCGCGGGCUGAGCGGCGCCGAGGACGAUCGGGACUUUCUUCUGCUCGCAGAGGCAGGAGGGAGAGUAACAGCUCGGGUUUUGUUGCGCUUUAACUAGCUUGGGGCUUGGGAAAUGGACGGCCCUGAUUUCUCCGGCUACCAAAUGGAGAAUCCUCGCUGUCAAAUGAGAGGGCUGGUUAAGUUUCUUGGGCCUUGACGUUGGUGAUUGGAGAUGGGCAAGGCCCACAAUCCAUGUGGGUAAUGCAGCGCAUAAAACAAGCAGUCUGGCCCAAGGCCUUAAGAUCCACAGCAGAAGCAAUACGAAAAAACCCUUCUACGUUGGAAGCUUAGCCUGGAUUUAAUGGUAACACAAUCGAGAGAAGAAACAUUUGUACUGAUAUUUUCUGAUUAUUACAUAAGGAGCUUGCAAUAUACAGAGUUUUGAGUUGCUGGCCAACCACUGAAAUCAGGUGCGCAUCCAACAUUUACAUUCUCUACCAUUAACCAAACUCAGAAGUCCAAGAGAUAAAAGUAUCCUGAAAACAACAAAAAGAUACUCGGACAAGCUGGAUUCUGCAAGAUCAGACUGCCUCCUUUUCUUCGUAUCCUCCAUCGAUCAUCAGAACUCAGAGAAUCUUCUACCUUCUCACGCUUGUGUAUAUAAAAAGACUUUAGCUUCUUGAAGCUUGAUGGAUCCUGUUUAGUCUGCCUUGGAUCUCGACCACUUUAGGACAUCACUGCAGAUAAAAUUUCUGGAGCUUCUUCAAGUUGGUCAGGUCAGGCAACUUGUCCAUAGAUGGAACUCCUCCAAGCUUGAAGGCACUUGGGUUCUCCAAAACUCGGAGGCCUCUGAACUCUCUCACUUUAGGGCAAUGGGCAACUUCCAAAUCUGACAGCGCCUUUGAAUUUGAAAGGUCUAUUGAUGUUUUUAUUUCUCUGCAUGAUUCGGUAUUUAAGUACAGCAAAUUUGGGGGAAGGCCAGGUCGGCAUUGCAGCUUCUUGGAGGGGACCAGUUCCUGUUCCUUGAGCUAUGAAAGAACAAUGAUGUGUGAAGAUGGGACGACGAAAUAAUGAGAUUUCAACAGCAAGGAUUCCAGCUUCCCUAACCUUCCAAGCUACGAAGGACUUGGAGCUUCAAUGAAUUUGAAAGCAUCAUCAAAAUUGUCAAAACCUGAAUUUUACAUACAAUUUGAAUAUCGAAGUAAUAAAUAACUUAACAUCAAAUGAAUGUCUACAGUGAGAUCCUAACAGCAAGGAUUCCAGCUUCCCUAAACUUGUACAGAAGAUUCACCUUAAAAAUAUAUGUAGAAGCGCAAAUCUAAACGUCCCUAAACUCCAAACCGACCAAUAUGUAUAAUAUUUUUUAGGGAGUGAGUUUAAGUUCAGUAAAUGAAAGCUCUACUUCCAAAAUGGAAGACUUGGGGCACGUUUGGUAACGUUUCUGUUCAAAAAUUGUUCCAGGGAACAGAAAUAGAAAAAAAGUGUUUCUGUUCCGGGGAACAAUUUUUUACCAGAAAGAUGCGUUUGGUAAAUUUGUUCCGGGAAAAAAAAUGAAUAGAAACACGUUUGAUAAAUUUAUAUUCUUUUUUUGUUUCUUUUAAUUUUUUAAUAUUUUUAUUUUAUUUUUCCUUUUUUCCUUUCUUUUUUAUUUUUUCUUCUUUCGGCCGGUUGCCGGUCUUCGGCGACCGGCCGACGGGGCCGGCAGCCUCGCCCAGCCACGGCGAGGCUCGGCCUCGCCAGGGGCCGGAGACGCUUCGGCGAGGUCGCCGACCCUCGACAGCGUCGCCGGCCCUCGACAGCCAGUCGCUGGCCAUGGCCGAGGCCGGCGACCGGCCAAAGAAAAAAGAAGAGAGAAGAAAAGUGUUUCUUCAAAAGUGUUUCUGGAGCAAGAAACAAUUUUUUUUUGUUUCUCAUUUUUGUUCUUUUUGUGUUCCAGGAACAAAAAAUCUGAUUUUGAACAAAAACGCAAACAAACGCGUUUCUGUUCCUUUUUUUGUUCCCGGAAACAAAAAAAACAAAAUUUCUAUUCAUAAACAAAAAAAAAAGAAUGAAAACAUGCAGCCCAUUGACAACCAUUAUGUUCAAAAAAUAGUUUCUAGAAUAGAAAUAGAUUUUUCAAUUUCUAUUUCUAGAAGAGUUUCUAAGUAAAAAUAAUCGUUUGAUAACAACACAAAAUUUCUACUCUAAAAAUAGAAAUUCGUUUGAUAACGACACAAAUUUUUUUCCUUUCGGACAAUAAUGGACCGACAAUCAGCAAGGAUGGACGGCCGGUGGCGACCGGCGACUGGCGGCCGGCGGCGGCGGCAACCGGUGACUGGCGGUGGCGGGGCCGAUGGCGGCAGCGAGGUCGGUGGCCGGCAGCAGCGGGGGCGAAGAAUUUUUAUUUUUGAUUUAUAUUCAAGAAAUAGAGAAAUAUAAAAUUUUAGCUUUUGAUUUCUCUUCCAAACCUAUUUUUGAAAUAGUAAUCUAUUCCAGAAAUAGAAAAACUGAAUAGGUUUAGCAAACGGAUUUCUCUUCCAAAAACAGGUCUGGAACAGAAAAACUAUUGCUGGAACAGAAAUGUUGGUUAUCAUGCACCCCCUUACUCGCUACUGGACCCGAGCACACAACAAUAACAAUUAGCAAAUAAGGUCAUAUAUUAUUAUCAAUAGGAAAACCAAUAUUCACCUAAGACAGUGUAAUUCGUGCAUUAUAUAAAAAUGACUAAUUAUCUGUGCAAUGAAUAAAAUAGAUGCAAUGUAUGACAUUCAUUUUAACACUCAAAUACACACAAUUAAUUAUACCAAAUCUCAUAAUGCAUAGAUAUCAGUAGCUCAUCGAUAUAAACAAGUAAAUAUUUAUUCCCUACUUAUUACUAGCCACGACUCAUCUCGACUAACUCAACUAAUGAGAUAUCGUAACCACUGAAUAAUGCAAGACAAAAUCAUAAACACAUAUUUACCAUGCUUCAACCCAUUCAUCACAGGUAUCCUCCAACGAUGAUAAAUAUAGUACAAACGCAUAAUGAUGGCUAUCCUAGACUCAUUCUCAUCAAGAUUCAUACCCAUUUUAUUUCCUUUCAUUUCUCAAUCUUGGACCUCAAUUUCAUAAAUUCAUAUAUAGGCUAUUCAAGUCACAUCUGGUUAUACAAGUCAUAUAAUUCCAUGUAUAAAUCAUUCUACUUUAUGUCUUCUCAAUCUUAUAAAGAACGGUAGAACAUCUGUCUUUUCCCAGAAUCUUAUAUACAUACUCAGAAAAAUCAAUUAUAGUGUUGGUAUAUUGCCAACAACACUUGUAGAAUUUCAAUGGAGUUGGUAAUUUACAUGAUAUGGGAAACAAGCACACUUGGAGAGCGCACCGCAACAGAAAGUCGUAUGCUGUAUUCGAAAGUGGUGUUACUAAUUUACUUAUGAUACUGGUUAAAUUUCGAAUGAGUUGAUAAUUUACUACUUCAUUGAAAUAUUAGUAAAUUUCUGAUAAGUGUUAGUAAUUCACCUACGACACCGGAAAGUUUUUAACAGACUUGGUAAUUUACCAAUCUAGUGUUUCAAGAGCAUUAGACUUGGUUAGGCUAAAAGCUAUUACAAUUAGAUGCAGAUUGAAGAGUUCAAUUGAGUCACAGCUCAUGAAGGAGUUCAAUGGGGGUCAUUAAUCAUUCAGAAGCCCCCCGUAGAAAUCUGUUUUAAGUUAUCAAAACUAAAGGACCUUUGUGACUAUUGCACAUGAUCAUUAACUAGGGAAGGUUAUGUUCAUGCUAGACACAAUGUUUUGCCCCUACUUCUUCAUUUCCUCAGCGUGGAAAUUUUCAUGGGAAAUGCACAACAAUUCAGUGAAUAUGGUCGCUGAUGUCUAAUUGAAUACGCGACAUUGAAUGCAACACAUUGAACAUUAAUCUCUGAGAAUGAAUUCUGGAGCAAGUCAUCUUGAAUCCUCAAUGAAUUUCUCCCAUGACAAGAUCAAUUACUAAUUGCACCCUCCAAAAAUUUUAGAAGUAAGUAGGACCACAGCAGACCAAAAAAGGGAAGAAAGAAAUUGCAGAACCAAUCGAUUAUAGUAAGGUUUCAUGCUUUCCAGGACAAUAAUAUUUCGGUUUUAGCUAGACCUUGAUAAUCAGAAGAAGAAUCGAGUCCCAGUCGACUAUAUUACAUAAGAUAAAUGAAAUCAGAUAAAUCCCUCCCCCCACCCAAAAAAAAAAAAACUGAUUCCCGAUGCAUGUUCUGAACUAGUUCCUAAGGAGCGAAAAUCGAUCCGCUAAUUGGUGCAGAAGUGAACUGACGCACAGGAGUUGCGAUGUGUUUCAAUAGAAUGUGACUUGGUUAAGGCUAAAGCUAUUAAAGAUUCGAUGCAGUUACGGAAGAAAAUCAAUCGAGUCAGCUCCCGAGUGAGUUCAUCAAAAGGCUGUUUUCAUUGCGUCUGUAUGAUAAGUCAUGACUGAAAAUAAUAAAAACUAACUCAAUCCGUUCCAAAUCUUUUCCUAAUCCGUCACUGAUUGCAUCAAAGAUUCGCACGCGGACCCAAUCCAUGCAAAUGAGAAGAGAAAAUUACCAGAAAAUGAAGACGGGUGAAGAUGAAGAAAACCAAAUGAAGAUGCAGAGCAGGAAGAACCCUCGUUGGCCUGAGUCAGCUGCAACCAAAAUGGAAAAGGAAGACCACAAUCUAUUAACCCCUCGUGGAACAGAUCGGCGGGCACGAAGACGUGGUCGCAGUCCCCGUAGGGAGAUCUCCGCCAGGCCAUAUCGCGUCUUGUGCUUCCGCUCAGGGUCGCCGUCGCUGCUGGCUCUGGGCGAGCUUCUCGCUCGGGUCGUCGCUGACGAGGGAGGAGAAAGAAUAUGAGAAGAGGGGGGGGGGGGGGGGGGGGGGGGGAGAGAGAGAGAGAGAGAGAGAGAGAGAAAGAGAGAGCAACGGGAGAAAAAACGAAACAAAAAAACAGAGAGAGAGAGAGUUGAAAUUUCUCAAGAGUGGGUCUCCCGACUCUCCCCUACACCUAUACGCACCGUUUCGAGAAAAUAUUCCUCACUACUCUGGUAGGUAAUCUCUUCCCCGUGAUUUCCUGUCCGGUGGUAUUCUUACCUCAAAUACUGCGAAGGGUCCUCUCACUUUUUUCAAAUCUCCAUACUCAUCAGAUUCCAGAAUCUCCAAUCUCUCACAUUCUUUUAUUGCCAAUUUCUCUAGCUUCUUGAAGCUUGAAGGCUCCGAAAACUUUUGCAAAGACCUGCAGCCUUCAAUAGAAAGCCUCUCCAGUGAUUCUAGCCUACCUGGAAUCUCAAUCAAACGAGGAAAAUGACCUAAAUUAAAAUCAACAAGCUCCUUGGCAUUGGUCAAGUCAGGCAACUUCUCUAGCAACGGAAGAUUCCUCACACAUAAGUAACUCAAGUUCUUUGAAUAUUCCAGGCCUUGAAUCUCGUUGAGCUUCGAACAGUGACUUAUCAUUAAUACUUCUAUAUGCUUGAAGGUUAAUGGAUCAGGCAGCUUUUCAAGUGAUUGAUAGUGCCAUAAAUUGAGAAGCUUCAACGAAUCUGGCUCACAUUGAACCUCAACCAAUUUAGGACACUUACUUAUAUGAAGUCCCCGAAACUUCUUCAAGCUGGUCAGGUCGAGCAACUUCACCAACAACGGAAGACGAACAAGAUGAAGGGCUGCCAAGUUUUUCAAAUGUCGGAGGCCUUGAAUCUCCAUUAGUUGUCUACAGCAAUGGAAUUCCAAUCUCGAUAACUUCUCCAAAUAUGAAAGAUUUAUCGACUUUUCCAUUAACCCACGCCCACGAAUAAUGAAGUAUGACAAAUUUUGGGGAAGCUUAGGUAAGUAUUCUAGGUUAUGUGCGAUGAGUUCAAGCAUCCUGAGCUUCAAAAGGAGAUUAAAAUCUAAAGGUAAGAAGAUUAGACCAUCAUAACGCAACCACAAGGUUUCUAGCUCUCUUAAUCCUACGAUCCAAUUGAGGCUUGGAGCUAGAGGGGAAGGGGUUUGAUACUCUAUAUCCAACGUCAAAUCUCUCAAAUUUAAUAGGUUUGAGAGGUCUGGACAUCUCAUCUGUAAAUUAUGGCGCAAGUAUAUAUUGGUCAUACUUUCAGGAAGCUUAGGUACAUCGGAAAUUCCCGUGCUCGUUAAUCUCAAGAUUCUCAAAGAUGAUAGUCUUCCAAUCUCACUUGGAAUUUCCCCACACAAAUAUUCACAGUCAUAAGCUUCAAUCUCUUCAAGCUUCUCCAACAUCCCAAGGGCGCUAGGUAGCUUUUCUAAGAUGGUGCCAGAGAUCCUUAGUACUCUCAAAUUCUUCAUUGUCUCUAUUGAAGUGGGUAACUCUCCUAUCCUCGACAGAGAAAGAUUCAACUCAACGAGAGAACCAAAAUUCCCAAUUGGAAAUUCACUAAUACUUGUACUCGACAAGCGAAUAUAUAACGGUGAUGUUGAGCAACCAACUAAAUUGCAUUCACUCAGUAAUACACAUGAACUUGCACCGAGAGUUUCCAAUUUCUUCAUUCCUUUCCAUUCAGGAAUUCUGGUAAUAGAUGUCUCGUCAAGAAGAAGUUCUGUCAAGGCUUCCAGUUCCUCCAUCUCGUAUGGCAAUGUAUGAAGUUUCGUACAACCUUCCAAGUUUAAAAACACCAACUUCUUUAACUUACCAAUAGACCUAUCAACUUGAACCAAUUCCUUGCACCCUUGAAGAAUUAGUUGCUCUAAAUUUUCAUGAGCAGCAACGUUAGGAGUUUUACACAAGUUUAUGCAUUUAGUCAAAUUUAGAACCUUCAAAUUCUUUGCCAUUUGUAAUGAAGAGAAGAGGUUAAUUCUAGAUCAUUUUGAGAUACAGGACAAUAAAGUUAAUAUAGCAAAUUCAAGUUGAAAUAAUACCAUACCUUGAGGUGGUUCCAUCCCUCCCAAUCAUUUGUAAUCUGACUUCGUGAUAGAUCAAGAAUCACUAUCUUCUCAAGGGAAAACGCAGUCAACUGGAAAAAGAUGGGAAACUCAUGCCAAGAGAGAUAUCUCAAAUUCGGAAGGAUGAGCGGAUUUUUACAGAACUGCUUGGUUGAAGGACGAUGCUGAACAAAUUUAUGCCAUGAGAGCCAUCUCAACUUUGGAUGGUUGAUAGAUUCCUUUGGAACCAGUUGGUUAAAGAAAAAUGCUGGACAUUUUUCUUAUCCAAGUCUCCACAAUUUACUUGAAGAAACCUUAAAUUUGAUAAGCUUUCAAAUUCUUUCUUCUUAAAGAAGUGUUGAGAUCGAUGAUCAAACUUGAGACGUAUUGCUUCAACAUUUUCUGCUCCCUGCCAAAGCGGAAAAAAAAAAUUAAACAGAAGCUAAUGAUCACAUAAUUGCCUGUCGAAGGGAUUCAAAUUGAAGAUACUUUAGGAAUGUGCAUUUUAUUCGUACUUUCAAAUUGAUUUAUAAUAUGAUUUACAGAUAAGCAUGUCAUCAUGGUAAGCAAACAAGUAACGACUUGGUUAAGAUAGAAGUAAAUAGCCAAAAUCAACGUGUAUAACUCGUCCCUCUUUGAAUAGGAAUAACAUUGCACACACUUUACCUUUACUAUGAGGAUAUCAUUUGCUUGUUCAUGAUCCCACACUUGACUUUGUUUCUUUGGUCUAGAUGUACCAAACCGACGAACGAAAUGUCACCCAAGGUCUCUUAGCAGAUUAUGCAUCCACAAUUGGUCACGUUUUGUAAUCUUUAUUAACGACAUCUGUUGGAGGACAUCAAGAUAAUAGUCAGGUAAAAACCCACAGCUUUUCCACAUGUGCCUCACAAUUUUCACAUCAAACCCAACGAAGAAGCAACAAACAUUGAGAAAUAUUUCCUUUGCAUUUGGUUGUAAUGCCUCGAUACUGAUGUUUAGCUUUUCUUCAACAUUUUCAUCGGGAAUAGUUUCUAGCUUCUCUAAUGUGGUCUCCCAAAAUCUUCUAUCUUUUCCAGCUAAAAAUGAACCUAUGAUCUCGAGAGCCAAAGGAAGAUGACCACAGACUUUUACCACUUUUUCGGGGAGAGGGGCGUAUUCUGCUGGAGGAUGAUCACUUCUAAACACAUGUUUGCUAAAUAGUUGAAGAGAAUGAUCAAAAUCCAUUCCAAUAAGUUCGUGCUUCAACUCAACAUCUUUGAGAACUUCUUUGUUUCUUGUGGUAAUAAUAGCCUUACUUCCAUAGCCAAACCAACAUUUACCCAUUCCCACAAGAGCAUCUAGCUUAGCCUUUUGAUCGACACCAUCAAGUAGAAGUACGACCUUUGUAAAGGAUAACAACUCCUUGAUCACUUUUUUCCCUUCAUCGAUAUCAUUGAUGGUCGCUUGUCUCUUUCCUAGGACAAUGGAGAUAAGUUGAUUCUGCAAACUUUCAAUUUUCAUAUCUCCAAUGUUGGACAUGGAGCAACAUUUAGUGGAAUCAGUGGUCUGUUCACCUAUCACUUCCGUGAUUCUGUCCACUUGAUUGUCCAUUUCAACAGAGGAAUUAGACAAGAUGUAAUCUUUAGUAGAAUCAGACAACAGUUUGUUAUAGACGAUUUUGGCAAGAGUUGUCUUUCCAACACCACCCAUACCAUAGAUACCGACAAUCUUUGUUUUAGUGGCCUCACCUAUUAAUUCCAUGAUUCUGUCCACGUGAUUGUCCAUUUCGACCAAGAAAUCAGGUACCGCCAAGUAAUUCUUUUUCAAUUUGAUCAAAACCUUCUAAGCAACUUCUCUUGUGAACUCACCUUUGCCUCUGAUAGUAUUGAAGGCAAAAGAACAAAAUUAUUAAAUCAAGAUGAACAGAAUAAUAUCUAAGGUACAAACAAAACAUGCACAAUAAUAAAUUCAAGUACUUGUCCUUGAGUUCCCAUCCCUUUAAUUCUCCAACCUUGUUGAGAGCUACCUUCCAAUUCUGAAUAGUCUCAUCAGUAUACAGCUGCUUAUUAUGUGUGACUGAAUGGCCUCGCCAUAAGUUGCAAUCUGGUUACGAACCUUGGAUGGUUCAAUGUCAUAGAAAAUUGGCAUGAUCUUUUGUCCCAACUUUUCCUUACAUUCCACCAUCUGAACCAACUCCAUAAGGCACCAUUUAUGCGACAUCCCGAUUUUCCAAUUCUAAUUUUAAUAAAUUGAGACGGGCAUUUCGUUGGUAUGCAUAUAGUUCCUUUCCUUGAGUCAGCCACUCAUGUGAAAAUUAGUCUAUCAGGUAAAGCCGUUAAGAAAUUCUAAUGCAUCAGACUCGAGAAUUUGAUCAGGAAGCGACCUUUCGACCGAGAUAAUCUGCAAGGGUCAUUACGGCACAAAUAAAAAUCGAUUAGAAAUUGGAGAUAGGUCGGCUCGACAGAGGCAUGUGAUCAGGUGUGGGUGAUUCCACUGGAUCGCACAAUUCUUGUCGAUCGGCACCGGACCGACUUUUCUAUUGAUUGGGUACCCUGUGCCCGUAUUUGAAACCUUGAGAUUUCCCCUACAACAGAAAGUUGCGAAUGUGCCAAAGAUGUAUAUUGUGGCUUGAAUUGAUCAACCACAUGUCAAAUGCACAAAAAUUUCUAAAAACUACUCGGUAGGUUGAGCCGCGCUAGUAUCGUGCCAAAGUGAAAUUAACCGUGAAAUUGAGAUCGAAUUCUGAAAUUGGAAGUCCUGGUGUGUCACAAAUUCUAUUAGGAACAUUGGAUUAAAUUAUGAAUUUUAAUUUGGACUCAAUCGGAAGAGAAUUGAUGGGAAUUGAAGAAAUUGAAUGUACAAGAAUUGGACCCCGACGGAAAAUGAAAUUUGCACCCAUUGGAAGAGGUUGUAGAGGAUUGAGUUAGUGGAGUGAUGUCAUGGUGUGGGGACAAGAGUGACUAGGAUCUUGACAAGUGGAGGGAUGAGAUGGGCUCUUGAAAAGGUGGGCUUUCACUUCAUCUUCUUCCUUGAAUCAAGGGAAAUUGUUGGAUUUUGAAGAGAGAGAGAGAGAGAGAGAGAGAGAGCAGCCGGCCAUCAGAACCUCCUUCAUCCGCCCUUCUUCGCUGCUCGGUUGCUCGCUCGGCCGGCCACCGUCUCGCCCGCGUUCCUCGUCGCUCGCCGUUCGUCGGAGCUCGCACGUUGCUGUCCCAUGUGCGAGCUGCCUUGUCUCCAUCCGCCGAGCCUCCCGCGUUGUCGUCUCUCCUCGCCAACAGCUAUUCGUCGUCGCCGGAGUCUCCAUCACCGCCGUUCGUUGCUGUUAGCUGCCGUCCCGAGCCUUAGCUGCUUCCGCCGGUCUUCCUCCGCCUUUCCUCCACCCGAUCAGCCACCGUGCCGCCUCCCUCCAAGCUCGGUUAGUUGCUGGAAAAUCCAGCAAGACCCAGCCCCUUCCAAGCUCGAUUUGGUCUCCUAUUAGUUCUCAUUUGGUGUUGAUCCGUGUAGGUUUGUCGUCGACGUCGUCGUGCUCUUCGCCGGAGACUCAUCGAUUCUGGUGAGUUUAGCUCACUAAACCUCGAUUAGUGGGUUAAUCAUGCCUUAAGUGUGUUUAGCUUGGGUUGAUUGAGAUUAUGUUGUUAGAUUAGUUUAUUUAGAUGUGGAUUAGAUUAAGUUGUUUAAUUAAAGUAAAGUAUGUUUAGUUUAAGGGUUAAGUAGGUUUAUUUUAAAAUAAGCCUUGAUGUGACUUAAAGGAAUUUAUUUAUGAUUUAAAUAAAUGUUUCAAAAUUGUUAGAUUAUUUAAUAAUAUAUCAUAUUCCGAAAAUCAUUAAAAUAUUAUUUAAAAAAAAACUUGAAAAAAUUAUUUUUGAUCCUAAUUGCUCAGAAUUUCGUGCCGAUCGCCGCUGUAUAGUUAGAAUUUGAAAUUGAUGAAUGGUUAAUGCAAAUUGAGUGUUGAUUGUGGAAAAUAUGGAUUUUAUUUAAAAAAUCUCAAAUGUCGGGUUUGACAUCGAAAUUGGAUUUUUAAAGAUUAAUAUUGUAAUUGGGGUAUGUGAGUGAUGUGCAAAGUGCCUUGGGUUGAUUAUGAGUUGCUGCAUGAUAAUUAUGAGGAAUUGUCUUGUGCUAUUAAGCUGGAAUUGCCCCUAUAUGGGAUGCCACAUACAACGGAUGCAAGUCGCAGUUGAUUCUGGGCCCAUGCUCCUUUAGGAACGCCGCCGAUGUACUGACGAAGCCACGCUCCAAGGUGGGGAGGCGAUGCCUGGCUAUAUGUCAGUAGAUAACCGAACUGUGAGUAGGCUAUGCCUUUGUGUGGCAGUGAACAAUGAUUGGAAUGCUUGUUGUGAUUGCGAAUUAAGUGAAAUUGAUUGUGUUCCAAUGAUUUAAGUCCCUGUUGUUACCUGUGAUUGAGUGAUAUGAAUUGUACUAAUCUGCAGGAAGGCAAGAAGGUGAGGUAAGUCUUCUGUGCUAUGUGGCUAGACCACUCUAGGGCGUAUUUUCUUUGUAAUAGGGGUUUAGGAGGGGUGAACUUGCUGAGACAAUGUCUCAUCCCGGUUUGGGGAAAAUAUUACAGGACCGUAGAUGGCGGGACCCCCAGAGACGAAUGGCAUCCCAAUGUAGAUCAUCGAGCAGGUGCACAACUUCCCUGAUCCUGGGAGCCAUUGGGUCUACGAGCUGAUCAGGACUACCAUAUGGAUCCAGGAGCCUGAAGAUGUUAGGGUGCCCCAUAAGUAUAGGGCUUGGUUCCGUUUUUGGGCCAAUGGCUUUAUGAUUGGUCCACUUGACAGUUUUGAUAUUCCACUGGCCGUGAUGGAUGCUAUUCUGGGUGAGGGUGUAGCUGACCUUCCUGAUGGUAGGGUGGAUAACCCAUCGUCUCCGGACCCAGUGCAGUCAGAUGUGGAGGAUGUGGGAUCGACGAACGAGUCCGAUUAGUAGUUAUAGGACCGUUCCUCUUUUUGGUGACCGAUCCAUGUUGCGUAAACUGACCCAUUUUGAUGCACAUAAACUCUGACUUAUUUUUGGUGCAUAUAGUCUCUGAAUCCUAUUUGUGUAUGUAAACUCUGGAAUGAUGAUAUGUGAAAGUAUGUGGUUUGAUUUUGAAUUGAUCUUUCCUGCUGUCCUAUCCCAUAUGAUUUUGAUAGGAGUUUCUUAGCACGUUCCGCAUGCGCAAUAAUAUAUGAAUGGGGUCGGCAACACUACCUGGGAAUGUCGCAUAUUCAUGACCAUAGCGGGUUGUUCACGUGUCUCGAGGUUCGGGGCGUGACAAUUUACUAGCAGCGUAUUCUUUAGAAAAGAUAGGAAUUGGGAUUUUCGACUGCUUAAUCGCUUGGAGAAGCUCCGGGCCAAUCUCUUCCCCAACGUGAAGCUCUUCAUCAUCUCUAUAUGCCCGUAUUCCAGCAUCAAUGAGGCUAUUGUAAAGGAUAUCAGUGAUGUCGUGGCGAGUAUCUGGUCCUCUAAAGCUCAAGAACACUUCAUAAUAAGGUUCCAUUGGCUUCUCCACUCCCUGAAUUUUCAGAGGACUUGCGACAACUCGAUAUCCCACCAGGAGAAACGUUUACUAUGAAAGUGGAGUGAUGAUUAUCAUGAAUGAGAGGAGAUUACCAAAGAUGGAGGAGUGAAGAUGAAGAGUCCGGAUCAAACGCUAAGAAGCAUAUAAAGAUCCCCCAGAUCAAUCGUUCUUGGGUUUGAGCUCCGCUGAAGAAAGACUUUUCGCAAGAUGGCUCGCUCGCCCUCGCAUGCAAUGCUCUUCUAGGAAGGUGAGGACUUGCGAGUUGCACGUAUACUUAAAGCCAGCCGUUGACUUGCCAAUGAUUUGUUGGCGCAAACCACCAGAGUUCAAAUAGACGAGAUUUUAACGCAUGUUAUUAGUUUGGAAAUCAUAUAAUUAUAUUGAUUGAUAUUCUUUUAACGACGAUGAAACCAUUCUUUAGUUGUAGGUGAAACCCUAGGCCCAUUUAAAUUCAACAUAAAUUGAAUCUACAAUUGUAGAAUCCACACUUGUAAGUCUUUGAGAUAAUUUAUAUUAUUCAUAGUAAACUUAUAAGACUGGAGUUAGUUUUUAUGCUCUGUUUGUUUCGUAAAAAAAUAAAUAAUUUGAAAAUAAUUUCUUAAAUAUGAUUACUUGUAUCGCGUGAAAUAAUUAACUAAUGAAAUAUACUUUCAUUGUGAAUGACAAUUUAUGUCUAAAUAAUUUCGUGAACGAUAAAAAUAUCUUUUGUUUAUUCAUUUUUGUAAGCGAUAUAAGUGAUCAUUUUAAAAAAAUCCGUUUCAAAUUAUCAACUUUCCGCAAAACAUACAUACCUUUGAAAAAGUUACAGUGCAAGUGGAUGGUAAUCAACAAUCAUUUUUUAAUUGGCUAUAAAAUCUUAUUAAAUUCAUUAAAAAAGAGAGUACAUCUUGGAUCGCCCCUGGGAGCGGAGAAAUACAACGAUCUUCCAAAAGAAGUAUUGAAAAUCCUAAUUCUAACCUAAGUCUAAAUUGGAAAAUUACGUGAAAAACAUAAACCUUAGUCAACAACCCUUUGGGAAGAUGUGCAUAGCUCAUCAUGCACGGCGCACGGCACAUGUAGAGCACUUGCAUGCCACAUGUAAGACACAUGGAAAUUUCAACGACUGCCGAGGAAAAAUGCGUCGGAAUUGCAUAGGGUCGAAGGCUCAAAUGGGCUAAAUUUAAGAAUUCAAUGAUUUAAAGAGUGCAAUUUGAAUGAAAUUCAUAAAAUCGACUCGGUUUAAAAUUAAUACAUUGAAAUUAUUGUGGAUCAAAUGCUAAGAAGCAGAUAAACAUGCCAGAACAGAAGAAAGACUUUCAUUAAAGAGUCUACUCACCUUCAAGUGCCAUACCCUUGGAAGGUAAGGACUUGCUACUCAUCCUAGACGCAUUAUAAUUUUACAUACAUUAAACCUAAAAAUAUAGAACUGAUACAUAUAACGUAUUUGAGAUGGAUUAUGUUAGACUUAUUCACAAUAAAUUCAUAGACAAGAAUUAGGUUUUAAUUUCAAAAGCUGCAUUUGGCCACAAAGGAAUAACGCUCCAAAAAAUUUACAACAAGCCUUCAAAAAUAGCUAUAGUUGAAAUAUUCCAGAUGAGUUUACCAUGAGGCAGCAAUGCUCUUUUUACAUAUAUAUAUAUAUGGUUUUGUCCCAAUUUAUUUCUCAUAUGCGGGUAAUGGAAACGCUUUCAAAAUAGACAUCUCUCCAAACUGUUCAGAAGCCAUUUGAGUUGCUAAUAAAUCAAAGUUUCCCUAAGCAUGGAGAGCAGAGGGAGCGUAAGUUCUAGACACAAGGUUUGCAGUAAACAUGACCUCUAUGGUCUUUGGCCAAAGCGGCAAUGGAGGUAUUAGAGUCUUGCAUCAAUGUUCACUUGAAGUAAGGGGGAAGGAGUCCAUUUUGGAGGUUCAUUGUUCACAACUCGUGACUACGAGCAACGUUCCAUCACAACUCAUGAUAGAUGUCCUGUAUGUGUCGAAUUACUGAAGAAAGAUCCAUUGGGGAGCGAGCUUCCAGAAUUUUGUUUCGACGCUUCCAUAAACCCACUAAACUAUCUCGACCAUAUCGCAAAAAUCUUCGCAAUAAAUGUCAGGUGGAAGGCCGAAAGCGAGGAGGCGCAGAGAUCACAUAGCACACGUGUAAAAAACAGAACCGCAAAAGAAGUUGAUAUGUCCAAGCCCCAGCCAACUCGACUCCAUACAAUUCAGGUCAUCCACUCUCUUCCCCUUUUGUCAGGGCGAAUUUGACUGAUCAUUAUUUUUCGAAGUAAAAGAGCAGUUUUGUUCUAACUAGAUCUUAGGGAGAGAUAUGACCUUUACCUAUUUAUGGAAUAAAUACGACAUCUUGCCCAUGGAAUGUUGACAAGACAUCGAAUGCAUUUUGUGCAGAUCUCAACAACCGAGAGCAGAUUCUUAUGAAGACUGUACUUCUGAUUAACUUGGAGGUAAAGGACAACCAUGAGGAGGCAGCAACUGGAGCUCAGCUUGCUUUAAAUCUUUGUCGAGAGGUCUUUGACUGUUUGUACUUUAUGUAUUAAUGAUAGUAAGCUUAAUUUCUGUAUGCUGAGAAAUUGCUUAUUGUAAUUUCUGGUCCACAGAUAGAAGCAGCCGAGGAGGAAUCCAUUGAUGAAAUUGUUUCUAAUUUUCAGAACCAGAACAGGCGGAAAUUUUUAUUCAGCAUUUCCUUCUAUUGAUGACCGUGGUGAGGGCAAGACUCUUGCUCUGAAAGCUUUAUGAUCCAUGUCGUUGUUCUGUUAGUAUUUUGUCUGCAAAUUUAUAUGUCGAUGUUCUGUUAGUAUUUUUAUUCUGUCUGUCCAUCUACUUGCACAAUUGGUAAUAUACUUAAAUACAUUACCAGAUUUCUUCCAACGCUGUUACUGUUUGCUUUGCACGAAGCCUUCCCUAGAAAUCUUACCUUUCUAAGCCCAGCGAGCCCUAUUUAAUCCAUUACACAGCUAAUCAUUUCAAUAUACCCUAUCCUGAAUUUGAUCUCUUCUUAUGUCAGGAAGACUGAAUCAGGCUCUCCCAUGUUUCUACGCCUUUGCUUGAUCUUGGUAUUCCAUGCGAAUUGUUGGGUUUGAUGAGCACUUUCCUUGACUACUCGUUAGAGGUAGGUCAUUUUGCAACAGUAUCUCUAUCUGCAUAAUGAGAAUUGUCAUUCUCACGCUUUGAAUUUAAUUUGCUAGAGAAGCCUAUUCUUUGCUGUUAUCGCCAAGCCUAUCAUACUAAUGCGCUGCAUCUAUCCACUUUCAGAUAACACUGCAUCGAUGUGGAAAAGAAAUUCUGAGUCGAACCCUUUUACACUCACCUUAUCUCUGGAAUGUCGACGCAUGAUGAUGUAUUAGUAAUUAGAAGCAAGCCAUGUAUUAGUAAUUAGAAGCAAGCCAGUCUUGCUUAGGAGUGAAAAUUCUAUUAUUUCUUGUAGUUUUUUUUUUUUUUUUUAAGUUUCUUUGUACUGCAGAACUAAUUCUGCGAUGGUACUCAUGUCGAGAGAGUGGGAAGAAAAGGGAUUCCGGCGUAUUGCAUAUAAUUUCUUUGAAUGCAACAGGUUCAAAACCGCCUCUAUUUUCAUUUUUUCUGUAUCGUGCAUAUGAAAAGAAAAACAAGAGAACAGAACCAACCUGACCUGGUCAGUCAUUUGAUGAUUUGGUCCUGUGUUUUUGGCAGGGUUUACAAUUCAAUGGAUCCUAUUUAUUUGAGAUGAGUUGGUUUUUGAAAAGAAAAUUACUAAAAAGCAGAAACUUCUAAUUUGAGUUCAUAUAGAGAUCGUCAGUUUUCUUGCUGGCUUGUUGGUCAUUCCUAGGAUCCUGUCCUUCAACUUGCUUUCCUCACUUCCUGGAUAAAAAUUCCCUUGCGUAUUCAUUUAAAAUAAUAAGCUCUGAUAAUUUGUCGAGAUUACCUAGUACUGACACACAAAAGUCAUCUCCAUGUAUGGCUUGCACCAAGGUUUGCAGUUUCACAUCUCAAAGGGGAGGAUGCUUUCUUGACCUCGGCGCAAGUGUCUUUUUCGGAAUGUUCAAAUGCCAGUCUCUUGAGCCAGUGAAUUCUUCUAUUCUGCUGUUACUUUGAGCCGGUGAAUUCUUCUUCUUCUCUGCUGUUCCUUCGGGAAGACAAUGCAGUCCAUUGAUCCGUCUGUGGAAAUAAAAUUUCUCCUCUUUCUGAACCUUCAAUCUCCUCUGCAUUAAUUUGUAUAACACCGAACGCUCCAGUUAGUUGUGGUAUGCUCUACCCUAAUGCAGAUCUUCUGCUCCUUAUGUACAAAUAGGCUUGUGUUUGCAUCGUGUCAGCUACAACCCAACAGUGCCAGUGAAACUUGGCCAAACAACAGUGCGCAUUAGACACAGAAAAGAGAGCUCUUCUGCUCACACAUAUGAUCAAAUGUUACUAUGGUAUGAAUGAUGAAGAGAAAUUGAAGGAUAAUGACUCUCCAUGAACUAACAAACAGCGGCAUCAGCCAGCAUUUCCAUUUCAGAAUGGCGACAUACCAAUCUCGCUUCAUCUGUCCUAAGAGAUCUUAACAAAGAAUAAAUAUCACCCUUAUGAGUGUGCCUCUUGUCCUUGACAAUGAAGACAUGAACUUGACCCUGAAUUUCUAUCCAGCUACAACCAGGCUGCUUGACUACUCCUCGUUGCCUCAUCAGCUUCCUUAUUCUGACGACAUCGCCCCAUUUUUUGCUUUCCACGUACAUGUUUGAGAGCAGAACAUAAGGUCCAGAGUUCGAAGGGUCAAUCUCUAAGAGCUUCUCCGCUAUGUGCUUUCCUAGCAUUAUAUCCUUAUGAACUUUGCAGGCUGCGAGCAGCGAACCCCAAACGACAGCAUCGGCUUGCAUGGGCAUUGCCUCUAUUAAGUCCUUUGCUUCACUGAGACAACCAGAUCGGUUGAGCAAAUCAACCAUGCACGUAUAAUGGUCCUUUACCGGUGCCAGACCAUACUCCUCGAUCAUCCGCUUGAAAUAAUGGCACCCCUCUUCGACCAGCCCUGCAUGGCUGCAUGCACAUAGAACCCUGAUCAUAGUGACACAGUCUGCUCUCUUGCCAGAUACCAACAUUUUCCUGAAUAUUUCAAGCGCCUUUAUCCCGUAACCAUUCUGCGUAUAUCCGACAAUUAUGGCAUUCCAUGAGACCUUGUCCCUCUCCAACAUAUUUUUGAACACCCAUAAACCAUCUUCCACAGCUCCACAUUUAAAGUACAUGUCUAUAAGAGAAUUUCCAACAAAAAUAUCAGAUUCUUCUCCAGACUGGAAGCGAAAUCUGUGCUUCAAGACAUGAGCAUGAGCCUGCAGCCCCAACUGCAGAUCAGCAAGAUUUGCACACGCAUUGAGCAAAUUUCCAAAUGCGUAGUGCGUCAGCACAAUGGCUUCCCUCUUCAAAAGGCGGAAUAAACCAAAUGCUUCUUCAUUCUCUCCAUUCUGGGUAUACCCUGCAAUAAGGGCAUUCCAAGAAACUACAUUCUUCUCCAUCAACCUUUGAGACUUGCUGCCUUUGCAUACCCACUUACCAUGGAGGUGGCUGACACUAUAUCCCUGGUAGGCAUGCUGUCAAAAACUGCUCUGGCCUCACUAAUUCUAGAGCACUUAGAAUACAUAUCAAACCAAUGCAUUUCCUAAAACGACAUCAUUUCUAAAUUUGUCACAUUUUACAACAUGGGCUUGAAUUUGCAUCCCUUCCUUAAGUGCCGACAGGCUAGCGCAUGCGCUGACCACACUGGCUAAAGUGACCUCAUCUAUAUCAAACCCACAAUCCAUCAUGCUCACGAAAACCUCAAGAGCUUCACUGGCUGGACCAUUUUGUUCAUAACAUGUAAUCAAGCUGUUCCAAGAAACUACGUUUCGAGAACUCAUUUCAUCAAAAGCCCUCUGUGCACAAGCCACGUUGCCACACUUGGAGUACAUGUCGAUAAGAGCAGAGCCCAUAUGAACAUCGGACGAGCACUUGGACUUCGAUAUCAAAGCCUGGAUCUGCUGGCCCAGAUCCAUAUCCCCUAACCCGGCGCAUGCACUAAGAGGACUACGGAAUGAGUACUCAUUAAGCACAUAAUUCUCCCUAUGCAUCUUACCAAAACAUCGCAAGGCUUCUUCGAAUCUUUCAUGCUGCACAUAACCUGACAGCAUCGAAUUCCAUAAGCACUGGUCAGGUUCCGGCAUUGACCCGAAUAUCUUUUCCGCUUCAUCAAGAGAACCCAGUCUGAUCAACCCUCCUAAGAUCGCAUUCCGCGUGAAGGUAUUCUUCUCAGGCAUUCUAUCGAACAUCCUGUGGCCGUCGUCGAGGCACCCGCAUCUCACAUAGACAUCGAUGAGCCGGUUCUGGAUGAAAACCUCGGCGGAGAACUGGGUCUUAAUGAUCCGAGCGUGGAUGUGGCACGCGUCGCGCGCUGACAUGGACAGACCGCAGCCGUCCGGGAGCUUGGCGAAGGGGGACGAGGUGGCGAAAGACAGAUAGCCCGCCAGAGCCUUGACCUGCGCAUGCCUCGCCAUUCCAUCAUAUCAUCGUAAGAAGGGAACUCUCUCGGAGAAGAUUCGCAAAGGUGCAAAUUGAAUGCGAUGGGGAGUUUCUGUUGACCGUUAUAUGCUUCCCCGCUUCAGCCAGACGCGCGGGAACAUGACACGAGCGCUCAUAUGAAGUGGGGCAAAGUUGCAGUGGCAAAAUGGUAAUUUAGCAUAACAGUCUACUAAUUAGACUCAUGACUAUGAAUUAAAUUUUUAACUAUGAGUAAAUCUAAGCUAUAAAUUGAAAUAUGUCACCCUUAAUGGGUAUCUUGUUGUAAGUCACUAAAUUAAGAUUAGUCAUAUUUAAAAUCUAUACUUAUUGCUUUAUCAAUUAUAGUCAUAAGCUUAAUAUAUGACAAGUCAAUUUUAUUGAGAGAUAGCUGGAUUAUUUACAAAUCAAACAUAAAUUCUUGUUUAGUAAUUUUGAUCAUUCUAAUUAUAACUCAUUCUGACCAAAACAAAAAAAUUGUAACUCAUCAUUGAAAAAAUGCAAAAACCAAUUCUAGAGAAUGAAAAUUAGAUCUAUGCUGGAUUAGAUGGGAUAUCUUUUCAUCGGCCCCCUCCCUCGAGGAAUAGCUAACCUUGAUUUUAAGAGAAUAGCUAUUUCUUUGAUGGAGCUAAUCUUGAUUUACUUCUUAACCAACUAAGGACUAUCUUUUCAUGAGUAGAUUGAGAAUAAUGUAGCUAUUGUGAUAUUUUUGUAUUAACUCACAAUAUUGGUAAUGUUCUAACUUAAUUGCGCUUAACUUUAGAGUAAAACUACCAAGAUAGGUGGCUGUACCUUCAUGAGGUCACUUAUCUUGAUAAUGCUCUAACUUGACCACGCUUAACUUUGGAGUGGAAAUAUUUAUUGAUCUCAUGGGGAAGUGCUUGUCUGCAUGCCAAAUGAUAAAAUCGUGAAGUUUGAAAUGGGAUGGGUCUCAAUAGAUUAUAUCUCAAGUGAAUUAACUCAAAAACAUCACAGUUAUCUGUCCUAGAACAAAAGGUGCAGUUGGAUUUUCAAUUAAGACGCUUCUUGUUCAAGUAAGGUUUGUCCCUUUUGUUUUGUUUUGUUUUUUCGCUUUUUAUUUUUAUUUUUUAUUGUUGAAUGAAUAAUUUGGACAUCGUCCUGUUAUGGUAAGAAAAAUCAAUUGAUCUUCUAAAAUGUGCGUUGCUGUGAGCCUUUGUGAGGGAGAGCUUCAUGAUAAGAAAUGAAGCCCAUCUGAACGCACAUCCAAUCUGUCAAGGCUUUGAAACUCUUUCGGCUUUAUGCGACCAAGAACCGUCACAUCUGGGAGUUGUCUCCGGUUUUAGAAAGGUCUAUUGAUGUUCUUAUUUCCUGGUGAAGUAGGAUAUGUAAGACAGACAAAUUCCUGGGAAGCCUAGGUAAGAACCUGAGGUUCUUAAAAACUGAGGACAAGUUUCCUGAGCAGAGGAAGGAGAAUGAGAUAUGAAGAUAUGGUGGUGAUUUGCCGGGCUUUCAAGACUCUAGUUUGCUUAACCUUCCAAUCCACCAAGGAUCAUGGAGCUUCUUUAAGUCCGUAAGUGUCCUCAGGAUACCUCAACGCAUAUAAACACAGCCCAACUUGGACUGAGGUGCAAUAAUAAAAACGAACAUAUUCAUAACUUAUCUUUCUGUAACUCACCUGAACUUCAAGUGCCUCCUCGUAAUUUCCUAUACUACUUAGCUUCUCGAGUUUCAUAUCAUUUGCUUCACGAACGGUAUCUCUCCCAAGGUCUCUUAACCAAUCACGCAUCUGCAGUCGAGAGUCUUUUCUAAUUUUUAUUAGUCAUCUGCUGGAGAACUUGAACAGCUUCUUCAGAGAAGAGAUUACAGCUCUCCCACAUGUGACACAAUUCUUUUAUCAAACGCAAUGAAUAAUCGAGCAAUAUCUAAGAAUAUGUUUUCUGUCAAGAAUCUAAUGCCUCAAUCCUGAUCAUCAACUUCUUUUUAACAUCCUCAUGAGGAAAUUUUUCCAACCUUGUCAAUAUGGUAUUCAGCUUUGUUAUGGUUUUCCCCGACAAGAAUGAACCUGCAACCUCAAGUGCUAGAGGAAGACCAUCGGAAAUAUUCACCACUUGUAUUGAAACAAGGAUGUACCACUUUGAUGGAUAAUCUCUUCCAAAGGUGUGUCUGCUGAAACGUUGGAAAGAAUGAACAAAAUCCGUGCAAGUAAGUUCAUAAGUGCAAUCAACCAUAGUCGCACUGAGUACUCCCACGUUUCUUGUGGUAAAACCAAUCAUGCCUUGCCACGAGAGCGUGUAAGUGUAUUCUUAUGUCGACAUCAUCAGGAAGUAGAACUCUUCCGGAGGAUUACCUCUCCUUAAUUGUAUUUAUCCCUUCAUCACUAUUAUUGAUUUCUGACCAUUUCCAUACUAGAGAUGAGUUGAUUCUGCAAAUACUCUACACUCUUUUGCUUUGACGUUUCUCGAAUGUCAGCAAGGAAGCAAUGGCAAUUAAAACCAUCUCAAAAUUUAUUGUAGACAAUUUCGGCAAGUGUCAUCUUUCCAACACCACCCAUUCCAUAAAUUCUGAUCAUGCUUGUUUCAUUCGUGCGAGCGCCAAUCAUCCUCAUGACUUCAUUUACAUAACUAUCCACUGCAACCAAGAAAUCUGAUAUUACCAGUAGGCCUUUUUCAACUCCAUCAAAACCCCCAACCAAAAAACAAAAAACAAAAAAAAAAACUCAAUGAACUCCAUCAAAACCUUCCUGACAACUUCCUUUCAGAACUUACCUUCCCUCUGAUGGCGUUCAAUGCAAAAGAACCAAGAUGUUGAAAUGAGUUAAACAAAGUUCCUUCCAGGAAACAAACAAGUCAUAAGGGAUGAAUUUAGUUACCUUUUGGGAUUGUUUUGGAAGUCCCUUCCCUUUAUUGCUUUAACCUCAAUGAAAGCAGCCCUCCAAGUGUGGAGAGUCUCAUGAUCAAGCCGCUUCUUGUUUUCAUGAGAAUCAAAGGCUUUGUUGUAGAAGCCAGUUUGAUAUCAUACCCCUCAUGGUCCAACAUCAUAGAAAUUACGUCCUCUUCUUUUCCUGCACUCUGCCAUCUGCACCAAUUCGUUGAGGCACCAUUCACUGGCAGCAUAUCCCUUAGAGAAGAUGGGUAUCAAGGAUUUUUAACUGCUCCAUCGCUUGAAGAAGAAGCCCUUCAUCAUCUUUACAUACUCGAAUUCCAGCAUCGUUCAUGUUGGUAUUCAGGAAAUCAGGUAUGCCAGAGCAUAUCUGGAUCUCUAAAGCUGAAGAAUGCUUCUUAAUCAUAUUUUAUUGAUUUCCCCCUUUCCUGAAUAGUAAGGUGCAACAAUAGCACAUCAAUAUCUGAAAUUACAUAGUCGAUGGUCAUGAUGCGUCAUCAUAAUUAUCUUCUCUUCCUUUUUGGUACAUUUCUGUCACCAAGACUUACCCCAAGACAUUCAUACUGCACCUGAAAAUGUUAAAUACGUAGAUGCAGUGAUGAUCAGGCUAAUUUCUUUCAGAUGCCAAUGCAGAAAUCUAUUCUGGUAUAGAGAACCUCUUUGACAAAAGCAUAUUUUUUUUUCUUGGCAUUUUGUGCGAGCAAUUAGUAAAGCACAGCACCCUCUUUCUUUACGGGCCUCGUAACAGUGAAAGGGGUAAAAUGAAACCUAUAUAAAUGAUAUGUAACGAUUUUCUCUGGAAAGAUGAGCCAUUUCAACUACUCAGAUUUACUAUCCAGACUGCCCAUAUUAGUUUGUUAUAUAAAUGGAAAUACAGUCCUAUUCACUAAAAAGAUGCAAACACUAUUCUGAGUAAUGCUCCAAAUGGCCAAUGAAAUAAGAAAACAAAGAAAAGUGGAGCAACAUUAGUAGUCUGUUUAUUGUUUGACUUAUUUCUGUUUUGAUGCACUACUAAGUGUGAUUAUAAAAAAAAAUGACUUAUUACCUGAUGAUGACUCCUUUGAUUUCAAGUGACGAGGAAGUGGAGUUCUGCAAAAACAUUGUCGCUCAUUACAAAGUUGGAUUCUGAAGCAGAAAUAACAAAGACAUGAGACACUACUUAAUACAGAGGCCAAGAGUUCAACAAGAAGGAAUACGUAUUACUUGGUCCAUCUUAAAUUUUGGUCAAGGCUUCACAACUUUCUUAUCAGAAAGCACUGCUCAAAGAUUGCCUUCCUCCGCAUUCUUUUUCAUUUUAUGCAAUUGAACCUAUAAUUGCAGGUCAAAAGAGAUUAAUCAUAAGUGCAAUUUGCCGCAAAAAAUGUCCCAUCUUUCUGAGCGGCUUAAUUGAUUCUUACUAGGUCAUAGAAAGGAAGUGUGAAUCUACAUCACAGUUAUCUUCAUAACCUCCCUUCUUUGAUGUUAGCCACAUAUUUGACAGACAAAUUAUGUCAAAAGAACAACAUUCAACUAGAAAUUCCGUCAAACAACUCAAAAUCUGCAGGUUAGAUACCAUUUCUAGUUCCCAGAGGAGCUUGGAUUCAUCAUAAGGAAUUCUGCAGAAAGGCAGAAAACAAGGGAUUAUUGAUAGCCAACAUUCAGCUUUGCUAUCCAUAUAAACUCACAAAUCAGCAGACAAUUUAGCAUUAAUUAGCUCAGGUAAUAGUAGAGACACUAACAUUCAUUCAUGAGAGAAUAGGAAAGAAAUAACAGUAUGAUGGUUGACUUGCAACUGAUGGAAAAUCAGAGAUUGGUGUACUGAAGUUCGAAUAAAGUGAAUAAAAUCAAUGGCUUUCCUGUCUCUCUCAUGUGCUUAAAGUUCUCCAAGUUGGCUAUUAUCUCAUCUCUCCAUUUCUGUCCUUAAUUUCAUCUUCUUGAAUCACUAUGUACUAACUCAGAAGAGACUGUGUCAGGCUAUAACUAAAUCCCAUUAGCCAAAUGAAAUCAAAUAAUUCCAAUAUAACUAAUUUAAAGGUUACCUCGGAAACCAUCGAGGAUGUGUGGUGCCAGGCAACACGACGUCGAGAUUGUGCGACCUCUGCAACCACUGCCGAAGGGCUGGAUUUGGGUCGAUCGACCCUCAACCUCAACACACAGUGGCUCAGGCAAAGACAGCAGCUCGACAGUCAGUGCGGCCCAAGUGAGGGCCAUUAGGGCUUCUCGAUGCCAGGUGAGGUGACACCGAGGUUACGUGGCCUCCCCAACACCUGUAUAACUCCACAUUUCUUCCUUUUUUGUGAAAAAAAAAAAGGACAACUAGCCAAAAUGUUGACUGCUCUGCAUGUCUCAUUUGCUAAUGUCAAUGAUACACUGGCUUCACAGUUGCUUCCUCUCUUCAAUGCGUGGGCCAAAAAAUGGUUCAUUUUUCCCCCUUCCACGCUGAUCAACAACUCCAAAUAAUAUAUUGCUUUAAGAUCCUAAGAAGAAGAGAGAUUUGAAAACUGAUUGAUUCAUCAUGAAAUCUAAAGCAGUAAUCAUUACACUUUUCACAGAUCAAUUUGCUGGUUAAUUCCAAUCGGUAAAUAGACUCUCUCUUUGGCUGAUUCCUUGGCUCGACCUAUUUACUUCCUUGGCUCAGACUUGGUGACUUCCUUCAAAGUCCUCCAAUCAUCAGAUCCCAGCAAAUAUUUUAGCUUCUCACACUCAUGUAUCCUCAAAUAUUUUAGCUUCUUGACGCUUGAUGGAGCCGGUAGCUUUUCCAGAUCUCUGCAGAACUCUAUACGAAGUAUCUCCAGUGAUUCUAGUCUGCCUUGAAUCUCAACCAUUUUAGGACAAUUAUACAGUUCAAGUUUCGUGAGCUUGCUUAAGGUAGUGAGGUCAGGCAAUUUUUCCAGUGAUGUAACUCUAACAAACUUCAAUGAUCUCAGGUUCUCCAAGCCUUCGAGACCUUGAAUCUCUGUUAUUUCACAACUUGUAACUUCCAAAUCCGCUAGUACCCUCAAGUUUGAAAGGUCUAUCGAUGUCUUCAUUUGCCAACAACCUUUUAUAACUAAGCUCAACAAACUCGCAGGAAUCCUUGGAAGGCAUUUCACGUUUUCGCACCUGAGCUCAAGUUCCUUGAGUUCAGAAAGGAGAACGAGGUCUGGAGAUAGGGUGGUCAGGUAAGGAGAUUCCAGCCAUAUAGCCUCUAGUUUGUGUAACCUUCCAAUCCACCAAGGACUGGAAGUUUUCUCAAGUUCAGAAGGGUCCAUCCUAGAACUCCACAAGACCAAACUCAAAUCUCUUAAGUUCAAUAGGUUUGAGAGAUCUGGGAAUGUCUUCAUUGACCAAGUGCCAAAGUAAAGACUGGUCAGACUUUCAGGAAGCUUGGACAAUCCCGAAACUCGAGUGUAUGUCAGUCUCAAGACUCUUAGAAACUUUAAUCUCCCGAUAUUGCUCGGCAUUUCCCCUUCCAAACAUCCACAGCGGUCAGCAUCUACCUCUUCAAGCUUAUCCAAUAGUGCUAUGGCACUGGGUAGUUUUCUCAAGGUACUGCAGCAUAUUCUCAGUACUUUCAAAUUCUUCAUAUUUCCUAAUGAAGAAGGUAGCAUUUGAACCUGUGAGUGGGAUAGAUCCAACUCGACUAGUGAUUGCAAGUUCCCAAUGGACUCUGGAAGUUGAGUAAUCUCAGUUGCUACCAACGAAAGCUUCAAUAAUGAUGCUAAGCAGCCAACUGAACUACAAUCAUUCAAAUUUUUACAAUUACGAACACUUAAGAAUUUCCAGUUUCUUCAUUCCUCUCCAUUCGGGAAUUUCUCUUAUUGAUGUGCCAUCCACAAGAAUUUCUGUUAAAGCUUCUAGUUUAGCAAUCUCAUCUGGCAGCUUGCUGAGUUUAGUGCAGAACUUUAAGUUUAAGAAAACUAACUGCUUUAGCUGACCAAUAGAUCUAUCAAUAUGGACCAACUUCUGACAUCUUUCAAGAAUUAAUCUCUCUAAAAAUACAUGAGAUGAGAAGUCAGGCGUUCUAUUUAACUUUCUGCACCCAGUCAGAUUUAGAACCUUUAAAUUCUUUGCCAUCUGUAAGGGAGAACAACAAAAUUUCAAUCCCAUUAAGGAAAUAGGUAAUUAAAAAAAAUAUAUUGAAAUUAUUUUGAAACACCUCCUAGGCUUCUACCUUGAUGUGGCUCCAUCCACUCCAUUUUUUUUUGUAAUUUUACUCCAUGAUAGAUCAAGAAUCACUAGCUUUGUCAGGGAAAGAGCGGUCAGCUCAAAAGUUGCCGGAAAGUUAUGCCAUGAAAGCCAUCUCAACAUUAAAAAUAUGUAUGGACUCCUUCGGAAAAAAACUGGCUGGAAGAACAUUCAAGCAGCAACCACACCGAAAAGAACUGACUUGAGCAAAACAAUGCAGAUUUGUGCUUGUCUCAUUGGAGUUUAUGCCAUCUACUUGCAAGAACCUUAGGUUUGAUAGACUGGCAAAUGCUUCAUAUGUAAUGUUGUAUUCGCAACUACUUUCAAACUUGAGUCAAAUUGCUUCAACAUUUUCUAAUCCCUGGCCAUACAAAAAGGGAAAUAGCAGUUAGAAAGCACAUAGUUCUUGUUUGGAAAAUUAUAUUCACUUGGGGUGCUAUCUUUCCUCGAAAUUUAUAUAUUACUUUAGGAGAUGUGUCGGUACUGUGAGCGGAAAAGAAAUAAUACACAAGAAAUUCUUUUAAUUGGUGAGUAGUUAAAUAGAACGCUCUUGAGAAUGAAUUGACUUUGUACACUCACCUUCGUCCUCAUAAGCAGAUCAAACACUUCAUCAUGAUUCCAUACUCUGCUUUGCUUCUCUGAUUUCAUAGCACACUCUUGACGAAUGAUUUCACGUCCAAGGUCUCUUAGCUGAUCAUGCAUCCAAAGACAGUUGUCUUCUUUAAUCUUUAUUAAAGACAUCUGCUGGAGGACUGCAAUGGCUUCUUCAGGAAAAAGCUCGCAACUUUCCCACAUAUGGAUCACAAUUCUUUUAUCAAAACCAAUGAAGAAACAGGCAAUAUCAAAGGAAUAUGCUCUUUUGUCUAUCAUCUAAUGCGUCAAAACUGAUCUUCAACUUCUUUUUUAUGUCCUCAUGAAGAACUGUUUCCAGCUUCUUUAAUGUGAUAUCCCGUUGUGCUUUGCUUUUUCCAGAUAAAAGCGAACUCAUAACCUCCAGAGUCAGAGGUAGACCGCCACUAAUGUUCACGGUUUUUGCGGAGUAAGGGAGGAAUUCCUCCAAAGGAUAAUCUCUUCUAAAUGCAUGUCUGCUGAAAAGUUGCAGAGGAUGCUUAAAAUCCAUGCAGGGAAGUUCAUAAGUCCAAUCAACUUUGGGCUCAUGAAGAACAUCCUUGUUUCUGGCGGUAAUGAUAAGCUUGCUUCCUUUGCCAAACCAUUUGCGCUUCCCCAGGAGAGCAUCCAGUCGAAUCCUUUUGUCAACUCAUCAAGUAGAAGUAGAACUCUUUUAGAGAAUAACCUCUCCUCAAUUAUCAUGGUCCCUUCAUCCACAUUAUCAAUGUCCAGCCAUUUCCUUCUAAGGAGUAUAGAGAUGAGCUGAUUCUGCAAAUACUCAACACCCUUCUGCUCGGAAGUUUCUUGUAUGUUAAGCAACAACCCUCAAAAUGAUGGGAGAGUUGGUUGUAGAUGAUUUUGGCAAGUGUCGACUUCCCAACACCAUCCAUGCCGUGGAUUCCAACAAUCGUAGUUUCAUCAGUCUCGGCAAACACCAUUCUCAUUAUUUCACCCACAUGAUUGUCCAUUUCAACCAAGCAAUCAGAUACGACUAAGUAGGCCUUUUUCAACUCAAUUAAAACCUUGUUGACAACUUCUUUUACGAACUCACCUUUACCUCUGAGCAUUAAAGGCAAAAGAACUUAGAUACUAGAUUAAGGUGCAAAAAAACUAACCAAAAAAAGCAAUAACAGAAAUUCAUCACUGGAGCAAAACACAUAAUAGACCAUGAUGAAUAGCAAGACCUGUUCGGAUUGCUCUGGAAAUCCCAUCCCUUUAACGCUCCUACCUCAUCGAGGGCAGCCUUCCACCCAAGGAUGGUAUUCGCAUCAAACUGCUUCUUCUUCAUGUGCGAAAGAAAGGCCUCACCAUAAUCCCCAAUUUUGUUUUCGAACCUCGGAUGGCCUGACAUCGAAGAAAAUGGGCAUGAUCUUCUGCCCCGUAGCUCUCUAGCACUCCAACAUCUGUACCAAUUCCAUAAGACACCACUUACUGUCAGCAUAACCUUUGGAGAAGAUGGGUAUCAAGAUUUUGGACUGCUCAAUUGCCUGGAGAAGCACUGGACCGAUCUCUUCCCCAGAACGGAGCUCUUCGUUAUCUCUGUAUGCUCGAAUUCCAGCAUCAAUGAGACUGGUAUACAGGAUAUCAGCGAUGUCCAAGCGUGUAUCCGGUCCUCUAAAGCUCAAGAAUACUUCGUAACAUGUUGACAUGGCUUCACAACUUCCAGCGUUUGAGAUGAUUCGUUACUAGACAAGCAGCAGCAGAAUCACCGACAGCUUCUGUGAUCCCGUUGUCUGUUUUCACCUCUUCACUGGGUCGUACAAAAAGAUGGAAACAAUGGAAGCGACGACCAAUGCCAAGUGCGAGGACCAACCUGGGUACACCCUCUAAACCUAUGAAAACGAUGCUGUGAAGAUUUCUGUCGGGAUGGGAAACAAAUGUACGUGAGAUCUGCUCAGGUCAAUGAUUGCUGUCAGUCUUUUUCUGGUUAACCUUGUAUCUAAUGUAUUCUAUUGUCUUCAAAAACUUGAGAAGGAAGCUUCCUCUUCACUUCAAUCGAGGCAUACACGGUUUGGUUAUUUUUCUUGGCCAUGAACACACACAAUUAAAACGCGGCCUCUCUAUGGCAGCCACGAGGGAGGUUAGGAUAUCCUCGACGGAGCAUGCGAACAAAAUAGACAGCUUUUGCCGUAUUAGUGAUGACUAACUUGGAUUGUUACUAUUCUUCAUAUACAAAAGCUACUUAUUCCCGAUACGUUGAUGAGUCCGUUAAAACUUUGAAAAUUACUUACCCCAUAGAGGUGGAGAAGUUGCUUAUUACAAACAUUGAUAUGUUAAUUAAAUGUUCUUAUUAUAAUAGAUAGAGCUUGAAAAGGGGUUUGCUUCAACCAAAAUUCAAGCCCUGAAGAUUUCAAGCCACAGAUUCCGAAACCUCGAUAUACUCCAUCUCAUAGGCAACCUCAACAGGGCAUUGCCUCAUACUGGCUAGGUGCUUUGCUCCUGAAGUGCUUCUAAUGAGGUUUGAACCUACACCACGAGAAAAAAGGCAAACUAACUCCCUUGCUAAUUUCUAUAGGCCAAGAGUAACUUUUCCAUGAAAACUCUAGCAAGUGAUAGAUAUGCACUUGCUUUUAGGAGCAAAUACUAAUCAUGAUGAAAAGAUCCCUUCUUAAAACAAUUGACAUAUAGAUAAAAAAAAAUUAUGAAGAGUUACUGACUAAUGGAAGACUAAUAGACUAAAGACUAUUUAUCUUUAUGCAAACAUAGGAAAAAAGGUUACUGAGUACUAAUGAUUACUUAUUUUCUUCUAAUCACCACGGUAAAUUUACUAAUAAAAGUACCUAGCACAUUGACACUUACUUUUUCGAGUGAUUUGACAUAAACCAAGUGGAGGUCUUACUAACCGAUUAAAAAUAUAUUAUAUCUUAAAUGAAAAUCAUGUGAUAAAUAACUUCUCAUGAGUAUCUAUAUUCUCUUCUCCAAAGUCUAGCAUAUAUAAGUAGUUAUAAAUUUUAGGCCAAUUACCAUUUAAAAAAAAAAAAAAAAAACUCCCAACUCUACACUUCUGUUAAUUUCUUUUGCGGAGUAUAAAGCAUAUGAAAAAGACGCCAGUACUUAUUCUUUUGUGUACAAUCUACCCUUUGUUAGUCUGUUAGCCGGCAAAGAAAAAAAGGUCAUGGCCUUAUUGAUGCGGCAACUAAGGUGACUCAGUAUCACCAUCAAGUGUCAUUAACAAGUAAUUAAUAGAAAUUGAUUGUUAAAGAAGCUACUUAUAAAGAUUAGAGAAAAAGGCAACAGAGGAAAAAAGUGCGAGGAAAAUCGAGAGAGAGGGAGAGAUGAAAAGAUGACUGACUCAAUUAUCAUGCAAUCACAAACAGUAACGAAAGCAGAUCAAUGUAUAUUAGUUGAAGUUAACGACCAAUUUCAAAUAGUACUCAGGUCUCAGCACGACCACAUCACUACUCAAUCUCAAGCUCAAUCUUUCGGCUUCUCAGUAUUGUUCAUGAUCAAACAUGUUGGCUUCUUGAAGCUGGUAAGGUUGGGUAGCUUUUCCGAGGCAGUCAAUACGGUACAUCUCCAGUUGUUCUGGUCUGCCUUGAAUCUCAAACAACUUAGGACAACUCCACGGGAGAAGUAUAGGACGCCGUCUCUAUUGAUAGCAAAGCUGCAAGUAUUAACGAUAGUCAACAAUCUCUCGCAUCUAAAUGGCUUAGUGGUCUUUUCGAUUAAAUAAUUUCUAUCAGCUCAGUUCGAAAAAGAUUAUGCUGGUAUUUUACUAGGUACACUAUCGAGGGCAUGCAGCUGCCAUGUUGAAAGGUGAUAGGUGGUACACAUGGCGAAGUUCUUAGAUACAAUCGAGAUUGACUUUAUGGACAAAAAAAAAAAAAAGAGCUAGUGCAAAGUUUGGUUAUCGAAAUUUCCAUCACCUUGGUCCUUCAAAAGUUUGUGUUCUUUGGACUCUCUAAGCUUCUUCCUACAGGUGGGAAAUUCGAGAUGAAUCUUUAUACUCCUUCACUCUCUCUCGACCGCUACAUGACAGAAUACGAACUGUGGAAGAGAAGAAGACUUCAAAUCAUUGAUAGUCUGUAAGUGAGAAAACGGUAGGAACAAAAGAUGCACAGCAGAAGCAAUAUGAAAAACAAUCUUCGAGCCCUCGCUCUUACACAAUAUCAGAAUAACAGUAAUAAGGAGCUUGCAGUACUUAGAGCUUCUGAGAUGCCGCCCAGCCACUGAAAUAAGGCGCAACCAUCGCCUACAUCCUUCCAUCCACCAUACUAAAGUCCAAAAGAGAAAAAAUAUCUUAAAAAAUUACUCUGACAAGUCGGAUUCAACAAGAUCAGACUGCCUCUCUGCCUUCAAAGUUCUCCACCGAUCAUCACAACUCAGAGAAUCUGAUAGCUUCUCACACUUACGUAUAAGCAAAGAUUUCAGCCUCAUGUGGCUUGAUGGAUCGGGAAACUUUCUGACAGAUUUACAGGACACGAUCCAGACUGUCACCAGGGAUUCUAGCCUGCCUUUGAUCUUGACCGCUUUAGGACAGCAGUGCAGAUAAAGUUUCUGGAGCUUCUCUAAGUUGGUUAGGUCAGGCAACUUGUUCAAACAACUCCUUCAAGCUUUAACACUCUCAGGUUCCCCAAACCUUGGAGGCCUCUGAACUCACUUUAGGGCAAUGAGCAACUUCCAAAUCUGACAGCCCUUUCAAAUUUGAAAGGUCUAUUAAUGUUUCCUGCAUGAUUCUAUAUUUAAGUACAACGAAUUUGGGGAAGGCAAAAUGGGCGUCGCAGCUUCUUGCAGUGGACCAGUUCAAGUUCCUUGAGCUGUGAAAGAAGACUAAUGUCUGAAGAUGGGGAGGUGAAAUAAUGACAUUCCAACCGCCAGGACUCCAGCCUCCCUAACCUUCUGAUCCACCAAGGACUUGGAGCCCCAUUGAAUCAGAAGCAUCCUCAAAAUUGUCAAAACCUGGAUUUUCCAUAGAAUUUGAAUACCAGAUAAGUAAGUAAUUUAACAUCGAAUGACACACAUUCUUUUGUUACUUUACAUAAUCAAAACCUUGUACAAAAGAUCCACCUAUGUAUAACACUAAUCUAAAUGUCCCUAAACUCCAAACCCAACUAAUAAUGGACAAUAUUUUGGAGGGGCGGGUCUAAUCUCAGUAAAUGAAAGUUCUAGGUCCACCUCCUCACCAGUCAAUCCAAGAACACAACAGUAUAGUAACAAUUAUUGUCAAUUGGAAAACAAAUACUCACUUAAGGUAUGCAAUUCAUGCAUUAUAUACAAAUGACUAUAAUUAUUUGUGCAAUGAAUAAAAUAGAUGCACUCCAAUGCACACAACUCAAUUACUAAUCUGAUGUGCACAAUACCCAUUGCUCAUCGAUAUACACGAGUUAUUUUAUUCCCUACUUGUCACCGGUCGUAACUCAUCUCAACAAGACAACAUCACCACCAACUCAUGAGAUGAGGUCAUACUACAGUCACAUGAUGAUGGCUAUCCCAUAGUCAUUCUCAUUAACAUUCAUACCCAUUCCAUUUUCUUUCUCAAUCUUGAACCUCAAGUUCAUAAUAUCACAUAUAGGCUAUUUAAUUCGCAUCAUGUUACACAAGUCAUAUCAUUUCAUGUAUGAAUCACUAGACUUCAUAUCGUUUCAACCGUAUAGAGACCCGUCUUAAACGGUAGAAUAUUCGUUUUUUCCAAGAGUCUUAUAAACAUACUCAGGAAAAUUAAUCGUAGUGUUGUUAUAUUACUAACAACACUUGCAGAAUUUCCAUGGAGUUGGUAAUUUACUUAAUUACUAGAAUAUUGAUAAAUUCCCAAUAGUCUUGUUCAUUCACUCACGACAAUGGUAAAAUUUCAAAGGUUUUGAUAAUUUACUACUUCCUUAUAUUGAUAAAUUUCUGAUAGUAUUAGUAUUUAUUUAUUAUACAGGUAGAAUAUAAGAAGAUUUGGUCAAUUUAGUGGAAAUUUUAUAAAUUUCUGAUAAUAUUGAUAAUUUACUGCUGAUUUACGUAACAAGCAGGUAACUUGAAAUGCGGUCAUUAAUCAUUCAGAAGCCCCUGUAGAAAUCCAUUUGAAGUUAUGAAAACUAAAGGACCUUUGUGACCAUUGCACAUGAUCAUUAACUAGAGAGGGUUAUGUUCAUGCUAGACACAAUGUUUUGCCCCUACUUCUUCAUUCCCUCAAUGUGGAAAUUUUCAUGGGAAAUCCUUAACAAUUCUGUGAUUAUGGUCACUGAUGUCAGAUAGAAUUCACGACACUGAAUGCAACCAAGAACAUCAAUCUCUACAAAUGAAAUCUGGAGCAAGUCAUCUUGAAUCCUUGAUGAAUUUCUUCCAUAACGAGAUUUAAUCACUAAGUACACCAGCUAAAAUAUUAGAAGUAAGUAGGACCACAACAGACCAAGAGAAGAAGAAAGAAAAUUGCAGAACCAAUCGAUUAUAGUAAGAUUUCAUGCCUUCCAGGACAAUAUUUCGGUUUUAGCUCGACCUCGACAAGCUCAGAAGAACAACUGAUUCCCAUUUCCCCAUGUAUGGUUUGAACUAGUUCCUAAGGAGCGAAAAUCAAUCCCCUCACGGGUGCAGAACCGAACUGAGGCACAGGAGUAGAGAUGUGUUUCAAUAGAAUGCGACUUGUGGUUUAGACCAAAGCUAUUAAAGAUUAGAUGCAGUUAUGGAAGAAAAAUCAACUGAGUCAGCUCCCGAGCGAGUUCAUCGAAAGGCCGUUUUCAUUUCGUGUGUAGGACAAGUCACGACUGAAAAUAAUAAAAAAACAACUCAAUCCGCCCCAAAUCUUUUCCUAAUCUAUCACAGAUUACAUCGAAGAUUCGCACGCGGACCCAAUUCAUGAAAAUGCGAAGAGAAAAUUACCAGAAAACCAAAUAAAGAUGCGAAGAAGGAAAAAGCAAGACCUUGUUUUAAGACUCGUGGGAACAGAUCGGGGGGCAGGAAGACGGGGGUGGCAGUCCCCGGAGGGAGAUCUCCGCCUGGUCGAAUCGCGUCUCAUUCUUGCGCUCGGGGUCGCCGUCGCGUUCCUUGACAGUCGGAGUCCGUCGCUGCUGGUUCUGGGUGAGCUCCUCGCUCGGGUCGUCGCCGAUGACUGAUGAGGGAGGAAGACGAAGGAAGGAGAACGAAAGAACGUGAGAAGACAGAGAGGGGGGGCAACGGGAGAAAAAACGAAACAAAAAAAAAAAAAAAAAAGAAAGAAGAGAGAAAAAGUUGAUAUUUCUUAAAGAGUGGGUCCCACCUUUACUCGCGUCAUUUGGAGAUAAUAUUCCUCACUAAUCUGAUACGGAAUCUUCUCUCCGUGAUUUCAGUCUCUAAACCAAAAUUCUUGAAAGGCUCUCCUCACUCUUCCUCCAAAAGUUCUAGAGUGGCUCUUCUCAGUUCUUUGAAAUGUUCGUACUGAUCGGAUUCCAGAGUCUCCUCCAGAGUCUCCUCCAAUCUCUCACAUUCCUUUAUACGCACGUGCCGUAGCUUCUUUAAGUUUAAAGGACCAGAAAAUUGAUGCAGAGACCCGCAGCCUUCUAUUUCAAGCAUGCCCAAUGAUUCUAACCUACCUGGAAUCUCAACCACACGAGGGCAAUCUUUUAAAGACAACCGGAAAAGUCCUUGGCAUAGGUCAGGCAACUUCUCUAGCAACGGAAGAUUUUCUAUAUAUAAAGCUAUCAACUUCUCUGAAGCUUCCAAACCUUGAAUCUCUUCUACCUUCCAACAACUACUUAUAAUAUAUACUCGUAUAUGCUUGAAGCUCAAUGGAUCAGGCAACUGUUUGAGUGAUUGACAGUACUCUAAACAAAUAGACUCCAAUGAUUCUAGCUGACCUCGAACCUCAACCAGUUUAGGACAAUAAGAUAUCAAAAAACUACGGAGAUUCAAACCGGUCAGGUCGGGCAACUUCACCAAUGACGGAAGAUGCAAAAGAUUAAGCGAUCGCAGGCUUUUCAAAGGUUCCAGAACUUGAAUCUCUAUUAGCUGUUCACAAUAAGAGAGUUUCAAUUCUGAUAACUUCUCCCAAUAUGAAAGAUUUAUCGACUUUUCCAUUAACCCACGCCCAUCCAAAUGGAAGUAUGACAAAUUCUGAGGAAGCUUAGGUAGCCAUUCUAGGUUAUCUGCGACAAGUUUAAGCUUCCUGAGCUUUGAAAGGAGAUUAAAAUCUAAAGGUAGGGUGACCAAAUCAUCACAAUACAACCCCAAGGACUCUAGCUUUCUUAACCCUCCAAUCCAAUUGAGGCUUGGAGUUGGAUGGGAAGGGCUUUGAUGCUCUAAUUUCAAUGUCAAAACUCUCAAAUUUAUUAGGUUAGACAGAUCUGGGCAUCUCAUCUGUAGAUUAUUGGUUAGGACUAGUUCGGUCAAACUUUCAGGAAGCUUAGGUAUAUUGGAAAUUCUCGUGCCCGAUAACAUCAAGAUUCUUAGAAAUGAUAGCUUUCCGAUCUCACUUGGAAUUUCCCCCCUCAAAUAUCUACAACUGCUAGCAUGGAUCUUUUCAAUCUUCUCCAAUGAUAGUCUUCCAAUCUCACUUGGAUUUUCCCCACUCAAACAUCCAUAACUGCAGGCAUAGAACUCUUCAAGCCUCUCCAACUUCCCAAGGGCGCUAGGUAGCUUUUCUAACAUGGAGUCAAAGAUCCUUAGUAUUCUCAAGUUCUUCAUCGUCUCUAUUGAGUAUGGUAACUCUCGUAUACUUGAACAAGAAAGAUCUAACUCGACAAGAGAUCCAAAAUUUCCAAGUGGAAGUUCACUCAGCAAGCGACAUGACACUGCACUGAGAGUUUCCAAUUUCUUCAUUCCGUUCCAUUCAGGAAUUUUGAUAAUAGAUGUCCCAUCAAGAAGAAGUUCUCUCAAGUCUUCCAUUUCUUCCAUCUCGUCUGGCAAUGUCCGAAGUUUCCCACAAUAUUUCAAGUUUAAUAACACUAAAUGCUUCAACCUACCAAUAGACCUAUGGACUUCAACCAGUUCCGUGCACCCUUGAAGAAUCAGUUGCUCUAAAUUUUCAUGAGCAGAAAGGUCAGGAGUUCUAUGCAAGUUUCCACAUCCAGUCAAAUUUAGAACCUUCAAAUUCUUUGUCAUCUGUAAUGAAGAGAAGAGGUUGAUUCUGAAUACAUUUUGAGAUACUGGACAGCAAAGUCAAUAUAGCAAAUUCAUGUCGAAAUAAUACCGUACCUUGAGGUGGUUCCAUCCCUCCCACUCAUCAGUAAUUUCACUCCUUGAUAGAUCAAGAAUCAUUAGCUUCUUAAGACAAAUUGUCAUGAAUUUGAAAUAGACAGGAAAGUUAUGCCAUGAGAGCAUUAUCAAAUUAGGAAGCAUGAUCGUAUUCCUCUGGCACAAGUUGGUAGAAGGAAAAUGCUGACCGUUGCUCUCAUCCAAGUCUACACAAUCCACUUGAAGAAAUCUUAAUUUUGAUAGGCUUAUAGGUUCUUCCUUCUCAAUUAAGUCUUGAAAUUGAUGAUCAAACCUGAGACAUAUUGCUUCAACGUUUUCUCUUCCCUACCAAAAAAUAAAAAAUAAAAACAUUAAACAAAAGAUAGUGAUCCCAUAAUUGCCAGUUGAAGGCAUUCGAGUUGAAUAUACUUGAGAAUGUACUUCUUACAUAUAAUUUAAAAUUAAUUUGCAAUAUAAUUUACAGAUGAGCAUGUGAUCUUACUAAGCACACAAGUAAUGACUCGGUUAAGAUAGAAGCAAAUAAGCAAAGUCAAUGUGUAUAACUCAUCUCUUUGAAUAGGAACAACAUUGCAAAUACUUUACCUCCUUUAUUUCAAGGACAUCAAUCGAUUCCUCAUGAUCCCACACCCGACUUUGCUUCUCAAUUUUAAAAUGAGCUCUUUCACGAACGAUGUCUCGCCCAAGGUCUCUUAGUUGUUCAUGCACCCACAGUUGGUUACCUUCGACAAUCUUCAUUAACGAUUUCCGUUGGAGGACUUCCAGAGAACAUUCAGGGAAAAGUUUACGGCUGGCCCAAAUGUAAGUCACAGUUCUCACAUCAAACCCAACAAAGAAGCAACAAACAUCGAGAAAUAUUUCCUUCUCUUGAGGUUCUAAUGCCUCAAAACUGAUGUUCAGCUUACUUUUAACCUCUGUAUUGGGAAUAGUUUUCAAUUUUUCUAAUGUUUUCACCCAAAAUUUUCUGUCAUUUCCAGCUAAAAAUGAACCUAUAAUCUCUAGAGCCAAAGGAAGAUUACCGCAAAUUUCUACCGCUAUUUCCGAGAGGUAAAUAUAUUCUGUUGGGGGAUGAUCUCUUCUAAAGGCAUGUUUGCUAAACAGUAGAAGAGAAUGAUCGAAAUCCAUUUCAGUAAGUUCGUACUUAAAAUCAACAUCUUUGAGAACUUCCUCAUUUCUUGUGGUAAUAAUAACCAUACUUCCUCUGCCAUACCAGUAUUCACCUGUCCCUACGAGAGUGUUUAGUUGAGUGCUUUGGUCGACAUCAUCAAGUACAAGUAAAACCUUUUUAGAGGAUAACCUCUCCCUAAUCGCAGUAAUCCCUUCAUUAAUAGUAUUGAUGGAUGACCAUUCCAUUCUUAGGACUUUAGAGAGAAGCUGAUUCUGCAAAAUCACAAUCUUUGUCUCUCGAAUGUUAGACAGGAAGCAACAGUUAUCAAAAUCAGCCAACAGUUUAUUAUAGAUGAUAGUGGCAAGAGUUGUCUUUCCGACACCACCCAUACCAUGGAUGCCAACAAUCUUUGUUCCAGUGGGCUGUGUACCCAUCUUUUCCAUGAUUUUGUCCACAUGAUCGAAUUUUGUUCCAAUGGUCUGUGUACCUAUCUUUUCCAUGAUUUUGUCCACAUGAUCGUCCAUUUCAACCAAGUAAUCAGGUUCUGCCAAGUUUUUCUUUUUUAACUCGAUCAACAGCGUCCGAACAACUUCUUCUGUGAACUCCCCUUUGCCUCUGACAAUAUUGAAGGCAAAAGGACCAAACUGUUAAAUUGAGAUGAACAUAAUAAUACCAAGCUACAAACAAUCAUGAACAAUAAUAAUUUCAAAUACCUCUUCUUGAGUUCCCAUCCUCUUAAGUCUGCAACCUUGCUGAGAGCUGUCUUCCACUUCUCAAUAGUCUCAUUAGUGAACCGCUUCUUAUUUUUGUGUAAAGUAAUGGCCUCACCGUAACCUCCAAUUUGGUAACGAACCUCAGAUGGUGCUAUGUCAUAGAAAAUUGGCAUGAUCUUUCGUCCAAAGUUUUCCUUGCACUCCACCAUCUGGACCAACUCCAUGAGGCACCAUGGACUGGCAGCAUAUCCUUUAGAUAAGAUAGGAAUCGAGAUUUCUGACUGCUUCAUUGCUUGGACAAGCUCCGGGCCAAUCUCUUCCCCAAUGGGAAGCUCUUCAUUAUCUCUAUAUGCCCGUAUUCCGGCACGAAUGAGGCUGGUGUAAAGGUAAUCAGCAAUGUCAAGGCGAGUGUCUGGUCCUCUAAAGCUCAAGAAUACUUCAUAAUCAGAUCCCGUUGGCUUCUCCAUUUCCUGAAUUUUCAGAGGAUUUGCAAUCACCUGAUAUCCCACCAGAAAAAUGUUUACCAUGAAAGCGGAGUGAUGAUUAUCACGAUUUCUCUUAGAAACUCUUCUGUUUCAAGUAUCUCUAGGAAGAAACCAAGAUGACAAAUGCAAGAGCUUCUGUGCUUUGCACUAGACACCAAAAUAUAGUAGAGAAGUAGACCCAUCUCAAUUCUAAAGGAAGAAAUUUCCAAAGUAUUGCGGAAAUAUAAGCUAUGGUUCACACUUGAAAUUGAUUUGAAAGAAUAAUAUUUUGAGAAGAUAAAUCACUAUCAACCUAUAUUCGUCUUAAACUAUUACUUAUGUGAUAAAGUUCCUCUUAAAAGCUGACGUUGAAUGUCCUCUGCACAUCAUGCCUGCUUCUGCUUGUAGAUUGACUAAUUAUCUUAUUGUCUGAUAAGAAAUAAUGAUGAAACCUUCCUCUUUUAUUUUACCAAAAUAUAUUUGACAGACAUUCCACGACCCUCAAUUAGUGUUCUCUUGGCCUUAACGGACGCAGGUGAAGAAUCGCCCCCAAUGAAGAUCUCUAAUUGGAAAGGCGAAAUCAAGAAAUUACACCGGAGCUACUUCAACCCCCUCCGUUGGACUAGUUUCUAAAGAGCAUAAACCGAUCUCCAAUUACAGGCACAGGGUCAAAGGCGAGCAUUAGAAGCUAACGUUCGCAUUUGCCAGAAAGUAUCAGCAUAUCAGAAAAAGAGGGGUGAACUACUAACCGAUAAUGUAGUUGAUGAAAUUUCAACAGAAAAAAGAAGCAUGAAUGCUAUAAUUGUUUUUCCAGAAAAUAAGUUUGAACACGCAGGAGUGCAGGAACAAGAACUGUACUUUACGGAAGCGGGGACAUUACAGUCUAUUCAAUCUGUCUCUACUGUUGAAUACAGUGUUAAGGGUAUCAAUUUCUGCCUAGGAGCAUUCUUACUGCUAAUCACUGGACAAUAACGUAUGAAUUUGUCGUCUGGAAGUCUCUUAAAGAUACCACUGUCUCUGUUCGCACAGAAAUUAAAAGAACAAAAAAGUCCCAUCAAACAAAUGAAAUCAACAGAUCCACUCAAACUAAUUUAGCCUUGAGCGCCAGCAAUCCACGCGAAAACUCAGAGAGAGAGAGAGAGAGAGAGAGAGAGAGAGAGUACGCGGGUGGCGAGCGCGUAAGACUGAGCGUUGUCGAUGAUGGAACCGGACUUGCCUCCUCCUUCGCCGCCGCCGCCGCCGCCGACGAGCUCACUCCGAGGCUCGACACCGCUCGCCUCCGCUUCACCUUCGUGCUGUGUCUUCUUCUUCGCCAUUCCCGCUCUCUGAUAUCAGAAAGUUCCGAUUUUUCGACACGGUACGAGGUCGAGUGGUCAAGGGUUCAGGCGUCGAUCUUGGCGGUGGUAUUGCGUUUCAGGAUCUGAGGCCUGACAGUUGCAUAGAUGGAAGUGGAUGAGCACUGAGCAGGGUUUUAGCAUGCGACUCAAGUUAGAGGCUAAAGCUAUUAGUGUUAGACGCAACUAGCAGUGAUCAAUCAUAUGAAGUCAACUGAGGAAGGAAUUUGAUGCUGAUCUGAGAGUCCCUCUAUUGUUUCCCUCAAAUUCUGCAUCUAGUUGCAUUACAGAACAGACCCGAUUCAAUAAAAAGAAGGCAAUAAACGAGAGGAAAUUACCGGAGAUGGAGGGGGUGAAGAUGAAGAGUCCAGAUCAAAUGCUGAGAAGCAGAUGAAGAUCCCAAGAAUAAACAAACGCUCUUGGCUUUUGAGUUCAGCUCAAGAGAGGCGAGACUUCUAUGAGACGGUGAAUUCACCCUCCCUCGCCGUGCCCCCUUCUAGGAAAGUGAGGGCUUGCUAGUUGCAGGGAAAACUUCAGGCCGACCGAGAAAAAGUGAAUACGCGUUUUGCUCUCGACUUUUGAGCAAACGAGGUGAGUUACUGGGAAAUUUCUCGAAGUCCGGAGACUUUUUGGCACGAUGGGCGAGAGUACAAGAGCGUUUUCGUUGCAUGUUAUUAGUUUAAAAAUCAUACAAUUUAUAUUAAUUGAUAUUCUUUUAACGACGAUGAAGGUGAAUCCUAGGCCCGUUCAAAUUUUACAUAUAUUAAAUCAAAAAAUGUAGAGUUCAUGUAUUUUAAGUAUGUCAGAAGUACACAUAAUGAGUUUGAAAAAUAAAAAGAAAUCAGAAAAAAUAGCGUCGCAAAUGUUAUAACUUCCUCAUAAUACUUAACUAAAUACUAUAACUUGUUUGAGAUUAAGUAAUAUAAUUUUCGUUUGAUGCUCACUUAAAUACAAUUUUUUUUUUUAUCACUAGUGCCAUGACUUGUCAAAAUUGUUCACCCAAGAAUGAAUGUUCCCGUGAGGACCGCUGGCCUACCUCUGUCCUUCUAGGUUCUCCACUUUUGACGCUUCCUCUUUUCUCCAAAUUUUUACUUUAUUUUUUUUAAUUUUUUCUUAAAAUCUGCUGACACGGCAGCUAUAUCAAUGCCUCCAUCUUCAAGGAAAAAAAGUCAUGAUCAUUUUUCCGAUUAACCAAAUUUGAUGGAAUUAAUAGCAGGAUUUGAUCGCACUAAUUUAAUAAAUUUUAAAAUUUUCAAAAAAUGCAAUCAAAUUUUAAAAUUUGAAGGCACUUUCCCAACAUAUUUUAAGAUUUAUGGAGCAUUUAUUCCCUCUUAUGAGAUAAUAAUACAAAUAAUAUUUAAACUUUGGCUUAAUAUGUAAUGUUAUUCUUAAUUUUUUAAUUUGUUCAAUGUGAUAUCUAAAAUAUUGAUAACUGUUCAAUUUAGUCUUUAGAUUAAAUGCAUUAUUUCCAUAUAGUUUAACGACUAGAUUGGAUAUCUGUUAAUAGUUCAUGGAUCACAUAAAAUAAAUUCCAAAUUCAGAGACAACGUUUGAUAUUGGACAAAAUAUAAAGAUUAUUUAUGUCAUUUUUUUCAUUUUUUAAAUCUAAAAAUUUAGAAACUUAAGGAUCGACAAAUAAUUCACAUAUAAUUUUUUUUGAUAAUUUUAUGAGAUUUGAACAAUAAUUUAAAUUUUGACAAAAAGGUAAAAGAACUAUUAUUUAAGUCCAAGCAAAGAGGCACUAGAUCAAUUAAAUUUCGCCAUUUCUUUACGGUGUCCCUUCGUGUGGGCACCAUUUUCAUGGGAGAGACGACUGGUGCGUUGACGCCAAGGAAAGUGAGGACCUGUUGGUUGCAGGGAAACUUCAAGCCGACCAUGAAAAAGGGAAUACGUGUUUUGCUUUCGACUUUUGGGGAAAUUGAGUUGAGUUUCUGGGAAAUUUCUCGAAGUCCAAAGAUUCUUUGGCGCGAAAGGCGGGAGUACAAGAGAUUUUCCCGGGUGUUAUUUGAUUAGAAAUCAUUCAAUUUAUGCUAAUUGAUAUUCUUUUAAUGACAAUAAAACCCUAAUUUUGUAGGUGAAACCCAGGCCCAUUCAAAAUUUUUUUUUUUUGGUAAAGGUAAGUAGCAGGCCCAUUCAAAUUUUAUGUACACCAAACCCAAAAAUGUAGAAUUCAUAUAUUUUAAUUAAGGAAAAAGGCCACAAUAAACCCCAAACUUUAAUAACCGCGACACGUUUAUUUCACCAAUGACAUUUUUUUCUUAUUUUUUCCGUUCUUCCUUUUUCUUUUUCUUUUUCUUUUCCUUUUUUUCUUUUUCUCUCUUCCCGCCGCCAUGGCCAGGAGGGAAGAGAGAAGAAGAAGAAAAAAAAGAAAUUUUUUUUUUAAAAGUAAAAGAUGAAAAUACCCUAUAGUUCAGAGUAAAUGUGUCACAUGAAUACAAGUUCAGGGAUUUUUGUGUCACAAAAAAGUUUAGGGUAAAUGUGUCAUGGUUAACAAAGUUUAGAAUUUUUUAUGUUAUAAAAAAAAAUUGUAAAUUUGUCACUUUGGGCAAAAUUUAGAGUUUUUGGUGGUUUUUGAGUUCGUAUGACAAAAAAGUUAGAAAAAAUAACACCAUAAAUGCCAUAACUUGCGUACAAUACUCACUUAAACACUAUAACUAUUUUUUUUUUUUUUUGUGGAUUGAGUGAUAUAACUUUUGUUGGGCACUCACUUAAAUGUUGUAACCUUUUUCUUUCAAUCACUUGUGCCAUAACUUUUUAAAAUCAUUCACCCAAGUGUUAAAAAUUCAACAUGAUAUAAUAUUCUUGAUGACCGUUUUUAAAAGUCAUAGCAGUUAAGUAAAGUUAUGACACUCAAGUGAAUUCAUUUUAAAAGUUACAGCACAUAAAUAAUCGGGAAAAAAAAUUAUGGCAGUCAAGUAAAUGUCGUACGAAAGUUAUGACAUAUGGGGUAUUUUAUUUGUCAAAAGUUGCAUUUAGUCAUAUGAGGCGGUUUCCACCGCGGUUUCUCUCCCCCUCGCAUGUGAUUCCGAGGGUCAGCUUCCACCGCGCGUGAUGGUGGCUGUAGUGUCAACACCGAUGAACACUAAUAAGGCGGCGGUAGCAAGGGUGGCAAGGGUGACGAGUCGAGGAGGAGGAGGCGGUGCAAGUCGCGUGAGGCUUGCAAGGCCGCCGCUCUAGCGAGGGCUCGCCUCGUGCCUCGACAACAAGGCGAGCCUUCGCCAGAUCCGGCGGGGGCUCGCCCUGCCGUCACUGGGCACGUGCCAACUAGCAAGGUGAGCCCUCACCAAACUCGGCGAUGGCGAGGCCCCCCUCGCCGGAUUUGGCGAGGGCUCGGCCCGCCAACCGCCUCAGUCCGGCAAUCAGCUAGCCCUCUCCUCUGGCCGAUCGCCGGAGCUAAGGGAAGAAGGAGGAGAGGAGGAGGAAGGAGGGAGAGGGAAAAAAAAUAAUAAAAAAUUUCAAAAAAUAAAAUAUUAUUAAAAAAAUGUUGUCGGCACCAACCGGCCAUUUUUAGCCGGAUGGACCGAUCGGGAAGAAUUGUAAAAGUUUUAGGACUCAAUUGAUCAAAAAAAUAAGUUUAUGACUGAAUUGUCACAAUUGCAAUAUGUUUAAGACUGUUUUGGUAAUUUUCCCAUAAAUAAAGCUCCAAAAAUAUUUGCACUACUAGUGAAAGCUUACCAACUAUAUAUGGUUUGAACAGAACUUCCAAGAUUGGGGACAUCAAUAUGUGCAACCAUAGUAGUGUGUUUGGUCAACAUUUAGCAAGUUGGGUAGCCACCUGACCGUUGUGUAGUUGGAAUAUUUGGGGUGAAAUGGUAAUGUCCAUAUCACCACUAGAAGGCAAGGCAUCCAGAAACUUAUUUUUUACCAAGGAAAGUUUUAAGAGAAAAUCAAUUAUCCUAUAGUCCAAAAAUUGGAAAUUACGAAAUUAUAAGUAAAUCAUUAACUACAAAAUGCAACUUAAUUUACAUUUAUAAAUUAUUUAUGAUUAAACAUAAAUUAAUAAAUAUGUUGAUAUGCAUCGAUGAUGAUUGAUCAACAAAAAGAAUUAUUACAUUGUUUUUAAAUAGUGACGGGUAAAUUAAUUUAAAUAACUAUCAUGAUAAUGUACUAUGGAUAUCUAAAUCUAAAGGAAAUGCAAUCAUACUGUAAAAUCUAUGUUAAAUAUUGUUAUUUUUAUUGCAUUUUAUUCUCAAAUUGGUUUCGUGCCAUUUUUCAUUUGUGUUUAUUUUAAGAGAGGCGCUCAUGCGGUUGCUAAUGCCAAAUGUUCAAUUUUCUAAUCAAGAUAUGAAAAAUUGUUUGAAAAUUUUGGAGAAAUAAAGAUCUUGAAAAAAGGAUAGAAAAAUCAAACGAGAAAUCAUCCUAAAGAGGUGCAAAAGUCUCCAUCAAGUACCUUGGAACAUCAUUUAUUUAAAAAGAAAAUUGAAAAGAAAAAAAAGCUCCAAACAGUGUUCAUGACGGUGGAGAUUGCAUUUGUUGUUGCAGGAAUUCAUCCUACCAUAAUCAAAUUUAAUUCGUGAAAUUUAAUCUGCUUUUGGUUUCGUGUGAAAUUUAUUUGCCCACGUCAUUGAUGGAGCUCUUGAAGAAGCAUGGGAAGGUGGUAGAGAGGGCCAAGUUGGCUUUGCUGGAGUCCGACGAGGAACGUUGGCCAACCACCGUCCUUCUUGGUUCUCCACUGUUUGACUCUUUCACUUUUUUCCAAAUAUUUUUUUCAGGAUUUUAUUUCUAGAAAUCUUGGAAUCAAUUUUUUUCCCUUUUUCUUUUUCUUAAAUUUUGCUGACAUGGCAGCCAUUUCAAUGCCUCUAUCUUCAGGAAAAAAAAAAAGUCAUGUUAUUUUCUCCCAUUUACUGAAUUGAAAGGAGUUAAUAGCGAGAUUUGAUUAUACAAAUUUAAUAAGUUUUAAUAUUUAAUUACACUUUUUCAAAUUUAUAAAAUAUGAUUCCACCUUUAUAACGUACUUUAAGACUUAUGUUUAUCCUCCCUUAAAGAUAAUAAUACAAAUGAUCAUUGAACUUGACUUAAUGUGUAAUAUUAUUCCUAAAUUUUUAAUUUGUUCGAUGUGAUCUCACAAUUAUUUAUAGAUGUUCAAUUUAAUCUUUAGACUAAAUUUGCCAUUUCCAUAUAAUUUAAAAAUUAGAUUGAACAUUAUUAAUAGUUCAUGACCGCAUUGUAGAAAUUAAAGCUUAAAAACAAUAUAACAUAUUUGGACAAAGUUCAUCAAAUUAAACGAAUUAAAAAUUUGGGGCUUAUUUAUGUCAUUUUUUUCAUUUUUUAAAAUCUAAAACUCUAGAAACUUAAGCACAACACAUAGAUUCACAUAUAAUCUUUUGAUAAUUUUUUGAAAUUUGAACAAUAAUAUAAAUUUUAACAAAAAAGUAAAAAAAAAAUUACUUUUUACUUUUAAAAAAAAAAACUCCAGACAAGCAUUAAAUCAAUUACUUUUCGCCAUUUCUUUACAAUGUACCUUCGCGUGCCGGAUGUUAAGAGUGAUAAGAUGCAGAGGACACCUUUUUCAUGGGAGAGACGACUGAUGCAUUGCCAUGUUCUUCAGCGAUAUCGUCCCAUCCAUCCAUCACUAUGUCUCUUUCAUCGCACGAUGCGUCGCCAAGAAACACCUGAAGCUCGGCAUGACCGUCCACUCCCACCUCAUCAAGACCGCACUCGCCAGCGACUCUUUCCUCGUCAACCAUCUCAUUGGCAUGUACUCCAGAUGCUCUUCCAUCCGAACCGCCCACAAGGCUUUUGAUGAUCUCGAUACAAAGAACAGUCACUCUUGGAACACCAUCAUAUCUAUAUAUGCUCGGAUAGGCGAUUUCAAGAAGGCCCUCGUCUUGUUCGAUGAAAUGCCGCAGAGGGCUCUUGUCUCUUAUAAUUCCUUGAUUUCUGGGUUGUCCCGUCAUGGGUUUUAUGUGGAGUCUCUGAGUAUCUUCACGCAGAUGUCAAAAGAAUAUGAUUGUCUAUUCGUGGAUGAAUUUACUAUUGUGGGUGUUGUGGGUACCUGUGCUGACCCGGCGCAUUUGAGUUCUUACGCCAGGUUCAUGGAGUUGCCAUCAUAAUGGGCUUGGAAUUUACUAAGAUUACUUAUAAUUCCCUGAUUGAUGCUUGUGGGAAAUGUGGUGGAGCCGAUAUAUGCUGGGCCUUGUUCGACGUUAUGCCUUAAAAGGAUAUUGUGUCGCGGACUUCCAUAGUUGUUGCUUGUACAAGAGCUCAUAACAUAAAUGAUGCUUGUGUAAUAUUCAACAAUAUGCCAGCGAAGAACAGAGUCUCCUGGACUACACUGGUCGCAGGCUUUGCAACAGAACUUGGACUUCAAUAUCUGCAACCAAAAUUGUAAGUUAGGUUAGCACUUAGCAGGUGCGGCGGUCAUCUAUCCAACCUUUAUCUAGUUGGACCACUUGGGGUGAAGUGGGGGUAUCUCUAUUAACCCUAGAAGGAAUCCUGAAAUUUUUGUUUUGCCUAAGAAAAUUUGAAGAAAAAUUUAAUCAUCCUAUUAUUUAAGAUUUGAAUAGUCCAAUCAUUGGAAAUUACGAUUGGUUAUAAAUAUUAUAAAAUGAUAAGUAGAUGACGAAGCACAAAAUAUAAGUCAACUUAAUUAUAUUCAUAAAUUAGCUAUGAAUAAAAAUAAAUAAAUAACAGAUUGGUAUAUUGAUGCUAAUUAUUCAUAUAAAAAUUGUGCCAUUACGAUUUUUUUUUAAAACAAUGACAAAUUAAAUGAGAUUUCUAGUAACGCAAUAUUGUACUAUAGGCUAACUUUAAUUUAUAGUAAACACAAUAAUAUGGUAAAAUCUACUUUAAAAUCAUAAUGCACGUGAUAAAUUACUGAUAGUGUUGGUAACUUACAACAAUAGUUAAAGUUCAUUAAAAUGUUGGUAAAUUUCUGAUGGUGUUAGCAAUUUACUUACAAUACUGUUAAAAUUUCAGAAGAAUUUGCAAUUUACUAAAUUAAUGAAAAACUGAUAAAUUUCAGAUAGUAUAGGUAUUUUACUACGAGUGUACCUAACAAGCAAGAACAGGUCUUUUUUUUUUUUUUUUUUUACCAGCACGAUUGCCAGCAAAAUUGCAAUAUUACCAACAGGGAAGACUUUUCAAUUCUCAAGUCCUGCGGGACCGUAGACUUUCGCCAAAGAUUCAUACAUCUCCGUCCCUGCGACAAAAACUUAAAAGCCCACUAAAAUUUCAAAUGGUGAAAUUUGAAACGCAGUCAUGAAUUCACUCUAAAGCACAUGUAAAAAUCCAUUUUGAGUUAUCAAAACUAAAGAAGCUUUGUGAUCAUUGCACAUGAUCAUUAACGGGAUGAUUAGCCCCUACUUCUUCAUUUCUUCAGUGUGGAAAUUUUGUGAGAAAUCAACAACAAUUCUGUGAAUAUGGAUAUAGUUGCUAAUGUCUACUUAAAUUCGUGACACUGAAUGCAAGACAUUCUCAGGGUAUUGUCUCAAGAACAUCAAUCUCUGUGAAUGAAUUCUGGAUCAAGUCAUCUUCAAUCCUUGAUCAAUUUCACCGAAAGCCAAAAAUUGCCCUUCAUAUCAAAUGAGGCGACAAUGCCGGAAGAGUGCUACUACCAAGGACGGAUAGAGCUGUCGCUUUUCAAAGAAAUUAUUACAAACGAGGGAAAUUUCAAAUCACCUACUCGUAGAAGAAUCCAUUUUGAAAUCAUCUCUCGACUCUAAAUACGUUUCUAACGAUUUUCUCUAAGUUGCCUCUAAUUGAAGAUAAUUUUUUUAAGUUCAAAUCUGACAGGAAGUUUUUCUGCUUGUCGUAGAAAUAUAUUGAUAUUCACAUCACUUAGUCAUACAAGAACUUUACAUUACAAUCAUGGGAUGUCUUCUCAAAUAGGUUGACAAAGUGAAUGUUGCUCAUUCAUAUGAAAAGUUGAGGGUAGGUAGUUGAUACAAUCCGACGACGAGGAACGGAGGUAGGUCGAUACAAUCUCCCUCCCUCCCCCCUGACGUAGGUAUCCAAAGUGAGCUGACAAUCAGAAAAGAACAGGCGAAACAAAGAGAGAUGACCAACAUCACGCCCUCGUGGAACAGAGCAAAGCGCAGGAAGACGUGGUCACAGACUCACAGUCCCAGAGAGAGAUCCCCGCCAGGUUGAUUUGCACAUCGUGCUUCCACUCGGGGUCGCCAUCGCAUUCCUUGACGGACAGAGUCCCUUGCUGCUGGUUCUGGGCGAGCUUCUUGCUCGGGGGUCGUCGCUGACGAUGGAGGAAGAAGGGAAAAAAAAAUGGAGUGAGAAGAGAGACGCAGCUGGAAGAGAGAAGAAAAAGGAGAAGAAAGUCGAAAUUUCUCAAGAGGGGGUCCCAUUUGUACACGUGGCCAUCGAUUUACGGUCUCAAGUAUACUCUAUACAUGGCACAACGUAUUACCCUCCCAAGUUCUUUUGUCGGCCUUGCCAAUUUUUUCAGAUUUGUGCACUCAUCGGAUUCCAAAGUCUGCUCAAACUUCUCAGAUUCACCUAUAUAAAAACUUGCCAGAUUCUUGAAGCUUGAAGGAUCAGUUAACUUUUGCAGAGACCUGCAGUGAUAAAUAGAAAGCCUCUCCAAUGAUUCUAGCCUACCUCAAAUCUCAACCAGAUCAGGGCAACUUACUACAUUAAGUGGCUCAAGCUUCUUGCAAUUGGUCUGACGGAAGAUUCCUAAGAUUUAAGUACUUCAGGUGCCCCGAAUCUUCUAGGCCUUGAAUUUCUUUUAGCUUCCAACAGCCAGAUGUAAGGACUUGUUCUAUAUUUUUGAAGCUUAAUGUACUAGGCAACUUUUCAAGAGAUUCACAGGACAUAAUAUAAAGUAUCUCUAACGAUUCUAGCUGACCUCAAACCUCAACUAGUUUAGGACAAUUUAAUAUCCACUUUCCUUUUAUUGAUGACCAUGGCGAGGGCAAGACUCAUGCUCUGAAAGCCUUAUGAUCCAUCUCUUUGUUCUGUUAGUAUUUUGUCUACAUAUUUAUAUGUCAAUGAACUGAACUUUGGGUUUCUGUUUGUCCAUCUACUUGCGCAAGUGGUAAUAUACUUAAAUACAUUACCAGAUUUCUUCCAACCCUCUUCCUGUUUGCUUUGCAUGAAGCCGUCCUCUAGAAAUCUUACUUUUCUAAGCUCUGCGAGCCCUAUAUAAUCCAUUACACAGCUAAUCUUUUGAUUAUACCCUAUCCUGAAUUUGAUCAUUUCUUAUGUCAGGAAGAAUGAAUCAGGCUCUCUCAUGUUUUUAUGCCUUUGCUCGAUCUUGGUAUUCACAGUCCAUGCUAAUCGUUGGGUUUAAUGAGCACUUUCCUUGACUCCUCGUUAGUGGUAAGUGAUUUUGCAACAAUAUCUCUAUCAGCGUAAUGAGAAUUGUCAUUCUCACGCUCUGAAUUGAAUUUGCUACAAAACCUAUCCUUUGCUGUUGUCGCCAAGCCCGUCAUACUGAUGCACUGUGUCUAUUUACUUUCAGAUAACAUCGCAUCGAUGUGGAAAAGAAAUUCUGAGUCGAACACUUUUCCACUCGCUUUAUCUCUGGAAUGUCGACCCAUCAUGAUGUAUUAGUAAUUAGAAGCAAGCCAGUCUUGCUAAGGAGUGAAAAUUUUUUUUUUUUUUUGGUAGUUUUUUUUUUUUUUUUUAUAUAAGUUUCUUUGUACUACAGAACUAAUUCUGCGAUGGUAUUCAUGUCGAGAGAGCGGCAAGAAAAGAGAUUCCGGCAUAUUGCAUAUAAUUUCUUUGAACGCAACAUGUUGGAAACCGCCUCUAUUUUCAUUUUCCUGUAUCGUGCAUAUUAAAAGAAAAACAAGAGAACAGAACCAACUUGACCUGGUUAGUCAUUUGAUGAUUUGGUUCUGUAUUUUUGGCAGGGUUCACAAUUCAAUCGAUCCUAUUUAUUUAAGAUGAGUUGGUUUGUGAAAAGAAAUUUAUGUAAAAAGCGGAAACUUCUAAUUUGACUUCAUCUAGAGAUCGUCAGUUUUCUUGCCGGCUUGUUGGUCAUUCCUAGGAUCUUAUACUUUCACUUGCUUUCCUCACUUCUUGAAUCAAAAUUCCCUUGCGUGUACAUUCAAAACAACAGGCUUUGAUAAUUUGUCGACAUUUCCUAGUACUGACACACAAAAGUCAUCUCCAUGUGUGAUUUGCACCAAGAUUUGCAGUUUCACAUCUCAAAGGGGAGGAUGUUUGCUUGACCUCGGCACAAAUGUCUUUCGGGAUGUCUCAGAUGCCGGUCUCUUGAGCUGGUGAAUCCUUCUCCUGUUCUUCUGUUCCUUUCAGCUGGUGAAAUCUUCUACCCUGCUCUUCCUCCAGGAAGGCGUAGCGGUCGAUUGAUCUGUUUGUGGAGAUAAAAUUUCUCCUCUCUCUGAACCUUCAAUCUCCUCUGCAUUAAUUUGUAUAACACCGACCACUCCAGUUAGUUAUGGUACGCUCUGCCCUCAUGCAGAUCUCCUACUUCUUAUGUCCAAAUAGACUUGUCUUUGAAUCGUGUCAGCUACAACCCAUCAGUGCCAGUGAAACUCGGCCAAACAACAGUGUGCAUUAGACAGAGAAAAGAGAGCUCUUUCUGCUCACACACAUUUUAUCAAAUGUUACCAUGGUAUGAACGAUGAAGAGAAAUCGAAGGAUGAUGACUCUCCAUGAACUAACAAACGGCGGCAUCAACUGGCAUUUCCAUCUCAUAAGACUUGAAGUCUGAUUCACUCAGUUCCUCAUAAUAAGACAUUAAGUCCGAUUCACUCAGCUCCUCAUAGGCCUUGUAAUCAUCCGUAAUGGCGAUGUACCCAUCUCGCUUCAUCUGUCCUAAGAGAGACCUUAACAAAAAAUAAAUAUCACCCUUAUGAGGGUACCUCUUGUCCUUGACAAUGAAGACAAGAACUUGACCCUGAAUUUCUAUCCAUCUACAACCAGGCUGCUUGACUACUCCCCGUUGCCUCAUCAGCUUCCUUAUUCUGAGUUCUGACAACUUCGCCCCAUUUUUUGCGUUCUGCAUACAUGUUCAAAAGCAGAACGUAAGGUCCGGAGUUCGAAGGGUCGAUCUCUAAUAGCUUCUCUGCUACGUACUUUCCUAAUGUUAUACCUUAUGAACUUUGCAGGCUGCAAGCAGCGAACCCCAAACGACAAUCAGGUUGCAUGGGCAUUGUCUCUAUUAAGUCCUUAGCUUCACUGAGACAACCGGCUCGGCCAAGUAAAUCAACCAUGCACGUAUAAUGGUCCUUUACCACUGCCAGAUCAUACUCCUCAACCAUCUGCUUGAAAUAAUGGCGCCCCUCUUCGACCAGCCCUGCAUGGCUGCAAGCACAUAGAACCCCGAUCAUAGUGACACGGUCUGGUCUCUCGCCAGAUACCAACAUUUUCCUGAAUAUUUCAAGCGCCUCUAUUCCAUAACCGUUCUGUGCAUAUCCAACAAUUAUGGCAUUCCAUGACACCUUGUUCCUCUCCAACAUAUUCUUAAACACCCAUAAACCAUCUUCCACAGCUCCACAUUUAACGUACAUGUCUAUAAGAGAAUUUCCAAAAAAAAUAUCUGAUUCUUCUCCAGACUGGAAGCGGAAUCCAUGCUUCAGGACAUGAGCGUGAGCCUGCUGGCCCAACUGCAAAUCGGCAAGAUUCGCACACACAUUAAGCAAAUUUCCGAAUGUGUAGUGCAUCGGCUCAAUGGCUUCCCUCUUCAAAAGGUGAACCAAAUGCUUCUUCAUUCUGUCCAUUCUGUGUAUACUCUGCAAUGAGAGCAUUCCAAGAAACUACAUUCUUCUCCACCAUCCUCAUGAACAUUACUCUUGCAGUUUUGAGACUGGCUGCUUUUGCAUACCCGCUCACCAUGGAGGUGGCUGACACUAUAUUUCUGGUAGGCAUUCUAUCAAAAACUGCUCUGGCCUCACUAAUUCUGGAGCACUUAGAGUACAUAUCAACCAAUGCAUUUCCUAAAACAACAUCAUUCCUAAAUUUGUCACAUUUUACAAUAUGGGCAUGAAUUUGCAUCCCUUCCUUAAGUGCUGACAAGCUAGCGCAGGCGCUGACCACACUGGCUAAAGUAACCUCAUCUAUUUCAAACCCACAAUCUAUCAUGCUCACGAAAACCUCAAGAGCUUCACUGGCUGGACCAUUUUGUUCAUAACACGUAAUCAAGCUGUUUCAAGAAACGAUAUUUCGAGAAUUCAUUUCAUCAAAAGCCCUCUGUGCACAAGCCACGUUCCCACACUUGGAGUACAUGUCGAUAAGAGCAGAGCCCAUAUGAACAUCAGAUGAGCACUUGGACUUCAAUAUCAAAGCCUGAAUCUGUUGGCCCAGAUACAUAUCUGCUAACCCGGCACAUGCGCUAAAUGCACUACCAAAUGAGUACUCAUUAAGCACAUAAUUCUCCCUAUGCAUCUUACCAAAACGUUGCAGGGCUUCUUUGAAUCUUUUGUGCUGCGCAUAACCUGAGAGCAUCGAAUUCCACAAGCACUGGUCGGGUUCCGGCAUUGACCUGAAUAUCUUUUCCGCUUCAUCAAGAGACCCCGAUCUGAUCAACCCGCCUAAGAUCGCGUUCCACGUGAAGGUAUUCUUCUCGGGCAUUCUAUCAAACACCCUGCGGGCGUCGUCAGGGCACCCGCAUCUCGCGUAGACGUCGAUGAGCCGGUUCUGGAUAAAAACCUCGGCGGAGAACGGGGUCUUGAUGAUCCGAGCGUGGACGCGGCGUGGGUGGCGGGCUGACUUGGACAGGCCGCAGCCGUCCAGGAGCUUGGCGAAGGAGAGGUCGCCCGCCAGAGCCUUGACCCGCGCAUGCCUCGCCAUUCCAUCAUAUCAUCGUACGAAGCGAACUCUGUCGGAGAAGAUUCGCAUAGAUGCAAAUUGAGUGCGAUGGAGAGUUUCUGUUGACCGUUACAUGCUUCCCCACUUCAGCCAGACGGACGGGAAUAUGUCGAGAGCGCUUAUAUGAAGAGCGAUGGCAAAGUCGCAGUGGCAAAAUGGUAAUUUCGGCAUGACAAUAUAUUAAUUAGACUCGUGACCAUGAAUUAUAUUGUUGGUUAUGAGUAAAUCUAAGCUACAAAUUAAAAUGUGUCAUAGAUUUAAUAUCUUGUUGUAAGUCACUAAAUAAAAAUAUUUCAUAUUUAUAAUCUAUACAACUUAUUGCUUUAUCAAUUAUUAUUAUAAGUUUAAUAUAUGACAGAUCAAUUUUAUAACCGAGUUAUUUACAAAUCAAACAUAAAUUCUUGUCUAGUAAUUUUGAUUAUUUUAAGUAAUUCAUCAUUAAAAAAAUGCAAAAAGCAAUUCUAGAGAAUGAAAAUUGGAUCUAUGUCGGAUUACAUGGGAUAGCUUUUCAAUGGCCCCCCUCCCAUGAGGAAUAGCUAACCUUGAUUUUAAGAGUAUAGCAACUUCUCUGAAGUAACUAAUCUUGAUUUACUUCUUAGCCAACUAAGGACUAAGUGUCUCAUCAUGAAUAGGCCAGGAAUAGAUAGUUACUGUGUCGUUCUUGGAUUAAUCCAAAGUACUACUCACUUUGGUCCGUCCCAUUUUGAGUCUCAUGGUUUUGUCCUUCAAGCAUAUGGGCAAACACUUUUUCAAUAGACUAUUGUGACAUUUUUGGAUUAAUUCACUUGAAAUAUUAUCCGCUUUUACUCAUUUCAUUCCGAGUCUCACGAUUUUGUCUUUGGGCAUAUAGGUAGACACUUUCUGAAAAGGUAACCCAUGUUAAUAAUAUUCUAGUCUAAUCACACUCAACUUUGGAGUGGAAUUACAGAUAGGUGAAGUGCCUACCCAUAAGCAGGAGAUCGUCCUGUUUUGGUAAGAAAAAUCAAUUAACCUUCUAAAGUGUGCGUUCAUGUGAGCCCUUGCGAGUAGGGGUGAGCAUGGUCCGGGUUGGUCCGGGCCACCCCCUAAGCCUAGGACCAACGCGUACAGUGUCGGUCCUCAAUUUUUAGGACCGAGGACCGACCCUAUUAAGCUUGGGACCAAGGACCGGACCGACCCAAUGGGUUCGGUCCGGUUCCAGGGUCAACCCGGGACCGAUCAAUGAUUUUUUUCGUCUUAUUUUUUGUACUCCAUAAAAAAGCAAACCUACAAAUUCAAAUUACACAUCUAUCGACAAUGCAACAUUGUGCAACUAAACUAUAAUUAUCAAUAUAUAUUUAGCAAAUUUAAGAUGACACAAUAAUAAAAAUUUCGUACAUGCUAACCGCUCAUGGAGAUAUGGGACAAGAUGGAAAGUUUUUGUAAUCAUCACUUAAUUAGCAAAUCACCGUAGAAUUGCAAUACUACUCUACUCUUCAAAAACUUCUACUAUUUGACACAAAUUGAAAAGCAAAGUGCAGCUGAAAUUUAUUAGUAGAAUACAAUUAAAUUAUAAAGAGUUCAAAAUACUUAAUAUAAACCAUAAAUAUAUAACUUCACAUAUUGUUAAUUCACCUUAAUUUCUAAAAACCUGAAAACAAAACAAACGACACAUAAUUAAUACUCAACAAAAGUUUUAAAUUUAAAUUACUAUUAGUGCUAUUGAUAGAAUAUCUCAAUAUAAUAUAAUAUAACAAACAUUUUACUUAGGUUUGAAUAUAUAAAAGAAUUAUAAAUAAUAUAAUAUAAUAUACAGGGUUGGUCCAGGGUUGGACCAACCCAAAACUCUUAGGACCGAGGACCAACCCACACAGUGUUGGUUCUGGAAUUUCAGGACCAAGGACCGACCCAGUCCCCUUGGGAACCGGACCAGGACCGGCAGGGUUGGGCCGGUCCAGGGUCGGUCCAGGGUUAACCCUAAACCACUGCUCACCCCUACUUGCGAGGGAGAGCUUCGUGAUAAGAAAUGAAGCCCAUCUGAAUCCACAUCCAAUUUUUCAAGGCUUUGCAACUCUUUCGGCUUUAUGCGACCAAGAACCGUCAUAGCUGAGAGUUGUCUCAGGUUUUAGAAAGGUCUAUUGAUGUUCUUAUUUCCUAGCGAAGUAUGAUAUGUAAGACGGACAAAACUCCUGGGAAGUCUAGGCAAGAACCUGAGGUUCUUAAAAAUCGAGAACAAGUUUCCUGAGCUUGCAACUCCAAGGACUUCAGAUGGUGUAACCUGUCAAUCCACCGAGGAUCAUGGAGCUUCCUCACGCCCGUAACUGUCAUAAGAAUACCUCGACACAUACAAACGCAAGCUUCUCGGAUUUAAUUGGUAUGGGAGAUCUGGAAAUCUGUACAUUGAGAAAAUUACAAGCACAGAUUAAUUCCAAGCCCACAACACCGUAGAAUUUUGCCCUAAAGAUUCAUACAUUCUCUACUUCUGCAACAAGAACUUAAAUCCCAAUUGAUAAUUUCAAUUGUUCAAACAUGAAACACAGUCAUUAAUCAUUCAGAAGCCCCUGUAGAAAUUUGUUCUAAGUCAUCAAAACUAAAGGACCUUUGUGACCAUUGCACAUGAUGACUUAUCAAAACCAAAGGACCUUUGUGACCAUUGCACAUGACCAUUAAAUAGUGAGGGUUAUGUUCAUGCUAGACAAGAUGUUUUGCCCCUACUUCUUCAUUUUCUCAAUGUGGAGAUUUUCAUGGGAAAUCCGCAACAAUUCUGUGAAUAUGGUCACUGAUGUCUAAUGGAAGUCACGACACUGAAUGCAACACAUUGAACAUUAAUCUCUGCGAAUAAAUUCUUAAGCAAGUCAUCUUGAAUCCUUGAUGAAUUUCUCCCAUGAUGAGAUUAAUUACUAAUUGCAACCGCUAAAAUUUUUAGAAGUAGGACCAUAACAGACCCAAAAAGGAAGAAAAAUUCCAGAACCAAUCGAUUAUAGUAAGUUUUCAUGCCUUCUAGGACAAUGAUUCGGUUUUAGCUAGACUUAACAAGCUCAGAAGAAGAACUGCUUCCCAUGUAUGUUUUGAACUACUUCCUAAGGAGCGAAAAUCAAUUCUCUAAUUGGUGCAGAAGUGAACUGAUGCACAGGAGUUGCAAUGUGUUUCAAUAGAAUGUGAUUUGGUUAAGGCUAAAGCUAUCAAAGAUUAGAUGCGCAGAUGGAACAAUAUCAAUUGAGUCAGCUGCCGAGUGGGUUCAUGGAAAGGCUGUUUUCAUUCCGUAUAUAUGAUAAGUCAUGACUGAAAAUAAUAAGAACAACUCAAUCCGUCCAAAUCUUUUCCUAAUUUAUCACUGAUGCAUUAAAGAUUUGCACACGGACCCAAUUCAUGCAACAGCAAAGAGACAAUUACCAGAAAAGGAAUACAAGUGAAGAACUGCGUCUAUACAGAGUUUUGAGUUGCUGGCCAACCACUGAAAUCAGGUGCGCAACCAACAUUUACUUUCUACCAUUAACCAAACUCAGAAGUCCAAGAGAUAAAAGUAUCUUAAAAACAACAAAAAGAUACUCUAAGUUGGAUUCCGCAAGAUCAGACUGCGUCUAUUCCUCAAGUACUUCACUGAUCAUCAGCACUCAAGAGAACAUUCUACCUUCUCACGCUUGAGUGUAUAAAAUGAUUUUAGCUUCUUGAUCCGGUAACUUCUCCAAAGAUUUAAAAGGAACCUAUCGAAAGUUGCCUCCAACGAUUUUACUCUGCCUCGGAUCUCAACCACUUUAGGACAUCACUGCAGGUAAAAUUUCUGGAGCUUCUUCAGGUUCGUCAGGUCAGGCAACUUGUCCAUAGAUGGAACUCCUUCAAGCUUGAAGGCAAUUGGGUUCUCCAAAACUUGGAGGCUUCCGAACUCUCUCACUUUAGGGCAACGACCAACUUCCAAAUCUGACAGCGCCUUCCAAUUUGAAAGGUCUAUUCACGUUUUUAUUUCCUUGCAUGAUUCGGUAUCUAAGUACAACAAAUUUGGGGGAAGGCCAGGUCGGCAGUGCAGCUUCUUGGAGGGGACCAGUUCAGGUUCCUUGAGCUGUGAAAGAAAAAUGAUGUCUGAAGAUGGGGUGAUGAAAUAAUGAGAGUCCAACAGCAAGGAUUCCAGCUUCCCCAACCUUCUGAGCUACAAAGGACUUGGAGCUUCAAUGAAUUUAGAAGCAUCAUCCAAAUUGUCAAAACCUGAAUUUUACAUGCAAUUUGGAUAUUGAAUUAGUAAGUUACUUAACAUCAAGUGAAUGUACAUAAUUUUUUUUUUAUUACUUUACGCAAUUAACCUUAAAAAGAUAUGUAGAAGUGCUAAUCUAAACAUCCCUAAACUCCGAACGAAUCAAUAUGUAUAAUAUUUUUGAGGGAAUGAGUUGACGUUCAGUAAAUGAUAGCUCUACUGCCAAAAUGGGAGGCCUACCCACUACUCGACCUGAGAACAUAACAAUAACAAUUAGCAAAUAAGGUCAUAUAUUAUUAUCAAUAGGAAAACCAAUAUUCACCUGAGACAGUGUAAUCCGUGCAUUAUAUAAAAAUGACUAUAAUUAUCUGUGCUAUGAAUAAAAUAGAAGCAAUGCAUGACAUUCGUUUUAAUGCUAAAAUGCACACAAUUGAUCAUACCAAAUCUCAUUAUGCAUAGACAUGAACAGCUCAUCGAUAGACACAAGUAAAUAUCUAUUACCUACUUGCUACUAGCCAUGACUCAUCUUGACUAACUCAACUAACAAGACAUUAUGACCACUAAAUAAUGCAAGAAGAAAUCAUAAAUACAUAUUUACCACGCUUCAACCCAUUCCUCACAGGUAUCCUCCAACGAUGAUAAAUACAGUACAAACACAUAAUGACAGCUAUCCUAGACUCAAUUCUCAUCAAGAUUCAUACCCAUUCUAUUUUCUUUCUUUUCUCAAUCUUGGACCUCAAGUUCAUAAUAUCAUAUAUAGGCUAUUCAAGUCACAUCAGGUUACACAAGUCAUAUAAUUUCAUGUAUAAAUCAUUGUACUUUACAUUUUCUCAAUCUUAUAGAGAACGGUAGAACAUCUGUCUUUUCCCAGAAUCUUAUAUACAUACUCAGAAAAAUUAAUUAUAGUGUUGGUAUAUUGCUAACAACACUUGUAGAAUUUCAAUGGAGUUGGUAAUUUACUUACUAUGGGGAACAAGCACACUUGAAGAGUGCAGCACAAUGGAAAGUUGUAUGUCGUGUUCAAAAGUAUUGUUAUUAAUUUACUUACGAUACUGGUUAAAUUUCAAAUGAGUUGAUAAUUUACUACUUCAUUGAAAUAUUAGUAAAUUUCUGAUAGUGUUAUUAAUUCACUUACGACACCGGAGAGUUUCCAGAAGACUUGGUAAUUUACCAAUCUAGUGGGAAAUUGCUAAAUUUCUGACAGCUUUGGUAAUUUACUACCUCUUUACCUAACAAGCAAGUAACCAGUCAUUUUCUUUUACCAAACAAUUCCAAUUUUGCUGGUAAUACCACCAAAAAUUUCAAAUGAUGGAACUAGAAACGCAGUAAUGAAUCCACUCAGAAGCACCUGCAGAAAUCUGUUUUAAGUUAUCAAAACUAAAGAACCUUGGUGACCAUUGCACAUGAUCAUUAUCUAGGGAGCGUUUUAUGUUUAUGCUAGACACAAUGUUUUGCCACUACUUCUUCAUUUCUUCAAUGUGGAAAUUUUGAUGGGAAAUCAGCGACAAUUCUGCGAAUAUGUUUGCUGAUGUCUGAUAGAAUUCGCGACACUAAAUGCAACACAUUCUCAGGGUAAUGCCUUGUGAACAAUAAUCUCUACGAAUGAAAUCUGGAGCAAGUGAUUUAAUCACUAAGUAAAGUAGGACCACAACAGACCAAGAGAAGAAGAAAGAAAUUGCAGAACCAAUCAAUUAUAGUAAGAUUUCAUGCCUUCCAGGACAAUAUUUCAGUUUUAGCUAGACCUCGACAAGCUCAGAAGAACAACUGAUUCGCCAUGUAUGUUUUGAACUAGUUCUUAAGGAGCGAAAAUCAAUCCCCUAAUUGGUGCAGAAGUGAACUGACGCACAGGAGUAGCAAUGUGUUUCGAUAGAAUGCGACUUGUGGUUUAGACCAAAGCCAUUAAAGAUUAGAUGCAGAUGGAAGAAAAUUAACUGAGUCAGCUCCCAAGCGAGUUCAUCGAAAGGCUGUUUUCAUUUCGUAGGUAUGACAAGUCACGACUGAAAAUAAUAAAAAACAACUCAAUCCGUCCCAAAUCUUUUCCUAAUCUAUCACAGAUUACAUCGAAGAUUCGCACGCGGACCCAAUUCAUGAGAAUGCGAAGAGAAAAUUACCAGAAAACCAAAUAAAGAUGCGAAGAAGGAAAAAGCAAGACCUUUUUCUAGACGACCUACAAAACUCUCGUGGGAACAGAUCGGGGGGCAGGAAGACGGGGUGGCAGUCCCCGGAGGGAGAUCUCCGCCUCGUCGAAUCGCGUCUCGUUCUUGCGCUCGGGGUCGCCGUCGCACUCCUUGACUGUUGGAGUCCGUCGCUGCUGGUUCUGCGCGAGCUCCUCGCACGGGUCGUCGCUGAUGAGGGAGAAAGACGAUGGAAGGAGAACGAAAGAACGUGAGAAGACAGAGAGGGGGGGCAACGGGAGGUAAAACGAAACAAAAAAUAAAUAAAUAAAUAAAGGAGAGAGAAAAAGUUGAUAUUUCUUUAAGAGUGGUCCCACCUUUACGCGUCAUUUGGAGAUAAUAUUCCUCACUAAUCUGAUACGGAAUCUUCUCUCCGUGAUUUCAGUCUCUGAACUAAAAUUCUUGAAAGGCUCUCCUCACUUUUUCAAUAAGGCCUCGUACGUUUUUAUUUCUCGAAUUUGUUUAAAAAUAGAUUUUGUGAUUUUUUAUUUCUGUAAACAAAAAAAGAACAGAAACGCGUUUAUUUGCAUUCCUGUUCUUUUUUUAUUUUUUCGUUCCCGAAACAAAAUUGAAACAAAAAAAAGAAACAAAAAAAACUUACUUCUGGAAUCCAGAAACACUUCUUGAAGGCCUAAAAAGAACAAAAAUAAAAGAAUAAAACCGGAACACUUCUGGAGAUGGGUUCGUUCGUGCCUGAAGGCUUUCGUUCAUGUUCUCCCUUUCCCGGCGUCUCUCCCUUCUCUCCGGCGCCUCCCACUCGGUCGACUCUUCGGCGACUCCCCACUCCGCCGACUCUCCAGCGCCUCCCCACUCAGCUGACUCUCCGGCGCCGACAGGUGGUGCUCCUUCAUCGGCUGAAGCUUCCGAAUCCAGGUAAGUUUCUGCUGCUCCUCCUUCUCUGUUCGAAGAGGGCUUCAGCGAGAGCCACCCCUUGCAAAUCUAAGCCACCUUCGCCGACAACCGGGACGCUCGCUCCAGCGACAGCUCGCUCGAGCCUCAAGCGAGCGUUGCUCGCCCAGAUCUAUGGCAGAUUUGGGCGAUGGUUGCUCGCUUGAGGCUGCUCUACCGAGCUCGAGCUGCUGUGGUUGCUCGGCAGAGCAGCUCGGGUUGCUCGAGUGGCAAAGCAGCCUCUCUGCCAACUCGAGCGAGUGACGCCGAGCCCCAAGCGAGCCAUCGCCCAGAUCUACCAGAUUUGGGCGACGGCUGCUCGCCGGAGCUGCUCUGCUUGCUCGGUAGAGCAGCGCAGCUCGAUCGAGCGAGCUACUCUGCCGAGCGAGCUGCUCUGCUGAGCGAGCAGAGCAGCGUAGCUCGGUCGAGGGAGCUGCUAGCUCGCUCGACCGUGGCUGCUCUGCUGAGCGAGUAGAGUAACGGAGUAACGCUCGCUCGAGCGAGAUUGACUAAUUUCAACUUCGAGUUUCGGCAUUUUUCCCUUCCAUCUCUCCUCCUGCUCGCCAGCCGUGCCCUCACACAUUCUCUCUCUCUCUCUUCCUCAGCUUUGAUUUUCCGAGUGAUUCCGUCGGAUUUUCCCAAGAAAAUUUGUCCAAUGAGGUAACGCUUUCGGCUCCCCCUCAAUUGUUUCCGCUUCCCCUCCUCUCUCUUUUCUCUAUUUCUUUUCGUCUCCGUUGACCCGCGGAAAUGCAGGCUGCAGGAAGAGCUCUCGCCUCGGGCCCCGUUCGAUUCGUCUCCGGCUCAUUCUCGAGGGAGUCCGUGGAGGGCUAAGUGAAAGCGCGCUCCUUCCCGCGGUACAUUCGAUCUCAAGGUGGUAAUAAUCCGAAUCUCGGAGUCUGCAGCGUGCCGCGUCAGUUUCAAUAGGACCCUAGAGCUUGCACUUGUUCCGCGGCGAGCGAAGGGUGAAAUCUAGAGGCGAAAAACUUGAGCUUUUGAAUGAUUUGGUGGUUUCCGUUGUCGUUUGUUUCGUUGUGUGUCUUUUAUCAACUAGUGAGUGAGACGAUGAAAGACUGAUGCUUGGGGGUAUCGUACGCCAACCCUUUGUCACUUUUCUUGAAACUCUUCACUUUUUGGCUUGGUUGGAGCAUAGUUCUCUCUCUCUCUCUCUCUCUCUCUCUCUCUCUCUCUCUCUCUCUGAUGAUUCCUUCAAGUUGCCAUUUUGUCCCAUGUUGUUGCAAUAUGAUUCUAUGCUUGAAAUUUCGAAACUUGAGUAUUGUCCAUAAAUUUGGCAAUUCCAAUUGGUCUUUUGGUCUGUCGAUCAGUAAUAUGUACCGCAGCCCCAAAAUGUGACCUUGGACCAGUAAUUCUUGCUCCAACCACGUGCUUUCUUUAUUUCAUUCUUUUGUGUGCUGAAACUACUAUAGAUGCUAUUAGAUAAACAAAAGUUUCCAUUCCUUGGAACAAUUUUGUAGGGGGAGCGAGAUAAAAUAAAAGAGGCUGUAAAAAUUUAGUUCAGGGGCAAGAUAUAAGAAUGUUACAUGAAAUUUUAAAAGUUAAAGUUAACAGAAGGCACUAAGGUCCAUCAUUAUUUGCACGAGUGAAAAAGGUGAAUCUUGUCGUCUAAAUUCCGUUUGAAUUCCUUCUACUUAUUCAAAGAAACCUAAAGUUGAUAAAGAUUAACAAACUGGCAUUUGCCUCAUGGCUUAUUUCGAAAGAAGGUAAGAACCAAGGGUAAUGCUGCCUUGUGUUGGCUGAAAUUCAUAGUUGCAUAUUGUAUGUAACAUUACAAUGAAAUGCUCAGGCUGAUCAUUUGGAUUUCACAGCUCAAAAAUUGGUUGGAGAGAGAGCAUUCUGUUUGAUUGAUCAUUGCUAGUCAUAGUACUAUGUAGUUCUUGUAGCUCAAAUGCAACUUAUGAUCUGUUUUACACAAGUUAGUUCAAGAAUUAUCAUUUUUGAAAGUUAAGUCUUCUUGGCUUGCAUCUCUUGAGAAUGCUUUUGUGUAUGACAUAUAUAGUAUUAUGUUAUUGAUUUAACUGAUAACUCAUAUGCUGCUCAAUCGAUCAAAGAUUAAAUGGCAUCUGAGGCACAGAAAUUCAGUGCAAAGUGGACCAAGUUGGUGACCAACCUAUUUAUCGGUUUGUUGGUGGAUGAGGUCAAAAAGGGAAAUCGAACCUCUUCUACUUUCAACAAAGCAGGUUGGAGGAAUAUCCAGACUGAAUUUGUUAUACAAACAGGAUGCCAAUAUAGCAUGGUCCAGCUAAGAAACAAGGUGAAUAAAUUGAGAAAACAGUAUGGUAGUUUUCGGAAACUUAUGUCUCAGUUUAGAUUUGGUUGGGAUAAUGUCAAUAAAAGAGUUGUUGUCGACAAUCCAAGCAUCUGGGAAGCUCACAUCAAUGUAUCUUUUUUUUUUUUUUUUUUUUUUUUUUUAACUUUUUCGUCAUUUUGAUGUCAUUAUAUAUGUAUAUUUUAAAAUGUAUGAUUAUAUUGUUGAAAUGUCAUUACUGUGAAAAUUGUAGGAGAAUGUAGAGUGGGCCAAAUUCAGGAAGGAUGGAUUUCCCUAGUAUCCCGAGCUAUGUUUUGUAUUUGGUGAUACAUAUGCUGCUAGAGAAUAUGUCAUUAGAAAUGCUCAAGAUGUGACGGUGUCGAAGGAAGAUGACAACGGUGAUGGCAAUGGAGGUGGUGCCAACAGUGGCUACAAUGCAUAUGGUAACAACAGUGGUGGCAAUGCCUAUGGUGAUGCUGGUGGUGCCCAUAUAGAUGACUUCGGUGAUCACCACACUGAUGAGAGAGUCUUCACAUCAGACGAUGUUGGAAUUUCAACUCGUGGAAAGCACAGAUUGGAUAGGACUCCAAACAUUAAGAGGAGAAGGAAGAGUACCCAAAACAGUAUUGAUGACACUUGCAAAACCAUACAAGACUUUUUGAAAGUUAAGUCAAGUCAUCUGGUAGUGGCUCUGUGACCUCCGGGGUUAUGCCAUCACCUGUGGACCCUUUCUCCGUAGAGGCUGUGAUGGAUAUUCUACUUAGUAUGCUCGAGAUAGACUAAGAUGUUUACAACAAAGCAGUGGAUCAAGCAUGCGAUAGUGUCUCAUGGAGGGUGGCUUUCAUUAAAUUCACACCUGAAAGGAGAAAUGGACUUUUUUUAUCAUCUUUAGUAGAUGUUUGGAAAUAUAUUAUGGAUUGAAUGGCCUUGCAUUAGAUUGUAUAACUUUAUGUUAUGUAUUAAUAUUUAGUUUUUAAAGAUAUUAGUAUUGAGACUCUUGGUACUUAUAUAUAAUGGUAUCUUUUAUUGAGACUAUGACUUAUGUUAUUGAUUGUUAUUGGAUAUAUUUUCAAAAUCUAUAUUGAUGUUUGUAUAUUUUUGUGAUGGUAUAGGUACUAUGAAAGAGGGAUCAGAUAGUAUAUGUAGUGAACAAGUAGAACAAGUUCAACAAUUCUUGGAUGAUGAUGAUCUUCGCAUAUUCCUAGCGUGGUUAUGCACGGUUGCGAUUAACACGUCCGUGCAUACAAGAGAACCUAUUAGGGACAGCAAAUUAUUAGGAUCCGAAUGGAUAAUGGAGAUUGUUUCUGGACAUUCAGAUAGGAUAUAUGAAGCCUUCAGGAUGGAGAGGCAUGUUUUUAUGAAUUUAUGUGAUUUGAUGAGAGUAAGAGAUUGGUUAAAAGAUAGUCGAUAUAUUCGAAUAGAUGAACAAAUUGGGAUAUUCUUAUCUUUGGUUUGUCACGGUAGCUCAAAUAGAGAUUUAUGUGAGAGAUUUCAACAUUCUGGAGAAACGAUCAGCAAGUAUUUCAACAAAGUGUUGAAAGCAAUUAUCAAACUUUCAAAAGAGAUAAUCAAACCAUUGUCCUUUGAUGUCAUCCCACAAGAAAUUCUUAUGGAUUCUAGUCAUAAGCGCUACUUCAAGGUAUGAUUUCUAUAUUAACUUUAUAUCGUCAAAUACAUGUUGUUCAUAAUCUUAUAUAAUCUUAGAUUGACAAUAAAUUGACAGGACUGCGUAGGUGCUAUGGAUGGCACCCAUAUAAAUGCUAUUAUCCCGGUAUCUGAGCAGGUUUGAUUUAGAGGCAAGAGAGGGACUACCACCCAUAACGUGUUGUGUGUUUGCUCAUUUGAUAUAAAAUUUACUUUCGUGUAUGCUAGAUGGGAAGGAUCUGCCAAUGAUUGUCGAGUGCUUUCAGCAGCACUCGAAACUCCUCAAUUGCAAUUUCCCCGACCACCACCUGGUAUUUAUUUUGUUUAUAUAGACAUUUGUGAUUAUAUUAUGGUUGAAUAUCACAACAAAUUUAUAUAUAUCAUGUUGUAGGGAAAUACUACUUGGUAGAUUUUGGUUAUGCAGUACUUCCGGGAUUUUUAACUCAAUUUAGAAAGGAACGGUAUCAUCUCAGCGAAUAUAGAGGGAGUGGAAGACGGCCAAGAACAGCAAAAGAGUUAUUCAACUAUAAGCACUCUUCACUAAGAAAUGUAAUUAAGAGGUCAUCCGGGGCAUUAAAGAAUUGCUUCACCAUUUUGAGACAUAUGCCUCCAUUUACAAUUCGGAAGCAAGCACUUGUUGUAAUUGCAUGUUGUGCUCUUCAUAAUUACAUUCGUGAUCAAGAUAAGAUGGAUAUAAAUUUUUCCAUUUAUGGAGAUCCGGAGUAUCCAUUUGGACUUACAGAAGUGGAGGUUGCAGAUCCUAGUCAUGAGCAGGAAUCUAGGAUAAACAUGCUUAGGAUAAGUAUUGCAAAUAAAAUGGCAAUGGAUCACAAUAUGCAUGAGAUUUGUUGACCUCUGUAAUAUUGUUUUUAAGUAUUCACUGUGAUAAAGUUGAACAAUGAACUAUAUUGCUUCAUUAUUGUGAUGUCAUGUAUGGAAGGGUUCAUGUUGAGAUGUAUAAGAUACUAUUCUUUUUGCUAGUUCUUAUUGUACGAACUUUACUUAUAAUUUUUUUUUUAAGUAUGCACAUAUGACUAUGUUGGAAAUAUUUUUCUUCACUCACCAUUAUCAAAAUUAAAUUGAUGAGCAUUUCAUGAGAAUGAGAAUUCAAUAUCAAGUUUAUAUGUUAUAAAAAUAAAAAAUAAAAAAAAGUACUUGAAAAAAAUUUGAUACAAACUUUACUUACAAAAUUUUCUACCAAGUAUGCUAUAUGAUCAUGUUCAAAAUGUUUGUUUUCACUCACCAUGAACAAAAUAAAAUUAAUGAGCAUUACAUGAGAAUGACAAUUCAAUAUCAAGUUUAAACUUUAUUUUAAAAAAAACAUUUUUUUUUUAAAAUUUAAAAACAGAAAUUUUGUACAGUUUACUAAACGUGUUUCUGUUCUUUUUCUAUUCUAGGAACAGAAAUUGAUUGCAGUUACCAAACGUGUUUUUGUUCUUUUUUUAUUUCAAGAACAGUUUUUUUUUUUACACUUACCAAACGCGUUCUUUUGUUCAAAAACUGUUCCCCAGAAUAGAAACACUUUUUUUUUUUAAUUUCUGUUCCCUGGAACAAUUUUUGAACAGAAACGUUACCAAACGUGCCCUAAGAUUAUAGAAAGGCUCUUCUCACUUCUUUCAAUCGUCCAUUCUCUAGGGCAUUCGAAAGGGUCUCCCAUGUUUGUACUCAUCGGAUUCCAGACUCUCCUCCAAUCUCUCACAUUUCCUUAUAAUACUCCCCAAACAUAGAUUCUUUAAGCUUAAAGGUUAAAAAAAUUGAUGCAAAGACCCGUAGCCUUCUAUAACAAGGAGGUCCAAAUGAUUUUAACAUAUAUGGAAUCUCAACCACACGAUGGCAAUGUUGAAAAUAAAAAGUUUGAAUGUCCAUGGCAUUGGUAAGGUCAGGCAACUUCUCUAGCAUUGAAGAUCAUGUAAAUAUAACUAUUUCAAGUUCUCCGAACCUUCCAGGUCUUGAAUCCCUUCUACCUUCCGACAACUAAUUAUAUUAUAAAAUUCUAUAUGCUUGAAGCUUAAUGGAUCAAGCAGCUGUUCGAGUGAUUGACAACACAUUAAACUAAAAAGCUUCAACGAUUCUAGCUGACCUCGAACCUCAACCAGUUUAGGACACUCAUUUAUCAAUAAACAUUGGAGCUUCUUCAAGCUGGUUAGGUCGGGCAACUUCACUAGCAACGGAAGAUACCCAAGCCUAAGCAAUCGUAGGCUUUUCAAAGGUUCCAGAACUUGAAUCUCGUUUAGCUGUUCACAAUAAAAGACUUCCAAUUCUGAUAACUUCUCCCAAUAUGAAAGAGUUAUCGACUUUUCCAUUAACCCACGCCCAUCAAAAUGGAAGUAUGACAAAUUCUGAGGAAGCUUAGGUUGGCAUUCUAGGUUAUUUGCGGGGAGUUUAAGCUUCCUAAGAUUCGAAAGGAGAUUAAAAUCUAAAGGUAGGGUGACCAAAUCAUCACAAUACAACCCCAAGGACUCUAGCUUUCUUAACCCUCCGAUCCAAUUGAGGCUUGGAGUUGGAUGGGAAGGGCAUUGAUACUCUAAUUUCGACAUCAAAACUCUCAAAUUUAUUAGGUUCGAGAGAUCUGGGCAUCUCAUCUAUAGAUUAUUGGUUAGGACUAGUUCGGUCAAACUUUUAGGAAGCUUAGGUAUAUUGGAAAUUCUCGUGCCCGAUAAUGUCAAGAUUCUUAGAAAUGAUAGUCUUCCGAUCUCACUUGGAAUUUCCCCCCUCAAAUAUCUACAACUGUUGGCAUGGAUCUUUUCAAGCUUCUCCAAUGAUAGUCUUCCAAUCUCACUUGGAUUUCCCCCACUCAAACAUCCAUAACUGCUGACAUAGAUCUCUUCAAGCCUCUCCAACUUCCCAAGGGGGCUAGGUAGCUUUUCUAACAUGAAGUCAAAGAUCCUUAGUAUUUUCAAGUUCUUCAUCGUCUCUAUUGAGUCGGGUAACUCUCGUAUGCUUGAACAAGAAAGAUCUAACUCGACGAGAGAUCCAAAUUUUCCAAGUGAAAGUUCACUCAGUAAGCGACAUGACACUACACUAAGAGUUUCCAAUUUCUCCAUUCCGUUCCAUUCAGGAAUUUUGGUAAUAGAUGUCCCAUCAAGAAGAAGUUCUCUCAAGUCUUCCAUUUCUUCCAUCUCGUCAAGCAAUGUCUGAAGUUUCCCACAGUAUUUCAAGUUUAAUAACACUAAAUGCUUUAACCUACCAAUAGACCUAUGGAACUUCAACCAUUUCCGUGCACCCUUGAAGAAUCAAUUGCUCUAAGUUUUUAUGAGCAGAAAAGUCGGGAGUUCUAUGCAAAUUUUUGCACCUAGUCAAAUUUAGAACCUUCAAACUCUUUGCCAUCUGUAAUGAAGAGGAGGUUAAUUCUGAAUCAUUUUGAGAUACUAGACAGCAAAGUCAAUAUAGCCAAUUCAUGUUGAAAUAAUACCAUACCUUGAGUUGCUUCCAUCCCUCCCACUCAUUAGUAAUUUCACUCCUUGAUAGAUCAAGAAUCACUAGCUUCUUAAGAGAACGUGCGGUGAACUUGAAACAUACAGGAAAGUUAUGCCAUGAGAGCCAUCUCAAACUUGGAAGCAUGAUCGGAUUCCUUUGAGCCCAGUUGGUAGAAGGAAAAUGCUGACCGUUGUUCUCAUCCAAGUCUACACAAUCCACUUGAAGAAAUCUUAAUUUUGAUAGGCUUAUAAAUUCUUCCUUCUCAAUGAAGUCUUCAAAUUGACUAUCAAACCUGAGACAUAUUGCUUCAACGUUUUCUCUUCCCUGCCAAAAAGAAAAAAAAAAUUAAACAAAAGCUAGUGAUCACAUAAUUGCCUGUUGAAGGCAUUCGGGUUGAAUAUACUUGAGAAUGUACUUCUUACAUAUAAUUCAAAAUUAAUUUCCAAUAUAAUUUACGGAGGAGCAUGUGAUCGUAUAAGCACACAAGUAAUGACUCGGUUUAGAUAGAAGCAAAUAAGCAGAGUCAAUGUGUAUAACUUGUCUCUUUGAAUAGGAACAACAUUGCAAAUACUUUACCUCCUUUAUUUCAAGGACAUCAAUCGAUUCCUCAUGAUCCCACACCCGACUUUGCUUCUCUAGUUUAAAAUGAGCUCUUUCAUGAACGAUGUCUCGCCCAAGGUCUCUUAGUUGAUCAUGCAUCCAUAGUCGGUUACCUUCGACAAUCUUCAUUAACGAUUUCCGUUUGAGGACUUCAAGAGAAUAUUCAGGGAAAAGCUUACGGUUGGCCCACAUGUAAGUCACAGUUCUCAUAUCAAACCCAACAAAGAAGCAACAAACAUCAAGAAAUAUUUCCAUCUUUGGAGGUUCUAAUGCCUCUAAACUGAUGCUCAGCUUACUUUUAACCUUUGGUUCGGGAAUAGUUUUCAACUUUUCUAAUUUGGCCACCCAAAAAUUUGGGUCUUCUCCAACUAAAGAUGAACCUAUAAUCGCUAGAGCCAAAGGAAGAUGACCACAAAUUUCUAUCACUUUUUUCGAGAGGGAAACGUAUUCUGCUGGGGGAUGAUCUCUUCUAAAGACAUGCUUGCUAAACAGUAAAAGAGAAUGAUUGAAAUCCAUUUCAGUAAGCUUGUACUUAAAAUCAACAUCUUUGAGAACUUCCUCGUUUCUUGUGGUAAUAAUUACCUUACUUCCUCUGCCGUACCAGUGUUCACCCGUCCCUACAAGAGUGUUUAGUUGAGUGUUUUGGUCGACAUCAUCAAUUACAAGUAAAACCUUUUUAGAGGAUAACCUCUCCCUGAUCACUAUAAUCCCUUCAUUAAUAGUAUUGAUGGAUGGCCAUUCCAUUCUUAGGACUUUAGAGAGAAGCUGAUUCUGCAAAAUCACAAUCUUUGUCUCUCGAAUGUUAGACAUGAAGCAACAGUUAUCAAAAUCAGCCGAUAGUUUAUUAUAGAUGAUAGUGGCAAGAGUUGUCUUUCCGAUACCACCCAUACCAUGGAUGCCAACAAUCUUUGUUCCAGUGGUCUGUGUACCUAUCUUUUCCAUGAUUUUGUCCACAUGAUCGUCCAUUUCAACUAAGUAAUCAGGUUUUGCCAAGUUGUUCUUUUUUAACUCGAUCAACAACGUCUGAACAACUUCUUCUGUGAACUCACCUUUGCCUCUGACAAUAUUGAAGGCAAAAGACCUGUUAAAUUGAGAUGAACAAAAUAAUAUCCACGCUACAAACAAUCAUGAAAAAUAGUAAAUUCGACUACCUCCCAUUAAGUUCCCAUCCUCUUAACGCUCCAACCUUGCGGAGAGCUAUCUUCCACUUCUCAAUAGUCCCAUUAGCAAACCGUUGCUUAUUUUUGUGUAAAGUAAUGGCUUUACCGUAACUUCCAGUUUGGUAACGAACCUUUGAUGGUGCUAUGUCAAAGAAAAUUGGCAUGAUCUUUCGUCCCCAGUUUUCCUUGCACUCCACCAUCUAGGCCAACUCCAUGAGGCACCAUGGACUGAUAGCAUAUCCUUUAGAUAAGAUAGGAAUCGAGAUUUCCGACUGCUUAAUCGCUUGGACAAGCUUCGGGCCAAUCUCUUCCCCAAUGGGAAGCUCGUCAUUAUCUCUAUAUGCCCUUAUUCCGGCACGACUAAGGCUCUUGUAAAGUAUAUCAACAACGUCAAGCCGAGUGUCCGGUCCUCUAAAGCUCAAGAAUACUUCAUAAUCAGAUUCCAUUGGCUUCUCCAUUUCCUGGAUUUUCAGAGGACUUGCAAUCAAUUGAUAUCCCACUUGAAAAACGUUUACUAUGAAAGCCGAGUGAUGAUUAUCACGAUUUCUCUUAGAAACUCUUCUGUUUUAAGUCUUUCUAGGAAGAAACCAAGAUGACAAAUGCACGAGCUUCUUCUGCGCUUUGCACUAGACACCAAAAUAUGUUAAAAUAUUUUAUUAAUAAUAUAGUAGACAAGUGGACCCCUCUCAAUUCUAAAGGAAGAAAUUUCCAAAGUAUUGCAGAAUUAUAAGCUAUGCUUCACACUUGAAAUUGAUUUGAAAGAAUAACAUUUUGAGAAGAUAAAUCACUAUCAACCUAUAUUCGUCUUAAACUAUUACUUAUGUGAUAAAAUUCCUCUUAAAAGCUGACGUUGAAUGUCCUCUGCACAUCAUGCCUGCUUCUGCUUGUAGAUUGACUAAUUAUCUUAUUGUCAGAUAAGAAAUCAUGAUGAAACCUUCCUCUUUUAUUUUACCAAAACAUAUUUGACAGACAUUCCACGACCCUCAAUUAGUGUUCUCUUGGCCUUAACGGACGCAGGUGAAGAAUCACUCCCAGUGAAAAUCUCUAAUUGGAAAGGCGAAAUCAAGAAAUUACACCGGAGCUACUUCAACCCUCUCCAUUGGUCUAGUUUCUAAAGAGCAUAAACCGAUCUCCAAUUACAGUCAAAUCUUAGUUUAUUAACAUACAGGCACAGGGUCAAAGGCGAGCAUUAGAAGCUAACGUUCGCAUUUGCCAGAAAGUAUCAGCAUAUCAGAAAAAGAGGGAUGAAUUACUAACCGAUAAUGUAGAUGAAAUUUCAACAGAAAAAAGAAGCAUGAAUGCUAUAAUUGUUCUUCCAGAAAAUAAGUUUGAACACACAGGAGUGCAGGAACAAGAACUGUACUUUACGGAAGCGGAGACAUUAUAGUCUAUUCAAUCUGUCUCUACUGUUGAAUACAGUGUUAAGGGUAUCAAUUUCUGCCUAGGAGCAUUCUUACUGCUAAUCACUGGACAAUAACGUAUGAAUUUGUCGUCUGGAAGUCUCUUAAAGAUACCACUAUCUCUGUUCGCACAUAAAUUAAAAGAAGAAAAAGUCCCAUCAAACAAAUGAAAUCAACAGAUCCACUCAAACUAAUUUAGCCUUUAGCGCUAGCAAUCCACGCAAAAACUCAGAGAGAGAGAGAGAGAGAGAGAGAGAGAGAGAGAGUACGCGGGUGGCGAGCUCGUAAGACUGAGCGUUGUCGAUGAUGGAACCGGACUUGCCUCCACCGCCGCCGCCCUCCCUCCUCUUCUUCUUCUUGCCGCUCCUCUUCUUCGGAUCGUCGUCGCGAGGGACGCCGCCGCCGUUGAGGAGCUCACUCCGAGGCUCGACACCGCUCUCCUCCGCUUAAGCUUCGUGCGCUCUCUUCUUCUUCGGCAUUCCCGCUCUCCGAUAUCAGAAAGUUUCGAUUUUUCAACACGGUACGAGGUCGACCGGUCAAGGGUUUAGCCGUCGAUCUUGGUGGUGUAUUGCCUUUCAGGAUCUAAGGCCUGACAGUUGCAUAGAUGGAAGUGGAUGAGCAGGGUUUAGCAUGUGAGUAGAGUUAGAGGCUAAAGCUAUUAGCGUUAGACGCAAAUGGCAGUGAUCAAUCACGGAGUCAAUUGAGGAAAGAAUUUGAUGCUGAUAUGAGAGUCCCUCUCUUGUUUCCAUCAAAUCUGCAUCUAGUUGCAUUACGGAACAGACCCAAUUCAUUCAAAAGAAGGCAAUAAACGAGAGGAAAUUUCCGGAGAUGGAGGGGCUGAAGAUGAACAGUCCGGAUCAAAUGCUGAGAAGCAGAAUCGUUCUUGGCUUUCGAGAUCGGCGGAAGAAAGACAGAGACUUCUAUGAGACGGUGAAUUCACCCUCCCUCGCCGUACCCUUCCAGGAAAGCGAGGGCUUGCUUGUUGAUUUUAAUCAUCCUAUUAUUUAAGAUUUGAAUAGUCCAAUCAUUGGGAAUUACGAUUGGUUAUAAAUAUUAUAAAUUGAUAAGUAGAUGACGAAGCACAAAAUAUAAGUCAACUUGAUUAUAUUUAUAAAUUAGCUACGAAUAAAACCAAAUAAAUAUCAGAUUGAUAUAUUGAUGCUAAUCAUUCAUUGAAAAAUUGUGCCAUUACGAUUUUUUUUUUUAAACAAUGACAAAUUAAUUUAGAUUUCUACUAACGCAAUAUUGUACUAUAUCUACUAUGAUUUAUAACACAGUCAUAUGGUAAAAUCUGCAUUAAAUUCAUAAUGCACAUGAUAAAUUACUGAUAGUGUUGGAAACUUACAACAACAGUUAAAGUUCACUAAAAUGUUGGUAAAAUUCUGAUGGUGUAAGCAAUUUACUUACAGCACUGAUAAAAUUCCAGAAGAAUUUGUAAUUUGCUAAAUUAAUGAAAAAUUGAUAAAUUUCAGAUAGUAUAGGUAUUUUACUACGGGUGUACCUAACAAGCAAGAACCGGUCAUUUUUUUUUACAAGCACGAUUGCCAGCAAAAUUGCAAUUUCACCAACAGGGAAGACUUUUCAAUUCUCAAGUCCUGCGGGACCGUAGAAUUUUGCCAAAGAUUCAUUCGUCUCCGCCUCUACGACAAAAACUUAAAAGCCCACCUAAUAUUUCAAAUGGUGAAACUUGAAAUGCAAUCAUGAAUUCACUCUAAAGCACAUGUAAAAAUCUGUUUUGAGUUAUCAAAACUAAAGAACCUUUGCGACCAUUGCAAAUGAUCAUUAACUGGAUGAUUAACCCCUACUUCUUCAUUUCUUCAAUGUGGAAAUUUUACGGGAAAUCAACAACAAUUCUGUGAAUAUGGAUAUGGUUGCUAAUGUCUACUUAAAUUCGUGACAUUGAAUGCAAGACAUUCUCAGUGUACUUUCUCAAGAACAUCAAUCUCUGCAAAUGAAUCCUGGAUCAAGUCAUCUUCAAUCCUUGAUCAAUUUCACCGAAAGGCAAAAAUUGCCGUUCAUAUCAAAUGAGGCGAUCAAAUGAGGCGACAAUGCCGGAAGAGUGCUACUACCAAGGACGGAUAGAGCUGCCGCUUUUCAAAGAAAUUAUUACAAGCAAGGGAAAUUUCAAAUUGCCUACUUAGAAGAAUCCAUUUGGAAAUCAUCUCUCGACUCUUAGUACGUUUCUAACGAUUUUCUCCAAGUUGCCUCUAAUUGAAGAUUCAAUUUUUUUAAGUUCAAAUCUGACAGGAAGUUUUUCUGCUUGUCGUAGAAAUAUAUUGAUAUUCACAUCACUUAGUCAUACAAGAACUUUAUAUUACAAACAUGGGAUGUCUUCUCAAAUAGGUUGACAAAGUGAAUGUUGCUCAUUCAUAUGAAAAGUUGAGGUAGGUAGUUGAUGCAACCCGAAGACGAGGUCAGCAAUCUGGAAUAGAGGUAGGUCGAUACAAUCUCCCUCCCUCCCUCCUGAAGUAGGUAUCCAAAGUGAGCUGACGAUCAGGAGAGAACAGGCGUAACAAAGAGAGAGGACCAACAUCAUGCCCUCGUGGAACAGAACGAAGCGCAAGAAGAUGUGGUCACAGUCCCAGAGGGAGAUCCCCGCCAGGUCGAUUCGCACAUCAUGCUUCCACUCGGGGUCGCCAUCGCAUUCCUUGACGGACAGAGUCCCUUGCUACUGGUUCUGGGCGAGCUUCUUGCUCGGGGGUCGUCGCUGACGAUGGAGGAAGAAGGAAAAAACAAAUAGAGUGAGAAGAGAGACGCAGCAGGAGGAGAAAAGAAAAAGGAGAAGAAAGUCAAAAUUUCUGAAGAAGGGUCCCACCUGUACAUGUGGCCAUCGAUUUACGUUCUCAAGUAUAUCCUACAUGGCACAACGUAUUACCCUUCCAAGUUCUUUUGUCGGCCUUGCCAAUUUUUUCAGAUCUCUGUACUUAUCGGAUUCCAAAGUCUACUCGAACUUCUCAGAUUCACCUAUAUAAAAACUUGCCAGAUUCUUGAAGCUUGAAGAAUCAGAUAACUUUUGCAGAGACCCACAGUGAUAAAUAGAAAGCCUCUCCAAUGAUUCUAGCCUAUCUUGAAUCUCAACCAGACCAAGACAAUUUACUAGAUUAAGUAGCUCAAGUUUCUUGCAGUUGGUCAAGUCAGGCAACUUCACUAAGGACGGAAGAUUCCUAAGAUUUAAGUACUUCAAGUGCCCCGAAUCUUCCAGGCCUCGAAUCUCUUUUAGCUUCCAACAGCUAGAUAUAAGGACUUGUUCUAUCUUUUUGAAGCUUAAUGGAUCGGGCAACUUUUCGAGAGAUUCACAGGACAUAAUAUAAAGUAUCUCUAGCGAUUCUAACUGACCUCCAACCUCAACUAGUUUAGGACAAUUUAAUAUCCACAUUCCCGUGAGCUUCUUCAAGUUGGUCAAGUCAAGCAACAACUUCACCAAAAAUGGAAGAUGAUCAAAAUGAAGCCAUUUCAGGUUUUCCAAACGUGCAAGACCUUGAAUCUCAAUUAGCUGUUCACAAUUAUUGACUUCCAAUUUUGAUAACUUUUCCAAAUAUGAAAGAUCUAUUAAAUUUCCAUUAAGCUUUGCCCAAAAAUACGGAGGUGUGACAAAUUCUGGGGAAGCUUAGGUAGGCAUUCUAGCUUAUCUACAAGGAGUUCAAGCUUCCUGAGCUUAGAAAGGAGAUUAAAAUCUGAAGGUAGGGUGGCUAGACUAUGACAACACAACAUCAAGGACUCCAGCUUUCUCAAUCCUCCGAUCCAAUGGAGGCUUGGAGCUGCAUGGAAUAGGGCUCCAUACAUCAAACCCAACUCCAAAACUCUCAAAAUUAAUAGGUUUGAGAUAUCUAGCAAUCUCAUCACUGACCUGGUUGUAAUGUAUAGAUUGGUCAAACUUUCAGGAAGCUUAGGUACUUUAGAAAUUAUCAUGUCCGAUAAUCUCAAGAUCCUCAGCAAUGGUAGUCUUCCAAUCUCACUAGGAAUUUCCUCCAAAUUUCUACAAUUUUCGGCAUCUAUCUCUUCAAGCUUCUCCAACAUUCCAAGGGCACUAGGUAGCUUUCUUAAGUGGGUGCGAUGCAGUCUUAGUACUCUCAAAUUCUUUGCCACCUGUAAUGAAGAGAAGAUGUUAAUUCUGGACCAUUUUGAGAUACAAGACAGCAGAGUCAAUAUAGCAAAUUAAUUGUGAAAUAAUACCAUACCUUGAGGUGGUUCCAUCCCUCCCAAUCAUUUGUAAUUUUGCUCCAUGAUAGAUCAAGAAUCACUAGCUUCAUACGGGAAAAUGCGGUCAACUGGAAAAAAGAGAGGAAACUCAUGCCAUGAGAGAUAUCUCAAAUUCUGAAGGAUGAGUAGAUUCCUUUGGAACCAAUUGGUUGGAGGGAAAUACUGAAUGAAGUUAUGCCAUGAGAACCAUCUCAACUCCGAAAGAAUGAGUAGAUUCCUCAGGAACAAGUUGGUUGAAGGAAAAUGCUGAAUGAAGUUAGGCCAUGAGAGCCACCUCAAAUUCGGAAGGAUGGGUAGAUUCCUCCUAAACCAGUUGGUUAAAGAAAAACACUGAAUGUUGUUCAUAUCCAAGUCUCCACAUUCCACUUGAAGAAACCUUAAAUUUGAUAGACUUUCAUAUUCUUCAUGUUGGAGUUUUGUUUGUUAAAACAAAAGGAGUGCUUUUUUCUUUGUCCCAUAGAGAAAAGGUAGGAGGAAGUGGGCCGAUUUUAAAAUGUGGGAUUUCCUUUUUGUAGUUAAAGGAAUGAUUGGGUGGGGCUAGACCCCACCAUACCCGCGUGUGGGUGCGCGAAUAAUUGCGCGAUUUUGGCGUGAUUAUUUGGCGCACUUAGCACUUUGCACGCCCGUGGAUUAAUUAGCACUAAUCCCUUUGUUAUUUAUUUAUUUUUUUGUUAUUAUUUUUUUAUUCAAUUCAAAGGUUGCCUUUUAUUUUGAAAAUUUUCAGAAAUGAAAUAUAAAAAUGAAAAUUCGAAAUUUUAUUUAAAAAAUUAUUACUCAGAAUUUUGUUUGUGUCUUUUCAAGACAACCUUUGAAAAAUUACUUAUUCGAUUUUGCAACUUUUCCCGAAGGGUUGCAAUUUUUCGGUUUUCAACUUCUUCCGAAGAGUCGCAUUUGUUUAUCCGAACAAUUUUCUAAAGGAUGUGUUUGUUCAUUCUUUGGCAAUUUUCACGAAGAGUUGCAAGACUGUUUCAUAUAUAUACUUGUUAAUUUUCGGAAGGAAAAAGUGAUCAUUUUUUAGUCUUCUUUUAGAAAAACUGCAGCUAAUUUUUCGAUUGUUUCCUAGAGAAACCCUAGAGAAAUACUAGAAUUGAUAUCUAGCAUUCUCAUCCGAGACUUUGUUGUAUCCUGGAGGACUUUUGCCAGUGACCAUUAGCAACGUUGUGGGGCAAAUAAAUCUUUAAAGAUAGUAAUAUCAUGCCUCAAAGUCCGAGUUGUUUUACUCGAUCUGAUUGCUUUGUCCAACCCAUUUCGAAGCCAUAUUUUUCCAACAAUUUUAAGGAUUUAUCUUGCUACAAUGGAGUCAGAGACAAUCAAAGUUAUGAAUCAAGAUAUGGUCAAACUAGACCGGUUCGAUGGGAACAAUUUUGCUCGCUAGAGGGACAAGAUGAUGUUCUUACUCACUGCUCUGAAGAUCUCCUACAUACUGGAUCCUAACUUAGCGCCUAUAGAAGAUCCUAAGCCUACUUCCGAUGGAGGACUUGGCGCCUAUAGAAGAUCCUAAGCCUACUUUCGAUGGAGGACAACCAAGUGCGGAAGCCAUUGAGAGGGUUAAUAAGGAAAAGAAGAAACGUGUGGAGGGUGAAUUACUUUGUCAAGGACACAUUCUGAAGACACUCUCCGAUCGUCUGUACAACUUAUUCAUUGAAAUGAAGUCGGCCAGAGAAAUCUGGAAUGCAUUGGAAUUCAAGUACAAAGUGGAUGAGCAAAGUACCAAUAAAUAUCUAAUCGCAAAGUAUUUUGAUUUCAAGUUUAUUAAUAUUAAACCCUUGCUGGAACAAGUCCAUGAAUUGCAAGUGAUUGUGAAUAAGAUUCGUGCCCUCAAGAUUGAUAUUCCAAAAGCUUUUCAAGUUGGAGCAAUUAUUGCGAAAUUGCCUCCAAGUUGGAAAGAUUAUGGAAAAAAGGCUGAUUCACAAGUCGGAGGACUUUACUUUGGAGCAAAUACAGAAACAUCUUCGCAUUGAGGAAGAGUCACGUUUACGUGAUAAUUCUGUUUUGUACAAUUCCAAGGUGAAUGUUGUGGAUAAAAAACGAAAACUCGGCCAGAACUUCAAAGUAAAAAGCGGGGGGCAUAAAUUCAAGAGAACACAAAAGAAGCAAAAGGGUUGCUAUUUUGUUUGUGGUAAACAGGGACACUACGCUAAGGAUUGCAUUCACCGCAAGAGCAUUUCAAAGGACAAGAACAUUCCGGUGAUGAAAGCAGAUGCAAAUCUGGUUGAAGAAAAUUAUGUAGCCAUGAUUUCAAACAUGUUUUCGAACAUGGAAAUUUUUGAAAUCAAUGAUGCGAUGGCUAUGGUUUUUGAAAUUAAUUCUCCCAUUGUCCAAUCCGGUUGGUGGAUAGAUUCUGGAGCAACAGUCCAUGUGUGCAAGCACAAGUACAUGUUCAAGCAAUUUGAAGAGAUUGUUGACUCAAAUGUUCAAGAGAUCCUGAUGGCGAAUAAUGCUCUUGCAAAUGUUGCUGGAAAAGGCAUGGUGGAGAUAGACUUCACUUCUUGAAAGAAGAUAACUCUUCUUAAUGUGUUAUUUAUACCCGAAAUUAGGAAGAACCUAGUUUCUAUUGAUUUACUUUGUAAGAGGGGGUUUCGGGUUUUGUUUAAAUCCGACAAGGUUAUCCUGUUGAAAAAUGUGUUGUUUGUUGGGAAGGGUUAUGCCAAUGGUGGCAUGUAUCAACUGAGUAUCAAUAAUAAUAUUUCUAGUUCUGCUUAUAUUGUCGAGUCUUCAAUUUUAUGGCAUAAUAGGUUGGCACAUAUAAAUAUUCGUUAUUUGAAGAAUAUGAGAAAAUUAGACUUGAUAAAUUUUAAUGGCGAAUUUGAUAAAUGUGAAAUAUGUGCUAAGUCAAAACUUACUAAGAAGCCAUUUCCUAGUGUUAAAAGAAAUUCGAAUUUAUUGGAUUUGGUUCAUAGUGAUAUAUGUGAAUUUAAUGGUAUGCUAACACAUGAAGGUAAAAUGUAUUUUAUUACCUUUGUGGAUGAUUGCAGUAGGUUCUUAUAUGUUUAUCUCAUGAGAUCAAAGGAUGAAGCAUUUACCAUGUUUAAUAAAUAUAAGGCUGAAGUAGAGAAUCAAUUAGAAAAGAAAAUUAAAGUUCUACGAUCAGAUAGAGGUGGAGAAUAUUUCUUAAAUGAAUUCUCUUCAUUUUGUGAAGAACAUGGUAUAAUUCAUCAAGUUUCAGCACCAUAUACUCCACAACAAAAUGGUUUAGCUAAAAGGAAAAAUCGAUCUCUUGGAGAAAUGGUUAAUUGUAUGCUUUCAAAUUCAAAGCUACCAAUUAAUCUUUGGGGAGAAACAUUACUUACUGCAUGUUAUUCAUAAUAGAAUGACUUCCAAGAAAAAUGACAUAACCCCUUAUGAAAUAUGGAAAGGUAGAAAGCCAAAUUUGUCAUAUCUUAAAGUGUGGGGGUGCUUGGCAUUCUACCGAGCUUCAGAUCCUAAGAGAACAAAGCUCGGUCCUAGAGCUAUCAAAAGUGUUUUUGUUGGAUAUGCUGAAAAUAGUAAAGCUUAUAGGCUUCUUGAUUUAGAGUCCAAUGUCAUAGUAAAAUCAAGAGACGUUGAAUUCUUUGAGAAUAAAUGUUUUACAAGUUCUGAAAUUAUUGAAAAUAAUUCAAGAUUUAUGGAAACUCAAAGUGAUUCUCAAGAGAAAGAAACGAAUGAUUCUAAAGACAUGAUUGAACCAAGGAGAAGUACUAGAGCUAGGAAAAUAAAAGACUUAGGUCCUGAUUUUAUUACUCAUGUUUUUCUUGUUGAAGGAGAUUGAGAUAAUAAUGUGGUAAAUAAAUACCCUUUAGUAUUAAAUUUAGAAAAUGAUCCUAGAAGCUUUGAUGAUGUUAUGUCUUCUAGAGAUGCUUCCUUUUGGAAAGAAGCUGUGAAUGAUAAAAUGGACUCAAUUAUGUCCAAUAAUACUUGGGUAUUAGUAGAUUUACCAAAAGGAUCAAAACCUAUUGGGUGCAAAUGGGUUUUUAGAAGAAAAUAUCAUUCUGAUGGUUCUAUUCAAACUUUUAAAGCUAGGCCUUAGCUAAGGGAUAUAGACAAAAAGAAAGAAUAAAUUAUUUUGAUACAUAUGCUCCUGUUGCAUGUAUAACUUCUAUUCGAGUUCUUUUUGCUCUAACUUCCAUUUAUGAUCUUUGUGUUCAUCAAAUGGAUGUUAAGACUGAUUUCUUAAAUGGAGACUUAAAUAAAGAGAUUUACAUGGAACAACCGGAGGGUUUUGUUCUUCCUAAAAAUGAAAGAAAAGUAUGUAAAUUGAUUAAAUCUCUUUAUGAACUUAAGCAAGCUCCUAAGCAGUGACAUAAAAAGUUUAAUUCGGUCAUAUUGUCAAAUGGUUUCAUCAAUAGCAGUGCCGAUAGGUGUAUAUACUCUAAAUUCACUAAAGACUAUGGUGUCUUAGUGUGCUUGUAUGUUGAUGAUAUGCUUAUCUUUGAAACGAAUAUGACUGGAAUUAAUGAGACUAAGAAGUAUCUAACUUCCAUGUUUAAAAUAAAGGAUUUGGGUGAAGUAGAUACUAUCUUAGGUAUUAAAGUUAAGAAACAUAGUGGGGGUUAUUCUUUAAGCCAAUGUAGUUAUGUUGAAAAAUUAUUAAAUAAAUUUCAACAUCUUGAUUUUAAAGAAAUAAGUACUCCAUUUGAUUCCAAUAUUAAAUUAAAUUAUAAUACUGGUAGAGCGGUGGUAUAACUAGAAUAUGCAAGUGCUAGAGGGUCUUUAAUGUAUGUGAUGCAUUGUACUAGACCCGAUAUUGUUUAUUAUGUAUGCAAGUUGAGUAGGUAUACUAGUAAUCCAAGUACAGAACAUUGGAGAGCUAUUACUAGAAUUUUUGGUUAUCUUAAGAGAACUAAAAAUUUAGGAUUGUUCUACAAUAAUUAUCCGGUUAUAUUAGAAGGAUACACUGAUGCUAGUUGGAUUACAAGUGUGGGAGGUGAGCGUUCCACUUCUAGAUGGAUCUUCACACUAGUUAGAGGUGUUGUAUCUUGGGCGAGCAAGAAACAGACAUGUAUAACUCACUCAAUAAUGGAAUAUGAAUUUAUUGCUUUGGUGACAGCCAGGAAAGAGAAUGAAUGGAUUAGAAAUUUGUUGUUGGAUAUCAAAUUAUUUCUAUCCACUGUGAUAGUCAGGCCACUUUGGCAAGAGCCUAUAGUAACACCUAUAAUGGUAAGUCUAGACAUAUUAGUCUAAGACAUGAAUAUGUGAGACAAUUAAUUAAAAAUUGUACCAUAACAAUUAUCUAUGUGAGGUCAAGUAAAAAAUCUUGUAGAUCCUUUGACGAAGGCUUUACCAAGACAUAUGGUAAUAACUACCUAACAAAAAAUGGGGCUGAAACCCUUUAAUUGAAAUCACCAAUAAUGGUAACCUGACCUUUUUCUAGAACAUCACUAGUUACAAGGUUUAAUAGUGCGGAGUAAUAUAAAACUUCUUGCUAAAAUAAGAGGUUAGUGUAUGUGCGAUAUGUCUGGUUCUAUUACAUAAAAGUACAAGUUUAAAGCCGAACUACUUGUCACUUUGAUAGAGCUUUGAUAUACUUACACUAAGUAAAUGUUUAACUCGAAAGAGACCUUUAUGUAUGUAUAUUAAUCUUACUGAAAAUUUGGCUAUAUGGUUUUUUAAAAUUUUAUUUUUGAAAUCUUUGUUUUACAAACAAAGUGGGGGAUUGUUGGAGUUUUGUUUGUUAAAAGAAAUUGAGUGAUUUUUUCUUUGUCCCACAUAAAAACGGUGGGAGGAAGUGGGCCAAUUUAAAAAUGUGGGAUUUCCUUUUUGUAGUUUAAGGAAUGAUUGGGUGGGGUUAGACCUUCACCAUACCCGCGUAUGGGUGCGCGAUUUUGGCGCGAUUAUUUGACGCACUUAGCACUUUGCACGCUCGCGGAUUAAUUAGCACUAAUCCCUUUGUUAUUUAUUUAUUUGUUUUGCUAUUAUUUUUUUUAUUCAAUUCAAAGGUUACCUUUUAUUUUGAGAAUUUUCAAAAAUAAAAUAUAAAAAUGAAAAUUCAAAAUUUUAUUAAAAAAAUUAUUAUUCUGAAUUUUGUUUGUGUCUUUUCAAGACAACCUUUGAAAAAUUACUUAUUCAAUUUUGCAACUUUUCCCGAAGGGUUGCAAUUUUUCGGUUUUCAACUUCUUCCGAAGAGUCACAUUUGUUUAUCCGAACAAUUUUCUAAAGGAUGUGUUUGUUCAUUCUUUGGCAAUUUUUACGAAGAGUUGCAAGACUGUUUCAUAUAUAUACUUGUCAAUUUUCGGAAGGAAAAAGUGGUCAUUUUCGAAUCUUCUUUCAGACAAACUACAAUCAAUUUUUCGAUUGUUUCCUAGAGAGACCCUGGAGAAAUACUAGAAUUGCUAUCUAGCAUUCUCAUCCGAGACUUUGUUGUAUCCUGGAGGAUUUUUGCCAGCGACCAUUAGCAACGUUGUGGGACAAAUAAAUCUUUAAAAAUAGUGAUAUCACGCCUCAAAGUCUGAGUUGUUUUACUCGAUCCGAUUUCAUUGUUCAAUUCAUUUCGAAGUCAUAUUUUUCCAACACUUCCUUCUUAAAGAAGCAUUGAGAUUGAUGAUCAAACUUGAGACAUAUGGCUUCAGUGUGUCUUGUUCCCUGCCAAAGAAAAAAAGGGAAACAUAAGUUGGUUAUCAUAUAAUCACCAAUUGAAGGCAUACGAGUUGAACAUACCCAAGAAAUGGACAUCUUAUUCAUAAUUUGAAAUUAAUUUACAAUAUGAUUUAUAGAUGCACAUGUGAUCACAGUAACCACAUAAUUAACUUCUCGGUUCAGAUAAAAGCAAAUAAGCAAAGUCAAUGUGUAUAACCCUUCUCUUUGAAUAGGAAUAACAUGGCAAACACUUUACCUCCUUUCUUUUAAGAACAUCAAUUGCUUCCUCAUGAUUCCACACCUGACUUUGCUUCUCUAGUUUAAAAUUAGCUCUUUCACGAAUGAUAUCUUGCCCAAGGUCUCUUAGCUGAUUAUGCACCCACAAUUGGUUACCUUCUACAAUCUUCAUUAACGACAUCCAUUUGAGGACUUCAGGAGAAUAUUUAGGGAAAAGCUUACAGCUGUCCCAUAUGUAUGUCACAAUUCUCACAUCAAACCCAACAAAGAAGAAGCAAAUAUCGAGAAAUAUUUCAUUCUCUUCAAGUUCUACUGCCUCAAAACUAAUGUUCAACUUACUUUUAACCCUUUUAUUGGGAAUAGUUUUCAAUUUUUCUAAUGUGUCCACCCAAAAUUUUCUGUUCUUUCCAGCUAAAAAUGAACCUAUAAUCUCUAGAGCCAAAGGAAGACGACCACAGAUUUCUACCGCUUUUUUUGAGAGGGGGAUGUAUUCUGCUGGAGGAUGAUCUCUUCUAAAGGCAUGUUUGCUAAACAGUAGAAGAGAAUAAUUGAAAUCCAUUUCAGUAAGUUCGUGCUUCAAAUCAACAUCUUUGAGAACUUCCUCAUUUCUUGUGGUAAUAAUAACCUUAAUUCAUCUACCGAACCAGCAUUGACCCGUCCCCACAAGAGCCUCCAGUUGAGUGCUUUGGUCGACAUCAUCAAAUACAAUUAAAAUAUUUUUAGAGGAUAACCUAUUCUUGAUCUCAGUAAUUCCCUCAUUAAUACUAUUGAUGGAUGGCCAUUCCAUUCUUAGGACUUUAGAGAUGAGCUGAUUCUGCAAACUUACAAUCUUUGUCUCUCGAAUGUUAGACAAGAAGCAACAAUUAUCAAAAUCAGCCGACAGUUUAUUAUAGACAAUUGUGGCAAGAGUUGUCUUUCCGACACCACCCAUACCAUGGAUACCAACAAUAUUUGUUCCAGUGGUCUGUUCACUUAUCUUUUCCAUGAUUUGGUCUACUUGAUCAUCCAUUUCAACCAAGCAAUUAGAUACUGCCAGGUAGUUCUUUUUCAACUCGAUCAAAAGCUUCCAAACAACUUCUUCGGUGAACUCACAUUUGCCUCUGAUAGUAGUGAUGGCAAAAGAACCCAACUGUUAAAUCGAGAUGAGCAAAAUAAUAUCUAAGGUACAAACAAAUCCUGAACAAUAAUAAAUUCAAGUACCUCUCCUUGAGUUCCCAUCCUCUUAACGCUCCAACCUUGCUAAGAGCUACCUUCCAGUUAUGAAUAGUCUCAUCAGUGUACCGCCACUUAUUUAUGUGUAAAUUAAUGGCCUCACCGUAACUUCCAGUUUGGUUACGAACCUCGGAUGGUGCUAUGUUGUAGAAAAUCGGCAUAAUCUUUCGUCCCCAGCUUUCCUUGCACCCCACCAUUUGGACCAUGGACUGGCAGCAUAUCAUUUAGAAAGAUAGAUGAGGACUGAGGAGUACAUACAUCCUUUGGGGGCAGUACCUGAUCUUAAUAAACAGCUAACUCUAUCAUUUCAGAGUUAUCCUAAAUUGCAUACCCUAUUAGUAAACGAGUAUAUCGCAUAGCAAUAAAUAUGAAAUGCACUGGCACGUACAUACCAAGUGACUAUAUCUAUCGCCAUGUUUCAAACAUUUGCAAAUAAACCUACAUGCUUGUUUAACAAUGGAUGCGAUUACAUUAAUUAGUUUAUCUAUACCUUGAGUCGUUGGGGUAGAUUUGUCAUACACCUACCCUGGAAAAAAGGGGCUACAAGGUUCGUGGUAAUUUAAGUGCGAUUGCAACCCAAACCACUUUGAGAGCCCACUCCUGAUGUGACCGGCAGUACUAAACUAUGUUUCUGGAGCUUCUUAGGUUGAUGUCCUUUGAAUUUUGUGAUUGGUGCGAAGAUGACAUCUCUCUUGCAAAUGCACGAGAGAAGUCAGUGCAAUCUGCUAAAUGUAUGAGAGUGGUUGGCCCGUCCCCAGCAGAACCGCUCGAACGAUUAUCAAAUACUGUCGCAGAACCCAGGAUGUUCUUUUUAUAUAUCUGCUCUGCCCUUCGGAGUAGAAUACAAACAAAAAUCAUGUAAAGUCGCUGAGAGAGGUGAACUACUCUGCAUUUUAUACAGUAACUCCGACCCCAACAUGAUGUGGCCCGACGACAUUGGUGCUUCAGGGGUUGUUGCUCAGAGCAGAACACCGAACUGCUUCAAAAGGGUUGGUGAGACCAAAUCGAGUCAAUUUUGUAAUGGACUCAGUCAUCUUUCACUUUCCGAGGUCAUUGUCCCGCAUAUUGUAAUGAACUCAGUUUACCUCCAGAGACCGCCCAUGACGUCCGGCACAGUGCCCGCUAAGAUUGUAAUGGAUCCAAUGAUGGUGAUGUUAUUGCAACUGCUAUCGCGUGAGGGCUCACUACCCUAGCUAGGACCUCGAGGAGUAUUGCCAGCCCUUAUUGGGACAACAUAUAAACCCCCAAUUAUUCUCCCAUUCCCGAGCUCUCGUCUCUUUGCUGCCUUCAUCAUUUUCUUUGUUUUUUGUCUUUCAAAUUUGAUGUUUAUUUUUCAAUUUUUAUGAUUUUUACUUGUUUGUAGUGCUCUUCAAUUUUGUGACGUGACAUUUCAUGGAACAAUUUUGUGUUGUACCAAAAAGAUUGAAAUGACAAUUAAGGGAAAUGAACUAAAAAAUAAUUUAAACCUAUUAUAUUGGUACUAAUUCAAUUCUAAAUCUUUAAAUUAGAUUAAUUUAAUCAUGGAUUUUUUAUAUUUGUGCCAAUUAAGUCCAAUCUGUUGAUUUGAAAGUUGGCUGUUUUAUAAGACACGGCUAGCGUUGAUAUGGACAAAUUUUAAUUCUUUUUAAAUAUUAUUUUUUUCCCUUUUCAUUUUGGCUAGUGAGGAUAUGCAUUCCCCUAUGAUGAUCUUAUUGGAAAAGUGAAAUCAAGAAAUUUAACCGAAGCUAAUUCAACCCUCACCGUUGGACUAGUUUCUAAAGAGCAUAAACUAAUCUCUAAUUAGAGUCAUCUCUUAGUAUGUUAACAAACAGGUACAGGGUCAAUGGGUGAGCAUUAGAAGCUAUCAUUCUCAUUUGCCAGAAAGUAUCAACAUAUCAGAAAAAGGAGUCAAUCACUAACCAAUGAUGGGGUUGAUGAAAUUUCCACAGAAAAAAGAAGCAUGAAUGCUAUAACCGUUUCUCUGGAAAAUAAGUUUGAACACACAAGAGUGCAGGAACGAGAGCUGUAUUUUACGGAAACGGAGAGUUCCGGUUCACCACAGAGUGCAACAUUAUAGUCGAUUCAAUCUAUCUCUACUAUUAAAUACAGAGUUGAGGGUAUCAAUUUCUGCCUAGGAGCGUUCUUACUGCUAAUCACUAGACAAUAAUGUACGAAUUUGUCAUAUGGGAGUCUCUUAAAGAUACCGCUGUCUCUGUUCGCAAAGAAAUUUAAAAACAAAUCCCAUCAAACGAAUGAAAUCAACAGAUCCACUCAAACUAGUAUAGCUUUUAGCACCGGCCUAGUUCCUAAAGAGCGUAAAUCUAAUUCCUAAUUACGGAAAUCUCUGAGAUCUAUCAACAAGCUGAUGCACAGAAGUGGCAUUGUGUUUCAAGAUCUGAGGCCUGACAGUUGCACAGAUGGAAGCAGAUGAGCAGGGUUUAGCAUGUAACUAGAGCGAGAGGCUUAAGGCUUCUAGUGUUGGACGCAACUCGCAGUGAUCAAUCAUCGAGUCAAAUGAGGAGAGAGUCGAUGCUGAUCUGAGAGUCCCUCUACUGUUCCCAUCAGAUUCUGCCCCUAGUUACAUUACUGAACAUACCCAAUUCAUUGAAAAAAGCAAUAGAUGAGAGGAAAUUAGCAGAGAUGGAGGGGGUUGAAGAUGAAGAGUCACGAUCGAAAUGCUGAGAAGGUGACUUGAUACUCACCCUUUCGCGCCGACCGCAAAGUACAGAAAAUGAGGGAAUCCGCCUUUCUUUUGAGGCAUUCGAGGUUUUUUUUUUUUUUUUUUUGCUCGGUCCUACUUUAAUCAUAUUCUAACACUCACUCUCAGACUUGGGUUACUUCGAAAAAACUCCCGAGUCCAAAGAGUUUUUGGCUCUAAAGUCUUAUUUGUUUAGAAAUCAUAAUGACGAUGAAACCCCUCUUUUUUUUUUCCUUUUUUUUUUUGGUGAAAUCGUGGAUCCAUUUAAAUUAUUCAUGAAUGAAACCUACACAUUUUAAGUAUUUCAGAUGGAUUAUAACAUGAAGUUAUUCGCAGUAAAUUUACAAAACAAAAGUUUUUUAAAUAAUAAAAGUUGCAUUCAGUUAUUAAAAUCUGAUUUGUUUCGCAAAAAAAUGAAUGAUUGAAAACAUAUUUUUCAAAAAAUAAUUAUUUAUAUCACUUGAAAUCCUUAGUUAAUGAAAUAUGUUUUUAUUAUCAAUAACAAUUUAUGCAUAAAUAUUUUUGUGAAAUAUUUUUUAUUCAUUUAUUUUUGUAAAGGAUACAAGCGAUUAUUUUUCAGAAAAUAUUUUUCAAAUUAUUCAUUGUUCCUUAAAGAUCCAAAAAAUUUAUCAUGCAAAUGAAAGUUUAUCAAUCAUGGAUGGUUUGAGCAGAACUUCUGCCAUUUCUACUUUCCUUUCGCAAAUCUUGGGCAAUGUCCACAUUACCACUAGAAGGAAUCUUUAAAAAAAAAUUUGACCAAGGGAUUUUUUCUUUAAAGUAGUUAUCAUAUUUUUUAGAUUUGAAUAGUCGAAUCAAUAGAAAUUAGGAUUGGUUAUAUAUAUAAUCAUGAAAAUAUUAAUAAUGACGAAUUACAAAAUAUUAGUCAACUUAACUUAUUUUUUUAUUAUCUAUGAUUAAAGUAAAAUAAGAACAAUAAAUCGAUGUAUUGAUGCUAUUUAGUCAAUUAAAAAAAAUAAACCAUUAUAAUUUUCUUAAUUUUGAAACAAUGGCCAGUAAAUUAAUUUAAAUUUCUAAUUUCGAGAUAUAAUGCUGUAGAAUAUCUAUAUUAUGAAGAAUAUGCAAUCAUAUUGUAAAUAAUAUGUUAAAAGCUGGUAUCUUUUUUUCAUUACAUUCUCAAAGUUUGUUUUUCAUACAAUCAAUAAAUGAGUCACUGUUUUGCUCCACUACCUAUAUCUAUGUUAUAGCUCUCCUGGGAAUUCAUCAAUUGACAGUAAUGUGAGCCCUCGCUCUAUUUGAUUUCAUUAAUGCUUCGAUUCAUUUACACAUUAUAUAUAUAUAUAUAUAUAUAUAUAUAUAUAUAUAUAUAUAUAUAUAUAUAUAUUAGCAUACAAAACACAUUGCAAAUUUGCAAGGGAGAGAUAUGCACAAUAUUUUGUAUGCAUCGAAAUUUAAUUAAUCCUCGUCCAACUAUAUUUGUGUUGAUGUGAGCAUUUGUAAUUGAUAUAGUAAUCGUUAGUACACUGUUUUUCUUUUACAGAGAGCCAAGCUAAUUAAUAAAAUUAUAUUAAAUUAAACUAUAUCGAUUUGGAUUCGCUUUUACUUUCUUUUUCUUUUUAAAUUUUUGCUUCUGUAAUUUACACUGCCCACGGACUUUAAGUCUUUUUCGAAGUCCCGAAACUUUCACAAUAGUUGGAUGUUAACACGUACAUUUGUAUUUAUUCAUUUCAUAAUUUUUUGAAAUCCAAAUUAUAUUUCAACUUUUGAUAGGAAAAUAAAUUUUUUUUUUUUUAAGUCCAAACAAAGUGGCGUUAAAGCUGUUAAUUUUCGCCAUUUCUUUACGAUUUCACUUCGCGUGCUGGAUGUUUAGGUGAUACGAUGCUGAAAGCACCGUUUCCAUGGGGGAGACAACUGGUGCACUGCCAUGUUCUUUAAUGAUAUCGUCCCGAGUCCCAAUUAUCGAUCGUUAUGUCUCUCUCAUCGCCAGAAAGCGCUUGACUUGUUCGAUGAAAUGCCGCAGAGGGCUCUUGUCUCUUAGAAUUCAUUGAUUUCUGGGUCGUCCCAUCAUGGGUUUUAUGAAGUCUCUGAGUAUCUUCAUGCAGAUGCAAAGAAAUUAUGAUCGUCUGUUCAUGGAUGAAUUUACUUUUGUGGGUGUUGUGGCUGCCUGUGCUCACUUGGGUGCAUUGAAGUUCUUGCUUCAAGUUAAUGGAGUUGCCAUCAUAAUGGGCUUGGAAUUUACUAAGAUUACUUAUAAUUCUCUGAUUGAUGCUUAUGGGAAAUGUGGUGGAGCCGAUAAAUGCCGUGACUUGUUCGAAGUUAUGCCUGAGAAGGAUAUUGUGUUGUGGACUUCCAUGGUUGUUGCUUAUUCGCUAGCUCAUAACUUGGAUGAUGCUUGUGCAAUAUUCAACAAUAUGCCAGCGAAGAAUACGGUCUCUUGGACUGCAAUGAUUGCAUGCUUUGCACAAAAUGGCCGUGGUGAUGAAACUUUGGACCUUUUCGUUCGAAUGCGUGAGGAAGGAAUACAGCCAAGUCCUCGUACUUUUGUCAGUGUUCUAUGUGCUUGUGCUGAUUGAGCACUUGCUGAAAGAGGCAAGCAGAGUCAUGGUUGCAUAGUCAGGACCUGCUUUGAUAGAGAUUUGGAUAACAUAUCUGUAUGGAACGCUCUAAUUGACAUGUAUUGCAAGCGUGGCUACAUGAGAGCAGCUGACAUCUUAUUCUUGAGGAACCCAGAAAGGGCUAUUGUAUCAUGGAACUCAAUGAUAAGUGGAUUUUCACAAAAUGGUUUAGGGCAUGAGUGACUUGUUUUUGUCAAGAAGAUGCUGGAGGCAAAUGCAAGAUUCUACCAUGUCACAUUUCUUGGCACUCUAUCUGCUUGCAGCCACGCAGGUCUAGAUGUUGAAGCACUUCAGAUUUUCAAUGCAAUGGAAAAGGACUACACAGCCUUCAAAAGAGAUCCGACCACUAUGCUAUUUUGGUCGAUCUGCUCAGGAGGAAAUACAGACUUGAGGAAGCCAUGGAAUUGAUAGAUAGUCUCAAACAAAUCAGAGCAUGUUGUGCUUUUCGGUUAAUGCAAAGCCCUCGGUAAUCUUGUUAUUGCCUGAAGCUGUGGAUAUCUAUUGAAGUUGAACCCCAAAAUGCUGCGAAGUAUGUGUCACGUUAUCAAGCAUCUAUGCUGCCAUUAACAGAUGGGAUGAUUCCUGCACAGUAAGGAAGCAAAUGGAGGAGAGAAACUUGAUGAAAGAUGUGGCAAACAGUUGGAUUGAAGUAAAGUAUGAAAUGCACAAAUUUCCAGCAAAGGACCGAUUCCACUAUCAGAUAGGAGACAUACACGAAGUGCUCGGGAAACUACCUUAUCAUAUGAAGGAAGCUGGAUAUGUUCAUGAGCCCCACAUAAGGCUCAUAUAUUUUAAUUUGAAUCUAUCUAAUUUAACCUCAAAUGAUGUCUAUAAUUUUUUUUUUUUUAUUGCUAUACUAUAAUCAAUACUCUCAGCCCAUAAAUCUAUCCUAUUUUUGCUGAGUCCUCUGAUCUAGUUUUUAAACAGAUACACAGAAACACUGAUCUAAAUGUCCCUUAACUCGGAACCUGACCAAUCUAUGAUUUUUUUUCCUUUUUGUGGGGUUAAGUCUAAACUCAGGAAGCGAGAGCACUAAGUCUAAACUAAGAGCUCAAGUUCACGUUGGAUAAUUUAAUCCAUGGGGUAUGUAUGAAUAAUCAAUAAAAUAGAUUCAAUGAGAUGACAUUCGGCUUAAUACUUAAAUGCACAAAAAUGAACAUACUAUAUGCGCAUAUACCACCACAUAGUAGCUCAUCCAUAUAUUCAGAUGAGUAUAUUCGUUAUUCGUCACUGCUUGUGACUCAUCUUGACUAAUGGGGCACCGCCACCACCAAUUCAUGCUCAUUGCACAACCGUCUAUGGCAUACUCAUUCUCCUCAAUAUUCAUUCUCACUUUAUUAUCUUUAUUUUCUCAAUCUUGAACCUCAAGUUUAUAAUAUCACAUAGCAAACUACUCAAGUCAUAUCAAGCUGCACAAAUAAUAUCAUUUUAUAUAUGAAUCAGGGGAAUCAGGAAAACAAACUAUAGUGUUGGCAUAUUAUUGACAAUACUUGUAGAAAUUCAAAAGAGUUUGUAAUUUGCUUAAUUAUUAGAAAGUUGGUAAAAUUCUUGAUAAUGUUGGCAAUUUCUUUUAAUUUAUCAGUAAAAUUUCAGAGGAGUGGAUAUUUUACGACUUCAUUCGAAUGUUGACAAAUUCCUCAUAGUGUCAGUAAUUUACUUACAAUAUCAAUAAAGUUCAGAAAAAUUGGUAAUUUAUUAAUUCAUUGGAAUGUUGGUAGAUUUCCAGUGGUGUUGGUAAUUUAUUAAUGAUCAGGUUUCAAGUCAUAACAUUUUACCAGCAAGAUUGGAAAAUUACUAGUAAGAUUGGAAUUCUACCAAGACAGAAAGUUUUCAAUUUUCCACAGCAUGGGACCGUAAAAUUUUGCAUAGCUUCAUAAGUCUCUACCUCUGCAACAAGAACUUAAAUCCCAACUGAUAAUUUCAAUUGUUGAAACAAGAAACGCAGUAAUGAAUCAUUCAGAAGCCCCUGUAGAAAUCUGUUCAAAAUUAUCAAAACUAAAGGACCUUUGUGACCAUUGCACAUGAUCAUUAACUAGGGAGGGUUAUGUUCAUGCUAGACACGAUGUUUUGCCCAUACUUCUUCAUUUCUUCAAUGUAGAAAUUUUCAGGGGAAAUCAGCAACAAUUCUGCAAAUACAGUCGCUGAUGUCUAAUUAAAUUCGCAACACUGAAUGCAAAACAUUGCACAUUAAUCUCCGUGAACGAAUUUUGGAGCAAGUCAUCUUGAAUCCUUGAUGAAUUUCUCCCGUGACGAGAUUAAUUACUAACUGCACCGCUAAACAUUUUAGAAGUAGGACCACAACAGACCAAGAGAAAAAGAAAGAAAUUGCAGAACCAAUCUACUAUAGUAAGGUUUCAUGCCUUCCAGGACAAUAUUUCGGUUUUAGCUAGACCUUGACAAGCUCAGAAGAACAACCGAUUCCCCAUGUAUGUUUUGAACUAGUUCCUAAUCCCCUAAUUGGUGCAGAAGUGAACUGACGCACAGGAGUUGCAAUGUGUUUCAAUAGAAUGUGACUUGGUUAAGGCUAAAGCUAUUAAAGAUUAGAUGCAGAUGGAACAAAAUCAAUCGAGUGAGCUGUCGAGGGAGUUCAUCGAAAGGCUGUUUUCAUUGCGUAUGUAUGAUAAGUCAUGACUGAAAAUAAUAAAAACCAACUCAAUCCGUUCCAAAUAUUUUCCCAAUCUAUCACUGAUUGCAUCGAAGAUUCGCACGCAGACCCAAUUCAUGCAAAUGCGAAGAGAAAAUUACCAGAAGAAAAGAAUAUAGGCGAAGAUGAAGGAAACCAAAUGAAGAUGCAGAGAAGGAAGAACCCUCGUUGGCCUCAGUUAGCUGCAACCAAAACGGAAAAGGAAGAUCACAAUCCAUUAACCCCUCGGUGGGAACAGAUCGGGGUGGCAGUCCCCGGAGGGAGAUCUCCGCCUGGUUGAAUCGCAUCUCGUUCUUCCGCUCGGGGUCGCUGCCGCUGCUGGUUCUGGGCGAGCUUCUCACUCACGUCGUCGCUGGUGAGGGAGGAAGACGAAGGAGAAGGAAAGAACGUGAGAAGACACAGAGAGAGCAACGGGAGAAAAAACGAAACAAAUAUAAAAAAACACAGAGACAGAGAAAAAGUUUAAAUUUCUUAAGAGUGGGUCCCACCUUUAUGCGUCAUCUCGAGAUGAUAUUCCUCACCAAUCUCCUACGGAAUCUUCUCUCCCUGAUUUCAGUACCCUCCCCCUACUUCUUUGGAAGGGUCUUCGCACUUUUUUCAAAUCUCGGUACUCAUCGGAUUCCAUAAUCUCCUCCAAUCUCUCAGAGUCUUUUAUUUCCAAAUCCUCUAGCUUCUUGAAGCUUGAAGGAUCAGAAAACUUUUGCAGAGACCCGCAGCCAUCAAUAAGAAGAAACAUCACUGAUUUCAGCCUACCUCGAACCAGACGAGGACAAUGCAUUAAUUCAAUAUGCUUAAGCUCCUUGGCGUUGGUCAGGUCAGGCAACUUCUCUAGUAACGGAAGAUCGUCCACACAUAAGACCCUCAAGUUCUCUGAAACUUCCAAGCCUUGAAUCUCUCCUAGCUUCCAACAGCCAUCUAUAUCCAAUUCUUCUAUAUGCUUAAAGCUCGAUGGAUCAGGCAGAUGUUCAAGUGAUUCACAGCAAGUUAAAUGGAGAGACUCCAAUGAUUCAAGCUUACCUCAAACCUCAACCAAUUUAGGACAAACUUCUAUCCAAAAUCUCCAAAGCUUCUUUAAGCUGGUCAGGUCGGGCAACUUCACCAGCGAUGGAAGAAACACAAGAUCAAGCCUUUGCAAGUUUUUCAAAGGUUCGAGGCCUUGAAUCUCUAUUAGCUGUUCACAAUACCAGAUUUCCAAUUCUGAUAACUUCUCCAAAUAUGAAAGAUUUAUUGACUUUUCUGUUAACCCGUGCCCAACAAAAUGGAAGUAUGACAAAUUCUGAGGAAGCUUAGGUAGGCAUUCUAGGUUAUUUUUGAAGAGUUCAAGCUUCCUGAGCUUCAAAAGGAGAUUAAAAUCUGAAGGUAGGGUGACCAGACUAUGACAACACAAUGACAAUGACUCUAGCUUUCUUAACCCUCCGAUCCAAUUGAGGCUUGGAGCUGGAUGGGAAGGCCUUUGAUACUCCAAUCCCAACGUCAAAACCCUCAAAUUUAAUAGGUUCGAGAGAUCUGGGAAUCUUAUUAGUUCAUUACUGGUCAGGUAUAGUUUGGUCAUACUUUCAGGAAGCUUAGGUAUAUUGGAAAUUCUCGUGCCCGAUAACCUGAAGAUUCUUAGAAAUGAUAGUUCUCCAAUCUCACUUGGAAUUUCCCCACACAAACGUCUACAACAGGUAAAAUUGAUCUCUUCAAGCUUCUCUAACAUCCCAAGGGCGCUAGGUAGCUUUUCUAAGUCGGACAUAAACAUCCUUAGUACUCUCAAAUUCUUCAUUGUCUCUAUUGAAUUAGAUAACUCUCAUAUUUUCGACCCAUAAAGAUUCAACUCAACGAGAGAUCCAAAAUUUCCAAAUGGAAGUUCACUAAUUCCGGUAUCCGACAAGUCAAGAUAUGAUAGUGAUGUUGAGCAACCAGCUAAAUUGCAUUCGCUCAGUAAUCUACAAUGUUUUGCACUAAGAGUUUCCAAUUUCUCCAUUCCUUUCCAUUCAGGAAUGUUGGUAAUAGAUGUGCCAUCAACAAGGAGUUCUGUCAAGGCUUCUAGUUCCUCUAUCUCGUCUGGCAAUGUCUGAAAUUUACUAUAAUAAUUCAAGUUUAAUAACACUAAAUGCUUUAACUUACCAAUAGACCUCUCAACUUGAACUAGUUCCACGCACCCUUCAAGAAUCAAUUGCUCUAACUUUUGAUGAGCAGAAAAUUUAGGAGUUCUAAGCAACUUUUUGCAAUCAAUCAAAUUUAGAACCUUCAAAUUCUUUGUCGUCUGUGAUGAAGAGAAGAGGUUGAUUUUGAAUCAUUUUGAGAUAUAGGACAGCAAAAUCAAUAGAGCAAAUUCAUGUUGAAAUAAUAUCAUACCUCGAGGUGGUUCCAUCCCUCCCACUCAUCAGUAAUUCCACUCCUUGAUACAUCAAGAAUCACUAGCUUCUUAAGAGAACAUGCGGUGAACUUGUGAAAGACAGGGAAGUUAUGCCAUGAGAGCCAUCUCAAAUUCGGAAGCAUGAUGCACAAGUUGGUAGAAGGAAAAUGCUGAACGUUGUUCUCAUCCAAGUCUACACAAUCCACUUGAAUAAAUCUUAAAUUAAUAGGCUUAAAGAUUCUUCCUUCUCAAUGAAGUCUUGAAAUUGAUGAUCAUAUUUGAGACGUAUUGUUUCAACAUUUUCUCUUCCCUGCCAAAGCAAAAAAAAUAAAACAAAAGCUAGCGAUCACAUAAUUGCCUAUUAAAGGCAUUCGAGUUGAGCACACUUGAGGAAUGCACAUCUUAUUUAUAAUUUAAAAAAAAUACAAUAUAAUUUACAGAUCAGCAUGUGAUCAUACUAAGCACACAAGUAAUGAAUAGGUUUAGAUAAAAGCAAAUAAGUAAAGUCAACAUGUAUAACUCGUCUCUUUGAAUAGGAAUAAUAUUGCAAAAACUUUACCUUCUUUAUUCCAAGAACAUUAAUUGCUUGCUCAUGAUCCCACACCCGACUUUGCUCCUCUGGUUUAUAAUCACCAUUCUUACAAACGAAAUCUCGUCCAAUGUCUCUUACAAUAUCAUGCAUCCAUAGUCGGUUAUGUUCUAUAAUCUUUAUUAAUGACAUCUUUUGGAGGACACAAAGAUAAAAGUCAGGUUGAAACCUACAGCUUUCCCACAUGUGACUCACAAUUCUCACAUCAAACCCAAUGAAGAAGCAACAAACAUCGAGAAAUAUUUUCCGCGCUAGUGGGUGUAAUGCCUCGAUACUAAUGUUCAAUUUUUUUUCAACUUGUUCAUCGGGAAUAGUUUCCAGCUUCUUUAAUGUGGUCUUCCAAGAUUUUUUGUCUUCCUCAGCUAAAAAAGAACCUAUGAUCUCAAGAACUAAAGGAAGACCACCGCAAAUUUUUACUGCUAUUUUCAAGAGGUUGAUGUAUUUAGCCGAAGGAUGAUCACUUUUAAAGGCAUGUAACAGUAUAAGGGAAUGAUCAAAAUUCAUUUCAAUAAAUUUGUGCUUCAUAUCAACAUGUUUGAGAACUUCCUCAUUUCUUGUGGUGAUAAUAACCUUACUUCCUCUGCAAAACCAGCGUUUAUCCAUCCCCACAAGAGCAUCCAGCUCAGUCUUUUGGUCGACAUCAUCAAUUACAAGUAAGACCAUUUUAGAGGAUAAACUCCUCUUGACCUCAGUUAUCCCUUCUGCAAUGUCAUGGAUUGGCAGACAUUUCCCUUUUCGGAGAGUAGAGAUGAGUUGAUCCUGUGAAUUCAAAAUUCCUUUAUGUCGAACGCCGAACAGGAAGCAACAGUUAUCAAAAUUAGCCGACAAUUUAGUAUAGACGAUUCUAGCAAGAGUUGUCUUUCCGACACCGCCCAUUCCAUGGAUACCAAUAAUCUUUGUUUCAGAGGUGUCUUCGCCUAUCAUUUCCAUGAUCUUGUCCACUUGAUCAUCCAUUUCAACCAAGCAAUCAGGUGCUCCCAAAUAGCUCUUUUUCAACUCAAACAAAACCUUAGAAACGACUUUGUUCUUGAACUCGCCUUUGCCUCUGAUAGUUUUGAAGCCAAAGAGCCAACUGUUAAAUUGAGAUGAACAGAACAAUAUUGAAGGUACGAACCAAUUGUGCACAAUAAUAAAUUCAAGCACAUCUUAUUAAGUCCGCAUCCCUUUAAUUUUCCAACCUUGUUGAGAGCUACCUUCCAGCUCUGAAUAGUCUUAUCAGUGUGCUUAUUCAUGUGUGACUGGAUGGUGUCACCGUAGGUUGCAGUCUGCUUACGAACCAUCCGUGGUUCAACGUCAUAGAAAAUUGGUAUGAUCUUUUGUCCCCACUUUUCCUUGCACUCCACCAUCUAAGUCAAUUCCACGAGGCACCAUUUACUAGCAGCAUAUUCUUUACAAAAGAUAGGAAUCGAGAUUUUCGACUGCACCAUUCAAAUUUUACAUAUAUUAAACCAAAAAAUAUAGAAUUCAUAUAUUUUAAUUAUGUCAAAAUUAUACACAAUAAGUUCGUAAAAAAAAGAAAAUUAGAAAAAAUAACAUUAUUAAUGUCAUAACUUUCAUACAAUACUCACCUAAUGCUAUAACUUUUUUGGGAUUGGUUAGGUAAUAUAAUUUUCAUCUGACAUUCACUGAAAUGCCAUAAUCUUUUAUUUUUUGCACUUGUUCAAAUUGUUUACCCAAGAAUGAAUGUUCCCACAAGGACCGCUGGUCUACCGCUGUCCUUGGUUCUCCACUAUUUGACGCUUCCUCUUUUCUCCAAAUUUUAAAAUUUUUCUUUUUAAUUUUUUCUUAAAAAUUGAUGACAUGGCAGCUAUAUCAAUGCCUCCAUCUUCAAGGGAAAAAAAAAUCACGUUCGUUUUUUCUAUUAGCUGAAUUGGAUGAAAUUAAUAACAAGACUUGAUUGCACGAAUUUAAUGAAUUUUAAAAUUUGAUCGUACUUUUUGCAAGGGAUAAUAACACAAAUGGUUUUUAAACUUUGACUUAAUAUGUAAUGUCAUAUUUAGAUUUGUAAUUUAUUCAAUAUGAUCUCUAAAAUAUUGAUAGAUGUUCAAUUUAGUCUUUAGAUUAAAUGUGCUAUUUUCAUAUAGUUUAACGACUAGAUUAGAUAUUUAUUAAUAGUUCAUAAAUCACAUCAAAUAAAUUAAAAUUUUUAAAAAUGACAUGACAUAUUUUGCCAGAGUUUAAAGAUCACAUUAAACAAAUUUCAAAUUCAAAGACCGGCUGCUUUUGCAUAAUCUUUUAUUUUUUGCACUUGUUCAAAUUGUUUACCCAAGAAUGAAUGUUCCCACAAGGACCGCUGGUCUACCGCUAUCCUUGGUUCUCCACUAUUUGACGCUUCCUCUUUUCUCCAAAUUUUAAAAUUUUUCUUUUUAGUUUUUUCUUAAAAUUUGAUGACAUGGCAGCUAUAUCAAUGCCUCCAUCUUCAAGGGAAAAAAAAAAUCACGUUCGUUUUUUCUAUUAGCUGAAUUGGAUGAAAUUAAUAACAAGACUUGAUUGCACGAAUUUAAUGAAUUUUAAAAUUUGAUCGUACUUUUUGCAAGGGAUAAUAACACAAAUGGUUUUUAAACUUUGACUUAAUAUGUAAUGUCAUAUUUAGAUUUGUAAUUUAUUCAAUAUGAUCUCUAAAAUAUUGAUAGAUGUUCAAUUUAGUCUUUAGAUUAAAUGUGCUAUUUUCAUAUAGUUUAACGACUAGAUUAGAUAUUUAUUAAUAGUUCAUAAAUCACAUCAAAUAAAUUAAAAUUUUUAAAAAUGACAUGACAUAUUUUGCCAGAGUUUAAAGAUCACAUUAAACAAAUUUCAAAUUCAAAGACCGGCUGCUUUUGCAUACCCGCUCACCAUGGAAGUGGCUGACACUAUAUUUCUGGUAGGCAUUCUAUCAAAAACUGCUCUGGCCUCACUAAUUCUGGAGCACUUAGAGUACAUAUCAACCAAUGCAUUUCCUAAAACAACAUCUUUCCCAAAUUUGUCACAUUUUACAACACGGGCAUGAAUUUGCAUCCCUUCCUUAAGUGCUGACGAGCUAGCUCAGGUGCUGACCACACUGGCUAAAAUAACCUCAUCUAUUUCGAACCCACAAUCCAUCAUGCUCACAAAAACCUCAAGAGCCUCGCUGGCGGGACCAUUUUGUUCAUAACACGUAAUCAAGCUGUUCCAAGAAACUAUGUUUCGAGAACUCAUUUCAUCAAAAGCCCUCUGUGCACAAGCCACGUUCCCACACAGCCGAGCACUCAGACUUCGAUAUCAAAGCCUGAAUCCGUUGGGCCAGAUGCAUAUCUGCUAACCCGGCACAUGCGCUAAGCACACUACCAAAUGAGUACUCAUUAAGCACAUAAUUCUCCCUAUGCAUCUUACCAAAACAUUGCAGGGCUUCUUCGAACCUUUCAUGCUGCGCAUAACCUGAGAGCAUCGAAUUCCCGAGCACUGGUCGGGUUCCGGCAUUGACCCGAAUAUCUUUUCCACUUCAUCAAGAGACCCCGAUCUGAUCAACCCGCCUAAGAUCGCGUUCCACGUGAAGGUAUUCUUCUCGGGCAUUCUAUCGAACACCCUGCGGGCAUCGUCGAGGCACCCGCAUCUCGCGUAGACGUCGAUGAGCCGGUUCUGGAUAAAAACCUCGGCGGAGAACGGGGUCUUGAUGAUCCGAGCGUGGACGCGGCGUGUGUUGCGCGCUGACUUGGACAGGCCGCAGCCGUCCAGGAGCUUGGUGAACGGGGUCGAGGUGGCGAAGGAGAGGUCGCCCGCCAGAGCCUUGACCCGCGCAUGCCUCGCCAUUCCAUCAUAUCAUCGUACGAGGCGAAAUCUGUCGGAGUAGAUUUGCAAAUUGAAUGCGACUGGGGGGUUUCUGUUGACCGUUAUAUGCUUCCCCCCUUCAGCCAGGCGCGGGAAUAUGAUACGAGCGCUCGUAUGAAGUGGGGCAAAGUUGCGGUGGCAGAAUGGUAAUUUAGCAUAACAAUCUAAUCUAAGCUAUAAAUUGAAAUAUGACAUAUAUUUAAUAUCUUGUUGUAAGUCACUAAAUUAUGAUUAGUCAUACUUAAAAUCUAUACUUAUUGCUUUAUCAAUUAUAAUUAUAAGUUUAAGAUAAGUCAAUUUAAUUUUAUUAAGAGACUGCCGGAUUAUUCACAAAUAAAACAUACAUUCUUGUUUAGUAAUUAUGAUCAUUCUAAUUGUAACUCAUUCUCGCCAAAAAAAAAAAAUUUGUAACUCAUCAUUAUAAAAAUGCAAAAACCAAUACUAGAGACUGAAAAUUAGAUCUAUGCCGGAUUUGAUGGGAUAGCUUUUCAUUGGCCCCCUCCCUCGAGGAAUAGCUAACCUUGAUUUAUGAAAAUAGCUAUUUCUUUUAUGCAACUAAUCUUGAUUUACUUCUUGACCAACUAACGACUAAUUGUCUCCUCAUGAAAAGAUUGAAAAAUGAUGUAGCUAUUGUGAUAUUUCUAUGUUAACUCUCUUUUGAGGUAAUGUCCGUUUUAUCUCGUCCCAUUUCAAAUCUCAUAGUUUUGUAUUUUGGCAUAUAAGCAGACUUUUUCCCAUUUUAGUAGUGUUCUAACUUGACUAUGCUUAACUUUGGGUAAAACUACCAAGAUAGGUGACUGUACUUUCAAGAGGCCACCCAUCUUGAUCUAACUUGACCACACUUAACUUUGGAGUGGAACUAUCUAUUGAUCUCAUGGGGAAGUGCUUGCUUGCACGCCAGAUGAUAAAAUUGUGAGGCUUGAAAUGGGAUGGGUGCCAACAAAUAAUAUCACGAGUGAAUUAAUCCAGAAACAUCACAGUUAUUUGUCCUCGAACAAAACAUGCAGUUGGAUUUUCGAUUAAGACGUAUCUUCUUCUAGUAAGGUCUGUCCCUUUUGUUUUGUUUUGUUUAGUGUUUUUUGCUUCUUCUUUUUUUUUGUUAAAUAUAUAAUUUAGACAUUGUCCUGUUAUGGUAAGAAAAAUCAAUUGACCUUCUAAAAUGUGCACUCCUGUGAACCUUUGCAAAAGAAGCCCAUCCGAACGCACAUCCACUCCGUCAAGGCUUUGCAACUCUUUCGGCUUUAUGGGACCAAGAACCGUCACAUCUGAGAGUUGUCUCAAGCUUUGGAAAGGUCUAUUGAUGUUCUUAUUUCCUGGCAAAGUAGGAUAUGUAAAAUGGACAAAACUCCCAGGAAGCCUUGGCAAGAACCUGAGGUUCUUAAAAAUUGAGAACAAGUUUCCUGAGCUUGCAACUCUAAGGACUCCAGACGGCAUAACCUUUCAGUCCACCGAGGAUCAUGGAGCUUCCUUAAGUCCGUGACCGUCGUAAUAAUACCUCGACACAUAUAAACGCAAGCAUCUCGGAUUUAAUAGGCACAGGAGAUCUGGAAAUGUGUACAUUGAGAAAAUUACAAGCACAGGUUAAUUCCAAGCCCAUGGCACCAUAGAAUUUUUCCCAUGACAAGAUUAAUUACUAAUUGCACCCGCUAAAAAUUUUAGAAGUAGGGCCACAACAGACCCAAAAAAGAAGAAAGAAAGUGCAGAACCGAUCGAUUACAGUAAGCUUUCACGCCUUCCAGGACAAUAGUUCGGUUUUAGCUCGACCUUGACAAGCUCAGAAGAACAACUGAUUCCCCAUGUAUGUUUUGAACUAGUUCCUAAGGAGCGAAAAUCAAUCCCCUGAUUGGUGCAGAAGUGAACUGACGCACAGGAGUUGCGAUGUGUUUCAAUGCAUGUGACCUUGUUAAGGCAAGCUAUUAAAGAUUAGAUGCAGAUGGAACAAAAUCAAUCGAGUCAGCUGCCGAGUGAGUUCAUUGGAAGGCUGUUUUUAUUGUGUAUGAAUGGUAAGUCAUGACUGAAAAUAAUGAAAACAACUCAAUCCGUUCCGAAUCUUUUCCUAAUCGAUCACUGAUUGCAUCAAAGAUUCGCAAGCGGACCCAAUUCAUGCCAAUGUGAAGAGAGAAAAUUACCAGAAAACCAAAUAAAGAUGGGGAGAAGGAAAAAGCAAGACUUUUUUCUAGAGAACAUAUUCAACUCUCGUGGAACAAAUCAGCGGGCAGGAAGACAGGGGUCGCAGUCCCUGGAGGGAUAUCUCCGCCAGGUUGGAUCGCGUCUUGUGAUGCCACUCGGGGUUGCCGUUGCAUUCCUUGAUGGCCAGUGUCUGUUGCUGCUGGUUCUGGUCGAGCUUCUCUCUUGGGACAUCACUGAUGAGGAAGGAAGAUGAAGGGAGGAGAAGGUGAGAAGGUGUUGUUUUGGGGGGGUAGGAGCAACGGGAGAAAAAAGAAAGAGAGCUUCAAAAAAGGGGGGAGAGAGAGAGAGACCUUGACGGCUUCAAGGUAAAAGAGAGGAAUCCCUAACCCUUUUAAUUCUACUGUCUCCAUAUAACUGCAUGUCGAAUAGAUGAAAUUUCCAUCCGCGGAUCUAUCCUUGGAGGCAACUCCAGUGAUUCCUCGAGCACCUUGGUCAGGUGCAACUCCAGUGAUUCCUUAAGCACCUUGAUCAGGUUAGAAAACUUCUUUGGAGGCAACUCCAGUGAUUCCUUGAGCACCUUGGUCAGGUUAGACAACUUCGCUGGCAACAGUUCUAACAACUUUUGCGAAGAUUUGCAGCAAUCAAUAUGAAGCUUCUCCAAUGAUUUUGGCCUAUGUUGAACCUCAACCAGAUGAGGUAGCUUCGCACAGCCUUCUACGGUGACAUGUUUGAUAUUCUUGACGUUUGAUGGAAACUUUUCGAGUGAUUCACAGGACAUUAAAUAAAGCUUCUCCAACGAUUCUUGCUGAUCUCCUACCUCAAUCAGUUUAGGACAUAGUGAUAUAGUAAGUACCCCCAGCUUCUUCAAGUGGGUCAGGUCGGGCAACUUCACCAGUGAAGGAAGAUGGCAAAGAUAAAGCCAUUUCAUGUUUUCCAAAUUUUCAAGGCCUUGAAUCUCUGUUAGCUGUUCACAAUUACGUACUUCCAAUUCUGAUAACUUCUUCAAAUAUGAAAGAUCUCCAGACUUUUCCAUUGACUUGCACCCACAAAUACUUAAGUAUGACAAAUGCUGGGGAAACCUAUGUAGGCAUUCUAGUUUAUUUCCAACAAGUUCAAGCUUCUCGAGCUUCGAAAAGAGAUUAAGAUCUAAAGGUAUGGAGACCAGACUAUGCCAACUCAACAGCAAGGAAGUUAGCUUUCUUAAACCUCCGAUCCAGUUGAGGCUUGGAGUUGGAUGGAACGAGAAUUCAGACUUUAAAUCCAACUUCAAAACUCUCAAAUUUAAUAGGUUAGAGAGAUCUGGGUAUUCCUUAAAUGGACCAAUUGUAAGGUGUAGAUUGGUCAUACUUUCAGGAAGCUUAGGUACAUCAGAAAUUCUUGUGUUCAGUAACAUCAAGAUCCUCAGAAAUGAUAAUCUUCCGAUCUCCCUAGGAAUUUCCCCAAGGAAAUUUCUACAGUCACGAGCAUAGAUCUCUUCAAGCUUCUCCAACAUCCCAAGGGCACUAGGUAGCCUUUUUAAGGGGGUGUGUGACACCCUUAGUACUCUCAAAUACUUCAUUUUCUCUAUUGAACUGGGUAACUCUUGAAUUUUCGACUGAGAAAGAUUCAACUCAACAAGAGAUGCAAAAUUUCCAAACGGAAGCACAGUAAUAUUUGUACCUCCCAACCUUAGAUUCAAUAUUGAUGUUAAGCAACCAGAAAAAUUGCACAUGCUCAGUGAUUCACAUGAACUUGCACUGAGAGUUUCCAAUUUCUUCAUUCCUUUCCAUUCAGGAAUUUCGGUAAUGGAUGUCCCAUCAAUAAUAAGUUCCCUUAAGGCUUCCAGUUCCUCCAUCUUGUCCGGCAAUGUCUGAAGUUUCCUACAACCUCCCAAGUUUAAUGAUACUAAAUGAUUUAACUUAUUAAUAGAGCUAUCAACUUGAACCAGUUCCGUGCACCCUUGAAGAAUCAGUUGCUCUAAAUUUUCAUGAGCAGAAAGGUCAGGAGUUCUACGCAAGUAUCUGCAUCCAGUCAAAUUUAAAACCUUCAAAUCCUCUGCCAUCUGUAAUGAAGAGAAGAAGUUAAUUCUGCAUCAUUUUGAGAUACAUGACAACAAAGUCAAUAUAGCAAAUUCAUGUUCAGAGAAUACCAUACCUUGAGGUGGUUCCAUCCAUCCCACUCAUAUGUAAUUUCACUCCAUGAUACAUCAAGAAUCACUAACUUCCUAGGGGAACAUGCAAUGAACUUGAAAAAGAUAGGAAAGUUAUGCCAUGAGAGCCAUCUCAAUUGUGGAAGCAUGAUCGGAUUCCCCCCGAACCAGUUGGUAGAAUGAAAAUUCAAAAGCAUGAUCGGAUUCCUCAAUAACCAGUUGGCAGAAUGAAAAUGCCGAAUGUUGUUCUCAUCCAAGUCUACACCAUCCACUUGAAGAAAUCUUAAAUUUGGUAGGCUUAUGGAUUCUUCCUUCUCAAUGAAGUCUUGAAAUUGAUGAUCAGAUUUGAGACUUAUUGCUUCAACAUUUUCUCUUCCCUGCCAAAGCAAAAAAAUUAAACAGAAGCUAGUGAUCACAUAAUUGCCUGUUGAAGGCAUUCAAGUUGAGCAUACUUGAGGAAUGUACAUUUUAAAUUAAUAAAAUUAAUUUACAAUAUAAUUUACAGAUAAGCAUGUGGUCCCACUAAGCACACAAGUAAUGACUCGGUUUAGAUAAAAACAAAUAAGCAAAGUCAACGUGUAUAAUUCGUUUCUUUGAAAAGGAUUAACAUUGCAAACACUUUACCUCCUUUGUUUCAAGAACAUCAGUUGCUUUCUCUUGAUCCCACACUCGACUUUGCUUCUCUGGUUUAUAAUCACCAGUCUUACGAACGAAAUCUCGCCCAAGGUCUCUUACAAUAUCAUGCAUCCACAGUCUGUUAUGUUCUGUAAUCUUUAUUAACGACAUCUUUUGGAGGACACUAAGAUAAAAGUCAGGUUGAAACCCACAGCUUUCCCACAUGUGCCUCACAAUUCUCACAUCAAACCCAACGAAGAAGCAACAAACAUCAAGAAAUAUUUUCCCCGCUAAUGGUGGUAAUGCCUUAAUACUGAUGUUCAACUUUUCUUCAACUUUUUCAUCGGGAAUAGUUUCCAGCUUCUUUAAUGUGGUCUCCCAAGAUUUUCUGUCUUCCUCAGCUAAAAGAGAACCUAUGAUCUCAAGAACCAAAGGAAGACCACUGCAGAUUUUUACCGCUUUUUUCGAGAGGCCGACGUAUUCAGCCGGAGCAUGAUCACUUUUAAAGGCAUGUUUGCUAAAUAGUAUAAGGGAACGAUCAAAAUCCAUUUCAAUAACUUGGUGCUUCAUAUCAACAUGUUUGAGAACUUCCUCAUUUCUUGUGGUGAUAAUAACCUUACUUCCUCUGCAAAACCAGCAUUUACCCAUCCCCACAAGAGCAUCCAGCUCAGUCUUUUGGUCGACAUCAUCAAUUACGAGUAAGACCUUUUUAAAGGAUAAACUCUUCUUGACCUCAGUUAUCCCUUCUGCAAUGUCAUGGAUUGGCAGACAUUUCCCUUUUCGGAGAGUAGAGAUGAGCUGAUCCUGCGAACUCAGAAUUCCUUUAUGUCGAACACCAAACAGGAAGCAACAGUCAUCAAAAUUAGCUGACAAUUUAGUAUAGACAAUUCUAGCAAGAGUUGUCUUUCCGACACCACCCAUUCCAUGGAUACCAAUAAUCUUUGUUUCAGAGGUGUCUUCACCUAUCAUUUCCAUGAUCUCGUCCACUUGAUCAUCCAUUUCAACCAAGCAAUCAAGUGCUCCCAAGUAGCUCUUUUUCAACUCGAACAAAACCUUAUCAACAACUUCUUUCAUGAACUCGCCUUUGCCUCUGAUAGUUUCGAAGGCAAAAGAAUCAAACUGUUAAGUCGAGAUGAACAGAAUAAUAUCUACGGUACAAACAAAUCGUGCACAAUAAUAAAUUCAAGUACCUCUUAUUAAGUUCGCAUCCCUUUAAUUUUCCAACCUUGUUGAGAGCUGCCUUCCAGUUCAUAGUCUUAUCAGUGUUUUCAUUUAUGUGUGACUGAAUGGCGUGACCGUAGGUUCCAGUCUGCUUACGAACCAUCCGUGGUUCAACGUCAUAGAAAAUUGGUAUGAUCUUUUGUCCCCACUUUUCCUUGCACUCCACCAUCUGGGCCAAUUCCAUGAGGCACCAUUUACUGGCAGCAUAUCCUUUAGAAAAGAUAGGAAUCAAGAUUUUCAACUGCUUAAUCGCAUGGAGAAGCUCCGGGCCAAUCUCUUCCCCAACGUGAAGCUCUUCAUUAUCUCUAAAUGUUCGUAUUCUGGCAUCAGUGAGGCUGUGGUAAAGGUAAUCAGUGAUGUCGUUGCGAGUAUCUGAUCCUCUGAAGCUCAAGAAUACAUCAUAACAAGGUUCCUUUGGCUCCUCCAUUCCUGAAUUUUCAGAGGACUUUGCUAGGACUUGAUAUGCCACCUGAAAAAUGCUUAUUAUGAAAGUGGAGUGAUGAUGAUCAUGAUUUCUCUCAGAAUUUUUUUUUUCUUUUUUUUUUAAAGUCACUAUAGAAAGACACCUUGAUGACAAAUGCAUGAGCUCCAUCUGCGGCCUUCUAGACAACAAAAUAUAUUUCCUUCCUUUAUAAAAAAUUUAGUAGAGAAGUCAAACCAUCUCAAUUCUAAAGGAAGAAAUCUCCAAAUUAUUGCAGAAUUAUGGGUUUUAAUUCACACUCCAGAUUGAUUGAAAAAAAAAAAAACAUUUCGUGCAAAGAUAAAUCACUGCCAACCUAUAUUUGUCUUAAACUCUUUCUUUAGGUGAUAAAGUAUCCCCUGAAAGGUGAUGUCGAAUGUCCUCUGCACAUAAGCGCCUAAUGUUGCUUGUUGGUUGACUAAUUAUCUUAUUAUCUGAUAAGAAAUUAUGAUCAAACCUUCCUAAUUUCGUUUAACAAAAAUAGAUUUGACAAACAACACUCAUUUAGUUGCUUCCUCAACCUUAACAGUUGCUGGUGAAGAAUUCAUUCCCCUAUGAUGAUCUCACUAGAAUAAUGAAAUCAAGAAAUUACACUAAAGCAAAUGCAACUCUCACCAUAUUGGACUAGUUUCUUAAGAUCAUAAACUGAUCCCUAAUUACAGCCAUCUCAUAGGUUAUCAAAGAACAGAUACACGGUCAUGGGUGAGCAUCAGUUAGGGUUGAAGAUAUUUUCCACACUUGCAAGUACCAGCAUAUUAAAAAAAUGGGAUUUACUCACUAAUCAACUAUGGGGUUAAUAAGAUUUCAACAGAAAAAAUAAAAGCAUGAAUGCUAUAUUACUGUUUUUUUAAAAUAAGUUGGAAAACACAGGAGUGUAGGGAUGAGAGCCGCAUUUUAUGAAAGCAGAGAGUUCUGGUUCACCACAGAGUGCAACAGUAUAGUGUAUUCAGUCCGUCUCUACUGUUAAAUACAGAGUUGAGGGUAUCAAUUUUCUGCCUAGAAGCGUUCUUACUGCUAAUCACUAGACAAUAAUGUACGAAUUUGUCAUAUCAAAGUCUCUUAAAGAUACCACCAUCACUAUUCGCACAAAAAAAAAAAAUCCCAUCAAAAAAUGAAAUCAACAGAUCCACUCUAACAAAUUUAGCUUUUAGCGCCAGCAAUCCACGCGAAAACUCAGAGAGAGAGAGAGAGAGAGAGAGAGAGAGAGAGAGAGUACGUGGGUGACGAGCUCGUAAGACUGAGCGUUGUCGAUGAUGGAACCGGACUUGCCUCUGCCUUCGCUGCCACCGCCGCCCUUCCUCCUCUUCUUCUUCUCGCCGCUCCUCUUCUUCAGCUUGUAGUCGCGAGGGCCGCCGCCGCCGCCGCCGCCGCCGCCUUUGAGGAGCUCACUCCGAGGCUCGACACUGCUCGCGUCCGCUUCAGCUUCAUGCCGUCUCUUCUUCUUCGCCACUCCCGCUCUCCGAUAUCAGAAAGUUUCGACUUUUCGACAUGGUACGAGGUCGACUGGUCAAGGGUUUAGGCGUCGAUCUUGGUGGUGGUAUUGCGUUUCGGGAUCUGAGGCCCGACACUUGCACAGAUGGAAGCAGAUGAGCAAGGUUUUAGCACCGGACUAGAGUCAGAGGCUAAAGCUAUUAGUGUUAGACGCAACUGACUGUGAUCAGUCAUGAAGUCAACUGAGAAAGAAUUGAUACUGAUCUGAGAGCCCUCUCUUGUUUCCAUCAAAUUCUGCAUCUAGUUGCCUUACAGAACAGACCCAAUUCAUUAUGAAGAAGGCAAUCAACGAGAGGAAAUUACCGGAGAUGGAGGGGGUGAAGAUGAAAGGUCCGGAUCAAAUGCUGAGAAGCAGAUAAAAGAUCCCAAAAAUAAACGCUCUUGGCUUUCGAGUUCAGCUGAAGAGAGGCAAGACAUACAUAAGAAGGUGAAUUCACCCUUCUUCGCCGUGCCCUUCCAGAAAAGUGAGGGCUUGCUAGUUGCAGGGAAAUUUCAAGCAGACCGUGAAAGAGUCAAUACGCGUUGCUGUUGACUUUCCAGGUAAACGAGUCGAGUUACUGGAAAAUUUCUCGUAGUCCGAAAACUUUUUGGCACGAAAAGCAAGAGCAUAAGAGGAUUUUCAUUGCACGUUAUUAGUUUAGAAAUCAUAUAAUUUAUAUUAAUCGAUAUUCUUUCGAUGACGAUCCUCGUCAUUGAAUUCAUGUAUCAAAUCAAAAAAUGUUGAAUUCAUGUAUGUCAGAGUUAUACACAAUGAGUUUGUAAGAUAAAAAAGUUAGAAAAAAUAAUACCAUAAAUAUUAUAACUUUCGUACAAUAUUCACUUUAGUGUUAUAAGUUUUUUGAAAUUAGUUAAGCAAUAUAAUUUUUGUUUGACACUCACUUAAAUGCCAUAAUCUUUUAUCUUUUGAUCACUUGUGCCAUGACUUCUUAAAAUUGUUCAUUCAAGAAUGAGUGUUCCCCCAAGGACCACUGGUCUACCACUGUUCUUCUUGGUACUCCAUGUUCGGCGCUUCCUCUUUUCUCCAAAUUUGUACUUUUUCUUUUUGAAUUGUUCUUAAAAUCUGCUGAAAUGGCAGCUCUAUCAAUGCCUCCAUUUUCAAGGAAAAAAAAAAUCGUGUCUGUCUUUUCUAUUAGUUAAAUUUGAUGGAGUUAAUAGCGAGAUAUGAUCGCAUCAAUUUAAUGAUUUUUAAAAUUUGAUUGUACUUUUUAAAAGUUUUAAAAUUUGAAAGCAUUUUUGCAACAUAUUUUAAGAUUUAUGGAGCAUUUAUCCUCUCUUAUGGGACAAUAACAUAAAUGGUCCUUAAACUUUAGCUCAAUAUAUAAUGUUAUUCUUAUAUAUUUUAAUUUGUUCAAUGUGAUAUCUAAAAUAUUGAUACAUGUUCAAUUUAGUCUUUAGAUUAAAUGCGUUAUUUCCAUAUAGUUUAAUGACUAGAUUGGAUAUCUAUUAAUAAUUUAUGGAUCAUAUUAAAUAAAUUAAAAAAUUUUAAAAUGACAUAACAUAUUUUAUUAGAAUUCAAUGAUCACAUUAAAUAAAUUCUAAACUUAGAGACAACAUUAGAUAUUGGACAAGAUAUAUGGAUUAUUUAUGUCAUUUUUUUCAUUUUUUUUAAAUCUAAAACUCCAGAGACUUAAGGAUAGACAAAUAAAUUCACAUAUAUUUUUUUGAUAAUUUUCUGAAAUCUGAACAAUAAUUUAAAUUUUAACAAAAAGGUAAAAAAACUACUAUUAACUUCUUUAAGUCCUAGCAAAGAGGCACUAAAUCAAUUAACUUUCGCCAUUUCUUUACGAUGUCCCUUCGCGUGGGCACCAUUUCAUGGGAGAGACGACUGGUGCAUUGACGCUCAGGAAAGUGACGAAUUGCUAGUAGUUGAAGGGAAACUUCAAGCCGACCUUGAAAAAGGGAGUCCGCGUUUUGCUUUUGACUUUUGGGGUAAUUGAGUUGAGUUCCCGGGAAAUUUCUCCAAGUCCAAAGACUCUUUGGCACGAAAGGCGGAGUACAAGAGAUUUUCAUGCGUGUUAUUAGAUUAGAAAUCAUUCCAUUUAGGCUAAUUGAUAUUCUUUUAAUGACAAUAAAACCAUUCUUUUGUAGGUGAAACCCAGGCCCAUUCAAAUUUUACAUAUACUAAACCCAGAAAUGUAGAAUUCAUAUAUUUUAAUUAAUUAAGACGAAUAAUAUGAUUAAAAUAAAAUAAGAAAAAUAGAUUAAUAUGUUGAUGCUAUUUAAUCAAGUAAAAACUAUACCAUUAUAAUAUUCUUAAUUUUGAAACAACGACAAGUAAAUUAAUUUAAAUUUCUAGUAUCGAGAUAUAAUGCUAUCAAAUAUCUAUAUUAUGAAGAAAAUGCGGUCAUAUUGCAAAUACUAUGUUAAAAAUUGGUAUCUUUUUUUCAUUACAUUCUCAAAGUUUCUUUUUUUUUUUUAAUACAAUCAAUAAAUGAGUCUUUGUUUCAUUUUGCUACCUACAUUUUUGUUAGCUUUCUUGGGAAUCCACCGAUUGAAAGUAGUGUGAGUCCUCGCUCAAUUUGAUUUUGUUAAUGCUUUGGUUCAUUUACGCAUUUAAUCUUUUUUUAUCAUACAAAAUACAAUGCAAUGGAGGGAUAUGCACAAUAUUUUUAUGCAUCAAAAUUUCAUUAAUCAUCAUCCAACUAUGUUUAUGUUUAUGUGAGCAUUUGGUAAUUGAUAUAGUAAUAGGUGUUACACUGUUUUUCUUUCACAGAAAGCAAAGGUAAUUAAUAAAAAUUAAAUUAAAUUAAACUAUAUCAAUUUGGAUUGACUUUUAAAUUUUUAUUUUUAUUUUUGCUCCAUUUAAUUUACACUGCCCACGCACUUUAACUCUAUUUCAAAGUCCCAAAACUUUCCAAAUAGUUAUAUGUUAACACGUAAAUUUGUAUUAAUUUUUUCAUAAUUUUUUGAAAUCUAAAUAAUAUUUCAACUUUUAAUAGAAAAAUAAAAUAAUUCCAAACAAAGUGGCAUUAAAGCCAUUAAUUUCUCCAUUUCAUCUCAAUAAAAUUUCAACUUUUAAUAGAAAAAUAAAAUUUAUUUUAUUUAAUUCCAAACAAAGUGGCAUUAAAGCCAUUAAUUUCUCCAUUUCUUAGGCAUGAGGCUAUUGUUCACAUCUGCCAGAAAGUAUCAUCAUAUCAGAAGAAGAGGAGCGGAUUACUAAUUACUUAUGGAGUUAAUAAAAUUUCAACAGAAAAAAAGAAGCAUGGACGCAAUAACUGUUUUUCCAGUAAAUAAGUUUGAACACAUGGCCUGUAGGGAUGAAAGCUGCAUUUCACAAAAGCUGAGAGUUCCGGUUUGCCACAGAGUGCAACAUUAUAUACUCUUUAGUUUGUCGCUUCUGUCAAAUACAGAGUUGAAGGUAUCAAUUUUCCGUCUAGGAGCGUUCUUUCUUACUGCUUAUUUACCAGACAAUAAUGCACUAAUUUGUCUCCACUGUUAAACAACUGAAAUCAACCGAUCCUAAUUCUAACUAAUUCAGCUUUGGGUGCUGGCCGGUUCCUAAAGAGUGUAAAUUCAGUCCUGAAUUACAUAAACCUCUGAGUAUAUCAACAAGCUGAUGUAUAGGAGUGGGAUUGUGUUUCAAGAUCUGAGGCCUAACUAUUGCAUAGAUGGAAGCAGAUGAACAGGGUUUACACGUGACUAGCGUUAUGCUAAAACUGUUGGUGUUAGAUACAAAUUGUAGCGAUCGAUCAUGGAGUCAACCAUGGAAAGAAUUGAUACUGAUAGGAGAGUCCCUCUAUCGUUUUCAUCAAAUUAAUGGAAAAAAGGCAAUGAAUGAGAGGAGAUUACCAAAGAUGGAGGAGUGAAGAUGAAGAGUCCGGAUCAAAUGGGAAGAAGCAGACAAAGAUCCCCCAAAUCAAUCGUUCUUGGGUUUGCGCUCCGUUGAAGAAAGACUUUUCACAAGAUGGCCCGCUGGCCCUUGCACGCAAUGCUCUUUCAGGUAGGUGAGGACUUGCAAGUUGCAGGUUUACUUAAAGCCUGUCGUUGACUUUUGAUGUAAUAGAGAUGAAGGCCGGCCGUUGACUUGCCAAUGAUUUGCCGGCGCAAACCACCAGAGUUCUAAUAGACGAGAAUUUAAUGCAUGUUAUUAGUUUGGAAAUCAUAUAAUUAUAUUGAUUGAUAUUCUUUUAAUGACGAUGAAACCGUUCUUUUGUUGUAGGUGACACCCUAGGCCCAUUUAAAUUCAACAUAAAUUGAAUCUACAAAUGUAGAAUCCAUACUUUUAAGUCUUUGAGAUGGAUUAUAUUAUUCAUAGUAAACUUAUAAAGACUAGAGUUAGGUUUUUAUGCUCUGUUUGUUUCAAGAAAAAAUAAAUAAUUUGGAAACAAUUUCUUAAAAAUGAUUACUUGUAUCACGUAAAAUAAUUAGCUAAUAAAAAAUAUUUUUAUUGUGGACAACAAUUUAUGUCUAAAUAAUUUCAUGGAUAAUAAAAAUAACUUUUGUUUAUUCAUUUUUGUAAGUGAUAUAAAUAAUUAUUUUAGCAAAAUCCUUUUCAAAUUAUCUACUUUCUGCAAAACAUGCAUACCUUUGAACUCUAAAAGUUAUAUCAUCUAGAAAUUGAUAAAGCUCCGAAAAGGUUACAAUAUAAGUGGAAGGUAAUCGACAAUCAUUUUUUAAUCGGCUAUAGAAUCUCAUUACGUUCAUUAAAAAAGAGAGUAUAUCUUGGAUCUCCCUUGGGAGCAGAGAAAUACAACGACUUCCAAAAGAGGUACUGAAAAUCCUAAUUCUAAUCUAAGUAUAAAUUGGAAAAUUACGUGAAAAACAUAAACCUUAGUCAAUAACCCUUUUGGGAAGAUGUGCAUAGCACAUCAUGCACGGCACAUGUAAGACACAUGAAAAUUGCAACGAUUGCCGAGGAAAAAUGUGUCUGAGUUGCAUAGGGUUUAAGGCUCAAAUGGGCUAAAUUUAAUAAUUCAACGAUUUAAAGAGUUCAAUUUGAAUGAAAUUCAUAAAAUCGCCUCAGUUUAAAAUUUAAUACAUUGAAAUUAUUGUGGAUCAAAUGCUAAGAAGCAGAUAAAGAUGCCAGAACCGAAGGAAGAGUUUUAUUAAAGAGUCUACUCACCUUCACGUGCCAUGCACCUGCAGGAAGGUAAGGACUUGCUACUCAUCCCAUCCGCAUUACAAUUUUACAUACGUUAAACCUAAAAUAUAGAACUCAUACAUAUUAUGUAUUUGAGAUGGAUCAUGUUAGACUUAUUCCCAAUAAAUUCAUAGACAAGAAUUAGGUUUUAAUUUCAAAAGCUGCAUUUGUACACAAAGGAAUAAAGCACCAAAAAAUUUACGAUGAGUCUUCAAAAAUAGCUACAGUUGAAAUAUUCCAGAUGAUAUAUUUAUGGUUUUGUCCCAAUUUAUUUCUCAUAUGCAGGUAACGGAAACGCUUUCAAAAUAGACAUCUCUCCAACCUAUUCAGAAGCCAUUUGAGUUUCUAAUAAAUCAACGUUUCCCUCAGCAUGGAGAGCAGAGAAAGCGUAAGUUCUAGACACAAGGUUUGCAGUACACAUGACCUCUAUGAUCUCUGGCCAAAGCGGCAUUGGAGGCAUGAGAAUCUUGCAUCGAUGUUCACUUGAAGUAAGAGGGGAGGAGUCCAUUUUGGAGGGUCGUUGUUCACAACUGGUGACUACGAGCAACGUUCCAUCACAACUCAGGGUAGAUGUCCUGUAUAUGUCGAAUUACUGAAGGAAAAUCCAUUUGGGAACGAGCUUCCAGAAUUUUGUUUCGACGCUCCGAUAAACCCACUAAACUAUCUCGACCAUAUUGCGAAAAUCUUCGCAAUAAAUGUCUGGUGGAAGGCCGAAAGCGAGGAGGCGCAGAGAUCACAUGGCACACGUGUAAAAAACAGAACCGCAAAAGAAGUUGAUAUGUCCAAGCCCCAGCCAACUCGACUCCAUACAAUUCAGGUCAUCCACUCUCUUUCCCUUUUGUCAGGGCGAAUUUGACUGAUCAAUAUUUUUCGAAGUAAAAGAGCAGUUUUGUUCUAACUAGAUCUUCGGGAGAGAUAUGACCUUUACCUAUGUAUGGAAUAAAUACGACAUCUUGCCCAUGGAAUGUUGACAAGACAUCGAAUGCAUUUUGUGCAGAUCUCAACAACCGAGAGCAGAUUCUUAUGAAGACUCUACUUGUGAUUAACUUGGAGGUAAAGGACAACCAUGAGGAGGCAGCAACUGGAGCUCAGCUUGCUUUAAAUCUUUGUCGAGAGGUCUUUGACUGGCUGUGCUUUAUGUAUUAAUGAUAGUAAGCUUAAUUUCUGUAUGCUGAGAAAUUGCUUAUUGUAAUUCCUGGUCCCCAGAUAGAAGCAGCCGAGGAGGAAUCCAUUGAUGAAAUUGUUUCUAAUUUCAGAACCAGAACAGGCGGAAAUUUUUAUUCAGCAUUUCCUUCUAUUGAUGACCGUGGUGAGGGCAAGACUCUUGCUCUGAAAGCUUUAUGAUCCAUGUCGUUGUUCUGUUAGUAUUUUGUCUGCAAAUUUAUAUGUCGAUGUUCUGUUAGUAUUUUUAUUCUGUCUGUCCAUCUACUUGCACAAUUGGUAAUAUACUUAAAUACAUUACCAGAUUUCUUCCAACGCUGUUACUGUUUGCUUUGCACGAAGCCUUCCCUAGAAAUCUUACCUUUCUAAGCCCAACGAGCCCUAUUUAAUCCAUUACACAGCUAAUCAUUUCUUUAUACCCUAUCCUGAAUUUGAUCUCUUCUUAUGUCAGGAAGAAUGAAUCAGGCUCUCCCAUGUUUUUACGCCUUUGCUUGAUCUUGGUAUUCCAUGCGAAUUGUUGGGUUUGAUGAGCACUUUCCUUGACUACUCGUUAGUGGUAGGUGAUUUUGCAACAAUAUCUCUAUCUGCAUAAUGAGAAUUGUCAUUCUCACGCUUUGAAUUUAAUUUGCUAGAGAAGCCUAUUCUUUGCUGUUAUUGCCAAGCCUGUCAUACUAAUGCGCUGCAUCUAUCCACUUUCAGAUAACACUGCAUCGAUGUGGAAAAGAAAUUCUGAGUCGAACCCUUUUACACUCACUUUAUCUCUGGAAUGUCGACGCAUGAUGAUGUAUUAGUAAUUGGAAGCAAGCCAGUCUUGCUUAGGAGUGAAAAUUCUAUUAUUUCUUGUAGUUUCAUUCUUUUUCUUUUUCUUUUUUCAUUUUAAGUUUCUUUGUACUGCAGAACUAAUUCUGCGAUGGUACUCAUGUCGAGAGAGCAGGCAGAAAAGAGAUUCUGGCGUAUUGCAUAUAAUUUCUUUGAAUGCGAUGGGUUGAAAACCGCCUCUAUUUUCAUUUUACUGUAUCGUGCAUAUGAAAAGAAAAAACAGGAGAAACGAACCAACCUGACCUGGUCAGUCAUUUGAUGAUCUGGUUCUGUAUUUUUGGCAGGGUUCACAAUUCAAUCGAUCCUAGUUAUUUGAGAUGAGUUGGUUUGUGAAAAGAAAAUUACGUAAAAAGCAGAAAGUUCUAAUUUGAGUUCAUUUAGAGAUCGUCAGUUUUCUUGCUGGCUUGUUGGUCAUUCCUAGGAUCUUGUCCUUCAACUUGCUUUCCUCACUGUUUGAAUCAAAAUUCCCUUGCGUAUUCAUUUAAAACAACAGGCUCUGAUAAUUUGUGGAAAUUACCUACUACUGACACACAAAAGUCAUCUCCAUGUUUGACUUGCACCAAGAUUAGCAGCUUCACAUCUCCAACGGCAGAAUGCUUGCUUGACCUCGGCACAAGUGUCUUUUUGGAAUCUCUCAAAUACCAGUCUCUUGAGCAGGUGAAUUCUUCUCCUAUUCUACUGUUCCGUCGAGCCGGUGAAUUUUCUUCUACUCUGCUGUUCCUCCGGGAGGACGUUGCGGUCUAUUGAUCUAUCUGUGGAAAUAAAAUGUCUCCUCUCUCUGAACCGUCAAUCUCCUGUGGGUUAAUUUGUAUAACACCAACCACACCAAUUAGCUGUGGUACGCUCUACCCUCAUGCAGAUCUGCUUCUUAUGGCCAAAUAGACUUGUGUUUGCAUCGUGUCAGCUACAACCCAAAAGUGCCAGUGAAACUCGGCCAAACAACAGUGCACAUUAGACAGAGAAAAGAGAGCUCUUCUGCUCACGCAUUUUAUCAAAUGUUACUAUGGUAUGAAUGAUGAAGAGAAAUUGAAGGAUGAUGACUCUCCAUGAACUAACAAACAGCGGCAUCAACCGGCAUUUCCAUUUCAUAAGACAUCAAGUUCGAUUCACUCAGCUCCUCAUGGGCAUUGUAGUCAUCCGUACUGGCAACAUACCCAUCUCGCUUCAUCUGUCCUAAGAGAGACUUUAACAAAGAAUAAAUAUCACCCUUCUGAGGGUGCCUCUUGUCCUUGACAAUGAAGACAUGAACUUGACCCUGAAUUUCUAUCCAGCUACAACCAGGCUGCUUGACUACUCCCCGUUGCCUCAUCAGCUUCCUCAUUCUGACAACUUUGCCCCAUUUUUUACGUUCUGCGUACAUGUUUGAAAGCAGAACAUAAGGUCUGGAGUUUGAAGGGUCGAUCUCUAAGAGCUUCUCCACUACAUACUUUCCUAGUGUUAUAUCCUUAUGAACUUUGCAGGCUGCAAGCAGUGAACCCCAAACGACAGCAUCGGAUUGCAUGGACAUUGUCUCUAUUAAGUCCUUAGCUUCACUGAGACCACCAGCUCGGCCGAGCAAAUCAACCAUGCACGUAUAAUGGUCCUUUACCGGUGCCAGAUCAUACUCCUUGACUGUCUACUUGAAAUAAUGGUGCCCCUCUUCGACCAGCCCUGCAUGGCUGCAUGCACAUAGAACCCCGAUCAUGGGGACAUGGUCUGGUCUCUCGCCAGAUACCAACAUUUUCCUGAAUAUUUCAAGCGCCUCUAUUCCAUAACCGUUCUGCACAUAUCCAACAAUUAUGGCAUUCCAUGACAUCUUGUCCCUCUCCAACAUAUUCUUAAACACCCAUAAACCAUCUUCCACAGCUCCACAUUUAACGUACAUGUCUAUAAGAGAAUUUCCAACAAAAAUAUCUGCUUCUUCUCCAGAGUGGAAGCGCAAUCCAUGCUUCAAGACAUGAGCAUGAGCCUGCUGGCCCAACUGCAAAUCAGCUAGAUUUGCACACGCAUUAAGCAAAUUUCCAAAUGUGUAGUGCGUCGGCUCAAUGGCUUCCCUCUCUGGGUAUACCCUGCAAUGAGGGCAUUCCAAAAAAUUACAUUCUUCUCCAUCAUCCCCGUGAACAUUGCUCUUGCAGUUUUGAGACUGGCUGCUUUUGCAUACCCGCUCACCAUGGAAGUGGCUGACACUAUAUUUCUGGUAGGCAUUCUAUCAAAAACUGCUCUGGCCUCACUAAUUCUGGAGCACUUAGAGUACAUAUCAACCAAUGCAUUUCCUAAAACAUCAUUCCUAAAUUUGUCACAUUUUACAACACGGGCAUGAAUUUGCAUCCCUUCCUUAAGUGCCGACAAGCUAGCGCAGGCACUGACCACACUGGCUAAAGUAACCUCAUCUAUUUCAAACCCACACUCGCUGGACCAUUUUGUUCAUAACACGUAAUCAAGCUGUUCCAAGAAACUAUGUUUCGAGAACUCAUUUCAUCAAAAGCCCUCUGUGCAUAAGCCACGUUCCCACACUUGGAGUACAUGUCGAUAAGAGCAGAGCCCAUAUGAACAUCAGACGGGCACUCGGACUUCGAUAUCAAAGCCUGAAUCUGUUGGCCCAGAUGCACAUCUGCUAACCCGGCACAUGCGCUAAGCGCACUACCAAAUGAGUACUCAUUCAGCACAUAAUUCUCCCUAUGCAUCUUACCAAAACAUUGCAGGGCUUCUUCGAACCUUUAAUGCUGCGCAUAACCUGAGAGCAUCGAAUUCCACGAGCACUGGUCGGGUUCCGGCAUUGACCCGAAUAUCUUUUCUGCUUCAUCAAGAGACCCCGAUCUGAUCAACCUGCCUAAGAUCGCGUUCCACGUGAAGGUAUUCUUCUCGGGCAUUCUAUUGAACACCCUGCAGUUGUCAUCGAGGCACCCGCAUCUCGCGUAAACGUCGAUGAGCCGGUUCUGGAUAAAAACCUCGGCGGAGAACGGGGUCUUGAUGAUCCGAGCGUGGACGCGGCGUGUGUGGCGCGCUGACUUGGACAGGCCGCAGCCGUCCAGGAGCUUGGCGAACGGGGUCGAGGUGGCGAAGGAGAGGUCGCCCGCCAGAGCCUUGACCCGCGCAUGCCUUGCCAUUCCAUCAUAUCAUCGUACGAAGCGAACUCUGUCGGAGAAGAUUCGCAUAGAUGCAAAUUGAAUGCGAUGGGGAGUUUCUGUUGACCGUUAUACGCUUCCCCCCUUCAGCCCGACGCGCGGGAAUAUGUUGAGAGCGCUCAUAUGAAGAGGGAAGGCAAAGUUGCAGUGGCAAAAUGGUAAUUUCGGCAUGACAAUAUAUUAAUUAGACUCAUAACCAUGAAUUAUAUUUUUUAUUAUGAGUAAAUCUAAGCUACAAAUUAAAAUGUGUCAUAGAUUUAAUAUCUUGUUGUAAGUCACUAAAUAAAGAUUAGUCAUAUUUAUAAUCUAUACAACUUAUUGCUUUAUCAACUAUAAUUAUAAGUUUGAUAUAGGACAAGUCAAUUUUAUAACCGAGUUAUUUAUACAUCAAACAUGAAUUCUUGUCUAGUAAUUUUGAUUAUUUUAAUUGUAACUCAUCAUCAAAAAAAUGCAAAAAGCAAUUCGAGAGAAUGAAAAUUGGAUCUAUGCCGGAUCCCCCCUCCCACGAGGAAUAGCUAACCUUGAUUUUAAGAGAAUAGCAACUUCUCUGAAGUAACUAAUCUUGAUUUACUUCUUAGCCAACUAAGGACUAAGUGUCUCAUCAUGAUUAGACUGGACAUAAGGUAGUUAUUGUGACAUUCUUGGAUUAAUCUGAGGUACUAUUCAUUUUGGUCCGUCCCAUUUCGAGUCUCAUGGUUAUGUUCUUCAAGCAUGUGGGCAAGCACUUUUUCAAUAGAUUAUUGUGAUAUUUUUGGAUUAAUUCACUUGAAAUAUUAUCCACUUUUACCCAUCUCAUUCCGAAUCUCAUGAUUUUGUCUUUGGGCCAUACGAGCAUACACUUUCUAAGAAGGUAACCCAUGUUAACAAUAUUUUAGUCUAAGCACGCUCAACUUUGGAGUGGAAAUUACCAAAUAGGUGAAGUGCCUACCCGUAAGCUAAAGGAAAAAACCGUUAGGCUUAGAAUGAGACAAGUUAAAGUAGAUAAAAUCUCAAGAGAGUUAAUGUAGAAACUAUCACAUCAUUCUUCCUCGAAUAAAACGCACGGUUGGAUUUUCCAUUAAGAUGCAUGUUGUUCAAGUAAGGUCUAUCCCUUUUGUUUUGUUUUGUUUUGUUUUGUUUUGCUUUGCUCUACUCUUUUUUUUCUUUUUUUUCAAAUGAAUAAUUUGGACAUCGUCAUGUUUUGGUAAGAAAAAUCAAUUAACCUUCUAAAGUGUGCGUUCAUGUGAGCCCUUGCGAGGGAGAGCUUCAUGAUAAGAAAUGAAGCCCAUCUGAACUCACAUCCUACUCUUCAAGGCUUUGCAACUCUUUCGGCUUUAUGCGACCAAGAACCGUCACAUCUGAGAGUCAUCUCAGGCUUUAGAAAGGUCUAUUGAUGUUCUUAUUUCCUGGCGAAGUAGGAUAUGUAAGACGGACAAAACUCCUGGGAAGCCUAGGCAAGAACCCGAGGUUCUUAAAAAUCGAGAACAAGUUUCCUGAGCUUGCAACUCCAAGGACUCCAGAUGGCGUAACUUGUCAAUCCACCGAGGAUCAUGGAGCUUCCUUAAGGCCACACCUAUCGUAAGAAUACCUCGACACAUAUAAAUGCAAGCUUCUUGGAUUAAAUUGGUACGGGAGAUCUGGAAAUGCGUACAUUGAGAAAAUUACAAGCACAGAUUAAUUCCAAGCCCAUGGCACUGUAGAUUCUUGCCCCCAAAGAUUCAUACGUCUCUACUUCUACGACAAGAACUUAAAUCCCAACUGAUAAUUUCAAUUAUUGAAACUUGAAACGCAGUCAUUAAUCAUUCAAAAGCUCUGUAGAAAUCUGUCUUAAGUUAUGAAAACUAAAGGACCUUUAUGACCAUUGCAAAUGAUCAUUAACUAGGGAGGGUUAUGUUCAUGCUAGACAAGAUGUGUUGCCCCUACUUCUUCAUUUCCUCAGUGUGGAAUUUUUCAUCGGAAGUCUGUGACAAUUCUGUGAAUAUGGUUGCUGAUGUCUAAUUGAAUUCGAGACACUGAAUGCAACACAUUGAACAUAAUCUCAGUGAAUGAAUUCUGGACCAAGUCAUCUCGAAUCCUCGAUAAAUUUCUCCCAUGACGAGAUUAAUUACUAAUUGCACCCGCUAAAAUUUUUAGAAGUAAGCAGGACCACAACAGACCAAAAAAAGAAGAAAAAAAUUGCAGAACCAAUUGAUUAUAGUAAGUUUUCAUGCUUCCGAGGACAAUAUUUUGAUUUUAGCUAGAACUUGAUAAGCUCGGAAGAAGAAUUGAGUCCCAAUCGACUAUCUUGCAUAAGAUAAAUAAAAUCAGAUAAAUCCACCCCCCCAGGAGCGAAAAUCGAUCCCUCAAUUGGUGCAGAAGUGAACUGACGCACGGGAGUUGCAACGUGUUUCAAUAGAAUGUGAUUUGGUUAAGGCUACAGCUAUUAAAGAUUAGAUGCAGUAGUUACGGAAGAAAAUCAAUCGAGUCAGCUCCCCAGUGAAUUCAUCAAAAGCUGUUUUCAUUGCGUAUGAAUGACAAGUCAUGACUGAAAAUAAUAAAAACCAACUCAAUCCCUUCCAAAUCUUUUCCUAAUCCGUCACUGAUUGCAUCAAAGAUUCGCACGCGGACCCAAUCCAUGCAAAUGAGAAGAGAAAAUUACCAGAAAAUGAAGACGAGUGAAGAUGAAGAAAACCAAAUGAAGAUGCAGAGCAGGAAGAACCCUCGUUGGCCUGAGUCAGCUGCAACCAAAAUGGAAAAGGAAGACCACAAUCUGUUAACCCCUCGCGGAACAGAUCGGCGGUUACGAAGACGUGGUCGCAGUCCCCGUAGGGAGAUCUCCGCCAGGCCGUAUCGCGUCUCGUGCUUCCGCUCAGGGUCGCCGUCGCUGCUGGCUCUGGGCGAGCUUAUCGCUCGGGUUGUCGCUGAUGACGGAGCAGAAAGAAUGUGAGAAGANNNNNNNNNNNNNNNNNNNNNNNNNNNNNNNNNNNNNNNNNNNNNNNNNNNNNNNNNNNNNNNNNNNNNNNNNNNNNNNNNNNNNNNNNNNNNNNNNNNNGGGGGGGGGGGAGAGAGAGAGAGAGCAACGGGAGAAAAAACGAAACAAAAAAACAGAGAGAGUUGAAAUUUCACAAGAGUGGGUCCCACCUACACCUAUACGCACCAUUUCGAGAAAAUAUUCCUCAUACUCUAGUAGGUAAUCUCUUCCCCGUGAUUUCCUGUCCGGUGGUAUUCUUAUCUUAAAAAAAGCGAAGGGUCCUCUCACUUUUUUCAAAUCUCCAUACUCAUCAGAUUCCAGAAUCUCCUCCAAUCUCUCACAUUCUUUUAUCGCCAAUUUCUCUAGCUUCUUGAAGCUUGAAGGCUCCGAAAACUUUCGCAGGGACCUGCAGCCUUCAAUAGAAAGCCUCUUCAGUGAUUCUAGCCUACCUCGAAUCUCAAUCAAACGAGGACAACAACCUAAAACAAGAUCAACAAGCUCCUUGGCAUUGGUCAGGUCAGGAAACCUCUCUAGCAACGGAAGAUUCCUCACACAUAAGUAACUCAAGUUUUCCGAAUCUUCCAGGCCUUGAAUCUCAUUGAGCUUCAAACAAUGACUUAUCACUAAUACUUCUAUAUGCUUGAAGGUUAAUGGAUCAGGCAGCUUUUCGAGUGAUUCACAGUGCCAUAAAUUGAGAAGCUUCAAUGAAUCUGGCCCACAUUGAACCUCAACUAGUUUAGGACACUUCCUUAUAUAAAGUCCCCAUAACUUCUUCAAGCUGGUCAGGUUGAGCAACUUCACCAGCGAUGGAAGACCAACAAGACGAAGGCAUGCCAAGUUUUUCAAAUGUUGGAGGCCUUGAAUCUCCAUUAGUUGUCUACAGCAAUGGAAUUCCAAUGUUGAUAACUUCUCCAAAUACGAAAGAUUUAUCGACUUUUCCAUUAACCCACGCCCAUGAAUACUGAAGUAUGACAAAUUUUGGGGAAGCUUAGGUAAGUAUUCUAGGUUAUCUACAAUGAGGAAAAGCAUCCUGAGCUUCGAAAGGAGAUUAAAAUCUGAAGGUAGGGAGAUCAGACCAUCAUAACGCAACCACAAGGUUUGUAGCUUUCUUAAUCCUACGAUCCAAUUGAGGCUUGGAGCUAGAAGGGAAGGAGUUUGACACUCUAUAUCCAACCUCAAUUCUCUCAAAUUUAAUAGGUUCGAGAGGUCUGGACAUCUCAUUUGUAGAUUAUGGUACAAGUAUAUACUGGUCAUACUUUCAGGAAGCUUAGGUACAUCGGAAAUUCUCGUGCCCGUUAAUCUCAAGAUUCUCAAAAAUGAUAGUCUUCCAAUGUCACUUGGAAUUUCCCCACACAAAUAUUUACAGUCGUCAGCUUCAAUCUCUUCAAGCUUCUCCAACAUCCCGAGGGCACUAGGUAGCUUUUCUAAGAUAGCGCCAGAGAUUCUUAGUACUCUCAAAUUCUUCAUUGUCUCUAUUGAAUUGGGUAACUCUCCUAUGCUCGACCGAGAAAGAUUCAACUCAAUGAGAGAACCAAAAUUCCCAAUUGAAAAUUCACUAAUAUUUGUACCUGACAAGCGAAGAUAUAACAGUGAUGUUGAGCAACUAGCUAAAUUGCAUUCACUCAGUAAUCCACAUGAACUUGCACUGAGAGUUUCCAAUUUCUUCAUUCCUUUCCAUUCAGGAAUUUUGGUAAUCGAUGUCUCGUCAAGGAGAAGUUCUGUCAAGGCUUCCAAUCCCUCCAUCUCAUCCGGCAAUGUAUGAAGUUUCGUACAACCUUCCAAGUUAAAAAACACUAACUGCUUUAACUUACCAAUAGACCUAUCAACUUGAACCAAUUCCUUGCACCCUUGAAGAAUCAGUUGCUCUAAAUUUUCAUGAGCAGAAACGUUAGGAGUUUUAUGCAAGUUUCUGCAUUUAGUCAAAUUUAGAACUUUCAAAUUCUUUGCCACCUGUAAUGAAGAGAAGAGGUUAAUUCUAGAUCAUUUUGAGAUACGGGACAAUAAAGUUAAUAUACCAAAUUCAUGUUGAAAUAAUACCAUACCUUGAGGUGGUUCCAUCCCUCCCAAUCAUUUGUAAUUUGACUUCGUGAUAGAUCAAGAAUCACUAUCUUUUCAAGGGAAAAUGUGGUCAACUGGAAAAAGUUGGGAAACUCAUGCCAUGAGAGAUAUCUCAAAUUCGGAAGGAUAAGCAGAUUUUUCCGGAGCCGCUUGGUUGAAGGACAAUGCUGAACAAAUUUAUGCCAUGAGAGCCAUCUCAACUUUGGAAGGUUAGAUAGAUUCCUUUGGAACCAAUUGGUUAAAGAAAAAUGCUGGACAUUUUUCAUAUCCAAGUCUCCACAAUCCACUUGAAGAAACCUUAAAUUUGAUAGGCUUUCAGAUUCUUCCUUCUUAAAGAAGCGUUGCGAUCGAUGAUCAAACUUGAGACAUAUUGCUUCGACGUUUUCUGUUCCCUGUCAAAGCAAAAAAAAAAAAUUAAACAGAAGCUAGUGAUCACAUAAUUGCCUGUCGAAGGGAUUCGAAUUGAACAUACUUCAUUAAUGUGCAUUUUAUUCAUACUUUCAAAUUGAUUUAUAAUAUGAUUUACAGAUGAGCAUGUCAUCAUGGUAAGCAAAACAAGUAACGACUAGGUUCAGAUAAAAGUAAAUAGCCAAAACCAACAUGUAUAACUCGUCUCUUUGAAUAGGAAUAACAUGGCAUAAACUCUACCUUUGCUAUAAGAACAUCAUUUGCUUGCCCAUGAUCCCACACGCGACUUUGCUUCUCUGGUCUAAAUGUACCAAUCUGACGAAUGAAAUUUCGCCCAAGGUCUCUUAACAAAUCAUGCAUCCACAAUUGGUCACGUUUUGUAAUCUUUAUUAACGACAUCUGUUGGAGGACAUCAAGAUAAUAGUUAGGUAAAAACCCACAGCUUUUCCACAUGUGCCUCACAAUUUUCACAUCAAACCCAAUGAAGAAGCAACAAAUAUCGAGAAAUAUUUCCUUCGCAUGUGGUUGUAAUGCAUUGAUACUAAUGUUCAACUUUUCUUCAACCUUUUCAUCGGGAAUAGUUUCCAGCUUCUCUAAUGUGGUCUCCCAAAAUUUUCUGUCUUUUCCAGCUAGAUAUGAACCAAUGAUCUCAAGAGCCAAAGGAAGAUGACCACAGACUUUUACUGCUUUUUCAGGGAGAGGGGCGUAUUCUGCUGGAGGAUGAUCACUUUGAAACGCAUGUUUGCUGAAUAGUUGAAGAGAAUGGUCAAAAUCCAUGCCAAUUAGUUCGUGCUUCAACUCAACAUCUUUGAGAACUUCUUUGUUUCUUGUGGUAAUAAUAACCUUACUUCCUCUGCCGAACGAGCAUCUGCCCAUCCCCACAAGAGCAUCCAACUUAGUCUUUUGGUCGACAUCAUCAAGUAGAAGUAUGACCCUUUUAGAGGAUAACAAGUCCUUGAUCACUUUUUUCCCUUCGUCGAUAUCAUUGAUGGUCGGCCGUUUCUUUCCUAGGACACGAGAGGAGUUGAUUCUGCAAAUUUUCAAUUUUCCUAUCUCCAACGUUGGACAGGUAGCAACAUUUAGUGGAAUCAGUGGUCCGUUCACCUAUCACCUCCAUGAUUCUGUCUACUUGAUCGUCCAUUUGCUCCCAGGAAUUAGACCGGUUGUAAUGUUUAGUGGAAUCAGACAACAGUUUGUUAUAGACAAUUUUUGCAAGAGUUGUCUUUCCCACACCACCCAUACCAUGGAUACCAACAAUCUUUGUUUGAGUGGUCUGCUCACCUAUUAAUUCCAUGAUUUUGUCCACGUGAUCAUCCAUUUCAACCAAGAAAUCAGGUACUGCCAAGCAGUUCUUUUUCAAUUUGAUCAAAACCUUCUGAACAACUUCGUUCGUGAACUCGCCUUUGCCUCUGAUAGUUUUGAAGGAAAAGAACCAAACUGUUAAAUUGAGAUGAACAGAAAAAUAUCUAAGGUACAAACAAACCAUGCACAAUAAUAAAUUCAAGUACCUCUCCUUGAGUUCCCAUCCCUUUAACGCUCCAACCUUGUUAAGAGCUGCCUUCCAGUUUCGAAUAGUCUCAUCGGUGUACCGCUGCGUAUUUAUGUGUGACCAAAUGGCUUCACCGUAAGUUGCAGUUUGGUUACGAACCUCGGAUGGUGCAACGUCAUAGAAAAUUGGCAUGAUCUUUUGUCCCCACUUUUCCUUGCACUCCACCAUCUGGACCAACUCCAUGAGGCACCAUUUACUGGCAGCAUAUCUUUUAGAAAAGAUAGGAAUCGAGAUUUUAGAUUGCUUAAUCGCUUGGAGAAGCUCCAGCCCAAUCUCUUCCCCAACGCGAAGCUCUUCAUCAUCUCUAUAUGCCCGUAUUCCAACAUCAAUAAGGUUGUUGUAAAGGAUAUCAGUGAUGUCGUGGCGAGUAUCCGAUCCCCUAAAGCUCAAGAAUACGUCAUAAUAAGGUUCCACUGGCUUCUCCAUUUUCUGAAUUUUCAGAGGACUUGCAACAACUCAAUAUCGCACCUAGAAAAACUUUUAUUAUGAAAGUGGGGUGAUGAUUAUCAUGAUUUCUCUCAGAAAUUCUUCUGUUUGAAGUCAUUCUAUAAAGAAACCUCGAUGACAAAUGCACGAGCUCUUUCUGGAAUUGCACUGGACACCAAACUAUGUACAAUUAUUUUAUUAAAAAUAUAGUAGAGAAGUUGAUCCAUCUCAAUACUAAAGGAAGAAAUCUCCAAAUUAUUGUGAAUUUAUGGGUUUCAAUACACACUUGAAAUUGAUUGGUAAAAGGAAACUUUUGAGAAGAUAAAUCACUGUCGACUUAUUUUUGACUUGAAUUUUUAAUUAUGAGACAAAAUUUUUCUUAAAGGGUAACAUCGAAUAUCCUCUGCAUAUAAGUGCCUGCUGUGGCUUGUAGGUUGACUAAUUAUCUUAUUAUCUCAUAAGAAGUUAAGCCGAAACCGUACUCUUUUAGUUUUACCAAAAUCGAUUUGACAAGAACAUUUCACAACAGUCAAUUAGUUGCUCACUUGACCAUGAUGAGCACAGGCAAAGAAUCGCAUUCCCCUAUGACCAUCUCAUUUGAAAAAUGAAAUCAAGAAAUUACUCUGCAGCUAAUUCAACCCCCAACAUCAGACUAGUUCUGAAAAGCAUAAGCCGAUCCCCGAUUACAGCCAUCUCUUAGGUUCUUAACAAACAGAUACAGGGUAAGGGGGGAGCAUUAGCUAGGCAUGAGGCUUUUAUUCACUUCUGUCAGACAGUAUCAGCAUAUCAUAGAAAGAGGAGUGGAUUACUAAUCACUUGUGGAGUUGAUAAAACUUGAACAGAAAAAAGAAGCAUGAAUGCUAUAAGUAUUUUUCCAGCAAAAUAAGUUUGAACACACAAGAGUGCAGGAACGAGAGCCGCAUUUUAGAGAAGCUGAGAGUUCUGGUUCACCACAGAGUGCAACAUUAUAGUCACUCCAGGGUUUACCCGCCAGCUACCGGCUGACGGGGUUCCCUGGGUAUCAAAAAAAAAAACAUUAUAGUCUCUUCAGUGUGCCUCUUCUGUUAAAUACAGUGUUGAAGGUAUCAAUUUUCUGUCUAGGAGUGUUCUUGCUGCUAAUAACCAGACAAUAGUGUACUAGUUUGUUGUAUCGAAGUCUCUUAGAGACACCGGUAUCUCUGGCCGCACAAGAAAAAUCCCAUUAAACAAAUCUAAUCAACCGAUUCCACUCAAAUCUAGUUCAGAGCGCCAGCCCAGUUCCUAACAAGCGAAAUUCAAUCCCUAAUUACAAAACCAACAAGCUGAUGCAUAGAAGUGGCAUUGUGUUUCAAGGUCUGAAGCCUGACAGUUGCAAAGAUGCAGAUGAGCAGGGUUUAAGCAUUUGACCAGAGUAAGAGGCUAAAGCUGUUAGUGGUAGACGCAACUAGUAGUGAUCAAUCAUGGAGUCAACUGAAGAAAGAAUCGAUGCUGAUCCGAGAGUCCCUCUCUUGUUUCCAUCAAAUUCUGCACCUAAUUGCAUUACAGCACAGACCAAAUUCUUAAAAAAGAAGGCAAUAAAAGAGAGGAAAUUACCGGAGAUGGAGGGGGUGAAGAUGAAGAGUCCGGAUCAAAUGCUGAGAAGCAGAUAAAGAUCCCAAGAAUAAUCGUUCUUGGCUUUCGAGAUCGGCGGAAGAGAGACCAAGACUUCUAUGAGACGGUGAAUUCACCCUCCCUCGCCGUGCCCUUCCAGGAAAGUGAGGGCUUGCCAGUUGCAGGGAAACUUCAAGCCGACCCCGAAAAAGUGAGUGCGUGGUGCGUUUGACUUUUGAGGUAAUCGAGUUGAGUUUCUGGGAAAUUUCUGAAGUCCAAAGAUUCUUUGGCACGAAAAGCGAGAGCGCAAGAGAUUUUCAUUGCAUAUUAUUAGUUUAAAAAUCAUUCAGUUUAUACUAAUUGAUUUUCUCUUAAUGACGAUGAAACCCUUCUUGUAUAGGUGAACCCCAAGCCUGAUCAAAUUUUACAUAUACUAAACCUAAAAUUUAGAAUUCAUAUAUUUUAAGUAAUUAAGUUAGAUUAUGCCAAAGUUAUUUACAGUGAAUUGGGGAAAAUAAUACCACAAACGUCAUAACUUUCUCACAAUACUCAUUUUUUUUUUAAGCAAGCUCACAAUACUCAUUUGGGGAAAAGUGCCAAAAAAGUCCUAAACCUUUUGGGUUUGUGCCGAUUUAGUCCUAAACCUUUUUUUGGUGCCGAUUUAGUCCUAAACCUUUUUACGUUGUGCCAAUUAAGUCAUUUCCGACCAAUUUUGGCCGGAUUUUGCUGACUGGACGUCGGCCGGCUGACGUGGCCUGAUCGGCACUGACGUGUAUAAUUUUUAAUAAUAUUUUAAUAUUUUUGAAUAUUUUUUAUUUUAUUUUUUCUCUUUUUAUUUUUAUUUUUAUUCUUUUCUUUAUUCUUUUUCUUUUUUUCUUUUUCUUUUUUUCUUUUUCUUUUUUCUUCUCAUCUUCUUCCUCCAGCCGGUCGCCGGAGCUCGGCGACCGGCCAGAGGCGACGGCCGGCAAGGUCGACCUCGCCGGCCACCUCGCCAGUGGCCGCGAGGGCAGCCUCGCGCCGGGCGGGCAAGGCUGCCCUCGCGGCCUAGGUGGCGAGGCUCGCCCUNNNNNNNNNNNNNNNNNNNNNNNNNNNNNNNNNNNNNNNNNNNNNNNNNNNNNNNNNNNNNNNNNNNNNNNNNNNNNNNNNNNNNNNNNNNNNNNNNNNNUCCAAGGCCGGAGCCGCGCGACCGAAGAAACCCCGAGCUCCCGUAAACCCUAGAGACGACGACGACGACGAGCGGAGGAGGGAGGAAAUUUCUAGGGCGAGAUUGGGAUCGGAGAACGGAGCCGGGGAGGAGUCCAGCUGGCCUUGCGCCGAGCUAGCGGGGCUCGACCCUCGCCGGCCAUGAGCGAGGCUCGACCCUCGCCAGAUCCGGCGAGGGCGAGCCUCGCCCGCCUGGCGCGAGGCCGCCCUCGCGGCCACUGGCGAGGUGGCUGUCGAGGUCGACCUCGCCGGCCGUCGCCUCUGGCCAGUCGCCGAGCUCCGGCGACCGGCUAGAGGAAGAAGAUGAGAAGAAAAAAGAAAAAAAUAAAAUUAAAAUUAAAAAUUAAAAAAAUAUUAAAAUAUUAUUAAAAAUUGUACACGUCAGCGCCGAUCAGGCCAUGUCAGCCGGCCAGCGUCCAGUCAACAAAAUCCGGCCAAAAUUGGUCGAAAAAGACUGAAUUGGCACAACAUAAAAAGGUUUAGGACUAAAUCGGCACCAAAAAAAGGUUUAGGACUUUUUUGGCACUUUUCCCUACUCAUUUGAGUAUUAUAAUUUUAUUUGGAUUGUUGGAGUGAUAUAACUUGGGAAAAAUCCACAAAAAACCCCCAACUUUACCUAAAGUGAUAAAUUUAUCCUAAAUUUUUUUUUUCUGUAGCAUGAAAAACCCCGAAAUUUAUUAACCGUGACAUAUCUACCCUGAACUUUCAUUUGUGACACAAAAAACCCUAAAUUUUCAUUUGUGUGACAUAUUUACCAUAAAUUAUAAGAGCAUUCUGGUUUUAAAAGCUUUUUUCUUUUUCUUCCCUCCACCUGGCAAGGGCGGCCCUCGCAAGACGCUGGAGAGGGAGGCCCUUGCCUGAUGCCAAUGAGGGCCACCCUUGCUUGCGUUGGGCGAGGGGUGCCCUCGCCAAACCCUCGCCAGAUUUGGCGAGGGAGGCCCUCACCCGACGUCGAUGAGGGCCGCCCUCACCCGACACCAGUGAGGGCAGCCCUCACUGACGCCGGCUUCCCUCCGCCGGGACCGAUAGAGAAAAGAAGAAGAAAAAAAUAGAAAGUAUAAGACAAACAUGUCCUUAAUGGGGUAAAUGUGUCACAAUUUGCAAAGUUUGAGGUUUUUCGUGUCAAAAAAAAGUUUGGGUAAAUUUGUCAUUUUAAGCAAAGUUUAGGGUUUUUGGUGGUCUUUUCCCAUGUAGCUUUUGUUCGGGACUCACUUAAGCACUCUAACUUGAUUUUUUAUUACUUGAGUGUUAUAUAACAUUUUAAUCCAUCGCUUAUGCCAUAACUUUUUAAAAUCGUUCACCUAGAUACUGAAACUCAUAUUUGUACUUAAAUUUUCUAAAAGUUGUAUCACUUUCGCAAUCAAUUAAAAGUCAUGAUACUCAAGCGAACAUUUUCUUAGAAUAUUCAAGACUCAAAUAAUCGAAAAAAAAAAUAGUUAUAACAAUUAGGAAAAUGACGCAUAAAAAUUAUAGCACCUAUAAUAUUAUCAUCUCUCAAAAGCUGCAUACGGCCAAAAAGGAAUAAAGCACCAAAAAUAUUUUAUGUUUAAUCACAAUAGUGUGUUUGGUCAGCACUUAGUAGGUUGGGUAGCCACCCGACCUUAUAUGUUGUCGGAAUAUUAGGGGUGAAAUGGUGACGUCAAUAUCCGCACUACAAGUCAUCCUGAAACUUAUUUUUUACCAAGGAAACUUUUAAGAAAAAUCUAGCCAUCCUACGGUCCAAUCAUUGGAAAUUAUGACCGGCUAUAGAUAUCACGAAAUUAUAAGUAAAUCACGAACUUCAAAAUAUUAGUCAACUUAACUUAUAUUUAUAAAUUAUUUAUGGUUAAACAUAAAAUUAAUAAUAUGUUUAUAUGCAUCAAUGCUGAUCAAUCAACAAAAGAGUUAUUCCAUUGUUUUUAAACAAUGACUAGGAAAUUAAUUUAAAUUGCUAGCACAAUAUUAUACUAUAGAUAUCUAAAUCUAAAGUGAAUGCAAUCAUAUUGUAAUAUCUAUAUUUAAUAUUGAUAUUUUUAUUACAUUUUAUUCUCAAAUUGUUUUUCAUAAAAUCUCUUAUUCGUUUCAUUGCCUACAUCUAUGUCAGCUCUUACAUUAAUUUAUCAAUGAAAGUAAUGAGAUUUAAUGGCUUAAUUCAUUUACUCAUUAUUUCCCUUUUGUCGUACCAAAGACGAUGUGAGGGAGUGAAAAUCACAAUAUUUCUAUGCAUUAUAAUUAAUUAAUCCUCGUCCAAUUACUUUUCUUUUUGGAUCACCAUUUGGUAAUUGAUACGGUAGUAGUUAGUGCACUAUUUUUUUCUUUUACAGAAAGCCAAUCUUUCAGCUUCUCAGUAUUUUUUUUGGUCGGUCUUAAGCUUCUCAAUAUUGUUCAUGAACAAACAUGUUGGCUUCUAGAAGCUGGAAUGGUCGAGUAGCUUUUUCGACCCAGUCAACAUGAGGCAUCUCCAAAUUGUUUUGCUCUGCCUUGAAUCUCAACCAGUUUAGCACAACUCCAUGGGAGAAGUUUAGGACAACGUCUUCAGUGAUGGCAGACCUGCAAGCAUUAGCAAUAGUAUACAAUCCCCUGCAUCAAAAUUGUUUAGUGGUUUUUUUAAUUCUAGAAUUUCUAUCAACUCAAUUCGAUAGAGAUGAUGCUGUCAUUUUGCCUAAUAUAGUAUUGAGGAUCAUAUCGCAGCCAUGUCGAAAGGUAUCAAGUAGUACUCAUGGUGAAGUUCUUAGAUCAAAUCAGCUGAGACAAACUAAAUCUAAGGCAAGGAAAAAAGAGCUAGUGGAAAGUUUAGUUAUCUAAUUUUCUGUCAAUUUUAUCCCUCAAAAGUUUGUGUGCUUUGGAAUCUCUAGUUUCUUACAGCACUUGGGAAGUUUGCAAUUCAAUUUUUACUCCCUCACUCUCACAACCGCUAUAGGAAAGAAUACGAACUGUGGGGAGGAAGAAUUCGCAUCUGAAACAUUGACAGUCUGCACCUGAGGCAAUGGUAGGAACAGAAGAUCCACAGAAGAAGCAAUACGAAGAAAAACCUUCAACGUUGGAAGCUUAGCUUGGAUACAAUAGUAACACAAUUGAGAGAAGAAAUGUUUAUACCAUAUUUUCUGAUUGUUACAUGUGUAUAUGGAGCUUGCCACAUAUAGAGUUUUUGAGUUACUGGCCAACCACUGAAAUCAGGUGCGCAACCAACGUUUACAUUCUACCAUUAACCAAACUCAGAACAUAAAAGUAUCCUAACAACAACAAAAGAUGCUCAGACAAGUAGGAUUUCGCAAGAUCGGUUUGCAUCUUUUCCUUCAAGUCCACCACCAUCAGAACUCAGAGAAUCUUCUACCUCCUCACGCUUGUGUAUAUAAAAGAUUUUAGCUUCUUGAAGCUUGAUGGAUCUGGUAACUUCUCCAAAGAUUUAAAAGAACCUAUCCAAAGUUGCCUCCAACGAUUUUAGUCUGCCUUCGAUCUCAACCACCCUAGGACAUCACUGCAGAGAAAAUUUCUGGAGCUUCUUUAAGUUGGUCGGGACAGGCAACUUGUCCAUAGAUGGAACUCCUCCAAGCUUUAAGGCACUCAGGUUCUCCAAAACUUGGAGGCCUCUGAACUCUCCCACUUUAAAGCAAUGAGCAACUUCCAAAUCUGACAGUGCCUUCAAAUUUGAAGGGUCUAUUGAUGUUUUUAUUUCCCUGCAUGAUUCGGUAUCUAAGCACAGCAAAUUUGGGGGAAGGCCAGGUCGGCAUUGCAGCUUCUUGGAGAGGACCAUUUCCGGUUCCUUGAGCUGUGAAAGAAGAAUGAUGUGUGAAGAUGGGUGAUGAAAUAAUGAGAUUCCAACAGCAAGGAUUCCAGCUUCCCUAACCUUCUAAGCUACGAAGGACUUGGAGAUUCAAUGAAUUUAGAAGCAUCAUGGAAAUUGUCAAAACCUGAAUGUUACAUACAAUUUGAAUAUCAAAUUAAUAAAUAACUUAACAUCAAAUGAAUGUCUACAAUGAGAUUCUAACAGCAAGGAUUCCAGCUUCCCUAACCCUGUACAGAAGAUCCACCUUAAAAAGAUAUGUAGAUGUGCAAAUCUAAACGUCUCUACUUCUAAAAUGGGAGGCCUACUCACUACUCGUCGACCUGAGAACACAAUAAUAACAAUUGGCAAAUAAGGUCACAUAUCAUUUAUAUGACCAAAUCUCAUCAUGCGUAGAUAUCAGUAGAUCAUCGAUAUACACAAGUAAAUAUUUAUUCUCUACUCGUUAAUAGCCACGACUCAUCUCGACUAAAUCAAUGUACAGCUGCUUAUUUAUGUGUGACUUAAUGGCCUCACCGUAAGUUGCAGUCUGCUUACGCACCACCCAUGGUUCAAUGCCAUAGAAAAUUGGUAUGAUUUUUUGUCCCCACUUUUCCUUGCACUCCACCAUCUGGACCAAUUUCAUGAGGCACCAUUUACUAGCAGCAUAUCCUUCAGAAAAUAUAGGAAUCGAGAUUUUCGACUGCUUAAUCGCUUGAAGAAGCUCCAGGCCAAUUUCUUCCCCAAUGCAAAGCUCUUCAUCAUCUCUGUAUGCUCAUAUUCUGGCAUCAAUGAGGCCGUUGUAAAGGACAUCAGUGAUGCCAUGGCGAGUAUCUGGUCCUCUGAAGCUCAAGAAUACUUCAUAAUAAGGUUCCACUGGCUUUUCCAUUUCCUGAAUUUUCGAAGGACUUGCAACGGCUUGAUAUCCCACCCGAAAAACAUUUACUAUGAAAGUGGGGUGAUGAUUAUCAUGAUUUCUCUCAGAAACUCUUCUGUUUUAAGUCAUUCUAAAAAGCAAUCUCGGUGACAAAUGCAUGAAAUCCUUCUGGCAUUGCACUAGACACCAAAAUAUGCCCAAUUAUAAUAGAGAAGUUGACCCAUCUAAAUACUAAAGGAAGAAAUCUCCAACUUAUUGCGAAAUUAUGGGUCUUAGUUCACACUUGAAAUUGAUUGGAAAAAGGAAAAUUUAGAGAAGAUAAAUCACUGUCGACAAAUUUUUGUCUUAAACUUUUUACUUACGAGAUAAAUUUUUUCUUAAAAGGUAAAGUUGAAUGUCCCCCUGCACAUAAGCGCCUAUUGUGGCUUGUAGGUCGACUAAUUAUCUUAUUAUCUCAUAAGAAGUUAUGCCGAAACCGUCCUCUUUUAGUUUUGCCAAAAUCAAUUUGACAAAAAGAUUCCACAACAGUCGAUUGGUUGCUUACUUGAACUUAAUGGGUGCAGGCAAAGAAUCGCAGUCCCCUAUGACUAAAAGUUAGGCACAAGGCUACUAUUCACAUCUGCCAGACAGCAUCAGCGUAUCAGAAAAAGAGGAGCGGAUUACUAAUCACUUGUGAAGUUGAUAAAAGUUCAACAGAAAAAAGAAGCAUGAAUGCUGUAACUAUUUUUCCAGCAAAAUAAGUUCGACCACACAGGAGUGCAGAGACGACAGCUGCAAUUUACAGAAGCGGAGAGUUCCGGUUCACCACAGAGUGCAACAUUAUAGUGUAUUCAAUCUGUCUCUACCGUUAAAUAGAGAGCUGAGGGUAUCAAUUUUCUACCGUUCUUAAUUCUAAUCGCUAGAAAUUAUGGUACCAAAAUAUCUUAAAGAUACGAGUAUCUCUGUUCAAAAAAAGAAAAAAAAAAACAUCAAACAAAUGAAAUCAACAGAUCCACUCAAAACUAAUUUAGCUUUUAGCGACAGUAAUUCACGCCAAAACUCAGAAGAGAGAGAGAGAGAGAGAGAGAGAGAGAGAGAGAGAACACGGGUGGCGAGCUCGCAAGACUGAGUGUUGUCGAUGAUGGAACCGGACUCGCCUCCGCCUUCGCUGCAGCUGCCGCCGCCGCCGCCGAGGAGCUCACUCUGAGGCUCGACACCGCUCGUCUCCGCUUCAGCUUCGUGCCGUCUUUUCUUCUUCGCCAUUCCUGCUCUCCGAUAUCACAAAGUUCCGAUUUUUCGACAAGGUACGAGGUCGACUGGUGAAGGGUUUAGGCGUCGAUGUUGGUGGUGGUAUUGCGUUUCAGGAUCUGAGGCCUGACAGUUGCAUAGAUGGAAGUGGAUGAGCAGGGCUUUAGCAUGAACGUUCUCGGCCUUUGAGAUCGGCAGAAGAGAGACAAAGACUCCUAUCAAACGGUGAAUUCAGCCUCCCUCGCCGGGCCUCAAAACGGGAGGCGGGCUCGGGCUACGCUACACCAAAACGGAAAGUUGAGUGAUAUGGACGGCCCUGAUUUCUCCGGCUACCGAAUGGAGAAUCCUCGCUGUCGACUGUCGAGUGAAAGGGCUGGUUAAGUUUCUUGGGCCUUAACGUUGGUGAUUGGAGAUGGGCAAGGCCCACAAUCCAUGUGGGGAAUGCAGCGCAUAAAACGAGCAGUCUGGCCCAAGGCCUUAAGAUCCACAGCAGAAGCAAUACGAAAAACCCUUCUACGUUGGAAGCUUAGCCUGGAUUCGAUAGUAACACAAUCGGGAGAAGAAAUAUUUGUACUGAUGUUUUCUGAUUAUUACAUAAGCAUAAGGAGCUUGCAAUAUACAGAGUUUUGAGUUGCCGGCCAACCACUGAAAUCAGGUGCGCAACUUACAUUUACAUUCUCUACCAUUAACCAAACUCAGAAGUCCAAGAGAUAAAAGUAUCCUGAAAACAACAAAAAGAUACUCGGACAAGUUGGAUUCCGCAAGAUCAGACUGCCUCUCUUCCUUCAUAUCCUCCACCGAUCAUCAGAACUCAGAGAAUCUUCUACCUUCUCACGCUUGUGUAUACAAAAAGAUUUUAGCUUCUUGAAGCUUGAUGGAUCCGGUUUAGUCUGCCUUGGAUCUCGACCACUUUAGGACAUCACUGCAGAUAAAAUUUCUGGAGCUUCUUCAAGUUGGUCAGGUCAGGCAACUUGUCCAUAGAUGGUACUCCUCCAAGCUUGAAGGCACUUGGGUUCUCCAAAACUCGGAGGCCUCUGAACUCACUUUAGGGCAAUGAAGCCGAGUUAUCCAGACAAGUGGAAAGGAAAGAACGGCUUAUACUGCGUGGGACUGUUGAGGAGAGGGUUCUUGGGAGCUUCUCUCGACGCCCAGGGGCAACUUCCAAAUCUGACGGCGCCUUUGAAUUUGAAAGGUCUAUUGAUGUUUUUAUUUCCCUGCAUGAUUCAGUAUCUAAGUACAGCAAAUUUGGGGGAAGGCCAGGUCGGCAUUGCAGCUUCUUGGAGGGGACCAGUUCCCGUUCCUUGAGCUGUGAAAGAAGAAUGAUGUGUGAAGAUGGGGUGACGAAAUAAUGAGAUUUCAACAGCAAGGAUUCCAGCUUCCCUAACCUUCCAAGCUACCAAGGACUUGGAGCUUCAAUGAAUUUGAAAGCAUCAUCGAAAUUGUCAAAACCUGAAUUUUACAUAUAAUUUGAAUAUCGAAUUAAUAAAUAACUUAACAUCAAAUGAAUGUCUACAGUGAGAUCCUAACAGCAAGGAUUCUAGCUUCCCUAACCUUGUACAGAAUAUUCACCUUAAAAAGAUAUGUAGAAGCACAAAUCUACAUGUCCCUAAACUCCAAACCAACCAAUAUGUAUAAUAUUUUUUAGGGAGUGAGUUUAAGUUCAGUAAAUGAAAGCUCUACUUCCAAAAUGGGAGGCCUACUCACUACUUGAACCGAGAACACAACAAUAACAAUUGGCAAAUAAAGUCAUAUAUCAUUAUAUGACCAAAUCUCAUGAUGCAUAGAUAUCAGCAGCUCAUCGAUAUACACAAGUAAAUAUUUAUUCCCAACUCGUUAAUAGCCAUGACUCAUUCGACGGACUCAACCAACAAGAUAUCGUAACCACUAAAUAAUGCAGGACGAAAUCAUAAAUACAUACCACACUUCAACCCAUUCAUCACAUGUAUCCUCCAACGAUGAUAAAUACAGUAGAAACACAUAACGAUGCCUAUUCGUGGACUCAUUCUCAUCAAGAUUCAUACCCAUUCUAUUUUAUUUCUUUUCUCAAUCUUGGACCUUAAAUUCAUAACGUCAAGUAUGGGCUAUUUAAUUCACAUUAUGUCACGGAAGUCAUAUCAUUUCACGUAUGAAUCAUUGCACUUCAUGUCCUCCAACCCUAUAGAGACCCACCCUAAACAGUAGAAUAAUCAUUUUCUCCAGAGUCUUAUAUACAUACACAGGAAAAUUAACUGCAGUGCUGGUAUAUUACUAACAACACUUGCAGAAUUUCCAUGGAGUUGGUAAUUUACUUAAUUAUUAGAAUAUUGGUAAAUUCCUAAUAGUCUUGUUCAUUCACUUACGACAAUGGUAAAAUUUCAAAGGAGUUGAUAAUUUACGACUUCCUUAUAUCGAUAAAUUUCUGAUAGUGUUAGUAAUUUAUUUAAUAUUCAGGUAGAAUAUAAGAAGAUUUGGUAAUUUACCAAAUUAGUGGAAAUACGAUAAAUUUAUGAUUAUAUUGAUAAUUUACAACUGAUUCACCAAACAAGCAGGUAACCAGUCUUUUUUUUUUUUUAAACCAGCAAAAUUGGAAUUCUACCAACACGGAAAAUUUUCAAUUUUCCAACCCACGGCACCGUAGAAUUUUGCCCGGAAGUUUCUACAUCUCUACUUCUUCGACAAGAACUUAAAUCCCAACUGAUAAUUUCAAUUACUGAAACUUGAUACGUAGUCAUUAAUCAUUCAUAAGCCCCUGUAGAAAUCUGUUUUAAGUUAUGAAAACUAAAGGACCUUUGAGACCAUUGCACAUGAUCAUUAACUAGGGAGGGUUAUGUUCAUGCUAGGCACAAUGUUUUGCCCCUACUUCUUCAUUUCUUCAAUGUGAAAUUUUCAUGGGAAAUCCGCAACAAUUCUGUGAAUAUGGUUGCUGAUGUCUAAUUGAAUUCGUGACACUGAAUGCAACACAUUGAACAUUAAAAUCUGCGAAUAAAUUCUGGAGCAAGUUAUCUUGAAUCCUCAAUGAAUUUCUCCCAUGACGAGAUUAAUUACUAAUUGCACCCGCUAAAAAUUUUAGAAGUAGGACCACAACAGAACAUAAAAAGAAGAAAGAAAUUGCAGAACCAAUCGAUUAUAGGAAGUUUUCAUGCCUUCCAGGACAAUAUUUCGGUUUCAGCUAGACCUUGACAAGCUCAGAAGAACAACUGAUUCCCCAUGUAUGUUUUGAACUAGUUCCUAAGGAGCGAAAAUCAAUCCCCUAAUUGGUGCAGAAGUUAAUUGACGCACAGGAGUAGCAAUGUGUUUCAUAGAAUGCGACUUGUGGUUUAGACCAAAGCUAUUAAAGAUUAGAAACAGAUGGAAAAAAAUCAAUCGAGUCAGCUCCCUAGUGAGUUCAUCGAAAGGCUGUUUUCAUUGCGUAUGAAUGAUAAGUCGUGACUGAAAAUAAUAAAAACAACUCGAUCCGUUCCAAAUCUUUUCCUAAUGCAUCACUGAUUGCAUCGAAGUUUCGCACGCGGACCCAAUUCAUGCAAAAUGCGAAGAGAGAAAAUUACCAGAGAAGGGAUUCAGGUGAAGAUGAAGAAAACUAAAUGAAGAUGGCAGAGAAGGAAGAACCCUCGUUGGCCUCAGUCAGCUGCAACCAAAAUGGAAAAGGAAGACCACGGUCUAUUAACCCUUCGUGGGAACAGAGCGGCAGGCAGGAAGACGUGGUCGCAGUCCCCGGAGGGAGAUCUCCGCUGGGUCGGAUCGCGUCUCGUGAUUCGGCUAGGAGUCGCCGUCGCUGCUGGCUCUGGGCGAGCUUCUCGCUCGGGUCGUCGCUGAUGAGGGGAGGAAGACGAAGUAUGGAGAACGCGAGAGGGCGAGAGAGAGAGAGAGAGGAAGAGAGAGCGCAACGGAAGAAAAAUGAAAGACAAAAAAAAACAAAAAGAGAGAGAGAGAGAGAGAGAGAGAAAGAGAGAGAGUUGAAAUUUCUUAAGAGUGGGGUCCCACUUACGCACGUCAUUUCGAGAUAAUAUUCCUCACCACUCCAGUUCGAUAUCUCUUCUCCGUGAUCCUCUGCGCACGUAACCAUGCCUGUGAUAUCCGCCUACUCUCACUUUUUUCAAAUAUCUGUACUCAUCGGAUUUUAGGAUCUCCUCCAAUUUUUCACAAUCUUCUAUAGACGAGUACUGUAGCUUCUUGAAGCUUGAAGGAUCAGAAAACUUUCGCAGGGACCUGCACUUAAAAAUAUCAAGUCCCUUCAAUGAUUCUAGCCUACCUCGAAUCUCAACUAGACAAGGACAAUCAUAUAAGUCAAGAUGCUCGAGCUCCUUGUUGUUGGUCAGGUCAAGCAACUUAUCUAGCAACGGAAGACCCCACAAACAUAAGUCUAUUAAGUUCUCCGAAUUUUCCAGGCCUUGAAUCUUUUUCAACUUCGGACAGCGAGAUAUAUCUAAGUUUUCUAUAUGCUUGAAGGUUAGUGGAUCAAGCAGCUUUGCAAGUGAUUCACACUUCUCUAAAUAGAGCUCCUUCAACGAUUCUAGAUGACCUCGAACCUCAACCAAUUUAGGACAACCAACUAUCGCAAGGCUCCAGAGUUUCUUCAAGCCUGUCAAGUCAGGCAACUUCACAAGCAAUGGAAGAUUAGCAAGGUCAAGCCUCUGCAGGUUUUUCAAAUGUUCGAGGUCUUGAAUCUUUAUUAGCUGUUCACAACCAUCAUCUUUCAAUUCUAAUAACUUCCCCAAAUAUGAAAGAUUUAUCGACAUUAACUGCUGCCCAACAAAAUGGAAGUAUGACAAAUUCUGGGGAAGCCAAGGUAGGCAUCCUAGGCUAUUUAGGACAAGUUUGAGCUUCCUAAGCUUCGCGAGGAGAUUAAAAUUUGAAGGUAGGGUGACUAGACCAUCACCACCCAACCACAAGGACUCUAGCUUUCUUAACUCUCCAAUCCAAUUGAGGCUUGGAGCUAGAUCAAAAGGGUUUUGAUACUUCACUUCCAACACCAAAACUCUCAAAUUUAAUAGGUUCGAGAGAUCUGGACAUCUCAUCCGUCGAUUACCGGUCAGGUAUAGUUCGGUCAUACUUUCAGGAAGCUUAGGUAUAUUGGAAAUUCCCGUUCCCGUCAACCUCAAGAUUUUUAGAAACGACAAUCUUCUGAUCUCAGUUGGAAUUUCCCCAUACAAAAAUUGACAAUCGCCAGCUUCAAUCUCUUCAAGCUCUUCCAACAUCCCAAGGGCGCUAGGUAGCUUUUCUAAGAUGGAGUGAGAGAGCCUUAGUACUCUCAAAUUCUUCAUUGUCUCUAUUGAGUUGGGUAACUCUCGUAUUUUCGUCCAACAAAGAUUCAACUCAAUGAGAGAUCCAAAAUUUCCAAAUGGAAGUUCACUAAUUCCGGUACUUGUGAAGUUAAGAUAUGAUAGUGAUGUUGAGCAACCAGCUAAAUUGCAUUCACUCAGUAAUCUACAAUAAGCCGCACCGAGAGUUUCCAAUUUCUCCAUUCCUUUCCAUUCAGGAAUGUUGGUAAUAGAUGUGUGAUCAACAAGAAGUUCCGUCAAGGCUUCCAAUUCCUCCAUCUCGUCUGGCAAUGUGUGAAGUUUCCCACAAUAUUUCAAGUUUAAUAACACUAAAUGCUUUAACUCACCAAUAGACCUAUCAACUUGAACCAGUUCUCUGCACCCUUCAAGAAUCAAUUGCUCUAACUUUUGAUGAGCGGAAAAGUUAGGAGUUCUAAGCAAGUUUUUGCAAUCGGUCAAAUUUAGAACCUUCAAAUUCUCUGCCGUCUGUAAUGAAGAGAAGAGGUUGAUUCUGAAUCAUUUAGAGAUAUAGGGAAGCAAAGUCAAUAGAACAAAUUCAUUUUGAAAUAAUACCAUACCUUGAGGUGGUUCCAUCCCUCCCACUCAUCUGAAAUUUUACUCCUUGAUAGAUCAACAAUCACUAGCUUCUUAAGAGAACGUGCGGUGAACUUGAAAAAGAUAGGAAAGUUAUGCCAUGAGAGCCAUCUCAAUUUCGGAAGCAUGAUUGGAUUCCUCUGGACCUAGUUGGUAGAAGGAAAAUGCUGACCGUUGGUCUCCUCCGAGUCUACACAAUCCACUUGAAGAAAUCUUAAUUUUGAUAAGAUAGAUUUUCCAUUCUCAAUGGAGUCUUGAAAUUGAUGAUUAAACAUGAGACGUAUUGCUUCAACAUUUUUUCUUCCCUGCCAAAAAAAUAAUAAUAUCUAAAACUAAAUAGAAGCUAGUGAUCAUAUAAUUGCUUGUUGAAGGCAUUCAAGUUGAAUACAUUUGAGGAAUGUAUAUCUUAUAUAUAAUUUAAAAUUAAUUUACAAUAUAAUUUACAAAUGAGCAUGUCAUCGUACUAAGCACACAAGUAACGACUCGGUUCAGAUAGAAGCAAAUAAGCAAAGUCAACGUUUUUAACUCGUCUCUUUGAAUAGGAAUAACAGUGUGAACACCUUACCUCCUCUGUUUCUAGAACAUCAAUAGCUUCUUCAUGAUCCCACACCCGACUCUGCUUCUCUCUAGCUCUCUCACGAACGAUGACUCGCCCAAGGUCUCUUAACUGAUCAUGCACCCACAGUUGGUUACCUUUUGCGAUCUUUAUUAAUGACCUCUGUUUGAGGACUUCAAGAGAACAUUCAGGGAAAAACUCACAGCUGUCCCACAUGUAAGUCACAAUUCUCACAUUGAACCCAACAAAGAAGCAACAGACAUCAAGAAAUAUUUCCUGCUCUUGAGUUUCUAAUGCCUCGAAACUGAUGUUUAACUUAUUUUUAACCUUUUCAUUGGGAAUGGUCUCCAGCUUCUUUAACACAUUCUUCCAUUUAUUUAUGUCAUUUCUAUGCAAAAGUGAACCUAUAAUUUCAAGAGCCAAAGGAAGAUGACCACAGAUUUCUACUGCUUUUUGCGAGAGGGAGACAUAUUCUGCUGGAGGAGAAUCUCUUCCAAAGGCAUGUCUGCUAAACAGUUGAAGAGAAUGACCAAAAUCCAUUUCAGUAAGUUCAUGUUGAAAAUCAACAACUUUGAGAAGUUCCUUGUCUCUUGUAGUAAUAAUAACCUUACUUCCUCUGCUGAACCAACAUUCACCUGUCCCCACAAGAGCCUCCAGCUGAGUGUUUUGGUCGACAUCAUCAAGUAAAAGUAAAACCUUUUUAGAGGAUAACCUAUUCUUGAUUUCAGUAAUCCCUUCAUUAAUACUCUUGAUGGAUGGGCAUUCCUUUCUUAGGACGUCGGAGAUGAGUUGAUUCUGCAAACUAACAAUCUUUGUUUCUCGAAUGUUAGAUAGGAAGCAACAGUUAUCAAAAUCAGCCAACAGUUUAUUAUAGAGAAUUGUGGCAAGAGUUGUCUUUCCGACACCACCCAUACCAUAGAUACCAACAAUCUUUGUUCCGGUGGUCUGUUCGCCUAUCUUUUCCAUGAUUUGGUCCACUUGAUCAUCCAUUUCAACCAAGCAAUUAGUUACUGCCAGGUAGUUCUUUUUCAACUCGAUCAAAAGCUUCUGAACAAUUUCUUUUGUGAACUCGCCUUUGCCUCUGAUAAUGUGGAAGGCAACAGAACCAAACUGUUAAAUCAAGAUUAAGAGAAUAAUAUCUAAGGUACAAGCAAACCAUGCACAAUAAUAAAUUCAAGUACCUCUCCUUGAGUUCCCAUCCCUUUAAUUUUCCAACCUUGUUGAGAGCGGCCUUCCAGUUCUGAAUAGUCUCAUUAGUGUACAGCUGCUUAUUUACGUGUGACUGAAUGGCCUCGCCAUAAGUUCUAGUCUGCUUACGAACCUCGGAUGGUUCAACGUCAUAGAAAAUUGGCAUGAUCUCUUGUCCCCACUUUUCCUUGCACUCCACCAUCUGGACCAACUCCAUGAGGCACCAUUUACUGGCAGCAUAUUGUUUAGAAAAGAUAGGAAUCGAGAUUUUUGACUGCUUAAUCGCUUGGAGAAGCUCUGGGCCAAUAUCUUUCCCAACGCGAAGCUCUUCAUCAUCUCUGUAUGCUCGUAUUCCGGCAUCAACAAGGCUGUGGUAAAGGUAAUCAGUGAUGUCGCGGUGAGUAUCGGAUCCUCUAAAGCUCAAGAAUACUUCAUGAUAAGGUUCCAUUGGCUUCUCCAUUUCCUGAAUUUUCGAAGGACUUGCAACGACUUGAUAUCCCACCUGAAAAACAUUUACUAUGAAAGUGAGGUGAUGAUUAUCAUGAUUUCUCUCAGAAACUCUUCUCUUUAAAGUCAUUCUAAAAAGCAAUCUCAAUGAAAAAUGUGUGAGCUCCUUCUGGCAUUGCACUAGACACCAAAAUAUGUCCAAUUAUGGUAGAGAAGCUGACCCAGCUAAAUACUAAAGGAAGAAAUCUCCAACUUAUUGCGAAAUUAUGAGUUUUAGUUCGCACUUGAAAUUGAUUGGAAAAAAGGAAAAUUUAGAGAGAUAAAUCACUGUCAACAUAUUUUUGUCUUAAACUUUUUACUUAUGAGAUAAUUUUUUUCUUAAAAGGUAAAGUUGAAUGUCCUUUGCACAUAACCGCCUGCUGUGGCUUGUAGGUUGACUAAUUAUCUUAUUAUCUCAUAAGAAGUUAUGCCGAAACCGUCCUCUUUUAGUUUUACCAAAAUCGAUUUGACAAAAAGAUUCCACAAUAAUCGAUUGGCUGCUCACUUGAACUUAAUGGGCACAGGCAAAGAAUUGCAGUCCCCUAUGACUAAUAGUUAGGCACGAGGCUACUCUUCACAUCUAACAGACAGUAUCAGCAUAUCAGAAAAAGAGGAGCGGAUUACUAAUCACUUGUGAAGUUGAUAAAAAUUCAACAGAAAAAAGAAGCAUGAAUGCUAUAACCAUUUUUCCAGCAAAAUAAGUUUGACCACACAGGAGUGCCAGGAGUGCAGGGAUGACAGCUGCAUUUUAUGGAAGCGGAGACUUCCGGUUCACAACAGAGUGCAACAUUAUAGUGCAUUCAAUCUGUCUCCAGUGUUAAAUACAGAGUUGAUGGUAUCAAUUUUCUGCCUAGGGGUGUUCUUACUGCUAAUCGCUGGAAAUUAUGGUACCGAAAUAUCCUAAAGAUACGAGUAUCUCUGUUCACCAAAAAAAAAAAGAGAUCCCAUCAAACAAAUGAAAUCAACAGAUCCACUCAAACUAACUUAGCUUUUAGCACCAGCAAUCCACGCGAAAACUCAGAGAGAGAGAGAGAGAGAGAGAGAGUACGCGGGUGGCGAGCUCGUAAGACUGAGCGUUGUCGAUGAUGGAACCGGACUUGCCUCCGCCUUCGCUGCCGUCGCCACCGCCCUUCCUCCUCUUCUUUGGCUCGUCGUCGCGAGGGCCGCCACCGCUGCCGCCGCCAUUGAGGAGCUCAGUCCGAGGCUCGACACCGCUCGCCUCCGCUUCAGCUUCGGGCCGUCUCUUCUUCUCCACCAUUCCUGCUCUCCGAUAUCACAAAGUUUCGAUUUUUUGACACGGUACAAGGUCGACUGGUCAAGGGUUUAGGCCUCGAUCUUGGUGGUGGUAUUGUGUUUCAGGAUCUGAGGCCUGACAGUUGCAUAGAUGGAAGUGGAUGAGCAGGGUUUUAGCAUGUGACUCAUGAGUUAGAGGCUAAAGCUAUUAGUGUUAGACGCAACUGGCAGUGAUCAAUCACGGAGUCAACUGAGGGAAGAACUGAUGCUGAUCUGAGAGUCCCCUCUCUUGUUUCCAUCAAAUUUUGCAUCUAGUUGCAUUACGGAACAGACCCAAUUCGUUAAAAAAGAAGGCAAUCAACGAGAGGAAGUUACCGGAGAUGGAGGGGCUGAAGAUGAACAGUCCGGAUCAAAUGCUGAGAAUCAGAUAAAAGAUCCCAAGAAUAAGCGCUCUGGCUUUUGAGGUCAGCUGAAGAAAGACAAAGACUUCUAUUAGACGGCGAGUUCACCCUCCUUCGCCGUGUCCUUCCACGAAAGCGAGGGCUUGCUAGUUGCCAGGAAACUUCAAGCCGACCGUGUGAAGAGAAAAUAUUCAGUGGUUCGUGCGCGCCACGUCAGCUGAUGACGUGGCGCGCACGAACCAUUCAGAUACCGACACCUGUUAUGUGGGACCCGCUAAAAAAUGAAAGGAUUCGGUCGGCUCGGCUCGGCUCGCUGGCAGAAGAAAAGACAAGUCACGCAAAGCUCCCGCCCAAAAGACCAUCAUCUCUCCUCUUCAAUUGAAUCUUCUGCAAUUUUUUCUCUCUCUCUCUCACUUUCUCUCUCCUCGCGGGAAAACAAACACAGAACGAUCGAGACCUCUUCCGCUUCCGCCUUCGUCUCCGGCUCUGCCUCCUCAAAAGCCUCGCCGAUCAUCUGCUUCUGGCACGUCGAAGCCUCACCAAUCGCAGUUGGGUCCCGACCCCCUCCACCUCCGAUUGUUCCCACAGAGAUUGGGUACGAGGUUUGUGUCCGCCUUCGGCGCUGGCUCCGCCUUCCUCCCCAAAAUCUGCUUCUGGCACGUCGGAGCCUCACCAGUCGCAGUUGGGUCCUGACCCCCUCCACCUCUGACUGUUCCCUCAGAGAUCGAGCAGAAGGUUUGUGUCUGCCUCCGGCUCCGGCUCCGGCUUCGGCUCCCUCCCCCAAAAGCCUCAUCUGCCUCUGGCAUCCUCCGUCUCCGGCAUUUGCUCGUCCUCCCUGUCCCGCCGGGUUCCGCCGCGAAUCCAUCGGCCUUCGGCAGGAGGGAGGCAGCCUCGGUCUCGUUCCCGAGCGGCACUAGGCUCCCCGCCGCUGAUCGGGCGCUGUCCGUAACGCUGGCCCGCUCGGUCGCGAGGGAGAUCUCGGACGGCGCGGGCUGGAGAAGGAUUCCCGCCGGCCUCCGCCGCGAAGCCAUCGGCCUCCGGCAGGAGGGAGGCGGCCUCGGUCUCAUUCCCGAGCGGCACCAGGCUCCCCACCGCUGACCGGGCGUUGUCCCUGACGCUGGGCUGAUCAGUCGCGAGGGAGAUCUCGGCAGACCUGGGCGGGGUCAACGGCGCGGAGAAGAAGGAGAGGCACGAGCUGGAGAAGGUUUUUUAUUUUGACUUUUUUCUGGGAAAUUUCUCAAAGUCCAAAGAUUCUUUGGCACGAAAGGCGGGAGUACAAGAGAUGUUCAUGCGUGUUAUUAGAUUAGAAAUCAUUCAGUUUAUGCUAAUUGAUAUUCUUUUAAUAACGAUAAAACCCUUCUUUUGUAGGUGAAACCUAGGCCCACUCAAACUUUAAAUUUACUAAACCCAAAAAUGUAGAAUUCAUAUAUUUUUAUUAAUUGAGAUGAAUUAUGUUAGAGUUAUACCUAUUGAGUUUGUAAGACACAAAAAGUUAGGAAAAAUAACACCACAAAUGAUAUAACUUUCGUACAACACUCACUUGAGUUUUAUAACUUUUUUAGGAUUACUCAAGUGAUAAAACUUUCGUUUCGCACUCAGUUAAAUGUCAUAAUCUUCUUCUUCUUUUUUGUGCCGUAACUUUUUAAAAUCAUUCACCCAAGUGUCAAAAAUUCGACAUGGUAUAAUAUCUGUGAUGAACGUUUUUAAAAGUAUGGUAGUUACGUAAGUUAUGACAUUCAAGUAAAUAUAUAUAUUUUUUAAAUUAUGACACUUCAAUAAUGGAAAAGAAAAGUAAUUAUGGCAGUCAAGUAAAUAUCGUACGAAAGUUAUGAUAUAUAUAGUAUUUUAUUUGUCAAAAGUUGCAUUCAGCCGAAAAGGAGUAAGGCUCCAAAAAAAUUUGCAAUGGCAGUGAAAGCUUACCAAUUAUAGGUGGUUUGAAUAGAACUUCCAAAACCGAAGAUACCAAUAUGUGCAACCAUAGUAAUGUGUCUGGUCAGCAUUUAGCAAGUUGGUAGCCAUCCGACCUUAUUUACUUAUAAUAUAUGGGGUGAAAUGGCAAUGUUCAUAUCAUCGCCAGAAGGCACGGCAUCCUUUAACCAAGGAAAAUUUUAAGAGAAACUCAACUAUCCUAUAGUCCAAAAAUUGGAAAUUACAAAAUUAUAAGUAAAUCAUUAACUAAAAAAUAUAAGUCAACUUAACUUAUUAUUAUAAAUUAUUUGUGAUUAAACAUAAAAAUAAUAAUAUGUUGAUAUGCAUCGAUGAUGAUUAAUCAACCAACGAAGUAUUCCAUUGUUUUUAAAAAAUGAUUGGUAAAUUAAUUUGAAUUACUAUCAUGAUAUUAUAUUGUAGAUAUCUAAAUCUAAAGUAAAUGCAAUCAUAGUGUAAAAUCUACGUUAAAUAUUGGUAUUUUUAUUGCAUUUUAUUCUCAAUUUGGUUUUCCUAAAAGUGGACGUGUUGUGUUCAUUUUAAGAGAGGCGUUGAUAUGGUUGCUAAUGCCAAAUGUUUAUUUUGUAUGAUGAUAUGAAUUUGUUUUGAAAAUUUUGGAGAAAUAAAGAUCUAAAAAAAGGAUAGAAAAAUCAGACAAGAAAUCGUUCUGGAGAGGUCAAUUCCUCUCCAUCAAGUAGUUUUGAACAUCAUUCAUUUAGAAAGAAAAAAAAAAAAGAUGCUCCGAACAGUGGAGAUUGCAUUCAUUGUUGCACGAAUUCAUCCUCCCAUAAUCAAAUUUAAUUCAUGAAAUUUAUUCUACUUUUAGUUUUGUGUGAAAUUUCUUUGCCUACCUCGUUCAGGGAGCUCCUGGAGAUGCCAAAGAUUAUAUUCUUUAAUCUUCUUCAACAUGUUACCGCGAACAUGCGCCUCUCCAAGUCCCCGAGCUUCCUGGCGUCCACCACCUCGCGGUCGAGCACCGUCACCCUUUUGAUAAUCUUUGCAAAUCUGAGCAAGGGUCACGGCCAUCAUUGCCGAAUGGACAAGGGCAGCUAGCGGCAAGGUCGCAGCCGGCCUCACCGGCAAGUGGCCAGGGGCUGCCACCCUGCUUGGUUCGCUCAUUGCAUACGGGCAUGCACACUCACUUACCUCGUUCCUUUCUCAACAUGGGAAGGUGGUAGUGAGGGCCGAGCUGGCUUCUUCUAAGUCCGGCGAGGAACACCGGCCAAGCACUGUCCUUCUUGGUUCUCCACCAUUUGACCUUUCUUCUUUUUUCCAAAUUUUUACUUUUUUUGGGUUUUUAAUUUUAGAAAUCUUGGAAUCAGUUUUUUCCUCUCUCUCUCUCUCUCUCUCUCUCUCUCUCUCUCUCUCUUUUUUACAUUUUUCUUAAAUUUUGCUAAUACGACAGUCAUUUCAAUGCCUCUAUCUUCAGGAAAAAAAAGUCAGGUUAUUUUUUUCCCAUUAACUGAAUUGGAAGGACUUAAUAGUGGGAUUAGGGUGCCCUAGUUUAAUAAAUUUUAAGAUUUAAUUGUUCUUUUUGAAAAUUAUUAAAUGUGAUUGCACUUUUUACUAAAUUAUUUAUAGAUGUUCAAUUUAGCGUUUAGACUAAACUUGCCAUUUUCUUAUAGUUUAAGUACCACAUUAAACAUUUAUUAAUAUUUUAUGAUUGCAUUAUAUAAAUUAAAGUUUAAAAAUGAUAUAACACAUUUGGACAAAGUUCAAAUAUCACAUUAAACAAAUUAAAAAUUUAGGGACUAUAUAUGUUAUUUUUUCCCAUUUUUUAAAUCUAAAACUCUAGAAACUUAAGCAUAGACACGUAGAUUCACAUAUAACUUUUUUUUUGAUAAUUUUCUGAAAUUUGAAAAUAAUAUCAAUUUUAACAAAAAAAAACUACUGUCGACUUUUUUAACUCCAAACAAGCAUUAAAUCAAUAAAUUUUCGCCAUUUCUUUACAAUUUCAAUUCGCGUGCCGGAUGUUAAGAGUAAUAAGAUGCAGAGGACACCACUUUCAUGGGAGAGACGACUGAUGCAUUGCCAUGUUCUUCAGCGAUAUCGUCCCAACCAUCCAUCACUAUGUCUCUCUCCUCGCAAGAUGCGUCGCCAAGAAACACCUGAAGCUCGGCAUGACCGUCCACUCUCACCUCAUCAAGACCGCACUCGCCAGCGACUCUUUCCUCGUCAACCAUCUCAUUGGCAUGUACUCCAGAUGCUCUUCCAUCCGAAGCGCCCACAAGGCUUUUGAUGAUCUUGAUACAAAGAACAGUUACUCUUGGAACACCAUCAUAUCUGCAUAUGCCCGGAUAGGCGAUUUCAAGAAAGCGCUCGUCUUGUUCGAUGAAAUGCCGCAGAGGGCUCUUGUCUCUUAUAAUUCCUUGAUUUCUGGGUUGUCCCGUCAUGGGUUUUAUGUGGAGUCUCUGAGCGUCUUCAUGCAUAUGCAAAAAGAAUAUGAUUGUCUAUCCAUGGAUGAGUUUACUUUUGUGGGACAUGGACAUGACCCAAGAGAAAAAUUUGAUCUGGUCAGGCAGCAUCCAAACGAACCAAUAAUGGCAAGGUAGAUGCUUUCCAUUGUUCCAGCAACAAUGAGAUCAGAAUCUGAAAAUAUGUACACAGAAUGCCAUUACCAGAUAGCAUCUGAGCAAUCUCCACCUACCUCACACAAAACCUCCAGGUACAACGAGAGGCUUUCGUGAUGCCCAAUUUUCUGUGGACCAUGAGUCCUUCCUGAAACUUUAUGGUAUCUUUGACUUGAGGUUCUCUAGGAAGGUAUGAAUUGUUCAUUAAUACAAGAACUAUCACCUUGCAGCUGUAGCCUUCUUUUUUUUCUCCAGCAUCUUCCGUCCAAACACUUUUUAUUCACUACCCACCACCAUCAUCAUCAUAAUCAUCAUCAUCAUCAUCCAAGAUGAGUCUUAAGUUGGGCUCAGGAACAUAUCCAGCUUCCUUCAUAUGAUACGCUAGUUUCUUGAGCACUUCAUAUAAGUCUCCUAUCCGACAGUGGAAUUGGUCCUUUGCUGGAAAUUUGUGCAUUUCAUUCUUUACCUCAAUCCAACUGCUUGCCACAUCUUUUGUCAAAUCUCUCUCCUCCAUUUGCUUCCUUACUCUGCAGGAAUCAUCCCAUCCAUUAGUUGUGGCAUAUAUGCUUGAUAACAUGACAUACCUCGCAGCAUUUCGGGGUUCCAAAUUCAAUAGAGCAUCCACAGCUUUUCGGGCAAUAACUAGAUUGCCACGGACCUUGCAUGCACCCAAAAUUGCACCCCACAUUCCAACAUGGUUUGAUUUGUUUGGGACACUCUCUAUUGACUCAAUGGCUUCCUCAAGGCUGGCAGGAAGACGCGGUCGCUUUCCCGGAGGGAAAUCUCCGCCAGGUCGAGUCAUGUCUCGUGCUUCCGCUCAGUGUCGCCGUUGAGGGCCUUGAUGGUUGGGGUCCGUUGCUGCUGCUUCUGGAAGAGAAGGAAGAAGAAGGAAAGAAUGUGAGGAGAGACAGAGAGAGAGAGCAACGGGAGAAAAAACGAAACAAAAAAAUUAAAAAAGGAGAAAGAAGUCGAAAUUUCUUAAGAGUGGGUCCCACCUAUACACACGUCAUUUGAGAAAAUAUUCCUCACCACCACUCUAGUAUGGAACAUUUUAUCCGUGACUUCCUGCCCACCACCCUCGGCUUAUCCGGCUUUCCGUCAGGAUCCUCGCUUUUUUCAAAUCCCUGUACUCAUCCGAUUCCAGAAUCUCCUCCAAUCUCUCACAUCCUCUUAUUAUUAAAUCCUCUAGCUCCUUGAAGCUUGAAGGAUCAGAAAAUUGUCGCAGAGACCCGCAGCCCCAUAUUUCAAGUUUUUUCAAUGAUUCUAGCCUACUUUGAAUCUCAACCAGACGAGGACAAUGCCUUAUCUCGAGACCCUUGAGCUCCUUGGCGUUGGUCAAGUCAGGCAACUUCUCUAGCAACGGAAAAUACUUCACCCAUAAGAAACGCAAAUUCUCCGCAACUUCCAGGCCCUAAAUCUCUUCUAGCUUAUGACAUUUUUCUAUAGAUAAUGAUUUUAUAUGCUUGAAGCUUAAUGGAUCAGGCAGCUUUUCAAGUGAUUCACAGUUAAAUAAAUAGAGACCCUCCAACGAUUCUAGCUGACCUCUAACCUCAACCAGUUUAGGACAACUUUCUAUAUGAACACUUCGGAGCUUCUUCAAGUUGGUCAGGUCAAGCAACUUUGCUUGUGACACAAGACCACUAAGACGAAGCUCUUUCAGGUUAUUCAAAUGUUCGAGGCCUUGAACCUGCACACAACAAUAGACUUGCAAUAAUGAUAACUUCUCCAAAUAUGAAACAUUUAUCACUGCAUUGUCCAUUAACCUGCCCCCAUAUAUCUUAAAGUAUGACAAAUUCUGGGGAAGCCUAGGUGGGCAUUCUAGAUUAUGUACGCAGAGUUCAAGCUUCCUGAGCUUCAAAAGGAGAUUAAAAUCUGAAGGUAGGGUGACCGGAUUAUCGUAACGCAAAUACAAGGUUUCUAGCUUUGUUAGCCUUCCGAUCCAAUUGAGGCUUGGAGCUAGAUGGGAAGGGGUUUGAUACCUUGAUUCCAAUGUCAAAACUCUCAAAUUUAAUAGAUUCGAGAGAUCUGGGCAUCUCAUCUGUAGAUUAUAUUCCAGGUAUAGAUCGAUCAUACUUUCAGGAAGCUUAGGUAUAUUAGAAACUCUCGAGCUCGAUAACCUCAAGAUUCUUAGAAAUGAUAGUCUUUCAAUCUCAUUUGGAAUUUCCCCACACAAAAUUAUACAACCAUCAACAUGGAUCGCUUCAAGCUUCUCCAACAACCCAAGGGCACCGGGUAGCUUUUCUAAGGGGGUGUGAGACAUCCUUAGUACUCUCAAAUUCUUCAUCGUCUUUAUUGAAUCAGGUAACUCUCGUAAGCUUGACCGAGAAAGAUUCAACUCAAUGAGAGACCCAAAAUUUCCAAAUGGAAGUUCACUAAUACUUGUUUCUGACAAGUCAAGAUACAAUAGUGAUGUUGAGCAACUAGCUAAAUUGCAUUCACUCAGUAAUUUACAGUAAGUUGCACCGAGGGUUUCCAAUUUCUCAAUUCCUUUCCAUUCAGGAAUAUUUGUAAUAGAUGUCCAACCAACACGAAGUUCUGUCAAGGCUUUAAGUUCCUCCAUCUCGUCUGGCAAUGUCUGAAGUUUCCCACAACCUUCCAAGUUUAAUAACACUAAAUGCUUUAACUUACCAAUAGAUUUAUCAACUUGAACUAGUUUGUAGCACUCUUGAAGAAUCAAUUGCUCUAAAUUUUCAUGAGCAGAAAAGUCAGGAGUUCUACGCAAGUUACAUUUAGUCAAAUUUAGAACCUUCAACUUCUUUGCCAUCUGUAAUGAAGAGAAGAGGUUAAUUUGGAUCAUUUUGAGAUACAAGACAACAAAGUCAAUAUAGCAAAUUCAUAUUGAAAUAAUACCGUACCUUGAGGUGGUUCCAUCCCUCCCACUCAUCUGUAAUUUUACUCCUUGAUAGAUCAAGAAUCACUAGCUUCACGAGGGAAAAUGCGGUGAAUUGGAAAAAGAUGGGAAACUCAUGCCAUGAGAUAUAUUUCAAAUUUUGAAGGAUGGGUAGAUUCCUCUGGAACCAGUUGGUUGAAGGAAAAUACUGAAUGAAUUUAGACCAUGAGAGCCAUCUCAAAUUCGGAAGGGUGGGUAGAUUCCUUCCAAACCAGUUGGUAAAAGAAAAAUGUUGAACGUUGUUCAUAUCCAAGUCCCCACACUCCACUUGAAGAAACCUUAAAUUUGGUAGACUUGCAAAUUCAUUCUUUAAAAAGCAUUGAGAUUGAUGAUCAAAUGUGAGACAUAUUGCUUCAACAUUUUUUGUUCUCUGCCAAAGCAAAAAAGGGAAACAUAAGCUGGUUAUCAUAUAAUCACUAGUUGAAGGCAUUCAAGUUGAACGCGCUCAAGGACUUAAGGAAUGUACAUCUUAUUCAUAAUUGAAAUUAAUUGAUAAUAUAAUUUAUAGAUGAGCAUGUGAUCAUAGUAACCACACAAGUAACGACUUGGUUUAGAUAGAAGCAAAUAAGCCAAAUCAACGUGUAUAACUUGUCUCUUUGGAUAGGAAUAACAUUGCAAACACUUUACCUCCUUUAUUUGAAGAACAACAAUUGCUUCCUCAUGAUUCCACACCCGACUCUGCUUCUCUGGUUUUAAAUUAGCUCUUUCACGAACGAUGUCUCGUCCAAGGUCUCUUAGUUGAUCAUGCACCCACAGUCGGUUACCUUCUGCAAUCUUUAUUAAGGACCUCUGUUCAAGGACUUCAAGAGAAUAUUCAGGGGAAAACUUACAGCUGUCCCACAUGUGAAUCACAAUUCUCACAUCAUACCCAACAAAGAAGCAACAAAUAUCGAGAAAUAUUUCCUUCUCUUAAGAUUCUAAUGCCUCGAAACUGAUGUUUAACUUACUUUUAACAUUUCCAUCUGGAAUAGUUUCUAGCUUCUUCAACGUGAUCUCCCAAAUUCUCCUCUCUUUUCCAUUUAAAAGUGAACCUAUAGUUUUAAGAGCCAAAGGAAGACCAUCGCAGAUUUUUAGUGCUUUUUUGGAGAGGGGAACGUAUUCUACUGGAGGAUUGUCUCUUCUAAAGGCAUGUCUGCUAAAUAGUUUAAGAGAAUGUUUAAAAUCCAUUUUGAUAAGUUCAUGCUGAAAAUCAACACCUUUGAGAAGUUCCUUGUCUCUUGUGGUAAUAAUAACCUUACUUCCUCUGCCGAACCGGCAUUCAUCCACCCCCACAAGAGCAUCCAGCUGAGUCUUUUGGUCGACAUCAUCAAGUACAAGUAAGACCGUUUUAGAGAACAACCUCUCCUUGAUCUCAGUAAUUCCUUCAUUACUAUUAGUGAUGGACAGGCAACUUGUUCGUAGGACUUUAGAGAUGAGCUGAUCUUGCAAAGUCUCAAUUUUUGUAUCUCGAACAUUUGACAGGAAGCAACAGUUAUAAAAAUCACCCGAUAGUUUAUUAUAGAUGAUUGUGGCAAUAGUCGUCUUUCCGACACCACCCAUACCAUGUAUACCAAUAAUCUGUGUUUUAGUGGUCUGUUCACCUAUCACUUCCAUGAACUUGUCCACUUGAUCGUCCAAUUCAACCAAGCAAUUAGACAUUGCCAAGGAGUUCUUUUUCAACUUGAUCAAAAGCAUCUAAACAACUUCUUUUGUGAACUCGCCUUUGCCUUUGGCAGUAUUGAAGGCAAUAGAACCAAACUAUUAAAUCAAGAUGGAUAGAAUAAUAUCUAAGAUACAAACAAACCAUGCACAAUAAUAAAUUCAAGUACCUUUGCUUGAGUUUCCAUCCCUUUAAUGAUCCAACCUUGUUGAGAGCUGCCUUCCAGUUUUGAAUAGUCUCAUCAGUAUACAACUUCUUAGUUAUGUGUGACCGAAUGGCCUUGCCGUAACUUGCAAUUUGGUCACGAACCUCAGAUGGUUUAACGUCAUAGAAAAUCGGCAUGAUCUCUUGUCCCUACUUUUCCUUGCACUCCACCAUUUGGACCAACUCCAUCAGGCACCUUUCACUCUCAGCAUAUCUUUCAGAAAAGAUAGGAAUUGAGAUUUUUGACUGCUUAAUCGCUUGGAGAAGCUCCGGGCCAAUCUCUUUCCCAACAUGAAGCUGUUCAUCAUCUCUAAAUGCUCGUAUUCCAACAUCCAUGAGGCUGUGGUAAAGGUAAUCAGCGAUGUCGUUGCGAGUAUUAGAUCCUCUAAAACUCAAGAAUACUUCAUAAUAAGGUUCCACUGGCUUCUCCAUUUCUGGAAUUUUCAGAGGACUUGCAACGUCUUGAUAUCCCACCUGAAAUAUAUUUACUAUGAAAGUGGAGUGAUGAUUAUCAUGAUUUCUCUCAGCCACUAUUCUGUUUUAAGUCAUUCUAGAAAAGGACCUCGAUGACAAAUGCAUGAGCUCCUUCUAGGGCCUUGCACUAGACACCAAAAUAUGUCCAAAUAUUUUAUUAACAAUACGGUAGAGCAGUGGACCCAUCUCGAUUCUAAAGGAAGAACUUUCCAAAGUAUCGCGGAAAUUAUGAAUUUUAGUUCACACUCGAAAUUGAUUUGAAAAAAAAAAAAGAAUAUUUCGCGCAAAGAUAAAUCACUGUCAACCUAUUUUUGUCUUGAACUCUUUCUUUAGGUGAUAAAAUUUCUCUUGAAAGAUGACGUUGAAUGUCCUUUGCACAUAAGCACCUAAAGUUGCUUGUAGCUUGAAUAAAUUUGUCAUUAUCUAAUAAGAAAUUAUAAUAAAACCUUCCUCUAUUAGUUUAACCAAAUUAGAUUGGACAAAGACAUUCCACAACACUAAAUUACUAGCUCCCUCGACCUUUACAGAUGCGGGCAAAGAGUUCAUUCCCCUACGACAAUCUCAUUAGAAAAAUGAAAUCAAGAAAUUACACUAAAGCAAAUGCAACUCUCACCAUCGGACUAGUUUGUAAAGAGCAUAAACCGAUCCCUAAUUACAGCCAUCUCAUAGGUUAUAAAAAAAAAAAAAAAACAGAUACACGAUCAUGGGCGAGCAUCAGUUAAGCUUGAAGCUAUUAUCCACAUUUGCCAGAAAGUACCAGCAUAUCAGAAAAAAUGAUUUAAUUACUAAUAAAUUAUGGAGCUAAUAAGAUUUCAACAGAAAAUAGAAGCAUGAAUGGUAUAUAACCGUUUUUCCAGAAAAUAAGUUGGAACACACAUGAGUGUAGGGAUGAGAGCUGCAUUUUACGGAAGCAGAGAGUACCGGUUCACCACAAAGUGCAACAUUGUAGUGUAUUCAAUUGUCUUUACUGUUAAAUACAGAGUUGAGGGUACCAAUUUUCUGCCUAGGAGCAUUCUUACUGCUAAUCACAUGACAAUAAUGUACGAAUUUGUCAUAUCAAAGUCUCUUAAAGAUACCACUAUCUCUGUUUGAGCAAAAAAAGAAUAAAGUCCAACUCGUAAUUACCAUAAUUAGUCGUAUCGACAAACCCAGUCAAAUUAAUUUAGCUUUUAGCCCUGGCCCAGUUCCUAAAGAGGUAAAUCCGAUUCCUAAUUGCAGAUGAUGGAUUUAUGAGAUGGGCUUAAGGCCCAUCCGCUCAAGUUGGGCCAAAAAAGGCCCGGCCCACGGGAAUAGGGCCCGUGGAUGGGGAAAGGUAUAAAAGGGAGGAGAGAGAGAGAGAAGACACCCUUUUGGCACAAUUCCAACGUACAUUCUCUCCCACUCUCCCUCCAAAAAGAAGAAAAAUGCUUACGGCGAUACCGUCUUCCUUUCAAAGCGAAUUGACAUCAUCGGAUCAGAAUUUCUUCCUCGAUCUUCAGCAUUGGUGUUUAAUCUGUGGCUAACAAGGUACACUCGAAUCCGUGGUGUGCUUUACGAUCGGUGAUACGUGUUAUUCCCGGGCUUCGUCUUCCGCAUUAAUUUAGGGGUUCGAUUUAGUGUCGAAUCCGGUUUUCGGGGAUCCGUUAUUCCCAACAUUGGUAUCAGAGCCCUAGUUCGCAUUUUCCCGAUCAAUUUGAUGUUUUUUGAUUGAUUUUUCGCGAAAAAUUUUUGGCCGUACGGAUUGGGGCGAGAAAUCCCGACACCCGAGAGCUUUUUGGCCAUUUUUCCGAGUUUUCGUAAGUCGAAAUCGUUUUCUGAAUACAUGGGGAGAAAGGCGACGUCGAGACGAGUCCGGCGACAUGUCGCACGCCGCCGUACGACACCGCACGCGCCCACACGCGCGGCCAGAAGCCUCUGCGCGUGGGCGCGAUGCGCCACACGCGCCGGUGACGAACCGGUACAUGCGCGCCGGCGACCGGGCGAACCGGCAUGCGCCAGUCCGCGAACCGACGUGUGCUGACGUCACGCGAUGACGUCAUCAUGACGUCAUCCAACGGUCGGUAAUCGCUCGGAUGACGUCACUGAUGACGUCAUCGCCGACGACGUUUCGCCGGGUGGUCACCGGCCGGCGACCCGACUCGACGGCGACCCAACCCGACCCGAUCAGCCUGGCGCAUGCUGCGCAUGUGUGGCUGACGUCAGCACGUUCACGCGCGAGCGCACGCGCGCGGCACAUGCGGUCGGUUCGUCCGACCGACCCGACCGGUCCGUCCGGUCCGACCGGGCUUCCGACCCGCGCGCCCGUUGACCCGACCCGUUGACCAUUGACCGACCGUUGACCCGUUGACUGAUGACCGUUGACCGACCGUUGACCAUUGACUUUGACCAUUGACCGUUAACCAAAAAAAAAGAAAAAAAAAAGAGGAAGUUGUUUCUUUUUCAGUCAUGCCUAUGUGGGUUAUAAGUAAUCCAUUUUUAAUUCUGCAUUUGUUGCAUGAAUUUUGGAAAAUUAUGUAUUUUCCCUUUUAUUUAUUAUGGAUUAUAAGUGAUCCAUUUUUAGUUAUGCAUUUGUUGCAGGAACUAUGAUGCGUUAUGCACGGAUACCUGCAAUCCCGAGAAUGGACGAGGGACAUGCAAGACUGAAAAGGCUGAUGUUAGAUUUAGCUAAAUAUCGGUGGCAUAACGGUGAUUUAGUAUCACAUGUGGUCAAGGUCAAUCAGAUGAUACAAGAAAUCAUCAGUAAUGAUUAUCUUAUGCCGGAUUUUGAGAUGGUGCCGGCUUUGAUUAACACUUUUCCACCUGAAUGGCAAGCAGUGUUGGAUCGGCUAUGAGAGGUCAACGUGGUCCCGGGUUAUAGAAGGCUAGUAGAAGCUUUUGUAAGAGAGUACUAUAGGAUUGAGUUGGCCAAAACUUCAACCCUUAGAUUGAGCGCCACAUGGCGUAGAGUAAAUGCGCCUUGGUGGUGACAUGAAUGCUCUCCAAAAGUUUUUCCAUGGUUGGCAAAUGUGCCUUCAGUUUUCUCAGAUGUUUUGACUGAUAGAUUAGAAGGGACAUUCCCUAUUUAUUUCUUUGAUUAAUUAUGUAAUGUUUACUAUCUGAUUGUUGUUGAUGUAGCAACCGAUAUGUUAGUUGUAUCAUGUGAAAGCAUUGUUAUUUUAUUGGAUGUUAAGAUUUUAUUUGCUUUCUGCUAUUGCUGGUUGCUGUGGGUAGUAAUAGAAGUUUUUGUAACUUCAUAGAAUUUAUUUGCAUAAGACAAUUAUAUUAAUAAUAAUUUUGAGUUAGGAUUUUUGGAGGAUGAUUGGAAACAUAGUGACCUUUUGAUUCUGAAGCCUUACUUGAAAUUAUUCAUUAAUAUGAUGGGUCUAUGCAAAUAGGGAUGUAUAAAUGAUAGGCAUUAAUUAUUCGUGCAUAUAUGUCUGAUGUGUUUAGAUCGAUGGUUUCAGCAACUAAGAAUGUAAUUGCUGAUAUGAACGGUAACAAUUGUGAAAUAUUGAAUAAGAAGAUUCAAUAUAUGCUGGAAAAGCAAGAAGCACUAGAAGCUCUUGACCAUGUUAUGGAAGACCUUAAGGAUGCCAUGCGCCACCUUGAGCUAGUAGAGGACCGCCUAACGGUAUUUGAGCCGAAAAUAGACAUUUGCUAUGCUGGUUCUAGCUCAGAAAGGGCUUUGUGCUCUAAGCGCAAGCGUAUUGAUUCGUUCAAUAUGUGGGAAUGCAAAGGAUCAAGUCCUUAUUGCAAGAAAUCAAGAGUUAACCAACACAAGAGAGGAAAACUUUCAAGGGUGAGAUGUUACAAUUGUGACAAGAGAGGUCACUAUGCUCGCGACUGUCGUGAGCUAAAGAAAGUCAACACCUCUUGUACAUUUGAGAACUUUGCUUAUGUAUCAAGUUCAAUAUUAUUGGCUGAAUCCAAUCCUUUGUGGACUGAAGAUUUAGAAGCGACAGACCAUAGAGGGAAGGAUAGAGAAUCCUUCGUGGAAUUCCGACGAGUAUCAACUGGAACUGAGUGGAUUCAUAUGGGAAACAACUCUAGAGCUGAUGUAAAGGAAUUGGCACUGACUGAUUAAACAUGAGUGGUGGACGCACCUUGAUGUUCUAUAUGCUUUAGAGAUUCGUCGAAAUUUUGUGUCUGUUUUUGAUAUUGGUUAAGCUUGGUUUUAGUAUGAACUUCCAUAAUAAAGGUGUAGAUUUGUAUUUGGAUACAAACUACUAUGAUUGUGGUCACUUACGGAAUGGUUUUAUUGUACUAAAUGUUAAUUGUGAUGAUGUCAAUAUGUUAUUCCAUUGUUUCACGUCUUCUACCUUAUAUGAUAAUGAUGUGAAUAUGGUGGCAUGCUAGACUUGGUCAUAUGGGCCACAACAACAUAUGAAUAGACUAGCCAAAGAGGGCUUGUUGGGCAAUAUUGAAAAAGUCGAUUUGUCCAUGAGUGAGCAUUGCCUAGUAGGGAAAAUAACAAGGAAACCAUUUGGAAAAGGUAAAAGAGCUGAAUUUCCUCUGCAUUUAAUCUAUUUGGGCGUCUGUGGUUCAAUGAAUGUGAAAGGAAGGCAAUGGUUUGUUUAUUUCAUCACUUUUUUUAUAGAUGAUUAUACACGAGUCGGAUAUGUCUAUUUGAUUUCUCAUAAAUCUGAAGCAUAAGUUGUUUCAAAAGGUUUAUGAACCUGGCAGAAAAUCAAUUAGACAAGAAAAUAAAAGGUAUUUAGAUCCGAUCGAGGUUGAGAAUAUUUAUCUGAUAAGUUCAGAAAAUUAUGUGAUGAAAAAGGAAUAGAAAGAUAGUUGUCUAUUCCAUAUACUCCUCAACAAAAUGGUGUUGCAGAGAGAAUAAAUAGAACCUUACUGGAAUGGUUAGGUCCAAGAUGGCGCAUGCUAACUUACUUAUCACCUUUUGGAGUGAUGUGUUGUUAACUGCUACUUAUAUACUUAACCGGGUGCCUUCCAAAUCAGUUAUUUCCACUUCAUAUGAGUUAUGGACAGUUAGAAAACCGGACUUAAGUUUUCUUAAGCCAUGGGGUUGUGCUGCCUAUAUUCAUGAGUCCUCUCACAAGUUUGAGAAAUUGGGUCCCAAAGAAAAUAAGAAUAUUUUCAUGAGAUACAGCGAACACUCAAAAUGGUAUGUGCUCAUAGGUGAGCAGGAAAGUGAGAGUAUAACUGAAUUUGAAUCACGGGAUGUCACAUCUUUAGUGGAUGAAUUUCCUAAGAGGGGCGAAAUAAGGGAAAAUAACUCCCUAUUUGAAACCUUGGAUCAAGAUAAUGAUGUCAAUGGAGUUUGUCCAAGUGGGAGUAAUAUGAGAUGUGAUGAAUUGAAUUCAACUCAUUCUCAAUUGCAACCACCUAAUGUGACGACAUCAUCAUUACCUAAUCCAAGUGGGAGCAUGAUGGGGAAUGAUAUGCUAAGUGUACAAUCUCCCAUACGGUGAACAAGUCGCCAAAAUAUUCCCCGUCGAUGUUUUGACAUUGAAAGGGAAAUUUUUAUGGUUGCUCCACAAGAUGAGGAUGAGCCAAGAAAUAUUAAUGAGGCUCUAAAUUGCCCUAAUAAGGAAAAAUGGAUUCAUGCAAUGAAAGAGGAAAUGGAGUCAAUGAAAUCAAACCAAGUCUGGGAACUAGUUGAUUUUCCAAAAGGACACAAAGUUAUUGGGAACAAGUGGGUUCUCAAAAUAAAGCGAAAGGCUGAUAGCUCGAUAGAAAGGCAUAAGGCUCGCCUUGGUAUAAUCAACAGGAAGGAAUUGAUUAUGAAGAUACAUUUUCUCCUGUAGUAAGAUUUACCUCGAUUCGCAUUAUUCUGGCAAUAGUGGCUAAUCUGGAUCUUGAGUUACAUCAAAUGGAUGUAAAGACUACUUUCUUCAAUGGAGAAUUAGAGGAAUGAACAUAUAUAGAACAACCUGCUGGUUUCAUAGUGAAAUGCCAAGAAGAAAAGGUAUGUCGACUUUGGGGGUCGAUAUAUGGCCUUAAGCAGUCGUCAAGACAAUGGUAUAUACGUUUUCAUAAUGCCAUAAUGGCAUAUGACUUUACAAUGAUAUAUGAGGAUCAUUGUGUAUAUAUCAAAAUAUCCAAUGAUCAAUUUGUGAUCAUAUCAUUAUAUGUUGAUGAUAUACUAAUUGCCGGAAGUAAUAUGGAGUUUGUCAAUACUGUCAAAAGUUGGUUGUCUUCCAACUUUGAGAUGAAAGACAUGGGUAAUGUUGCAUACAUUCUUGGAGUUAAGAUUUCAAGAUUAUAAACCCAUAGACAUUCCUAUUGCAAAAGGUGAAUGAUUGAGCCAUAGACUGUGUCAAAGGACUCCACAAGAGAAGGAACAAAUAAAACAUGUUCCUUAUGCUAGUGCUGUUGGAAGCUUGAUGUACAUUAUGAUGUGUACAAGACCUAACAUAUGUUUUGCAGUUUGAAUGGUGAACAGAUACCAAUCCAAUCCAGAUCAAGCACAUUGGAAAGCCGUUAAAAGAAUACUAAGGUAUCUAAAGGGAACUGCUGAUUAUAUGCUGAGUUAUAAAAGAAAGGAUCUGCAACUCAAAGGCUAUUAUGAUGCUGAUUGGGGGAGGAGAUUUAAAUGAAAGAAAAUCUAUCUCUGGGUUUGUUUUCUUAUCGAAUAAUGGCACCAUAUGUUGGAGCAGUAAGAAACAAAAGUGUAUAGCCUUGUCCACGAUAGAAGUUGAGUUCGUGGUAUUAUCAGCAGUAGUAUAAGAAGAUGUUUGGCUUAAGAGAUUUUUGGAUCAUUUAGGUGUUAUUGGAAGUGCUGCAGAUUCAUUGUUGGUUAACUGUGAUAGCCAAGCAGCAAAAGCGUACACUAAAGAUUCAAAAUAUCAUGGCAAGACCGGACACAUAGAUACCAAGUAUAAUUUUGUAAAGGAUAUGGUUGUACGAAAGGAUGUGAACUUAGAGUACAUACUAUGCAUAGAAUGGUAGCAUAUCCUAUGAUAAGGCCAAUACCUAGUGAUGUGUUUUGUGGCCAUAUGAAAUCUCUAGGAUUGCGUAGAGGUUAAUGUACUGAAUAUUGUAAUUUCCUUAAGUGUUCACAAUUUGAUGAAUUUGUGUUUUCAUCAUUAAUGCCUAUGAAUCUUUGUUUGAUCUCUAUGCAUCUUAAUGCUUAGUGUAUUACUUUAAAUUGAGAGGUAUGUCGGACAGAUAUAAGAUUAGCCCACUCACACGGGUAAUCGCCUCUAUUUACUGUGUGAUAAAUAGAGAUGAGACUAUUUUUAAGCUUAUUAUCUAUGUGAUAAUCGAGAGCUCAAGCUUAAAACAUGUAUGUCGCAUUAACUAGGUGUUAAGAUGAGGAUAUAAUACUUACUAUGUCCGAAAGUAAAAUAUGAAUACCCCCAUAUUUUACUUUAUCUGUCUAAGAUGCCAGAUGUGAGUUCUGAUGAAUUUUGUGAAUGAGUAGAUACGUGAACUCAAGUUAGACAUUGGGUAUGUCUGAACUAUCAUAUAUACGGUAUAAAAGGUGUAGACAUACACUCCAUGGGAAAUGAGUUAAUACUGUAAUACGUAUUUCAUACUACGUAUGCAUGAGACGACCAAUAAGAGUGACAAAAGUUUGAUCUCAACUUUUAUGUCGUGUAAGACUCUUGAGGAAGAGAGUUCCUCAAUUUUUUUGUCCCCUCAUGACUCUUACUUAUUCUCGAGAUUUCUAUUUAGUGUUUGGUAUCUUAGGAUGUUGCCAAUGGUCAUGAGUGAUUCGAUCUAAUGGGGCAUUUCUAGAAAAGCAAGCUGAAAUGAAAUUGAGAGUUUGAAGGAAAGAGGAAGAUCAAAUUUGGAGAAUCACAUUGUAGUUUUGUAUUCACCGGUUAACCAAUUAUGACUGUCUUUGUGAUAAUCAUAAUUGUGAAUACAAUAUAUAUAUAUCAUUGUUUAAAAGAGAUCAAGAGAGAUAUAAAUGUGAUCGAUCGAUCUAGGGUACUGCAUAUUAAAUCUACUCAGGAUGUGAUGCCCAUUAUGAGCUGCUAUAUAUUCCUAACAGAUGUAUGGCAACGAGCUCUCAAAGUAUGCUGGUCGCACGGAUUAUUCAUCGGUAUGAAUGUUGAAGAGAAGAAAAGAGGAUUUUGUUCGGCCCACCAUGUUAAGUGAGAGUCUAUGAUGGAUUUUUUUCUGAUGGGGUUGAGUAGGGCCUGUCCGCCCAUGUUGGUUUUGGACCACCACGUGCGAGUGGGAGAUAAUGGAUUUAUGAGAUGGGCUUAAGGCCCAUCCGCUCAAGUUGGGCCCAAAAAGGCCCGGCCCACGGGAAUAGGGCCCGUGGAUGGGGAAAGGUAUAAAAGGGAGGAGAGAGAGAGAGAAGACACCCUUUUGGCACAAUUCCAACGUACGUUCUCUCCCACUCUCCCUCCAAAAAGAAGAAAAACGCUUAUGGCGAUACUGUCUUCCUUUCAAGGCGAAUUGACAUCAUCGGAUCAGAAUUUCUUCCUUGAUCUUCAGCAUUGGUGUUUAAUCUGUGGCUAACAAGGUACGCUUGAAUCCGUGGUGUGCUUUACGAUCGGUGAUAUGUGUUAUUCCCGGGCUUCGUCUUCCGCAUUGAUUUAGGGGUUCGAUUUAGUGUCGAAUCCGGUUUUCGGGGAUCCGUUAUUCCCAACAGUAGAAAUCUGUGAGAUCUAUCGACAAACUAAUGCAUAAAAGUGGCAUUGCGUUUCAGGAUCUGAGGCCUGACAGUUGCAUAGAUGGAAGUGGAUGAGCACUGAGCAGGGUUUUAGCAUGCGACUCAAGUUAGAGGCUAAAGCUAUUAGUGUCAGACGCAACUGGCAGUGAUCAAUCAUGGAGUCAACUGAGGAAAGAACUGAUGCUGAUCCGAGAGUCCCUCUCUUGUUUCCAUCAAAUUCUGCACCUAGUUGCAUUACAGAACAGACCCAAUUCAAUAAAAAGAAGGCAAUAAAUGAGAGGAAAUUGCCGGAGAAGGAGGAGGUGAAGAUGAAGAGUCAGGAUCAAAUGCUGAGAAGCAGCCAAAGAUCCCAAGAAAAAGCAUUCUUUGACAGACCUCAUUCGAUUCAGCUUUCUCAAAGGCCCAAAACACUUACGAAAAUAUUAGGUGUUUGGUAAGUAUUUUUAGAAGUCCCUUAGCUAAACGUCAGCAGCUAUGGGAAUGCUGAAAGCUCAAUACAGGUCGGACCUACUUUUGAGCUUUCAGCAUUUCAGACCUACUUUAUACUAAUCAUCAGCAUCACUGUUCACUCUCUUCCCGUUCAUCUUAAUCUCCACCGAUUUACCACCUAAGAGUUGGGUCUUCUUCGGCGACCACCGCCUAAGGUUGCGCUAUCCGCGACUCAAGCGACGCCGCCUGAGUGUGCGACCUCAGGCCACCAGAUCUGGCAGUCCAGAGGCCAGAUCAAGCCUCCGCGACCUCAGGCCGCCGGAUAUGGCCGUCCGGAGGCCAGAUCUCAUCAUCCGGCGACCAGAUCUGGCGGUUCGGAGGCCAAAUUUGGCCGUCCGGCGGCGAGAUCUGGCCGUCCGGCGGUUAGCUGGCGGCGGCCAACGGCCAACCUACACCAAAUUAAGUUUUUAGAUUAAAAAAUUAAAAAAAAAACCUUUAUAAAUAUGGAUUUUACAAAAUGAUAUUUAUGCUAAAACUAUUUUCUAACGCUAUUUGGCCCGCCGUGCCUCAAAACGGGAGUCGGCUUUACCGUCCCUCUCGCGGUCUCGGAAGGUUGCGGACUGAGUGGUGCCGAGGACAAUCAGGACUUUCUUCUGCUCGCAGAGGCAGGAGGGAGAGUAACAGCAGGCAAAUAAUCGCAUACUCCUAUGACUAUCUCGUUAGAAAAAUGAAAUCAAGAAAUUACUCCACAGCUAAUUCAACUAGGCUAUAAACAAACAGAUACAGGGUAAGGGGGGAGCAUUAGUUAGGCAUGAGGCUAUUAUUCACAUCUCAGACAAUAUCAGCAUAUCAGAAAAAGAGGAGCGGAUUGCCAAUCACUUGUGGAGUUGAUAAAAAUUCAACAGAAAAAAGAAGGGUGAAUGCUAUAACUAUUUUUCCAGCAAAAUAAGUUUGAACACACAGGCGUACAGGAACGAGAGCUGCAUUUUACAGAACCUGAGAGUUCCAGUUCACCACAGAGUGCAACAUUAUAGUCUAUUCAGUCUGCCUCUUCUGUUAUAUACAGAGUUGAAGGUAUCAAUUUUCUGUCUAGGAGUGUUCUUUCUCACUGCUUAUUUACCAGACAAUAAUGUACUAAUUUGUCUACAUUGUUUAACAAAUGAAAUCAACCGAUCCUAAUUCUAACUAAUUCAGCUGAUGCAUAGGAAUGAAAUUGAGUUUCAAGAUCUGAGGCCUGACUGUUGCAUAGAUGGAAGCAGAUGAGCAGGGUUUACACGUGACUGGGGUUAGGCUAAAACUAUUGAUGUUGGAUACAAAUUGCAGUGAUCGAUCAUGGAGUCAACUAUGGAAAGAACUAAUACUGAUACGAGAGUCCCUCUAUUGUUUUUUCAUCAAAUUAAUGAAAAAAGGGCAAUGAAUGAGAGGAGAUUACCAAAGAUGGAGGAGUGAAGAUGAAGAGUCCGGAUCAAACGCUAAGAAGCAGAUAAAGAUCCCCCAGAUCAAUCAUUCUUGGGUUUGAGCUCCGCUGAAGAAAGACUUUUCGCAAGAUGGCUCGCUCGCCCUCUCGUGCAAUGCUCUUCUAGGAAGGUGAGGACUUGCGAGUUGCAGGUAUACUUAAAGCCAGCCGUUGACUUUUGAUGUGAUAGAGAUGAAGGCUGGCCGUUGACUUGCCAAAGAUUCGUUGGCGCAAACCACUAGAGUUCAAAUAGACGAGAUUUUAAUGCAUGUUAUUAGUUUGGAAAUCAUAUAAUUAUAUUGAUUGAUAUUCUUUUAAUGACGAUGAAAUCAUUCUUUAGUUGUAGGUGAAACCCUAGGCCCAUUUAAAUUCAACAUAAAUUGAAUCUACAAUUGUAGAAUCCACACUUGUAAGUCUUUGAGAUAAUUUAUAUUAUUUAUAGUAAACUUAUAAGACUGGAGUUAGGUUUUUAUGCUUCGUUUGUUUCGUGAAAAAAUGAAUAAUUUCAAAAUAAUUUAUUAAAUAUGAUUACUUGUAUCACAUGAAAUAAUUAGCUAAUAAAAAAUAUUUUUAUUGUAGACAGCAAUUUAUGUUUAAAUAAUUUCAUGGAUGAUGAAAAUAACUUUUGCUUAUUCAUUUUUGUAAGCGAUACAAGUAAUCUUUCUAGAAAAAUCCUUUGCAAAUUAUCUACCUUCUGCAAAACAUACAUACCUUUGAACUCUAAAAGCUAUAUCAUCUAGAAAUUUAUAAAGCUCCGAAAAAGUUACAAUAUAAGUGGAAGGUUAUCGAUAAUCAUUUUUUAAUCGGCUAUAGAAUCUCAUUACGUUCAUUAUAAAAUAAAGUACACCCUGGAUCUCCCCUCAAAGCAGAGAAAUACAACGAUCUUCCAAAAGAAGUACUGAAAAUCCUAAUUCUAAUCAAGUCUAAAUUGGAAAAUUACGUGAAAAACAUAAACCUUACUCAAUAACCCUUUGGGAAGAUAUGCAUUGCACAUCAUGCACGGCACACGGUGCACGUAGAGCACAUGUACGGCACAUGUAAGACACAUGAAAAUUUCAACGAUUGCCGAGGAAAAAUGUGUCGAGUUGCAUAGGGUUUAAGGCUCAAAUGGGCUAAAUUUAAGAAUUCAAGGAUUUAAAGAGUUCAAUUCGAAUGAAAUUCAUAAAAUCGCCUCGGUUUAAAAUUAAUACAUUGAAAUUAUUGCAGACCAAAUGCUAGGAAGCGGAUAAAGAUGCCAAAACCGAAGAAAGACUUUUAUUCAAGAGUCUACUCACCCUCACGUGCCAUGCACUUGUAGGAAGGUAAGGACUUGCUACUCAUCCCAGACGCAUUACAAUUUUACAUACAUUGAACCUGAAAACAUAGAAUUCAUACAUAUUAUGCACUUGAGAUGGAUUAUGUUAGACUUAUUCCCAAUAAAUUCAUAGACAAGAAUUAGGUUUUAAUUUCAAAGGCUGCAUUUGGACACGAAGGAAUAAAGCACCAAAAAAUUUACAACGAGUCUUCAAAAAUAGCUACAGUUGAAAUAUUCCAGAUGAUAUAUUUAUGGUUUUGUCCCAAUUUAUUUCUCAUAUGCAGGUAACGGAAACACUUUCAAAAUAGACAUCUCUCCAACCUAUUCAGAAGCCAUUUGAGUUUCUAAUAAAUCAACGUUUCCCUCAGCAUGGAGAGCAGAGAAAGCGUAAGUUCUAGACACAAGGUUUGCGGAACACAUGACCUCUAUGAUCUCUCGCCAAAGCGGCUAUGGAGGCACGAGAGUCUUGCAUCAAUGUUCACUUGAAGUAAGGGGGGAGGAGUCCAUUUUGGAGGGUCGUCGUUCACAACUCGUGACUACGAGCAACGUUCCAUCGCAACUCAUGGUAGAUGUCCUGUAUAUGUCGAAUUACUGAAGGAAGAUCCAUUUGGGAACGAGCUUCCAGAAUUUUGUUUCGACGCUCCGAUAAACCCACUAAACUAUCUCGACCAUAUUGCGAAAAUCUUCGCAAUAAAUGUCAGGUGGAAGGCCGAAAGCGAGGAGGCGCAGAGAUCACAUAGCACACAUGUAAAAAACAGAACCGCAAAAGAAGUUGAUAUGUCCAAGCCCCAGCCACCUCGACUCCAUACAAUUCAGGUCAUCCACUCUUCCCCUUUUGUCGGCAAAUUUGACUGAUCAAUGUUCUUCGAAGUAAAAAAGCAGUUUCGUUCUAACUGGAUCUUAGGGAGAAAUAUGACCUUUACCUAUGUAUGGAAUAAAUACGACAUCUUGGCCAUGGAAUGUUGACAAGACAUCGAAUGCAUUUUGUGCAGAUCUCAACAACCGAGAGCGGAUUCUUAUGAAGACUGUACUUCUGAUUAACUUGGAGGUCAAGGACAACCAUGAGGAGGCAGCAACUGGAGCUCAGCGUGCUUUAGAUCUUUGUCGAGAGGUCUUUCACUGGCUGUGCUUUAUGUAUUAAUGAUAGUAUGCUUGAUUUCUGUAUGCUGAGAAAUUGCUUAUUGUUUCUAAUUUUCAGAGGCAGAACAGGCGGAAAUUUUUAUUCAGCAUUUCCUUCUAUUGAUGACCGUGGUUAGGGCAAGACUAUUGUUCUGAAAGCUUUAUGAUCCAUGUCGUUGUUCUGUUAGUAUUUUGUCUGCAAAUUUAUAUGUCGACGAACUGAACUUUGGGUUUCUGUUUGUCCAUCUACUUGCACAAGUGGUAAUAGACUUAAAUACAUUACCAGAUUUCUUCCAACGCUGUUACUGUUUGCUUUGCACGAAGCCUUCCCUAGAAAUCUUUCCUUUCUAAGCCCAGCGAGCCCUAUUUAAUCCAUUACACAGCUAAUCAUUUCAUCAUACCCUAUCCUGAAUUUGAUCUCUUCUUAUGUCAGGAAGACUGAAUCAGGCUCUCCCAUGUUUUUACGCCUUCGCUUGAUCUUGGUAUUCCAUGCCAAUUGUUGGGUUUGAUGAACACUUUCCUUGACUACUCGUUAGUGGUAGGUCAUUUUGCAACAAUAUCUUUAUCUGCAUAAUGAGAAUUGUCAUUCUCACGCUUUGAAUUGAAUUUGCUACAGAAGCCUAUUCUUUGCUGAGCCUGUCAUACUAAUGCGCUGCAUACAUCCACUUUCAGAUUAACACUGCAUCGAUGUGGAAAAGAAAUUCUGAGUCGAACCCUUAUCCACUCACUUUAUCUCUGGAAUGUCGACGCAUGAUGAUGUAUUAGUAAUUGGAAGCAAGCCAGUCUUGCUUAGGAGUGAAAAUUCUAUUAUUUCUUGUAGUUUCUUCUUUUUUAAGUUUCUUUGUACUGCAGAACUAAUUCUGUGAUGGUACUCAUGUCGAGAGAGCGGAAAGAAAAGGAAUUCCGGCGUAUUGUAUAUAAUUUCUUUGAAUGCGAUGGGUUGAAAACCGCCUCUAUUUUCAUUUUUAUGUAUCGUGCAUAUGAAAAGAAAAACAAGAGAACAGAACCAACCUGACCUGGUCAGUCAUUUGAUGAUUUGGUUCUGUAUUUUUGGCAGGGUUCACAAUUCAAUCGAUCCUAUUUAUUUAAGAUGAGUUGGUUUUUGAAAAGAAAAUUACUAAAAAGCAGGAACUUCUAAUUUGAGUUCAUAUAGAAAUCGUCAGUUUUCUUGCUGGCUUGUUGGUCGUUCCUAGGAUCCUGUCCUUCAACUUGCUUUCCUCACUUCCUGAAUAAAAAUUCCCUUGCGUAUUCAUUUAAAAUAAUAGGCUCUGAUAAUUCGUCGAGAUUACCUAGUACUGACACACAAAAGUCAUCUCCAUGUAUGGCUUGCACCAAGGUUUGCAGUUUCACAUCUCAAAGUGGGGGAUGCUUUUUUGACCUUGGCGCAAGUGUCUUUUUUGGAAUGUCUCAAAUGCCAGUCUCUUGAGCCAGUGAAUUCUUCUAUUCUGCUGUUCCUUCGAGCCGGUGAAUUCUUCUUCUUCUCUGCUGUUCCCUCGGGAAGACGAUGCAGUCCAUCGAUCCGUCUGUGGAAAUAAAAUUUCUCCUCUCUCUGAACCUUCAAUCUCCUCUGCGUUAAUUUGUAUAACGCCAAACGCUCCAGUUAGUCAUGGUACGCUCUACCCUUAUGCAGAUCUUCUGCUUCUUAUGUCCAAAUAGACUUGUUUUUGCAUCGUGUCAGCUACAACCCAACAGUGCCAGUGAAACUCGGCCAAACAACAGUGCGCAUUAGACACAGAAAAGAGAGCUCUUCUGCUCACGCAUUUUAUCAAAUGUUACUAUGGUAUGAACGAUGAAGAGAAAUCGAACGAUAAUGACUCUCCAUGAACUAACAAACAGCGGCAUCAGCCAGCAUUUCCAUUUCAGAAGACAUAAAGUCUGAUUCACUCAGCUCCUCAUGGGCCUCAUAGUCAUCCGUAAUGGCGACAUACCAAUCUUGCUUCAUCUGUCCUAAGAGAUCUUAACAAAGAAUAAAUAUCACCCUUAUGAGGGUGCCUCUUGUCCUUGACAAUGAAGACAUGAACUUGACCCUGAAUUUCUAUCCAGCUACAACCGGGCUGCUUGACUACUCCUCGUCACCUCAUCGGCUUCCUUAUUCCAAUGACAUCGCCCAUUUUUUGCUUUCCGCGUACAUGUUUGAGAGCAGAACAUAAGGUCCAGAGUUCGAAGGGUCGAUCUCUAAGAGCUUCUCUGCUACAUGCUUUCCUAGCAUUAUAUCCUUAUGAACUUUGCAGGCUGUGAGCAGCGAACCCCAAACGAUAGCAUCAGCUUGAAUGGGCAUUGCCUCUAUUAAGUCCUUUGCUUCACUGGGACAACCGGAUCGGUCGAGCAAAUCAACCAUGCACGUAUAAUGGUCCUUUACCGGUGCCAGACCAUACUCCUCAACCAUCCGCUUGAAAUAAUGGCACCCCUCUUCGACCAGCCAUGCAUGGCUGCAUGCACAUAGAACCCCGAUCAUAGUGACAUGGUCUGGUCUCUCGCCAGAUACCAACAUUUUCCUGAAUCAGUAACCGUUCUGCGCAUAUCCGACAAUUGUGGCAUUCCAUGAGACCUUGUCCCUGUCCAACAUAUCUUUGAACACCCAUAAACCAUCUUCCACAGCUCCACAUUUAACGUCCAUGUCUAUAAGAGAAUUUCCAACAAAAAUAUCGAAUUCUUCUCCAUACUGGAAGCGAAAUCCGUGCUUCAAGACAUGAGCACAAGCCUGCUGCCCCAACUGCAGAUCGGCAAGAUUUGCACAUGCAUUGAGAAAAUUUCCAAAUGUUUAGUGCGUCGGAACAAUGGCUUCUCUCUUCAAAAGGCGGAAUAAACCAAAUGCUUCUUCAUUCUCUCCAUUCUGGGUAUACCCUGCAAUAAGGGCAUUCCAAGAAACUACAUUCUUCUCCAUCAUCCUCAUAAACAUUACUCUUGCAGUUUUGAGACUUGCUGCUCUUGCAUACCCGCUUACCACGGAGGUGGCUGACACUAUAUCCCUGGUAGGCAUUCUGUCAAAAACUGCUCUGGCCUCGCUAAUUCUAGAGCACUUAGAAUACAUAUCAACCAAUGCAUUUCCUAAAACAACAUCAUUUCUAAAUUUGUCACAUUUUACAACAUGGGCAUGAAUUUGCAUCCCUUCCUUAAGUGCCGACAGGCUAGCGCAUGCGCUGACCACACUGACCAAAGUGACCUCAGCUAUUUCAAACCCACAAUCCAUCAUGCUCACAAAAACCUCAAGAGCUUCACUGGCUGGACCAUUUUGUUCAUAACAUGUAAUCAAGCUGUUCCAAGAAACUACGUUUCCAGAACUCAUUUCAUCAAAAGCCCUCUGUGCACAAGCCAUGUUGCUACUCCAAGGCUGUGCACAAGCCAUGUUGCUACUCCAAGGCUGUGCACAAGCCAUGUUGCCACACUUGGAGUACAUGUCGAUAAGAGCAGAGCCCAUACGAACAUCGGACGAGCACUCAGACUUCAACAUCAAAGCCUGAAUCUGCUGGCCCAGAUCCAUAUCCCCUAACCCAGCGCAUGCACUAAGAGCACUACCAAAUGAGUACUCAUUAAGCACAUAAUUCUCCCUAUGCAUCUUACCAAAACAUCGCCAAGGCUUCUUCAAAUCUUUCAUGCUGCGCAUAGCCCGACAGCAUUGAAUUCCACGAGUACUGGUGGGGUUCCAGCACCGACCCGAAUAUCUUUUCUGCUUCAUCAAGAGAACCCAGUCUGAUCAACCCACCUAAGAUCGCAUUCCGUGUGAAGGUAUUCUUCUCAGGCAUUCUAUCGAACAUUCUGCAGGCGUCGUCGAGGCACCCGCAUCUCACAUAGAUAUCGAUGAGCCGGUUCUGGAUGAAAACCUCAGCGGAGAACUGGGUCCUGAUGAUCCGAGCGUGGAUGCGGCACGCGUCGCGUGCUGACUUGGACAGGCCGCAGCCGUCCAGGAGCUUGGCGAAGGGGGACGAGGUGGCGAAAGACAGAUAGCCCGCCAGAGCCUUGACCUGCGCAUGCCUCACCAUUCCAUCAUAUCAUCGUAAGAAGUGAACUCUCUCGGAGAAGAUUCGCAUAGGUGUAAAUUGAAUGCGAUGGGGAGUUUCUGUUGACCGUUAUAUGCUUCCCCACUUCAGCCAGACGCGCGGGAACAUGAUACGAGCGCUCAUAUGAAGUGGGGCAAAGUUGCACCGUUGCAGUGGCAAAAUGGUAAUUUAGCAUAACAAUCUACUAAUUAGACUCAUGACUAUGAAUUAAAUUUUUAAUUAUGAGUAAAUCUAAGCUAUAAAUUGAAAUAUGUCAUAUAUUUAAUAUCUUGUUGUAAGUCACUGAAUUAAGAUUAGUCAUAUUUAAAAUCUAUACUUAUUGCUUUAUCAAUUAUAAUUAUAAGCUUAAUAUAUGACAAGUCAAUUUUAUUAAGAGAUAGCUGGAUUAUUUACAAAUCAAACAUAAAUUCUUGUUUAGUAAUUUUGAUCAUUCUAAUUAUAACUCAUUCUGACCAAAACAAGAAAAAUUUAACUCAUCAUUGAAAAAAUGCAAAAACCAAUUCUAGAGAAUGAAAAUUAGAUAUAUGUUGGAUGGGAUAGCUUUUCAUUGGCCCCCUCCCUCGAGGAAUAGCUAACCUUGAUUUUAAGAGAAUAGCUAUUAAUUUGAUGGAGCUAAUCUUGAUUUACUUCUUAACCAACUAAGGACUAACUAUCUUAUCAUGAGUAGACUGAGAAUAAUGUAGCUAUUGUGAUAUUUCUACAUUAACUCGCAACAUUAGUAAUGUUCUAACUUAAUUGCACUUAACUUUAGAGUAAAACUACCAAGAUAGGCGGCUGUACUUUCAAGAGGUCACUUAUCUUGAUAAUGCUCUAACUUGACCACGCUUAACUUUGGAACAGAAGUAUUUAUUGGUCUCAUGGGAAAGUGCUUGUCUGCACGCCAAAUGAUAAAAUCGUGAGAUUUGAAAUGGGAUGGGUCCCAAUAGAUAAUACCUUGAGUGAAUUAAUUCAGAAACAUCAUAGUUAUCUGUCCUAGAACAAAAGGUGCAGUUGAAUUUUCAAUUAAGACACAUCUUGUUCAAGUGAGGAUUGUCCCUUUUGUUUUGUUUUGUUUUCUUGGUUUUUUUUUUUUUUUUUUGAAUGAAUAAUUUGAUCUUCUUAGAUGUUCUGGUAAGAAAAAUCGAUUGAUCUUCUAAGAUGUGCGCUCCCGUGAGCCUUUGUGAGGGAGAGCUUCAUGAUAAGAAAUGAAGCCCAUCUGAACACACAUCCAAUCCGUCAAGGCUUUGAAACUCUUUCGGCUUUAUGCGACCAAGAACUGUCGGAUCUGAGAGUUGUUUCAGGUCUUGAAAGGCCCAUUGAUGUUCUUAUUUCCUUGCGAAGUGGGAUAUGUAAGACAGACAAAUUCCUGGGAAGCCUAGGUAAGAACCUGAGGUUCUUAAAAACUGAGGACGAGUUUCCUGAGCAGAGGAAGGACAAUGAGAUAUGAAGAUAGGGUGGUGAUUUGCCGGGCUUGCAACUGCAGCAAGGACUCGAGUUUGCUUAACCUUCCAAUCCACCAAGGAUCAUGGAGCUUCUUAAAGUCCGUAAGUGUCCUCAGGAUACCUCAAUACAUAUAAACACAAGCAUCUUUGAUUUAAUAGGUUUGGGAGAUCUGGAAACGAGUACAUUGAGAAAAUUACAAGCACAAAUUAGUUUAGACUCUCGAGAAGCAUAGGAAGUCCCGGAAUCUGAGUUCUUGUCAAUCUCAAGAUCCUCAGAGAUUUAAUUCUCCUAACAUCAGUCGGAAUUUCCCCCUUCGUAUGCUUGCAACCACCGCCAUUUAUCUCUGCAAGCUUCUGCCAGCAUCGCCAUUCAGAUUAAUUGAGUUUCCUAUUGAAUAAGGUAAUUCCGGAAUAGAUGAGGAAGGAUAGAUCCAACUGCAUUCUUGAUUCCAUGUUUCCCCAUUGUCUCUGGUAGAAAUCCUACAGAACUUCAAGUUCAAAACGAAUGGUCACAUCAAUUCGGACCAAUCUUUUACGUCUUUCAAGAAUCAGUUGCUCUGAACUCGCAUGAUAAGAGAGGUUGGGAGUUCUGUGCAACUGUUCACAUCCAGUCGGAUUUAGACCCUUCAAUUUCCGUGCCAUAAGUAAGGAGAUCACAAAUAAAUAUUGCGUCUUCACUGGCAGCAAGAGUAAUCACAUAAAAGUUUUCGACUAAUGUUAUUGUACAUUGAUGUGACUCCAUCUACCAAUACUCCAUGGAAGAUCAAGGAUAACCAUCUUCUGUAAGGAAAAGAGUUGUUCAACCUAAAAUUCCUGGGAAAGUCAGUGCCAUGAAAGCCAUCUCGACUUCGAAAGAACGAGUGGAUUCUUGCGGCAACAAAAGUUAUGCCAAGAAAUCCUUGUUAGAGUAACUUAAGAAUAGGCUUUUAGUUUCUUCAUCCACAAAGAAGUCCUCAGAUAUAAGCUAGAUAUACAUUCCUUAACGUUUCGCUAUCCCCUCAGCAGAAAAAUAAAAGAGUAGUUAAUACUGACCUGGCUUCCUUCUAUAUUUAUUCAAGGUCUACAUUUCUAUUUUUUUCGAGAUUUUACUGAUGAUUUUGAUGUUCGUAUAUGAGAAAUAGCCCAACUUGGACUGAGGUGCAAUAAUAAAAACAAACAUAUUCAUGACUUAUCUUUCUGUAACUCAUCUGAACUUCAAGUGCCUCCUCGUAAUUCCCUCUCCUACUUUGCUUCUCGAGUUUCAUAUCAUUUGCUUCACGAACGGUACCUCUCCCAAGGUCUCUUAACCAAUCACGCAUCCACAGUCGAGAGUCUUCUCUAAUUUUUAUUAGAGUCAUCUGCUGGAAAACUUGAACAGCUUCUUCAGAGAAAAGAUUACAGCACUCCCACAUGUGACACACAAUUCUUUUAUCAAACGCAAUGAAUAAUCAAGCAAUAUCUAAGAAUAUGUUUUCUGUCAAGAAUCUAAUGCCUCAAUACUGAUCAUCAACUUCUUUUUAACAUCCUCAUGACGAAAUUUUUCCAACCUCGUCAAUAUGUUAUUCAGCUUUGUUAUGGUUUUCCCUGACAAGAAUGAACCUACAAUCGCAAGUGCUAGAGGAAGACCAUCGGAAAUAUUCACCGCUUGUAUAGAAACAAGGAUGUACCCCUCUGAUGGAUAAUCUCUUCCAAAGGUGUGUCUGCUGAAAAGUUGGAGGGAAUGAUCAAAAUCCAUGCAAGUAAGUUCAUAAGUGCAAUCAACUAUAGUCGGACUGAGUACUCCCACGUUUCUUGUGGUAAAACCAAUCAUGCCUUGCCACAAGAGCGUCUGAGUGUAUUCUUAAGUCGACAUCAUCAGGACGUAGAACUCUUCUGGAGGAUUACCUCUCCUUGAUUGUAUUUAUCCCUUCAUCAAUAUUAUUAAUUUCGGACCAUUUCCUUUGGAGGAUACUAGAGAUGAGUUGAUUCUGCAAAUACUCUACACUUUUUUACUUUGACGUUUCUCGAAUGUCAGCAAGGAAGCAACAGCGAUUAAAACCAUCUCAAAAUUUAUUGUAGACAAUUAUGGCAAGUGUCGUCUUUCCAACACCACUGAUUCCAUAAAUUCCGAUCAUGCCUGUUUCAUUCGUGUGAGCGCCCAUCAUCCUCUUGACUUCAUUUACAUAACUAUCCACUGCAACCAAGAAAUCUGAUACUACCAAGUAGGCCUUUUUCAACUCCAUCAAAACCUUCAACCAAAAAAGCAACCAAAAAAAAAAAACUCCAUCAAAACCUUCCUGAUAACUUCCUUUCGGAACUCACCUUCCCUCUGAUAGCAUUCAAUGCAAAAGAACCAAGAUGCUGAAAUGAGUUAAACAAAGUUAAUUACAGGAAACAAACAAGUCAUAAGGAAUGAAUUUAGUUAUCUUUUCGGAUUGUUUUGGAAGUCCCACCCUUUAUUGCUCCAACCCCAAUGAAAGCAGCCCUCCAAGUGUGGAGAGUCUUGUGAUCAAGCCGCUUCUUGUUUUCAUGAGAAUCAAAGCUUUGUUGUAGAGCCCAGUUUGAUAUCAUACCCCUCAUGGUCCAACUUCUUAGAAAAUGGACAUAAUUUUGCGUCCUCCUGUUCCUGCACUCUGUAAUCUGCACCAAUUUGCUAAAGCACCAUUCACUGGCAGCAUAUCCUUUAGAGAAGAUGGGUAUCAAGGAUUUUUAACUGCUCCACCGCUUGAAGAAGCUCCACGCCUUCUCCGCGAAGCCCUUCAUCAUCUCUACAUACUCGAAUUCCAGCAUCUUUUAUGUUGGUAUACAGGAAAUCAAUUUUGCCAGAGCAUAUCUGGAUCUCUAAAGCUUAAGAAUGCUUCUUAAUCAUAUCCUAUUGACUUCCCCAUUUCCUGAAUAGUAAGGUGCAACAAUAGCACAUCAAUAUCUGAAAUUACAUAGUCGAUGGUCAUGAUGCAUCAUCAUAAUUAUCUGCUCUUUCUUUUUGGUACAUUUCUGUCACCAAGACUUACCCCAAGAAAUUCAUACUGCACCUGAAAAUGUUAAAUACAUAGACGCAGUGAUGAUGAGGCCAAUUUCUAUCAGAUGCCAAUGCAGAGAUCUAUUCUGGUAUAGAGAACCUCUUUGACAAAAGCAUAUUGUUUCUCAGCAUUUUGUGCGAGCAAUUAGUAAAGCACAGCACCCUCUUCCUUUACGGGCCUCACAACAGUGAAAGGGGUAAAAAGAAACUGAUAUAAAUGAUAUGUAACUAUUUUCUCUGGAAAGAUGAGCCAUUUCAACUGCUCAGAUUUACUAUCCAGACUGCCCGUAUUAGUUUGUUAUAUAAAUGGAAAUACAGUAAUAUUCACUAAAAAGAUGCAAACGCUAUUCUGAGUAAUGCUCAAAUGGCCAAUGAAAUAAGAAAACAAAGAAAAGUGGAGCAACAUUAGUAGUCUGUUUAUUGUUUGGCUUAUAUCUGUGUUGAUGUACUACUAAGUAAAUUUGAUUAUAAAAAAUGACUUAUUACCCAAUGAUGACUCCUUUGAUUUCAAGUGACAAGGAAGUGGAAAAGGAAGUGGAGUUCUGCAAAAACAUUGUCGCUAAUUACAAAGUUGGAUUCUGAAGCAGAAGUAACAAAGACAUAAGACACUACUUAAGACAGAGGCCAAGAGUUUAAAAAGAAGGAAUACGUAUUACUUGGUCCAUCUUAAAUUUUGGUGAAGGCUUCACAACUUUCUAAUCAAAAAGCAGUGCUCAAAGAUUGCCUCCUCUGCAUUCUUCUUCAUUUUAUGCAAUUGAACCUAUAAUUGCAGGUCAAAAGAGGGUAUUCUUAAGUGCAAUUUGCUGCAAAAAAUGUCCCAGCAGCUUGAUUAAUGAACUUACUAGGCCAUAGAAAGGGAGUGCAAAUCUACUUCACAGUUAUCUUCAUAACCUCCCUUCUUUGAUGUUAUCCAUAUGUUCAACAGACAAAUUAUGUCAAGAGAACAACAUUUGACUGAAAAUUCCGUCAAACGACUCAAAAUCUGCAGGUUAGAUACCAUUUCUAGUUCCCAAAGGAGUUCGGGUUCAUCAUAAGGAAUUUCGCAAAAAGGCAGAAAUCAAGGGAUUAUUGAUAGCCAACAUUCGGCUUUGCUAUCCAUAUAAACUCACAAAUCAGCAGACAAUUUACCAUUAAUUAGCUCAGGUAAUAGUAGAGACACUAACAUUCAUUCAUGAGAGAAUAGGAAAGAAAUAAUAGUAUGAUGGUUGACUUGCAACUGAUGGAAAAGCAGAAAUUGGUGUGCUGAAGUUCGAAUAAAGUGAAUGAAAUCAAUGGCUUUCUUGUCUCUCUCAUGGGCUAAAGUUCCCCAACUCGGCUGUUAUCUCAUCUCUCCAUUUCUGUUCUUAAUUUCAUCUUCUUGAAUCACUGUGUACUAACUCAGAAGAGACUAUGUCCGGCUAUAACUAAAUCUCAUUAGCCAAAUGAAAUCAAAUAAUUCCAAUGUAACUAAUUUAAAGUUUACCUUGGCAACCGUCGAGGAUGUGUGGUGCCAUGCAAGGCGACACUGAGAUUGUGUGACCUCUGCAGCCGCCGCCAAAGGGCUGGAUUUGGGUUGAUUGACCAUCGACCUCAACACACAGCGGCUCAGGCAAAGACAGCAGCUCGACGGUCAGUGCGGCCCAAGUGAGGGCCAUUAAGGCGUCUCGAUGCCAGGCAAGGUGACAUCGAGGUCACAUGACCUCCGCAACGCCUGUAUAACUUCGCAUAUCUUUUUUUCUUUUUUUCUUUUUUUGUGAAAAAAAAAAGGACAACUAGCCAAAAUGUUGACUGCUCUGCAUGUCUCGUUUGUUUAGGUCAAUGAUACACUGGCUUCACAGUUGCUUCCUCUCUUCAAUGCAUGGGCCAAAAAAUGAUUCAUUUUUUCCCUUCCACACUGAUCGGCAACUCCAUAUAGAAUAUUGCUUUCAGAUCCUUCUUCCUGAAUACCAUCUCUCAUGCAGAAUCAACUUUUCUCAAUCAAUGUCUGAGCCUUUAAGCCGUCAUUCACUUGUCUCCCUUCCGACGGGUAAUCAAUGUCCUCAGUAAUGUUUAUACCCAUUUAAUAGACUCUCCCAUCCCCAGGAAGCCUUAGCCCCCAGUUCACAGCUUGCAUUAACUCACUCCUUAGAAAAUUCAAACACUUUGUCGGAAUUUCUUUUGACACUUUCGAUAUCAUCCACACAAAGUUGCAUCUCUUUUAGAGGGAACAUUUUUUUUUUUUCUCAAGGUCGCUAGUUUAGAUGACCCCUUGAAAGUUCUUUUUAUCAUCCUCUCUAACCAAAUUAAUCUUAGACAUAUCUAAUUCUAAGCCUUUACUUUCCCCUUUCUUUGUACACCAAUGAACAUAUCCUAAUAUUUGAACUGUGAGGCUGCCAUAAUGAUAUUGGUAGUCUUUUCACAUGGGCAAAUAUGUUAUACAAGAAAUGAAGGACUCGUGACAAGUAGAGUUUCCAUCACAUAAUAAGCAAUAGUAACUAUCUUCAUCGAGAUUUAGACAACCAACAGACAACCAUGAAAACAAGGGACAGGAUCAUGCUUUCUGUGAAUUAAAUUGCUUCUCAAUUUCUAAAGGCACCAGAAUUGACCAUAGUCAGAAUGGAGAAUGAAGAACAGAGAUUUGAAAACUGAUUGAUUCAUCAUGAAAUCUAAAGCAGUAAUCAUUACACUCUUUACAGAUCAAUUUGCUGGUUAAUUCCAAUUGGUAAAAAAACUGUCUCUUUACCUGCCAACUCUGAUUCCUUGGCUCCACCUAUUUACUUCUCUGGCUCAGACUUAGUGACUUCCUUCAAAGUCCUCCAAUCAUUAGAUCCCAGCAAAUCUUUUACCUUCUCACACUCAUGUAUCCUCAAAUAUUUUAGCUUCUUGAAGCUUGAUGGAGCCGGUAGCUUUUCCAGAUCUCUGCAGAACUCAAUAUGAAGCAUCUCCAAUGAUUCUAGUCUGCCUUGAAUCUCAACCAGUUUAGGACAAUUAUACAGUUUAAGUUUCGUGAGGUUGUUUAAGGUAGUGAGGUCGGGCAAUUUUUCCAGUGAUGUAACUCUAAAGAACUUCAAUGAUCUCAGCUUCUCCAAGCCUUCAAGACCUUGAAUCUCUGUUAUUUCACAACAUGUAACUUCCAAAUCCGCUAGUGCCCUCAAGUUUGAAAGGUCUAUCAAUGUCUUCAUUUCCCAACAACCUUUUAUAACUAAGCUCGACAAACUUGCGGGAAUCCUCGGAAGGUAUUUCAUGUACUCACACCUGAGCUCAAGUUCCUUGAGUUCAGAAAGGAGGACAAGGUCUGAAGAUAGGGUGGUCAGGUAAGGAGAUUCCGGCCAUAUAGACUCUAGUUUGUGUAAACUUCCGAUCCACCAAGGACCAGAAGUUUUCUCAAGUUCAGAAUGGUCCAUCCUUGAACUCCACAAAACCAAACUCAAAUCUCUUAAGUUCGAUAGGUUUGAGAGAUCUGGGAAUGUCUUCAUUGACCAAGUGCCAAAGUAAAGACUGGUCAGACUUUCAGGAAGCUUGGGCAAUCCUGAAACUCGAGUGUAUGUCAGUCUCAAGACUCUUAGAAAUUUUAAUCUCCCGAUAUUGCUCGGCAUUUCCCAUUCCAAACAUCCACGGCAGUCAGCAUCUAACUCUUCAAGCUUAUCCAAUAGUCCUAUGGCACUGGGUAGUUUUCUCAAGGUACUGCAGCGUAUUCUCAGUACUUUCAAAUUCUUCAUAUUUCCUAACGAAGAAGGUAGCAUUUGAACCUGUGAGUGGGAUAGAUCCAACUCAACCAGUGAUUGCAAGUUCCCAAUGGACUCUGAAAGUUGAGUAAUCUUAGUUUCUACAAACGAAAGCUUCAAUAAUGAUGCUAAGCAGCCAACUGAACUACAAUCAGUCAAAUAUUUACAAUUACGAGCACUAAGAAUUUCCAGUUUCUUCAUUACUUUCCAUUCGGGAAUUUCUUUUAUUGAUGUGCCAUCCACAAGAAUUUCUGUUAAAGCUUCUAGUUUAGCAAGCUCAUCUGGCAGCUUGCUGAGUUUAGUGCAGAACUUUAAGUUUAAGAAAACUAACUCCUUUAGCUGACCAAUAGAUCUAUCAAUAUGGACCAACUUCCGACAUCUUUCAAGAAUUAAUCUCUCUGAAAAUACAUGAGAUGAGAAGUCAGGCGUUCUAUUUAACUUUCUGCAUCCAGUCAGAUUUAGAACCUUUAAGUUCUUUGCCAUCUGUAAGGGAGAACAACAAAAUUUAAAUCCCAUUAACGAGAUAGAAGAUUAAAAAAAAGAUAUUGAACUUAUUUUGAAACACUUCCUACGCUUCUACCUUGAUGUGGCUCAUCUACUCCAUUUUUUUGUAAUUUUACUCCAUGAUAGAUCAAGAAUCACUAGCUUUGUCAGGGAAAGAGUGGUCAGAUCAAAAGUUGCAGGAAAGUUAUUCCAUGAAAGCUAUCUCAACAUCAAAAAUAUGUAUGGACUCCUCCGGAAAAAACUGGCUGGAAGAACAUUCAAGUGGCAACCACACUGAAAAGAACUGACUUGAGCAAAACAAUGAAGGUUUGUGCUUGUCUCAUUGAAGUUUACGCGAUCCACUUGCAAGAACCUUAGGUUUGAUAGACUGGCAAAUACUUCAUAUGUAAUGUUGUAUUCACAAUUACUUUCAAACUUGAGACAAAUUGCUUCAACAUUUUCUAAUCCCUGGCAAAAAGGGAAAUAGCAGUUAGAAAGCAAAUAGUUCUUGUUUGGAAAAUUAUAUUCAUUUGGGGUGCUAUCUUUCCUCGAAAUUAUAUAUUACUUUAGGAGAUAUGUCGGUACUGUGAGUGGAAAAGAAAUAAUACACAAGAAAUUCUUUUAAUUGGUGACUAGUUAAAUAGAACGCUCUUGAGAAUGAAUGACUUUGUAUACUCACCUUUGUCCUCAUAAGAAGAUCAAACACAUCAUCAUGAUUCCAUACUCUGCUUUGCUUCUCUGAUCUCAUAGCACACUCUUGAUGAAUGAUUUCAUGUCCAAGGUCUCUUAGUUGAUCACGCAUCCAAAUACAGUUGUCUUCUUUAAUCUUUAUUAAAGACAUCUUCUGGAGGACUUCAAUGGCUUCUUCAGGAAAAAGCUCCCAACUUUCCCACAUAUGGAUCACAAUUCUUUUAUCAAAACCAAUGAAGAAACAGGCAAUAUCAAGGAAUAUGCUCUUUUGUCUAUCAUCUGAUGCCUCAAAACUGAUCUUCAACUUCUUUUUUAUGUCCUAAUGAAGAACUGUUUUUUUUUUUUUUUUUUGGGUAAGUCCUAAUGAAGAACUGUUUCCAGCUUCUUUAAUGUGAUAUCCCAUUGUGCUUUGCUUUUUCCAGAUAAAAGUGAACCCAUAACCUCCAGAGUCAGAGGUAGACCGCCACUAAUGUUCACGGCUUUUAUGGAGUAAGGGAGGAAUUCCUCCAAAGGAUAAUCUCUUCUAAAUGCAUGUCUGCUGAAAAGUUGCAGAGAAUGGUCAAAAUCCACGCAGGGAAGUUCAUAAGUCCAAUCAACUUUCGGCUCAUGAAGAACAUCAUUGUUUCUGGUGGUAAUGAUAAGCUUGCUUCCUUUGCCAAAACAUUUUCGCUUCCCCAGGAGAGCAUCCAGUUGAAUCCUUUUGUCAACAUCAUCAAGUAGAAGUAGAACUCUUUUACAGAAUAACCUCUUCUCAAUUAUCAUAGUCCCUUCAUCCAUAUUAUCAAUGUCUAGCCAUUUCCUUCAAAGGAGUAUAGGGAUGAGCUGAUUCUGCAAAUACUCAAUACCCUUCUACUCAGCAGUUUCUCGUAUGAUAGAAAGGAAGCAACAACCCUUAAAAUGAUGGGAGAGUUGGUUGUAGACGAUUUUGGCAAGUGUCAUCUUCCCAACACCACCCAUGCCGUGGAUUCCAACAAUCAUAGUUUCACCAGUGUCAGCAAACACGUUCUCAUUAUUUCACCUACAUGAUUGUCCAUUUCAACCAAGCAAUCAGAUACGACUAAGUAGGCCUUUUUUAACUUAAUCAAAACCCUGUUGACAACUUCUUUUACGAACUCACCUUUACCUCUGAUAGCAGUAAAGGCAAAAGAACUAAGAUGUUAGAUUAAGAAGCAAAAAAACUAACCAAAAAACAGAAAGAAUAUUCAUCUCUGGAGAAAAACAGAUUAUAGACCAUGAUGAAGAGCAAGACCUAUUCGGAUUGCUUUGGAAAUCCCAUCCCUUUUAAGGCUCCUAUCUCAUUGAGAGCAGCCUUACACCCAAGCAUGGUGUUUUCAUCAAACUGCUUCUUCUUCACGUGCAAAAGAAAGGCCUCACCAUAAUCCCCAAUUUGGUUUCGAACCUCAGAUGGCCUGACACCAAAGAAAAUGGGCACAAUCUUCUGCCCCGUAGCUCUCUUGCACUUCACCGUCUGUACCAAUUCCGUAAGACGCCACUUACUGUUGGCAUAGCCUUUAGAGAAGAUGGGUAUCAAGAUUUUGGACUGCUCAAUUGCUUGGAGAAGCACUGGACCGAUCUCUUCGCCAGUACGGAGCUCUUCGUUAUCUCUGUAUGCUCGAAUUCCAACAUCAAUGAGAUUGGUAUACAGGAUAUCAGCAAUGUCCAAGUGUGUAUCGGGUCCUCUAAAGUUGAAGAAUACUUUGUAACAUGUUGACAUGGCUUCACAACUUCCAGCGUUUGAGAUGAUUCCUCAGUAGACAAGCAGCAGCAGAAUCACCAACAGCUUCGGUGAUCCCGUUGUCUGUAUUCACCUCUUCACUGGGUUGUACAGAAAGAUGGAAACAAUGGAAGCGACGAUCAAUGCUGAGUGCGAGGACCAACCUGGGGGCACCCUCUAAACCUGUAAAAACAAUGUUGUGAAGAUUUCUGUCAGGAUGGGAAACAAAUGUAUGUGAGAUCUGCUCAGAUCAAUGAUUGAUAUCAGCCUUUUUUCUGGGUAACAGUGUAUCUAAUAUAUAUUCCAUCGUCUUCAAAAACUAAAGAAGGAAGCUUCCUCUUCACUUCAACCGAGGCAUCCACGAUUUAGUUAUUUUGUCGGCCAUAUACACACGAUUAAAACGCGGCCUCUCUAUGGCAGCCACGAGGGAGGAUAAGAUAACCUCGACGGAGCAAGCCAACAAAAGAGACAGCUUUUACCGUAUUAGUGAUGAUUACCUUGGAUUUUUUACUAUUAUUCUUCGUAUACAAAAGCUACUAGUCCCUGAUAUGUUGAUGAGUCCGUUAAAACUUUAAAAAUUACUCACCCCUUGGUAGGAACAGAAGAUGCACAGCAGAAGCAAUAUGAAAAAUAAUCUUCGAGCCUCAGCUCUUAUUCAACAUUAGAAUAACAGUAGAAGGAGCUUGCAAUACUUAGAGCUUCUGAGAUGCCGCCCAACCCCUGAAAUCAGGCGCAACCAUCGCCUACAUUCUUCCAUCUACCAUACUUAAAAGUCCAAGAGAGAAAAAAUAUCCUAAAAAAUUACUCUGACAAGUCGGAUUCCACGAGAUCAGACUGCGUCUCCGCCUUCAAAGUCCUCCACCAAUCAUCACAACCCAGAGAAUCUUCUACCUUCUCACACUUAUGUAUAAGCAAAGAAUUCAGCUUCUUGUGGCUUGAUGGAUCGGGUAACUUUCUGAAAGAUUUACAGGAACCAAUCCAGACUGUCUCCAACAAUUCUAGUCUGCCUUUGAUCUCGACUGUUUCAGGACAACACUGCAGAUAAAGUUUCUGGAGCUUCUCUAAGUUGGUCAGGUCAGGCAACUUGUCCAAAGAUGGAACUGCUUCAGCUUGGAUACAGUAGUAACACAAAUGAGAGAAGAAAUGUUUGUACUAAUAUUUUCUGAUUAUUACUUGUGUAUAAGGAACUUGCAAUAUAUAGUUUUAAUUUGAUGGCCAACCACUGAAAUCAGGUAUGCAAACAACGUUUAAAUUCUACCAUUAACCAAACUCAAAAGGUCGAAGAGAGUAAAAGAUUCCUCAAGAAAAACAAAAAAACUCGCACAAGUCAGAUUCUACAAGACCAGAAUGCUCUCUUCCUUCAAGUCCUCCACUGACCAUCAGAACUCAGAGAAUAUUCUACGUUCUCACGCUCAUGUAUAUAAAAAUAUUUUAGCUUCUUGAAGCUUGAUGGAUCCGGUAACUUUCCCAAAGAUAUAAAAGGGACCUAUCCAAAGUGGCCUUAACAAUUUUAGUCUGCCUUGGAUCUCGACCACUUUAGGACAUCACCGCAGAUAAAAUUUCUGGAGCUUCUUCAGGUUGGUCAGGCCCGCAACUUGUACAUAGAUUGAACUCCUUCAACCCUUUAAGCCACGCAGGUUCUCCAAAAUUUGGAGGCCUCUGAACUCUCUCACUUUAUGGCAAUGAGCAACUUCCAAAUCUGACAGCGCCUUCAAAUUUGAAAGGCCUAUUUGAUGUUUCUAUUUCCCUCCAUGAUUCCAUAUCCAAGUACGACAAAUUUGGGGGAAGGCUAGGUCGGCAUUGCAGCUUCUUUCGGGGGACCAGUUCAGGUUCCCUGAGCUGUGAAAGAAGAAUGAUGUCUGAAGAUGGGGUGACGAAAUAAUGAGAUUCCAACAGCAAGGAUUCCAGCUUCCUAACCUUCAGCUACGAAGGACUUCGAACUUCAUGAAUUUAGAAGUACGUCGAAAUUGUCAAAACCUGAAUUUUACAUAUAUUUGAAUAUCGAAUUAAUAAGUAAUUUAACAUCAAGUGAAUGUGCGUGUGUGUGUGUGUGUGUAUAUAUAUUUUAUUACGUUAUAUAAUCAAAAUCUCAUACAAAAGAUCCACCUUAAAAAGAUGUGUUAAGUCUAAAUGUCCCUAAACUCUGAACCCGACCAAUAUGUUUAAUAUUUUAGAGGGAGUGAGUCUAAGCUCAGUAUAUGAAAGCUCCACGUCCAACAUAGGAGGCCUCCCCACCACUCAACCCGAGAACACAACAGUAUAGUAACAAUUAGUGAAUAAGGUCAUAUUAUCAUUGUCAAUAGGAAAACCAAUAUUCACCUAAGAUAGGGUAAUCUGUGCAUUAUAUAAAAAUGACUAUAAUUAUCUGUGCAAUGAAUAAAAUAGAUGCAAUGUAUGACAUUCGUUUUAACAGUCAAUUGCACACAAAUGAUCAUACGAAAUCUCAUGAUGCUUAGAUAUCAGUAGCUCAUCAAUCUUGGACCUCAAGCUUAAAUUAUCACAAAUAGACUAUUCAAGUCACAUCAGAUUACAGAAGUCACAUAAUUUAAUGCAUAUAUAGUUGUAAUUUGUCUUCUCAAUCCUAUAGAGAACAGACAUCUGUCUUUUCCCAGAUACUUAAAUACAUACUUGGAAAAAAAUUAAUUACAAUGUCAGUACAUUGCUAUCAACACUAGUAGAAUCUCAAUGGAGUUGGUAAUAUACUUAAUAUGGGAAACAAGCACACUUGGAGAGCGCAGUACAGCGGAGAGUUGUAUGCUCCGUUCGAAGGUAGUGCUGUGAAUUUACUUACGACACUGGUAAAAUUUCAAAUGAGUUGAGAGCAUACUACAUCAUUGAAAUAUUAGUGAAUUUCUGAUAGUGCUAGUAAUUCACUUACGACACCAGAAAUUUCCAGAAGAGUCGGUAAUUUACCAAUUUAGUGAGAAAUUGCUAAAUUUCUGAUUAAUUUCAGUAAUUUACUACCUGUUUAACUAACAACAAGUAACCAGUCAUUUUCUUUUACCCAACAAUUUCAAAUUUGCUGGUAAUCCCACCAAAAAUCUCAAACAAUGAAACUAGGAAAGCAGUUAUGAAUCAACUCAGAAGCGACUGCAGAAAUCUGUUUUAAGUCAUGAAAACUAAAGGACCUUUGCGACCAUUGCACAUGAUCAUUUACUAGGGAGUGUUAUGUUUAUGCUAGACACAAUGUCUUGCCCCUACUUCUUCAUUUCUUCAAUGUGGAAAUUUUCAUGGGAAAUCAGCAACAAUUCUGUGAAUAUGGUUGCUGAUGUCUGAUUGAAUUCACGACACUGAAUGCAGCACAUUCUCAGGGUAAUGUCUCGAGAACAUUAAUCUCUACAAAUGAAUUCUGCAGCAAGGCAUCUGGAAGCCUUGAUGAAUUUCUUCCACAACAAGAUUUAAUCACUAAGUACACCAGCUAAAAUUUUAGAAGUAAGUAGGACCACAACAGACCAAGAGAAGAAGAAAGAAAUUGCAGAACCAAUCGAUUAUAGUAAGAUUCCAUGCCUUCCAGGACAAUAUUUCGGUUUUAGCUAGACCUUGACAAGCUCAGAAGAACAACUGAUUCGCCAUGUGUGUUCUGAACUAGUUCCUAAGGAGCAAAAAUCAAUCCCCUCAUUGGUGCAGAAGUGAACUGACGCACAGGAGUUGCAAUGCGUUUCAAUAGAAUGUGACUGGGUUAAGGCUAAAGCUAUUAAAGAUUAGAUGCAGAUGGAACAAAAUCAAUCGAGUGAGCUGCCGAGCGAGUUCAUCGAAAGGCUGUUUUCAUUGCGUAUGUAUGAUUAGUCAUGACUGAAAAUGAUAAAAACCAACUCAAUCCGUUCAAAAUAUUUUCCUAAUCCAUCACUGAUUGCAUCGAAGAUUCGCACGCAGACCCAAUUCAUGCAAAUGCGAAGAGAAAAUUACCAGAAGAAAAGAAUAUAGGCGAAGAUGAAGGAAACCAAAUGAAGAUGCAGAAGGAAGAACCCUCGUGGGCCUCAGUCAGCUGCAACCACAAUGGAAAAGGAAGACCACAAUCCAUUAACCCCUCGGUGGGAACAGAUCGGCGGGCAGGAAGACGGGGUCGCAGUCUCCGGAGGGAGAUCUCCGCCCAGUCGAAUCGCGUCUCGUUCUCCUCUCGGGGUCGCUGUCGCUGCUGGUUCUGGGCGAGCUCCUCGCUCGGGUCGUCGCUGAUGAGGCAGGAAGAUGAAGGAAAGGAGAAGGAAAGAAUGUGAGAAGACAGAUAGGGGGACAACGGGAGAAGAAAACGAAACAAAAAAUAAAAUAAAAAAUAAAAACAGAGAGAGAAAAAGUAGAACUUUCUUAAGAGUGGGUCCUACCUUUACCCGUAAUUUUUUCUCUACAAAAUAUCCCCCCACGUAUUUGGUAUUCUCCGUGAUUUCAGUACUCUGAUCCUUUUUCCUCGGAAGGGUCUCCGCACUUUUUUCAAAUCUCGGUACUCAUCGGAUUCCAUAAUCUCCUCCAAUCUCUCAGUCUUUUAUUUCCAAAUCCUCUAGCUUCUUGAAGCUUGAAGGAUCAGAAAACUUCUGCAAAGACCCACAGCCAUCAAUACAAAGCGACACCACUGACUUUAGCCUACCUCGUAUCUCAACCAGACGAGGACAACGCGUUAAUUCAAUAUCCUUAAGCUCCUUGGCAUUGGUCAGGUCAGGCAACUUCUCUAGCAACGGAAGAUUCUCCACACAUAAGACCCUCAAGUUCUCCGAAACUUCCAAGCCUUGAAUCUCUCUUAGCUUCCGACAACCAUUUAUAUUCAAUUCUUUUAUAUACUUAAAGCUUGAUGGAUCAGGCAGUUGUUCAAGUGAUUCACAAAAAAUUAAAUGGAGAGACUCCAAUGAUUCAAGCUUACCUCGAACCUCAACUAAUUUAGGACAAAGUUCUAUCUUAAGUUCCCAGAGGUUCUUCACUCUGGUCAGGUCAGGUAACUUCACCAGCAACGGAAGACACUGAAGAUAAAGAGUUUGUAGGUUUUUCAAAGAUUCGAUGCCUUGAAUCUCUAUUAGUUGUCCACAAAAACUGACAUCUAAAUAUGAUAACUUCUCCAAAUAUGAAAGAUUUAUCGACUUUUCCAUUAACCCACGCCCACCAAAAUGGAAGUAUGUCAAAUUCUGAGGAAGCUUAGGUAGGCAUUCUAGGUUUUUUAUGAAGAGUUGAAGCAUCUUGAGCUUCGAAAGGAGAUUAAAAUGUGAAGGUAGGGUGACUAGACUAUCACAACUCAACCACAAGUACUCUAGCUUUUUUAACCCUCCGAUCCAAUUGAGGCUGCCAGCUGGAUGGGAAGGGCUUUGAUUCUUUAAUACCAAAAACAAAACUCUCAAAUUUAAUAGGUUCGAGAGAUCCGGGCAUCUCAUUUGUACAUUAUCAAUCAGGUAUAGUUUGUUCAUACUUUUAGGAAGCUUAGGUAUAUUGGAAAUUUUCGUGCCCGAUAAACCCAAGAUUCUUAGAAAUGAUAGUUCUCCAAUCUCACUUGGAAUUUCCCCACUCAAAUAUGUACACCCAACAGCAUGAAUCUCUUCAAGCUUCUCCAACAUCCCAAGGGUGCUAGGUAGUUUCUCUAAGAUGCACUUAGAGAUGCUCAGUAUUCUCAAAUUCUUCAUCGUCUCUAUUGAGUCGGGUAACUCUCGUAAGUUUGACUGAGAAAGAUCUAACUCAACGAGAGAUUCAAAAUUUCCAAAUGAAAAUUCUCUAAUUCUUGUAUGUGACAAGUCAAGAUAUAACAGUGAUGUUGAGCAACCAGCUAAAUUGCAUUUACUCAAGAAGCUACAUGAAUUUGCACUGAGAGUUUCCAAUUUCUCCAUUCCUUUCCAUUCAGGAAUGUUGGUAAUAGAUGUGUGAUCAACAAGAAGUUCUGUCAAGGCUUCCAGUCCCUCCAUCUCGUCUAGCAAUAUUGUAAGUUUCUCACAACCUCUCAAGUCUAAUGAUAUUAAAUGCUUUAACUUACCAAUAGAUCUAUCAACUUGAACCAGUUUUGUGCACCGUUGAAGAAUCAAUCGUUCUGAAUUUUCAUGAGUAGAAAAGUCAGGAAUUCUACGCAAGUUUUUGCAUCCAGUCAAAUUUAGAACCUUCAAAUUCUUUGCCAUCUGUAAUGAAGAGGAGAUUAAUUCUGAAUCAUUUUGAGAUAUAGGACAGCAAAGUCAAUAGAGCAAAUUCAUGUCAAAACAAUACUGUACCUUGAGGUCGUUCCAUCCCUCCCACUCAUCAGUAAUUUCACUCCUUGAUAUAUCAAGAAUCAAUAGCUUCUUAAGAGAUUGUACAGUGAAUUUGAAAAAGACAGGAAAGUUAUCCUAUGAGAGCCAUCUCAAAUUCGGAAGCAUGAUUGGAUUCCUUUGGCAAAAGACAGGAAAGUUAUCCUAUGAGAGCCAUCUCAAAUUCGGAAGCAUGAUUGGAUUCCUUUGGCACAAGUUGGUAGAACAAAAAUGCUGAACGUUGUGCUCAUCCAAGUCUACAUGAUCCACUUGAAAUCUUAAAUUUGGUGGGCUUACAAAUUCUACCUUGAUGUCAUGAAAUGGAUUAUCAAAGUCUACACAAUCCUCUGGAAGAAAUGUUAAAUAUGUUUCAAAUUCUUCCUUCUCAAUGGAAACCUGAAAUUGAUGAUCAAAGUCUACACGAUCCACUUGAAGAAAUCUUAAAUUUGAUAGGCUUACAGAUUCUUCCUUUCCAAUGAAGUCCUGAAAUUGAUGAUCAAAUUUGAGACGUAUUGCUUCAACAUUCUCUCUUCCCUGCCAAAGCAAAAAAAAAAAAAACACGUUGAAGGCAUUCGAGUUGAACAACCUUGACAAAUAUACAUUUUAUUUAUAAUUUAAAAUUAAUUUAGAAUAUAAUUUAUAGAUGAGCAUAUGAUCGUGCUAAAGCACACAAGUAAUAACUUGGUUUAGAUAGAAGCAAAUAAGUAAAGUCAAUGCGUAUAACUCGUCUCUUUGAAUAGGAAUAACAUUGCAAACACGUUACCUCCUUUAUGUUAAGAACAUCAAUUGCCUCCUCAUGAUCCCACACCCGACUUUGCUUUUCUGGUUUAAAAUUAGCUCUUUCAUGAACGAUCUCUCGCGCAAGGUCCCUUAGCUGAUCAUGCACCCACAGCUGAUUACCUUCUACAAUCUUCAUUAAUGACAUCCGUUUGAGGGCUUCAAGAGCACAUUCAGGGAAAAGCUUACAGUUGUCUCACAUGUAAGUCACAAUUCUCACAUCAAACCCAACAAAGAAGCAAGAAACAUCAAGAAAUAUUUCCUUCUCUCGAUGUUCUAAUGCCUCAAAACUGAUUCUCAACUUACUUUUAACGUCUUUAUGGGGAAUAGUUUUCAACCUUUCUAAUGUGUUCACCCAAAAUUUUGUAUCUUUUCCAGCUAAAAAUGAACCUAUAAUCUCUAGAGCCAAAGGAAGACAACCACAGAUUUCCACCGCUUUUUCUGAGAGGGAGAUGUAUUCUACUGGAAGAUGAUCUCUUCUAAAGGCAUGUUUGCUGAACAAUAAAAGAGAAUGACUAAAAUCCAUUUCAGUAAGUUCGUGCUUCAAAUCAACAUCUUUGAGAACUUCCUCGUUUCUUGUAGUAAUAAUAACCUUACUUCCUCUGUCGAACCAGCAUUCACCCAUCCCCACAAGAGCCUCCAGUUGAGUGUUUUGGUCGACAUCAUCAAGUACAAGUAAAACCUUUUUAGAGGAUAACCUAUUCUUGAUCACAAUAAUUCCUUCAUUAAUACUAUUGAUGGAUGGCCAAUCCAUUCUUAGGACUUUAGAGAUGAGCUGAUUCUGCAAACUCGCAAUCUUUGUCUCUCGAAUGUUAGACAGGAAGCAACAAUUAUCAAAAUCAGCCGACAGUUUAUUAUAGACGAUUGUGGCAAGAGUUGUCUUUCCGACACCACCCAUACCGUGGAUGCCAACAAUCUUUGUUCCAGUGGUCUGUUCCCCUAUCUUUUCCAUGAUUUGGUCCACUUGAUCAUCCAUUUCAACCAAGUUAUCAGGUUCUGCCAAGUUGUCCUUUUUUAACUCGAUCAAUAGUGUCCGAACAACUUCUUCUGUGAACUCACCUUUGCCUCUGAUGGUAUUGAUGGCAAAAGAACGCAACUGUUAAAUCAAGAUGAGCAGAAUACUAUCUAAGGUACAAACAAAUCCUGAACAAUAAUAAAUUUAAGUACCUUUCAUUGAGUUCCCACCCUCUUAACGCUCCAACCUUGCUGAGAGCUGCCUUCCAGUUUUGAAUAGUCUCAUCAGUGUACCGCUGCCGCUUAUUUAUGUGUGAAUUAAUGGCCUCAUGGUAAUUUCCAAUUUGGUGACGAACCUCAGAUGGUGCAACAUUAUAGAAAAUUGGCAUGAUCUUUCGUCCCCACUUUUCCUUGCACUCCACCAUCUGGACCAACUCCAUGAGGCACCAUACACUGGUAGCAUACUGUUUGGAUAAGAUAGGAAUCAAGAUUUCUGACUGCUUAAUCGCUUGGACAAGCUCUGGGCCAAUCUCUUUCCCAAUGGGAAGCUCUUCAUUAUCUCUAUAUGCCCGUAUUCCAGCACGAAUGAGGCUGUUGUAAAGGUAAUCGGCAAUGUCACAGCGAGUGUCCGGUCCUCCGAAACUCAAGAAUACUUCAUAACCAGAUUCCGUUGGCUUCUCCAUUUUCUGAAAUCCCAAAGGACUUGCAAUGACCUGAUAAUAUUCCACAUGAAAAACAUUUACUAUGAAAGUGGAGUGAUGAUUAUCAUGAUUUCUCUCAUAAUCUCUUCUGUUUUAAAUCAUUUUAGAAAGAAACCAAGAUGAAAAAUGCACGAGCUCCUUCGUGGCCUUGCACUACACACCAAAACAUGUCUGUAUAUUUUAUUAAUCAUAUAGUAGAGAAGUGGACCCAUCUCAAUUCUAAAGGAAGAAAUUUCCAAAGUAUUGCAGAAUUAUGGGUUAUAGUUUACACCUGAAAUUGAUUCGAAAGAAGAACAUUUCAAGAAGAUAAAUCUCUGUCAGCUUAUUUUUGUCUUAAACUCUUUUGUUUAUGCGAUAAAAUUUCUCUUAAAAGGUGACCUUGAAUGUCCCCUGCACAUAAGUGUCUGCUGUUGCUUAUAGGUUGACUAAUUAUCUUAUUGUCUGAUAAGAAAUUAUGAUGAAUCCUUACUCUUUUAGUUUUUACCAAAAUAGUUUGACAGACAUUCCACAACCCUCAAUUAGUUGCUCCCUUGAUCUUAAAGGACGCAGCCAAAGAAUCGCAUUCCCCUAUGAUGAUCUCAUUGGAAAAGUGAAAUCAAGAAAUUUAACUGAAGCUAAUUCAAUCCUCACCACUGGACUAGUUUCUAAAGAGCAUAAACUGAUCUCUAAUUACAAUCAUCUCUUAGUAUAUUAACAUACAGGCACAGGGUCAAGGGGAGAGCAUUAGAAGCUAUCAUUCCCAUUUGUCAGAAAGUAUCAGCAUAUUAGAAAAAGAGGGGUGAAUUACUAACCAACAAUGGAGUUGAUGAUAUUUCAACAGAAGAAAGAAGCAUGAAUGCUAUAACUGGUUUUCCAGAAACUAAGUUUGAACACACAGGUGUGCAGGAACAAGAGCUGUACUUUACGGAAGUGGAGAGUUCCGGUUCACCACAGACUGCAACACUAUAGUCUAUUCAGUCUGCCUCUACUAUUACACACUAAGUUGAGGGUUUCAAUUUUCUGUCUGGAAGUGUUCUUACCACCUAUCACCAGACAACAGUGUACUAGUGUCACGGGCCGAAAGAUGGACGACCCGGGAGGUUCCCCGAGUCGACCCCAACUCGCCUGUGGACCUCGCCUGUGGACCUCCUGCUCUCACUCGGAUUCCCACCAAACCUUCUACUCGAAAUCUCCAAGGGCGGGCGAAACUGUCAUUGAGUCAUAUUCUAGAAGUCUGUUCCAUUAUUUAUGUCGGUAGACAGUAGUUAGACAUUAUGUCGGUAGUUGAAGCAGUGCGAUCUCGCCCGUUGGAUGAAAAGUAGAUCAACGGAUGUAAUCCGAGGCACUCAACUAUAAAAGGGGGUCCUCCCUCAUUUUGUAAUCAUCCAAUCCAUUUCAAAAAUAUCAAAGCUUUCCAUUCCUUUCAGAGCUCCUCUCUCUAACUUUCUCUCUCAACGAUCCGGGUAAGCGAGCGGGUAACCGUUCGAUCGAGCAAGGCUUGGCUUGGGUGAUCCAAAGUUGCCCGAGUCGCCGCGCGGUCACGAUCCCAAUUGAUCGGCCCGUGACACUAGUCUGUUGUAUCAAAAGUCUCUUAGAGACACCAGUAUCUUUGGUCGCACAAGAAAAAUCCCAUUAAAUAAAUCUAAUCAACCGAUUCCAUUCAAAGUAGUUCAGAGCGCCAGCCUAGUUCCUAAAGAGAGAAAUGCAAUCCCUAAUUACAGAACCAACAAGCUGAUGCAUAGAAGUGCCAUUGCGUUUCAGGAUCUGAAGCCUGACAGUUGCAAAAAUGGAUGCAGAUGAGCAGGGUUUAAGCACGUGACCAGAGUAAAAGGCUAAAACUACUAGUGUUUGAGGCAACUAGCAGUGAUCAAUCAUGGAGUCAACUGAGGAAAGAAUUGACGGUGAUCUGAGAGUCCCUCUCUUGUUUCCAUCAUAUUCCGCACCCAGUUGCAUUACACAACUGACCCAAUUCAUUAAAAAGAAGGCAAUCAACGAUAGGAAAUUACCGGAGAUGGGAGGGGUGAAGAUGAAGAGUCCGGGUCAAAUGCCGAGAAGCAGAUAGAGAUGCCAAGAAUGAACGUUCUUGGCUUUCGAGUUCAGAUGAAGAAAGACUUCUAUUAUAUACUCUACUCGCCCUCACGUGCCAUGCUCAUCCAAGAAGGAGACUCGACACUCACCCUCAUGUGCCGACCGCAGGUACAGAAAAUGAGUGAACUCGCCUUUCUUUUGAGGCAUUUGAGUUUUAGGUUAGGUUGAAAUUUCUCCGAGUCCAAAACAGUUUUCGGCUCAAAAGUCCUGUUAGUUUAGAGAUCAUAAUGACGACGAAACCUUCUUUCGUUGGUGAAAUCCUAGGCCCAUUUAAAUUAUUCAUUAAUCAAACCUACACAUUUUUAAGUAAUUUAGAUGGAUUAUGACGGAAAGUUAUUCACAAUAAAUUUACGAAACAAAAGUUAAUGAAAGUUGCAUCAAGCUACAAGAGGAUCAAGGUCCUAUUUGUUUCGUAAAAAAUGAAUAAUUAAAAAAAUAUUUUUUAAAAAUAAUUAAUUAUAUUACUUGAAAUCAUCAAUUAAUGAAAAAUAUUUUCAUUAAUAAUAAUUAAUGCCUAAAUAUUUUCGUGAAAUAUUUUUUAUUUAUUAAUUUCUAUAAGUGAUGCAAGUGAUCAUUUUUCAGAAAAUAUUUUUCAAAUCAUUCAUUUUUUGCAAAACAAACAUUCUUUAAAGCUCCAAAAAAUUUGUUAUGCAAAUGAAAAUUCAUCAACCAUGGAUGGUUCAAGUAAAACUUCCUAGAUAUGUGCUGUUUUCUCUUUCCGUUCGCAAUUCUUGGGGGCUCCUAUUGCAUUUUUUGCAGGUUUACAAGUAGAGAAUGGGAUUGCAUUGGAUCGUACAGCUUUUAGCUAUUCUUCUGCCUGCAAGCUUAGUUGAAUUUUGGGGUGAAAUGGGAAUGUCCAUAUUACCACUAGAAGUAAUCCCGAAAAUUAUUUUUUGACUAAGGAAUUUUUUUUAAAAUAAUUAUCAUAUUAUUUAGAUUUGAAUAGUCGAAUCAAUAGACAUUGGGAUUUGUUAUACACACACACACAUAUAUAAUCAGGAAAAUAUUAAUAAUGACGAAUUACAAAAUAUAAGUCAACUUAACUUAUUUUUAUAUAUUAUCUAUGAUUAAAGUAAAAUAAGAAAAAUAGAUUGAUAUACUGAUGCUAUUUAAUCAAUUAAAAAACUAUACCAUUAUAAUUUUCUUAAUUUUGAAACAAUGACUGGUAAAUUAAUUUAUAUUUCUAGUAUCAAGAUAUAAUCCUGUUGAAUAUCUAUACUAUGAAGAAAAUGCAAUCAUAUUGUAAAUACUAUGUUUAAAAUUGAUUUUUUUUUCUCAUAACAUUCUCACUGUUUUUUUUUUUUUUUUGGUAAAGCAUAACAUUCUCACCGUUUGUUGUUUAUACAAUCAAUAAAUGAGUCUCUAUUUCUUUUCGCUACCUACUUCUAUGUCAGCUUUCCUCAGAAUUCAUCUAUAGAAAGUAACGUAAGUAACGUGAGUUCUCGCUCUAUUUGAUUUCGUUAAUGCUUGGGUUCAUUUACGUAUUAUAUCUUUUUUUAUCAUACAAAACACAAUGCAAGGGAGGGAUAUGCACAAUAUUUUUAUGCAUCAAAAUUUAAUUAAUUCUUGUCCAACUUUAUUUAUGUUUAUGUGAGCAUUUGGUAAUUGAUAUAGUAAUAGUUGUUACACUGUUUUUCUUUCACAGAAAACGAAGCUAAUUAAUAAAAAUUAUAUUAAACUAAACUACAUCAAUUUGGAUUGAGUUUGCCUUCUCCGAUUUUUAAUUUUUGCUUCAUUUAAUUUACACUGCCCACGCACUUUAACUCUUUUUCAACGUCCCAAAACUUUCACAAUAGUUAGAUGUUAACACGUAAAUUUGUAUUUAUCUUUUCAUUUUUUUUAAAUCUGAAUAAUACUUCAACUUUUAAUAGAAAAAUAAAAUUUAUUUAUUUAUUUCCAAACAAAAUGGCAUUAAAGCCAUUAAUUUUCGCAUUUCUUAGGCACGAGGCUAUUGUUCACAUCUGCCAGAAAGUAUCAGCAUAUCAGAAGAAGAGGAGCGGAUUACUAAUCACUUAUGGAGCUAAUAAAAUUUCAACAAAACAAGGAAGCAUGGACGCUAUAACUGUUUUUCCAGUAAAAUAAGUUUGAACGCACGGCGUGUAGGGAUGAAAGCUGCAUUUCACAAAAGCUGAGAGUUCUGAUUUGCCAGAGUGCAACAUUAUAUACUCUUCAGUUUGUCAUUUCUGUUAAAUGUCGAGUUGAAGGUAUCAAUUUUCUGUCUAGGAGCGUUCUUUCUCACUACUUAUUUACCAGACAAUAACUAAUUUGUCUCCACAGUUAAACAAAUGAAAUCAACCGAUCCUAAUUCUAACUAAUUCAGCUUUGAGUGCUGGCCAGUUCCUAAAGAGUGUAAAUUGCAGUCCUGAAUUACAUAAACCUCUGAGUAUAUCAACAAGCUGAUGUAUAGGAGUGGGAUUCUGUUUCAAGAUCUGAGGCCUGACUAUUGCAUAGAUGGAAGCGGAUGAGCAGGGUUUACACAUGACUAGCAUUAUGCUAAAACUGUUGGUGUCAGAUACAAAUUGCAGUGAUCGAUCAUGGAGUCAACUAUGGAAAGAACCGAUACUGAUAUGAGAGCCCCUCUAUUGUUCUCAUCAAAUUAAUGGAAAAAGGCGAUAAAUGAGAGGAGAUUACCAAGGAUGGAGGAGUGAAGAUGAAGAGUCCGGAUCAAAUGCUAAGAAGCAGAUAAAGAUCCCCUAGAUCAAUCGUUCUUGGGUUUGAGCUCCGCUGAAGAAAGACUUUUCGCAAGAUGGCCCACUCACCCUCGCUUGCAAUGCUCUUCCAAGUAGGUGAGGACUUGCGAGUUGCAAGUGUACUUAAAGCCGAUCUUUGACAUUUGAUAUAACAGAGAUGAAGGCCGAUCGUUGGCUCUUGAUAUAAUAGAGAUGAAGGCCGGCCGUUGACUCUUGAUAUAAUAGAGAUCAAGGCCGGCCGUUGAGUAGAUAAAGAUCCCCCAGAUCAAUCGUUCUUGGGUUUGAGCUCCACUGAAGAAAGACUUUUCACAAGAUGGCCCACUCGCCUUCACUUACAAUGCUCUUCCAGGUAGGUGAGGACUUGCGAGUUGUAGAUGUACUUAAAGCCGAUCGGGGGUAAGUACACUAUUAGUGCCAAAACUUGUGUACGACGCUCAAUUUGGUGCCAAAACUUUAUUUUGGAUCACUUAAGUGCCAAAUCAAAGGAAAAACGAUUACUUUAAUGCCACCAGCGAGAGAUUCCUGUCAAAAUGAUUACGUGGCUUUUAUAUUUAGAAAAAUAAAAUCGACAAGGCUUUUAAACGAUGUCAUUUUCCGUCCUCCUUAAGAAAAUGACAUCGUUUUGCCGUCCUAAAUGGAUGGCCUCACAAAAACGACGCCGCACAACUCAUUUGGGGAUUGAAAUUAGGGUUUUUUUUGUCCGAUCCUCGCCCAACGCCGACCUAGCUUACUUGGCCGCCGUCGCUCGGCACUAUUUGGACACCCUCCACGAGCGCGUCAUUGCCGAUGCUCAACAACUUGUAGUUGCACUUGAGCACAAGAUUCGUGACCGAGUUGAACCAUGUGAAUAGUGCCGAGACCGCAUCCAGUAGCUCCGAGUUGGCAUGGAGAGCGAGCCUCUGGUGGCUCUGGCCUUCGAUCACGAGCCAGCGGCAGCACACAAGGGAGCACUGGCCCCAGUCGCCAGAGCCUAGGUACUGGAAGACGCAGGGCAAGCACUCGUUGGGGAGAUCAAACAUGGAGAGGGAGAGAUCAAGGGCAGCGCACUCGUCAAUGGCCUCCCUGAGCACCAGCCAAAUCACGGCCUUCAACUUGGCCACCGAGUGGCCGUCGGCAGGGUCAGGGUCGAGGUUGGAGCCGCGGCUAUCAAGCACGGGGGCCGUCGAGGACAGCAACUGGCCCGUCACCGGCUUAUCUUCUCUCUCUCAAUUUGGGGAUUUAGAGUUUUGAAUUGGGGGAGAGACACCAAACAGCGUCGUUUUGUUAUUUAAAUGCUGAAUUUACUCUCCGGCGAGCCACAUCAGCUUCAAAAAUUAAUAAAAAAGUGUCACGUCGGAUUUCCGACCAACUAGAUUGGCGUUGGCACUGAAAUGAUUAUUUUUCAAAAGUUUUGGCACUUAAAGUGAACGCCAUACAUAAGUUUUGGCACUAAUAGUGUACUUACCCCGAGCGAAUCGUUGACUUUUGAUAUAAUAGAGAUCAAGGCCAGCUGUUGGGCAGAUAAAGUACCCCCAGAUCAAUCGUUCUUGGGUUUGAGCUCCAUGGAAGACAGACUUUUCGCAAGAUGGCCUGCUCGCCCUUGCUUGCAAUGCUCUUCCAGGUAGGUGAGGACUUGCGAGUUGCAGGUGAACUUAAAGUUGAUCGUUGGCAUUUGAUAUAAUAGAGAUUAGGCCGACCGUUGACUUUUUAUAUAAUAGAGAUCAAGGCUGGCCAUUGACUUUUAAUAUUAUAGAGAUCAAGGCCGGCCGUUGAGCAGACAAAGAUCCCCUAGAUCAAUCGUUCUUGGGUUUGAGAUCCACUGAAGAAAGACUUUCCACAAGAUGGCCCACUCACCCUCACUUGGGUGGGUGAGGACUUGCGAGUUGCAAGUAUACUUAAAGCCGAUCGUUGACAUUUGAUAUAAUAAAGAUGAAGGCCAACCAUUGACUUUUGAUAUAAUAGAGAUCAAGGCCGGCCGUUGAGCAGAUAAAGAUCCCCCAGAUCAACAUUCUUGGGUUUGAGCUCCACUGAAUAAAGACUUUUCGCAAGAUGGCCCGCUCGCCCUCGCUUGCAAUGCUAUUCUAGGUAGGUGAGGACUUGCGAGUUGCAGGUGUACUUAAAGCCGAUCGUUGACAUUUGAUAUGAUCAAGGUUGGCCAUUGACUUUUGAUAUAAUAGAGAUGAAGUUCGGCAGUUGACUUUUGAUGUAAUCCGUUGACUUUUGAUAUAAUAGAGAUGAAGGCCGGCCAUUGAUUUUUGAUGUAAUCGAGGUGAAAGCCAGCUGUUGACUUGCCAAUGAUUUGUUGGCGCAAACCACCAGAGUUCUAAUAGACGAGAAUUAAUGCAUGUUAUUAGUUUGAAAAUCAUAUAAUUAUAUUGAUUGAUAUUCUUUUAAUGACGAUGAAACCGUUCUUUUGUUGUAGGUGAAACCCUAGGCUCAUUUAAAUUCAACAUAAAUUGAAUCUACAAAUGUAGAAUCCAUACCUUUUAGUCUUUGAGAUGAAUUAUAUUAUUCAUAGUAAACUUAUAAGACUAGAGUUAGGUUUUUAUGCUCCGUUUGUUUCAUGAAAAAAUAAAUAAUUUGGAAAAAAUUUCUUAAAAAUGAUUACUUGUAUCACAUAAAAUAAUUAGAUAAUAAAAAAUAUUUUCAUUGUAGACAAUAACUUAUGCCUAAAUAAUUUCACGGAUGAUGAAAAUAACUUUUAUUUAUUCAUUUUUGUAAGCAAUAUAAAUAAUUUUUUUAGCAAAAUCCUUUUGAAAUUAUCUACUUUCUGCAAAACAUGCAUACCUUUGAACUCUAAAAAGUUAUAUCGUCUAGAAAUUGAUAAAGCUCCGAAAAAGUUACAAUAUAAGUGGUAGUUUAUCGACAAUCAUUUUUUAAUCGGCUAUAGAAUCUCAUUACGUUCAUUAAAUAAGAGAGUAUAUCUCGGAUCUCCCCUGGGAGCAUAGAAAUACAACGACUUCCAAAAGAGAUACUGAAAAUCCUAAUUCUAAUCUAAGUAUAAAUUGGAAAAUUACGUGAAAAAUAUAAACCUUAGUCAAUAACCCUUUUGGGAAGAUGUGCAUAGCACAUCAUGCACGGCACACGUAGAGCACAUGCAAUAUGCAUGGCACAUGUAAGACACAUGAAAAUUUCAACGACUGUCGAGGAAAAAUGUGUCUGGGUUGCAUAGGGUUUAAGGCUCAAAUGGGCUAAAUUUAAGAAUUCAAUGAUUUAAAGAGCUCAAUUCGAAUGAAAUUCACAAAAUCGCCUCAGUUUAAAAUUUACUACAUUGAAAUUAUUGCGGAUCAAACGCUAAGAAGCGGAUAAAGAUGCCAGAGCCGAAGGAAGAGUUUUAUUAAAGAGUCUACUCACCUUCACGUGCCAUGCACUUGCAGGAAGGUAAGGAGUUGCUACUCAUCCCAGACGCAUUACAUUUUACAUACCUUGAACAUGAAAACAUAGAACUCAUACAUAUUAUCCACUUGAGAUGGAUUAUGUUAGACUUAUUCCCAAUAAAUUCAUAGAAAAGAAUUAGGUUUUAAUUUCAAAGGCUGCAUUUGGACACGAAGGAAUAAAGCACCAAAAAAUUUACAACGAGUCUUCAAAAAUAGCUACAGUUGAAAUAUUCCAGAUGAUAUAUUUAUGGUUUUGUCCCAAUUUAUUUCUCAUAUGCAGGUAACGGAAACUCUUUCAAAAUAGACAUCUCUCCAACCUGUUCAGAAGCCAUUUGAGUUGCUAAUAAAUCAACGUUUCCCUCAGCAUGGAGAACAGAGAAAGCGUAAGUUCUAGACACAAGGUUUGCGGUACACAUGACCUCUAUGAUCUCUGGCCAAAGCGGCAAUGGAGGCAUGAGAGUCUUGCAUCAAUGUUCACCUGAAGCAAGGGGGUAGGAGUCCAUUUUGGAGGGUCGUUGUUCACAACUCGUGACUACGAGCAACGUUCCAUCACAACUCAUGGUAGAUGUCCUGUAUAUGUCGAAUUACUGAAGGAAGAUCCAUUUGGGACCGAGCUUCCAGAAUUUUGUUUCCACGCUCCCAUAAAACCACUAAACUAUUUCGACCAUAUUGCGAAAAUCUUCGCAAUAAAUGUCAGGUGGAAGGCCGAAAGCGAGGAGGCGCAGAGAUCACAUAGCACACGUGUAAAAAACAGAACCGCAAAAGAAGUUGAUAUGUCCAAGCCCCAGCCACCUCGACUCCAUACAAUUCAGGUCAUCCACUCUUCCCCUUUUGUCGGCAAAUUUGACUGAUCAACGUUCUUCGAAGUAAAAAAGCAGUUUCGUUCUAACUGGAUCUUAGGGAGAAAUAUGACCUUUACCUAUGUAUGGAAUAAAUACGACAUCUUGGCCAUGGAAUGUUGACAAGACAUCGAAUGCAUUUUGUGCAGAUCUCAACAACCGAGAGCGGAUUCUUAUGAAGACUGUACUUCUGAUUAACUUGGAGGUCAAGGACAACCAUGAGGAGGCAGCAACUGGAGCUCAGCGUGCUUUAGAUCUUUGUCGAGAGGUCUUUCACUGGCUGUGCUUUAUGUAUUAAUGAUAGUAUGCUUGAUUUCUGUAUGCUGAGAAAUUGCUUAUUGUUUCUAAUUUUCAGAGGCAGAACAGGCGGAAAUUUUUAUUCAGCAUUUCCUUCUAUUGAUGACCGUGGUGAGGGCAAGACUAUUGUUCUGAAAGCUUUAUGAUCCAUGUCGUUGUUCUGUUAGUAUUUUGACUGCAAAUUUAUAUGUCGACGAACUGAACUUUGGGUUUCUGUUUGUCCAUCUACUUGCACAAGUGGUAAUAGACUUAAAUACAUUACCAGAUUUCUUCCAACGCUGUUACUGUUUGCUUUGCACGAAGCCUUCCCUAGAAAUCUUUCCUUUCUAAGCCCAGCGAGCCCUAUUUAAUCCAUUACACAGCUAAUCAUUUCAUUAUACCCUAUCCUGAAUUUGAUCUCUUCUUAUGUCAGGAAGACUGAAUCAGGCUCUCCCAUGUUUUUACGCCUUCGCUUGAUCUUGGUAUUCCAUGCCAAUUGUUGGGUUUGAUGAGCACUUUCCUUGACUACUCGUUAGUGGUAGGUCAUUUUGCAACAAUAUCUUUAUCUGCAUAAUGAGAAUUGUCAUUCUCACGCUUUGAAUUGAAUUUGCUACAGAAUCCUAUUCUUUGCUGUUAUUGCCAAGCCUGUCAUACUAAUGCGCUGCAUACAUCCACUUUCAGAUAACACUGCAUCGAUGUGGAAAAGAAAUUCUGAGUCGAACCUUUAUCCACUCACUUUAUCUCUGGAAUGUCGACGCAUGAUGAUGUAUUAGUAAUUGGAAGCAAGCCAGUCUUGCUUAGGAGUGAAAAUUCUAUUAUUUCUUGUAGUUUCUUUUUUUUUAAGUUCCUUUGUACUGCAGAACUAAUUCUGUGAUGGUACUCAUGUCGAGAGAGCGGAAAGAAAAGGAAUUCCGGCGUAUUGUAUAUAAUUUCUUUGAAUGCGAUGGGUUGAAAACCGCCUCUAUUUUCAUUUUUCUGUAUCGUGCAUAUGAAAAGAAAAACAAGAGAACAGAACCAACCUGACCUGGUCAGUCAUUUGAUGAUUUGGUUCUGUAUUUUUGGCAGGGUUCACAAUUCAAUCGAUCCUAUUUAUUUAAAAUGAGUUGGUUUUUGAAAAGAAAAUUACUAAAAAGCAGGAACUUCUAAUUUGAGUUCAUAUGGAAAUCGUCAGUUUUCUUGCUGGCUUGUUGGUCAUUCCUAGGAUCCUGUCCUUCAACUUGCUUUCCUCACUUCCUGAAUAAAAAUUCCCUUGCGUAUUCAUUUAAAAUAAUAGGCUCUGAUAAUUUGUCGAGAUUAGCUAGUACUGACACACAAAAGUCAUCUCCAUGUAUGGCUUGCACCAAGGUUUGCAGUUUCACAUCUCAAAGGGGAGGAUGCUUUCUAGACCUCAGUGCAAGUGUCUUUUUUGGAAUGUCUCAAAUGCCAGUCUCUUGAGCCAGUGAAUUCUUCUAUUCUGCUGUUCCUUCAAGCCGGUGAAUUAUUCUUCUUCUCUGCUGUUCCUUCGGGAAGACAAUGCAGUCCAUUGAUCCGUCUGUGGAAAUAAAAUUUCUCCUCUUUCUGAACCUUCAAUCUCCUCUGCGUUAAUUUGUAUAACACCGAAUAACACCGAACGCUCCAGUUAGUUGUGGUACGCUCUACCCUUAUGCAGAUCUUCUGCUCCUUAUGUCUAAAUAGACUUGUGUUUGCAUCGUGUUGGCUACAACCCAACAGUGCCAGUGAAACUCGGCCAAACAACAGUGUGCAUUAGACACAGAAAAGAGAGCUCUUCUGCUCACGCAUUUUAUCAAAUGUUACUAUGGUAUGAACGAUGAAGAGAAAUCAAAGGAUAAUGACUCUCCAUGAACUAACAAACAGCGGCAUCAGCCAGCAUUUCCAUUUCAGAAGACAUAAAGUCCAGUUCACUCAGCUCCUCAUGGGCCUCGUAGUCAUCCGUAAUGGCGACAUACCAAUCUCACUUCAUCUGUCCUAAGAGAUCUUAACAAAGAAUAAAUAUCCUCUUAUGAGGGUGCCUCUUGUCCUUGACAAUGAAGACAUGAACUUGACCCUGAAUUUCUAUCCAGCUACAGCCGGGCUGCUUGACUACUCCUUGUUGCCUCAUCAGCUUCCUUAUUCUGACGACAUUGCCCCAUUUUUUGCUUUCCGCGUACAUGUUUGAGAGCAGAACAUAAGGUCCGGAGUUCGAAGGGUCGAUCUCUAAGAGCUUAUCCGCUACGUGUUUUCCUAGCAUUAUAUCCUUAUGAACUCCCCAAAGGACAGCAUCAGCUUGCAUGGGCAUUGCCUCUAUUAAGUCCUUUGCUUCACUGAGACAACCGGAUCAGUCGAGCAAAUCAACCAUGCACAUAUAAUGGUCCUUUACCAGUGCCAGACCAUACUCCUCGACCAUCUGCUUGAAAUAAUGGCGCCCCUCUUUGACCAGCCCUGCAUGGCUGCAUGCACAGAGAACCCUGAUCAUAGUGACACAGUCUGGUCUCUCGCCAGAUACCAACAUUUUCCUGAAUAUUUGAAGCGCCUUUAUCCCGUAACCGUUCCACGCAUAUCCAACAAUUAUGGCAUUCCAUGAGACCUUGUCCCUCUCCAACAUAUUUUUGAAAACCCAUAAACCAUCUUCCACAGCUCCACAUUUAAUGUACAUGUCUAUAAGAGAAUUUCCAACAAAAAUAUUGGAUUCUUCUCCAGACUGGAAGCGAAAUCCGUGCUUCAAGACAUGAGCAUGAGCCUGCUGCCCCAACUGCAGAUCGGCAAGAUUUGCACACGCAUUGAGAAAAUUUCCAAAUGUGUAGUGCGUCGGCUCAAUGGCUUCCCUCUUCAAAAGGCGGAAUAAACCAAAUGCUCCUUCAUUCUCUCCAUUCUGGGUAUACCCUGCAAUAAGGGCAUUCCAAGAAACUACAUUCUUCUCCAUCAUCCUCGUGAACAUUACUCCUGCAGUUUUGAGACUUGCUGCUUUUGCAUACCCGCUUACCACAGAGGUGGCUGACACUAUAUCCCUGGUAGGCAUUCUGUCAAAAACUGCUCUGGCCUCACUAAUUCUAGAGCACUUAGAAUACAUAUCAACCAAUGCAUUUCCUAAAACAACAUCAUUUCAAAAUUUGUCACAUUUUACAACAUGGGCAUGAAUUUGCAUCCCUUCCCUAAAAGCCGACAGGCUAGCGCAUGCGCUGACCACACUGACCAAAGUGAACUCAUCUAUUUCAAACCCACAAUCCAUCAUGCUCACAAAAACCUCAAGAGCUUCACUGGCUGGACCAUUUUGUUCAUAGCAUGUAAUCAAGCUGUUCCAAGAAACUAUGUUUGGAGAACUCAUUUCAUCAAAAGCCUUCUGUGCACAAGCCACGUUCCCACACUUGUACAUGUCGAUAAGAGCAGAGCCCAUAUGAACAUCAGACGAGCACUCAGACUUUGAUAUCAAAGCCUGAAUCUGUUGGCCCAGAUGCAUAUCUGCUAACCCAGCACAUGCGCUAAGCGCACUACCAAAUGAGUACUCAUUAAGCACAUAAUUCUCCCUAUGCAUCUUACCAAAACAUUGCAGGGCUUCUUUGAAUCUUUCAUGCUGCGCAUAACCUGACAGCAUCGAAUUUCAUGAGCACUGGUCGGGUUCCGGCAUUGACCCAAAUAUCUUUUCCGCUUCAUCAAGAGACCCCGAUCUGAUCAACCCGCCUAAGAUUGCGUUCCACGUGAAGGUAUUCUUCUCGGGCAUUUUAUCGAACACCCUGCGGGCGUCGUCGAGGCACCCGCAUCUCGCGUAGAUGUCGAUGAGCCGGUUCUGGAUAAAAACCAGCGGAGAACGGGGUCUUGAUGAUCCGAGCGUGGAUGCGGCGUGUGUCGCGCGCUGACUUGGACAGGCCGCAGCUGUCCAGGAGCUUGGUGAAUGGGGUCGAGGUGGCGAAGGAGAGGCCGCCCGCCAGAGCCUUGACCCGCGCAUGCCUCGCCAUUCCAUCAUAUCAUCGUACGAAGCGAACUCUGUCGGAGAAGAUUCGCAUAGAUGCAAAUUGAGUGCGAUGGGGAGUUUCUGUUGACCGUACGGGCGGGAAUAUGUUGAGAGCGCUUAUAUGAAGAGGGAAGGCAAAGUCGCAGUGGCAAAAUGGUAAUUUCGGCAUGACAAUAUAUUAAUUAGACUCGUGACCAUGAAUUAUUUUGUUGGUUAUGAGUAAAUCUAAGCUACAAAUUAAAAUGUGUCGUAGAUUUAAUAUCUUGUUGUAAGUCACUAAAUCAAGAUUAGUCAUAUGUAUAAUAUGUACAACUUAUUGCUUUAUCAACUAUAAUUAUAAGUUUAAUAUAGGAUAAGUCAAUUUUAUAACCGAGUUAUUUACAAAUCAAACAUAAAUUCUCAUUUUGAUUAUUUUAAGUAAUUCAUCAUUAAAAAAAUGCAAAAAGCAAUUCUAGAGAAUGAAAAUUGGAUCUACGCCGGAUUACAUGGGAUAGCUUUUCAAUGGUCCUCCUCCCAUGAGGAAUAGCUAACCUUGAUUUUAAGAGUAUAGCAACUUCUCUAAAGUAACUAAUCUUGAUUUACUUCUUAGCCAACUAAGGACUAAGUGUCUCAUCAUGAAUAGGCCAGAAAUAGAUAGUUUUUGUGUCGUUCUUGGAUUAAUCCAAAGUACUACUCAUUUUGGUCCGUCCCAUUUUGAGUCUCAUGGUUUUGUCCUUCAAGCAUACGGGCAAACACUUUUUCAAUAGACUAUUGUGACAUUUUUGGAUUAAUUCACUUGAAAUAUUAUCCGCUUUUACCCAUCUCAUUCCAAGUCUCACGAUUUUGUCUUUGGGCAUAUAGGUAGACACUUUCUGAGAAGGUAAACCCAUGUUAAUAAUAUUCUAGUCUAAUCACACUCAACUUUGGAGUGGAAUUACCAGAUAGGUGCAGUGCCUACCCAUAAGCUAAAGGACAAAACCGUUUGGGUCAGGAGAUCGUCUUGUUUUGGUAAGAAAAAUCAAUUAACCUUCUAAAGUGUGCGUUCAUGUGAGCCCCUUGCAAGGGAGAGCUUCGUGAUAAGAAAUGAAGCCCAUCUGAAUCCACAUCCAAUUUUUCAAGGCUUUGCAACUCUUUCGGCUUUAUGCGACCAAGAACCGUCACAGCUGAGAGUUGUCUCAGGUUUUAGAAAGGUCUAUUGAUGUUCUUAUUUCCUGGCGAAGUAGGAUAUGUAAGACAGACAAAACUCAUGGGAAGUCUAGGCAAGAACCUGAGGUUCUUAAAAAUCGAGAACAAGUUUCCUGAGCUUGCAACUCCAAGGACUUCGGAUGGCGUAACCUGUCAAUCCACCGAGGAUCAUGGAGCUUCCUCAAGCCCGUAACUGUCAUAAGAAUACCUCGACACAUAUAAAUGCAAGCUUCUCGGAUUUAAUUGGUACGGGAGAUCUGGAAAUAUGUACAUUGAGAAAAUUACAAGCAUAGAUUAAUUCCAAGCCCACAACACCGUAGAAUUUUGCCCUAAAGAUUCAUACAUUCUCUACUUCUGCAAAAAGAACUUAAAUCCCAACUGAUAAUUUCAAUUGUUCAAACAUGAAACGCAAUCAUUAAUCAUUCAGAAGCCCCUAUAGAAAUCUGUUCUAAGUCAUCAAAACGAAAGGACCUUUGUGACCAUUGCACAUGAUGACUUAUCAAAACCAAAGGACCUUUGUGACCAUUGCACUUGACCAUUAAAUAGUGAGGGCUAUGUUCAUGCUAGACAAGAUGUUUUGCCCCUACUUCUUCAUUUUCUCAAUGUGGAGAUUUUCAUGGGAAAUCCGCAACAAUUCUGUGAAUAUGGUCAUCGAUGUCUAAUGGAAUUCACGACACUGAAUGCAACACAUUGAACAUUAAUCUCUGCAAAUGAAUUCUGAAGCAAGUCAUCUUGAAUCCUUGAUGAAUUUCUCCCAUGAUGAGAUUAAUUACUAAUUGUACCCACUAAAAAUUUUAGAAGUAGGACCAUAACAGACCCAAAAAGGAAGAAAAAUUUCAGAACCAAUCGAUUAUAGUAAGUUUUCAUGCCUUCCAGGACAAUGAUUCGGUUUUAGCUAGAGUUAACAAGCUCAGAAGAACAACUGCUUCCCAUGCAUGUUUUGAACUACUUCCUAAGGAGCGAAAAUCAAUUCUCUAAUUGGUGCAGAAGUGAACUGAUGCACAGGAGUUGCAAUGUGUUUCAAUAGAAUGUGAUUUGGUUAAGGCUAAAGCUAUCAAAGAUUAGAUGCGCAGAUGGAACAAUAUCAAUUGAGUCAGCUGCCGAGUGGGUUCAUUGAAAGGCUGUUUUCAUUCCGUAUAUAUGAUAAGUCAUGACUGAAAAUAAUAAGAACUCAAUCCGUCCAAAUCUUUUCCUAAUUUAUCACUGAUUGCAUUAAAGAUUUGCACACGGACCCAAUUCAUGUAACAGCAAAGAGACAAUUACCAGAAAAGGAAUACAGGAGAACUGCGUCUAUACAGAGUUUUGAGCUGCUGGCCAACCACUGAAAUCAGGUGCGCAACCAACAUUUACUUUCUACCAUUAACCAAACUCAGAAGUCCAAGAGAUAAAAGUAUCUUAAAAACAACAAAAAGAUACUCUAAGUUGGAUUCCGCAAGAUCAGGCUGCGUCUAUUCCUCAAGUACUUCACUGAUCAUCAGCACUCAAGAGAACAUUCUACCUUCUCACGCUUGAGUGUAUAAAAUGAUUUUAGCUUCUUGAUCCGGUAACUUCUCCAAAGAUUUAAAAGGAACCUAUCGAAAGUUGCCUCCAACGAUUUUACUCUGCCUUGGAUCUCAGCCACUUUAGGACAUCACUGCAGAUAAAAUUUCUGGAGCUUCUUCAAGUUGGUCAGGUCAGGCAACUUGUCCAUAGAUAGAACUCCUUCAAGCUUGAAGGCACUCGGGCUCUCCAAAACUUGGAGGCCUCUGAACUCUCUCACUUUAGGGCAAUGAGCAACUUCCAACUCUGACAGCGCCUUCCAAUUUGAAACGUCUAUUGAUGUUUUUAUUUCCUUGCAUGAUUCGGUAUCUAAGUACAACAAAUUUGGGGCAAGGCUAGGUUGGCAGUGCAGCUUCUUGGAGGGGACCAGUUCAGGUUCCUUGAGCUGUGAAAGAAAAAUGAUGUCUGNN
RNAcentral lists this long non-coding RNA (238305 nucleotides) under Eucalyptus grandis. RNAcentral describes it as "long non-coding RNA (EGRA_LNC005930)". The record is from RNAcentral. Lineage: Eukaryota; Viridiplantae; Streptophyta; Magnoliopsida; Myrtales; Myrtaceae.